AAAGUUUACACCAAACUGCCCACACUGGUAGCAGACACCAUGGAACCUUGUCUUCUGGAAGCGUUUGGUCCACUUGAGAUGGACUUCCAAUGGAAUGACCUCUUCUGGGCAGUGCACCCUGGCAGCCGUGGGAUCUUGGACCAACUUGACAAGACACUCCAGUUGGAGCCCACGAAGCUAGCGGCGAGCAGAACUGUCGUACAGAAGUUUGGGAACAUGUUUAGCGCCACCGUGAUCUUCGUGCUUGAUGAGCUACAGCGUCGAAUGGAGGAGGAAGGAGAGCAAGCUGAGUGGGGGGCCAUGGUGGGAUUUGGACCAGGCUUCACUAUCGAGACCAUGGUGCUCCAUGCAACCGGCGCUCUCAAGAAAAAAUAGCGCUUCGUGGUUAAGCUAUGUACGCAGCAGCGGAGAAUAAGAUUAAAGUCUGUGUGCCCAACUAUUUUAAUUGUUCUCAUCCAAAAGUUAUUUUGAUUGGAUCUGUAACCUAUAUGGUUACCAAAUCAAAUAUCAACUACCUCCAAUAAUGUACGAUGUUAUGGUUUGUCCUGAUUUUGACAGCCAUUAAUGAAUCUAUAUUGCAAGACAGUGUAAAAGUAUUGCUCACAUGAUUUAUUUCUCCACUGCACUAUGCAUGCUAGUUCCUCCAUCUGGGUUUGUAAAGUGGGCACAGAUUUUUUGGUUUUUCAGUUUGACUAACAAAAUGUGUGUACAACAUCCGUUUAGUGUAUAGAUACACUCAUUUCUGCAAUAGUUAAUUCCGGAGGGAGAGAGCAUAUUAGAAGCAUCGUUUGACGUUGAAUCAAGUAAUGAUAUAUUUUGAUAUCACACAUUUUGCUAGUCAAAUAGGUGAAGUAAUAAACCGUGUCCACCUUCAAAACCCAGAUAGAGAUAGUAGUAUUUACCCACACAUUAAUAAGUAAGCAAACUAUAUGCUCCUAUGUUAAAUCAGGUAAAUGGAAUCACAGUGUCUGAACCGAACUUUCAUAAUUUCACGUGGUAAGAUAUACCCAAAUAACACAAUGGCAACACAAAUUGUGGAACAAUUCAAUCAUGGAAUUGUGAAAGUUCAGUUCAGACCAUGUAAUUCCAUGUUCCUGGUUUAACAUAUAUAGAUUUCCGUACAUUAUCGAGUAGACGUUUACAAUCCAGUUACCUAAUGUAACAGCUUUUUACUGACAGUAUUCCACACACGCCACUAAAAAAACUUGAACGUGCUACUUUGAUAAAAAAAAUGAUAUACUUGCUGGAGCUUCGCCCUCGGGAUCGAUCACAUCAAAUCACGACGGACACACACGCACCAAAACUUUUGGCAAAGACAAGUGUCGUGCCUCUUUCAUCGCUUUACUGUUUUUCUUGUUUUUCUCAUAACUGGCAAGCAAUGACCUGGCUAGCAAGCCCACUCCAAACCAGACCUAAACCAGUAAGUCAUGGAUACAGAUAACCUACUGGAUCGUGUCCUACACGCACAACUUCUAGCAACACAACUAGAUAGCCAGGCACAAGUCCCAGCUGGACCCAACUUAUUGAUUUUUCUAAUCUAAUUACACGCACCGUUGAUCACUAUGCUAAUGCUAAUCCUAACCAGACAUACCUUUGCCAUACAUCCAACGUACACGGUACAUCCACUAACUCAUCUAUGUUUGGAUUAUUCCAACAAUGAUCCCCUAAUCCAAACAUCCGACUCUUCACUCAACGAGACACCCAGACGGCCAUUUGUUCAUCUUGUACGUCGAUUGCCUCCGGUGGUGCAACUUACCAGACCGUAAGUUCUCCCUUCUUGCGACGAUGGCCACUACAUCAUCGUCGUCUUUUAUUUUUUCGCCGAAUGGCAAUCACCCGUCGACUUGCUUGCGACAGCACCCUCAUCGUCUUCUCAUCAUCGCUUUGCUGAAUGACUAUCGCCAGCUCGUCCAUGUCGCUGCACCACCUAGCGACUGUAUCGCCUGCCCCUCCUCAUCGGUACACCAACGACUCCAUCGCCCGCCCGGAGCUGCUAGUAGGGUCGCCAUCCCGGGACAAGCACGGCUUCAAUCCUCGAACCUUGCUAUGAUACCAAUUGUUGAAACUUCGCCCUCAGGAUCGAUCACAUCAAAUCAUACCUUAAACCAGACCUCAAACCAGACCUAAACCAGUACGUCACGAACACGGCUAACCUAGUUGACCGUGUCCUACAGGUAUAGCUUCUACCAACACAACUAGAUAGCCAGGCACAAGGCCCAGCCGGACUCAACUCAUUGUUUAACCAAAAAUUACCACAUUUCAUGGAAACGUGCCCAGAAACUACCACUUUACAAAUUUGUGCCAAAAACUACCACUUUUUCACUAACCUGCGGCAAAAAACUACCAUGUUGGAGAACCGCCCGCUUCGCCCACUCUAAGCACGAAUCUGACCGGUUGGGCCCACAAAUCAGAUGCCACCGUGGGCAACCGUGGACGGCCACGCGUUAAUGGUCGUUAACGGCGUGUUUGCGGUCAGGAUGCGGCUAUCGGUCAGGUCAGUCAAGAUCCGAGCCAUCCAUUCCCCUCUGACGGUACAUCUCUCCCUCCUCGCUUAGCUCUCCCUCUCUCUGACCUGGGUGGUGGCCGCCAUGGCGUCGAUGAUUCCGGAUGGGGGCAUAGGUGAUAUGGGCGACAGCGACGGUGACGGCGGCGGUGGUGGUACAAGUUUGGACGGUGUAGGCUCUUUCUCUCACGUCAAUAACUGGUUGGGGAGCACUAGUUGUGCGACGCAGGCAGCCUUGCAGCAGCCGGUGGCACCGCUCGUCCAGUAAUCACCGGCGCCUAGGUGUUCCGUGGGUUGCAGGUAUGGAAAUAUCAUAUGUUUAACUGAACAUGUUUUCUUUUGCCUGAAAGGCCUUUGGUUAGCUGCUUGAAUUUGGCAAAUUAGUAAGAUGUGUUUGUUUCUGUUUAUUGAACAUGUGUAGUAAAAUGUAUUGCACUUGUGGUUGUGUUAAUUUUUGUUCAAUUCAUGAGCACUUAUUUAUGCAGUUUGGCUGACCAGAAGUGGGACAUAUGGUUUCAUUUCAAUGGAAGAAACCCUGUGAAAAGGGGUAUAUAUGAGGGAAAUAUUUCUUUUCUUACUCUGCAAUCACUCAUUGCUAGUGAAGGGCAUGGGGAGAGUGAUUACAUGUACUAUGUGAAGGAGGAGGAAAUUGGAUAUGAGAGAGUAAAGUAUUUAGGUUAUGAAGCUAGUGUUCAGGAAAUGUUGGAGGUUUAUCAUCAUGUCACGUUUGUGAACAUAAAAGUUGUGAAAGAUGUUCAGCCUGCAAGUAGUACACAUGCUAAUGAGAAUUACAUGAACACUCAAGAGAGUUGCAAUGUGAAAAAGGUAGUGGAACAAUCUGAGCUUCAGAAUCAGAUAAAUGAUAGAAAGGCUCAGCUUGAGAGGAGCAGGAUUCAAAGAGAGGCAGAUUUGAACCACUUUGAAGGAGACACUGAAGUGUCUGAAUUAUGUUCUGAUGAUUUAGGUCAUUCAGAUGGGAGUGUUGAAGUUGUUCAAAUGGAAAUAGAGUGUUCCUCUGAAGAGGAUAGAUCAUUGGAAUUAACUGUUGUUGUGAAACAUGUGAAGAAUCCUGGUCCAGCUAGCAGAUGUCACAAUGAGGUAGAGCAUAAACAAAUUCAAGAUUGGUUUCCUGAAGCGGAUGAGUUUUGUUUUGCUGGUGAUUUAGGCAUUGGUGAUGAGGAAGAAGAAUAUGAAGUUGAACUACCAUACCUCCUGAAGAAGCCAAGUGUUCAUAGAGAGAGCAUGGAUGUGAAUUUUACAUGUGUGCCUCCAGGAUAGCUCAUGAAAGAACUUUUUGCAUUAAGAAGUGUAACAUGGAGCACACUUGUCCAGCAUCAGCAGAAAACACAAAGUUUACUACUAAGUGGCUUUCCAAAGCAAGUGAGCCUUCUCUUAGAGCAAGCUUCAUAUGCACCCAGAGGACUUUGUCCAUGAAUUUUUUUAAAGCCACUAUAUAUUGAAGCAUACAAAGACAUUGUGUACCCUAUCCCUGGUCCUGAAUUCUGGCCUGACACCCAUACCAAGGAUAUUGAGCCCCCAGUGUUCAAAGAAAAACCAGGCAAGAAACAGACAGCUAGGAGGAAGGGCCAAUUUGAGGUGCCUGCACCACAGGACACAAGGAAGAUGGGAACAAUUACAUGCAGCAAUUGUGGUCUAUAAGGCCAUAGAUAUAAAUACUUUGGGAAACCUCUGAAAACAAGUCUUGAGAUGAGAAAGAACUUACACUAGGUGAUUUCAAAGUUUGCAUUCUUUGUAUCAUUAUUUUUUGGUGUGGUCUAAUUACUAACUGUUUUAAUUUGGGCAUGUAGGAGAAUAGACAAAUUUUCAUGGGUUCCUCAAGUGCUACACAUCCACCUCCACGGAACUCACCCCCACUACCACCACAUCAACACCAAACUUCAAACAUCCCAGCCUCAUCUGCUCCACCACUUCCUCCUAAAGCAAAGAAGAACAGAAAAAUAGCAGUGGUAGCCAAGUCUUCACCUGCACCUCCAAGAGGUUCAACAUCAACAGUUUCAAGAGGACCAGCCAAGUCUUCACCAGCACCUCCAAAUGUAGCAAGGGGAUUCAAUGCACCUAGAACAUCCAAUGGAGCAGCUGAGAUAUUCAUAGGUAAGAGGAAGAGGAAACCUACUACCAAGUUUGAAGCCUAUUUCACUGCAAGUGAAACCCAUUGAAACUGUGUUAUGCUACUUGAAUGUUGAAUGUAUGCUACAAAGUUUGUGUUCUGCUACUUGAAUGGUUAAAUUGUGCUAGUGAACUUGAAUGUUGAAUGUAUGCUACUGAAUUUGUGUUGUGCUACUUGGACGUUUGAAUUUGUUUGUGCUACUUAGCAUUUCUACAGUGAAUAAAUGUUCAUAUGAAUGUAGUUACAUUCAACAUAACUUGUAAAAUCUUAAAAAGCAAAUAAAAAUGAUUUCAAAAACUAGAAAAAAAAUAAAAAACAAAAAUAGUUUGGCCUAGGGCUCGAACCCAGGACCAGUGGGUUGUAACCAUACGUGCAAUGCCAAUGGGAUAGUGGGUUACAAAAGCAUAAACCCGAGUAAGGGGGUUGUUGCGUAUGGGAUAAAGGGGACUUGAUAUGUUAAUGCUAUGGAUGGGUUUUACCUUAAUGAUCUUUAGUAGUUGCGGAUGCUUGCUAGAGUUCCAAUCAUAAGUGCAUAUGAUCCAAGAAGAGAAAGUAUGUUAGCUUAUGCCUCUCCCUCAUAUGAAAUUGCAAUAGUGAUUACCGGUCUUGUUAACAAUCGCCUAGGAUAAUUCCGCACACCGACCCAUCAUUAUUCCACACUCGCUAUUUAUAAUAUUUAGUAAUAUAUUCUAACUUUAUGACAAUAUCACCUACUUUUAUAUUUUAGCACUCCGAUGUUAUGCAAAGUUAUCCUCUUCAUACCCACAACGUAGUUUUAUUUCUCGUUUCUAGUUGGAAGCAAUCGUUCGGUGUAACUAGAGUCGUAUCAAUGGCAGAUAGGACUUGAUAGAAUAUUGAUCUUACCUUUUGCUCCUCUUGGGUUCGACACUCCAUAAUUAUCACUUCCACCUUUGGGAAUUUCUACGACGAUUCCUUGCACUUGGGGAUAAUCAAGCUCUUUUCUGGCGCCGUUGCCGGGGUUCCAUAGCGCGGGGUUGAUAUUCUCGUGUGUGCUUGUUUGCUUUCUUCACUAAGUAGUUUUUGUUAUCCCUUUUUGUUUUGCUUAGUUGUGGGUGAAACAUACAAAAAAAUUAAAAAAGGAAAAUACAAAAAAAUUACUUGCCUCUUAUGCCUAAAAAGUUUUUUCAAAAAGAGAAGUGAUUGGAAAGUUAUGCAUUGGAGAAGUGAGGGUCGACCUUGAACACUUGUGUUCAUGCUCAUGUAAACAAUGUAGAAUUUUUCAUGGAAGUUUCUCUGAACAUAAUUAUCCCCUUGUAUAUAUCCAUUGUAUUAUAAAAAUAAUGUGCCAAGCUUUGGUUAUAGGAUGAUUAGAUUGCUUGUUUACUAUGUGCAGUGCAAAAAUAGAAUCUUUGGCUGUAGCGCAUGAAUUUUCAUUUUUACUGGAAAGUCAGACGGGUCUGAAACUUUUUGCACAGUACUUAUAUACAAUUUGUUUAAAUUUUCAUUUUUUUUAAUUUUUGGAGUUACAGAAGUAUACGAAAUUUCCAGAUUACUACAGACUGUCCUGUUUUUGACAGAUUCUAUUUUCUAUGUGUUGUUCGCUUAUUUUGAUAAAUCUAUGGGUAGUAUUGGGGGGUAUGAACCAUGGUGAAGUUGGAAUACAUUAGAUAUAAUGCUAAUAUGAAAUCGUAAUGAUUUUAUAACUACCUAAAGGUAGUGAUUUUCUUUAUUAUACUAAUGGAUCUCACAAAGUUUUUGUUAAGUUUUGUGUGGAUGAAGUGUUCGAAGAACGAGGAGUUACCGAUGUGAGGAGAAUAAAGAGAGGCAAGAGUUCAAGGUUGGGGAUGCCCAAGGCACCCAAAGUAAAUAUUUCAAGGAUACUUAAGCAUCUAAUCUUGGGGAUGCCUCGGUUGGCAUCCCAUCUUUCUUCUUCAACAAUUAUCGGUAUACCUCGGUUUUUGUUUUGUUCACAUGAUUUGUGUCCUUUGUGUUUUUCUUUUUCUUUAAGAACCAUGCUAGUAUGAGAUAGCCCUUAAUUGAUUUAUAGAAUGCUUCAUGUGCUUCACUUAUAUCUUUUGAGCAUGACCUUAUAGAAUGCUCUUUGUGCUUCACUUAAAUCUUUUGAGUAUGGUUUUAUACAAUGCUUCAUGUGCUUCACUUAUAUAUUUUGAUCUUGGAUAUUGGUUAGUCUAUAUUAAUUCUAGAAUGCUCCAUGAACUUCACUUAUAUCUUUUGGAGUAUGAAUAAUACUAUCAUUGAAAGUGGGUUUGGAAGAUUGUCAAAUUUAGGAAGUAAUGAUCCCACUAUUUUGGAGGGUGUUUAAUCUUAGUGUUAUAUUUAUGAAAGUGGAUAUGGAGAGGUCUUGACUUUACUUAGUAACAAUUCCACUAUUUCUGAAGAGGUUCCAAUUGAUUAUGAAAACAAAGUUGCUAUCUAUGAUGAUUAUUGUGAUGACAUGUAUGCUAUAAAGAAUAAUGUUAACCCUGAAACUUGUCAUCAUGAUUUUAAUUUUCAAUUGGAGUAUGCCUCACAUGAUAGUUAUUUUGUUGAGUUUGCUCCCACUAUUCUGAAUGAGAAGAAUUUUGCUUAUGUGGAGAAUAGUAAAAUUUUUAUGCUUAUAGAUUGAUACGUCUUCAACGUAUCUAUAAUUUUUGAUUGCUCCAUGCUACUUUACCUACUGUUUUGGACUAUAUUGGGCUUUAUUUUCCACUUUUAUAUUAUUUUUGGGACUAACCUAUUAACCGGAGGCACAACACAGAAUUGCUGUUUUUUUGCCUAUUUCAGUGUUUCGAAGAAAUGGAAUAUCAAACGGAGUCCAAACGGAAUGAAACCUUCGGGAACGUGAUUUUCUCACCCAACGUGAUCCAGGAGACUUGGACCCUACUCCAAGAAGUAGAAGAGUCAGUCACAAGGGUGGGGGGGCGCCCCCCCUAGGGCGCGCCCCCCUGCCUCGUGGCCCCCCUGUUGCUCCACCGACAUACUCCUUCCUCCUAUAUAUACCUACGUAUCCCCAAACAAUCAGAACGGGAGCCAAAAACCUAAUUCCACCACCGCAACCUUCUGUAUCCACGAGAUCCCAUCUUGGGGCCUGUUCCGGAGCUUCGCCGGAGGGGGCAUCCACCACGGAGGGCUUCUACAUCAACACCAUAGCCCCUCCGAUGAAGUGUGCAUAGUUUACUUCAGACCUUCGGGUCCAUAGCUAGUAGCUAGAUGGCUUCUUCUCUCUUUUUGGAUCUCAAUACAAUGUUCUCCCCCUCUCUCGUGGAGAUCUAUUCGAUGUAAUCUUCUUUUUGCGGUGUGUUUGUUGAGAACGAUGAAUUGUGGGUCUAUGAUCCAGCUUAUCUAUGAACAAUAUUUGAAUCUUCUCUGAAUUCUUUUAUGUAUGAUUGAGUUAUCUUUGCAGGUCUCUUUGAAUUAUCCUUUUGGUUUGGCCAACUAGAUUGGUAGUUCUUGCAAUGGGAGAAGUGCUUAGCUUUGGGUUUAAUCUUGCGGUGUCCUUUUCCAGUGACAGAAGGGGCAGCAAGGCACGUAUUGUAUUGUUGCCAUCGAGGAUAACAAGAUGGGGUUUUUAUCAUAUUGCAUGAAUUUAUCCCUGUACAUCAUGUCAUAUUUCUUAAGGCGUUACUCUGUUUUUAACUUAAUACUCUAGAUGCAUGCUGGAUAGCGGUCGAUGAGUGGAGUAAUAGUAGUAUCUGCAUAAUCGUUUCGAUCUACUUGUCUCGGACGUGAUGCCUAUAUACAUGAUCAUACCUAGAUAUACUCAUAACUAUGCUCAAUUUUGUCAAUUGCUCAACAGUAAUUUGUUCACCCACCGUAGAAAAUCUAUGCUCUUGAGAGAAGCCACUAGUGAAACCUAUGGCCCCGGGUCUAUUCUCGUCAUAUCAAUCUCCAUUACUUUAUUACUUGCUUUGUUUUCACUUUGCCUUUUCCUUUUUACUUUGCAUCUCUAUACCAAAAAUACCAAAAAUAUUAUUUAUCAUCUCUAUCAGAUCUCACUCUCGUAAGUGACCGUGAAGGGAUUGACAACCCCUAAUCGCAUUGGUUGCCAGGAGCUAUUGUUUUGUGUAGGUACGAGGGACUUGUGCAUGGUCUCCUACUGGAUUGAUACCUUGGUUCUCAAAAACUGAGGGAAAUACUUACGCUACUUUGCUGCAUCAUCCUCUCCUCUUCGGGGAAAUCCAACGCAGUGCUCAAGAGGUAGCAAGAAGAAUUUCUGGCGCCGUUGCCGGGGAGGCUCACGAAAGCAAGUCAUCCAUACCAAGUACCCAUCACAAUCCCUAUCUCUUGCAUUACAUUAUUUGCCAUUUGCCUCUCGUUUUCCUCUCCCCCACUUCACCCUUGCCGUUUUAUUCGCCCUCUCUUUCCCAAUCUCCUCCUCUCUUUCCCGUUUGCCUUUUUCCGUUGCCUUUCUGUUUGCUCAUGUGUUAGUUUGCUUGCUUGUCGUUAUGUCUAAAAUUGGGGAAAUUAUUGCCGACAUGGGCAAUAAUAAUAUCAUGGAAAGUUCUGAAGCUCUUGCUGAAGAAUCCCCUACCUAUCAUACAAAAAGAUUUCGAAUCGGUAGUGGUAAUAUUUCUGGAAAAGGAGUUAUUCAAGAUUUCCUUACUUGUGCCGGUGCUUUGCCCUCUAUGGGCAGUUCUAUUCUUCAUAGAACUAGUAGUCUUGCGGACGCCAUUGCCAUGCUUAUCGUUGAACUUGAAAGGCAAUUUAUGCAUAUGCACCCUUCUAUACAAAGGAUUUUACUAGAAUUUUCUAAUAUCGAACACUCCUCUGUUAAGCGUGCCGCUACUUUCUUUUUGGCUCAUGAAUUCAGAUUUAUAAUAAAAGAGGCCAAAGAAAUCUUUGUGCAUUAUAGGGCCGGCCAUCCUCCCAUAGAAUCUAUCCUCUUUGAUCAAGAAGAAAUUAUUUGUUUUCAAUCUCUUGACUAUGUUGCGUUCAGUGAAAACCUUAGAAAAAUGGUGUCAACCAACAUUCUAAUUGAUAGAAUCACUUAACUUAAUGAUGAUUUGGCUAUUCGAAAUAAUGAGUUAGGAUACUCUCUUGAGUAUAGACUCACAAGGUUCUGUCAAAAGAACACUUAUAAUGAUGAAUUGGUUGUGCAUUAUUAAGGGCCAAAAGAGGAACCUAUGCCUCCUAAAAUUGAUCUUGGGGAUUUUUGCCCCAUUAAAUUUAGCCCUUUUGAUUAAUUUUGUUUGCCUCAAAGAAAACUUGCUGCCGAACGUAGAGAACAUGAAAUGAGUUUCACCGAUCUAUCUUAUUACUACGGCACUUCCUAGAUCUAUCCUUGCUUUUAUGCCUAGCUAGGGGCGUUAAACGAUAGCGCUUGUUGGGAGGCAACCCAAUUUUAUUUGUGUUUUUUGUUUUUGCUUCUGUUUAGGAAUAAAUAAUCCAUCUAGAUUCUGUUUGGAUGUUGUUUUAUCUUUUCAUUAGUGUUUGUGCAAAGUAGAACCUAUAGGAUAACCUACGAUGAUAGUUGAUUUGAUUCUGCUGAAAAACAGAAACUUUGCGCACACGAAUAUAAUUUUGUUAAAUCACAGGAACGUGAUUUUGCGUUGAUUCUUUUUGCUUCUGUUCAAUAAACAAAUUUUCCAGGACUUCCUAUUUUGGUAGGAUUUUUAGGGUUCCAGAAGUUUUCGUUAGUUACAGAUUGCUACAGACUAUUCUGUUUUUGACAGAUUCUGUUUUACGUGUGUUGUUUGCUUAUUUUGAUGAAUCUAUGGCUAGUAAAAUAGUUUAUAAUCCAUAGAGAAGUUGGAAUAAAGUAGGUUUAACAUCAAUUUAAAUAAAGAAUGAGUUAAUGAACAGUACCUUGAAGUAGUCUUUUGUUUUCUUUCUCUAACGGAGCUCACGAGAUUUCUAUUGAGUUUUGUGUUGUGAAGUUUUCAAGUUUUGGGUGAAUUCUUUUGAUGGAUUAUGGAACAAGGAGUGGCAAGAGCCUAAGCUUGGGGAUGCCCCAUGGCACCCCCAAUACAAUCCAAGGACACCAAAAAGUCAAAGCUUUGGGAUGCCCCGGAAGGCAUCCCCUCUUUCGUCCACUACCAUCGGUAAUUUACUUGGAGCUAUAUUUUUAUUCACCACAUGAUAUGUGUUUUGCUUGGAGCGUUUUGUAUUAUUUGAGUCUUUGCUUGUUAGUUUACCACAAUCAUCCUUGCUAUACACACCUUUUGAGAGAGCCAUACAUGAAUUGGAAUUUGUUAGAAUACUCUAUGUGCUUCACUUAUAUCUUUUGAGCUUGAUAGUUUUGCUCAUAGUGCUUCACUUAUAUCUUUUGAGCGUGAUAAUUUUUGCUCUAGUACUUCACUUAGAUCUUUUAGAGCACGGUGGUGGAUUUCUUUUAAAGAAACUAUUGAUCUCUCAUGCUUCACUUAGAUUAUUUUGAGAGUCGUUAAUAGCAUGGUAAUUUGCUUAAUGUUAAUAUACUUGGUAUUCAAGAUGUGUGAAACUUUCUUUUAGGUGAAUUGAAUACUAAGAUAAGUUUGAUGCUUGAUAAUUGUUUUGAGAUAUGGAGGUGAUAAUAUCAAAGUCGUGCUAGUUGGGUGAUUAUGAAUUCAAAGAAUGCAUGUGUUGAAGUUUGCAAGUCCCGUAGCAUGCACGUAUGGUUAAAGUUGUGUAACAAAUUUGAAACAUGAAGUGUACCUGGCUUGUGCAUCCUUAUAAGUGGCGGACGGGGACGAGCGAUGGUCUUUUCGUACCAAUCUAUCCCCCUAGGAGCAUGCACGUAGUACUUGAUUUUUUAUGACUUAUAAAAUUUCGCAAUAAGUAUAUGAGUUCUUUUGACUAAUAUUGAGUCCAUGGAUUAUAUGCACUCUCACCUUUCCGCCUUUGCUAGCCUCUUCGGUACCAUGCAUUGCCCUUUCUCACCUUGAGAGUUGGUGCAAACUUCGCCGGUGCAUCCAAACCCCGUGAUACGAUACGCUCCAUCACACAUAAACCUCCUUAUAUCUUCAUCAAAAUAGCCACCAUACCUACCUAUCAUGGCAUUUCCAUAGCCAUUCCGAUAUAUAUUGCCAUGCAAUUUCCAUCAUCAUCAUCAUGACAUACAUUACUUUUGUCAUAUUGCCAUUGCAUGAUCAUAUAGUUGACAUCGUAUUUGUGGCAAAGCCACCAUGCAUUAAUUUUCAUACAUGUCACUCUUGAUUCAUUGCACCAUCCCGGUACACCGCCGGAGGCAUUCAUAUAGAGUCAUAUCUUGUUCUAAGUUUCGAGUUGUAAUCCUUAUGUUGUAAUCAAUGGAAGUGUGAUGAUCAUCAUUAUUAGAGCAUUGCCCAAAAAGAAAAAAGAAAAAAAAGGAAGAAAGGCCAAAAGAAAAAAAGGCCCAAAAAAAGAAAAAAAGAGGGCAAUGCUACUAUCUCUUUUUCCACACUUGUGCUUCAAAGUAGCACCUUGUUCCUCAUGUAGUGAGUCUCAUAUAUUGUGCUUAAAAGUAGCACCUUGUUCUUCAUGUAGUGAGUCUCAUAAAGUUGUCUUUUUAUACUAGUGGUAAUUUUUCAUUAUAGAACUUGGCUUGUAUAUUCCUAGAAUGGGCUUCCUGAAAUGCCCUAGGUCUUCAUGAGCAAGCGAGUUGGAUGCACACCCACUAGUUUUCUUUUGUUGAGCAUUCAUAGCUCUAGUGCAUCCGUUGCAUGGCAAUCCCUACUCCUCAUGUUGACAUCAAUUAAUGGGCAUCUCCAUAGCCCGUUGAUUAUCCUCGUCAAUGUGAGACUUUCUCCUUUUUUGUCUUCUCCACACAAUCUCCAUCAUCAUAUUCUAUUCCACCCAUAGUGCUAUAUCCAUGGCUCACGCUCAGGUAUUGCGUGUAGGUUGAAAAAGUUUGAGAUUAUUUAAUUAUGAAAUAAUUGCUUGGCUUGUCAUCGGGGGUAUACAAGUUGGGAACAUCUUUGUGUGACGAAAAUGAAGCAUAGCCUAACUAUAUGAUUUUGUAGGGAUGAACUUUCUUUUGCCAUGUUAUUUUGAGAAGACAUGAUUACUUUGAUUAGUAUGCUUGAAGUAUUAUUAUUUCUUAUGUCAAUAUGCACUUUUGUCUUGAAUCUUUCGGAUCUGAAUGUUCAAGCCACAAUUAAGAAGAUUUACAUUGAAAUUAUGCCAAAGUAUCAUUCCGCAUCAAAAAUUCUCUUUUUAUCAUUUACCUACUCGAGGACGAGCAGGAAUUAAGGUUGGGGAUGCCUGAUACGUCUCCAACGUAUCUAUAAUUUUUGAUUGCUCCAUGCUACUUUAUCUACUGUUUUGGACUAUAUUGGGCUUUAUUUUCCACUUUUAUAUUAUUUUUGGGACUAACCUAUUAACCGGAGGCCCAGCCCAAAAUUGCUGUUUGUUUUGCCUAUUUCAGUGUUUCGAAGAAACAGAAUAUCAAACAGAGGCCAAAUGGAAUGAAACCUUCGGGAACGUGAUUUUCUCACCGAACGUGAUCUAGGAGACUUGGACCCUACUCCAAGAAGCAGAAGAGUCGGUCACGAGGGUGGGGGCGCACCCCACCCUAGAGUGCGCCCCCCUGCCUCGUGGCCCCCCUGUUGCUCCACCGACGUACUCCUUCCUCCUAUAUAUACCUACGUAUCCCCAAACGAUCAGAACGGGAGCCAAAAACCUAAUUCCACCGCUGCAACCUUCUGUAUCACGAGAUCCCAUCUUGGGGCCUGUUCGGGAGCUCCGCCGGGGGGGGGGGGCAUCCACCAUGGAGGGCUUCUACAUCAACACCCUAGCCCCUCCGAUGAAGUGUGAGUAGUUUACUUCAGACCUUCGGGUCCAUAGCUAGUGGCUAGAUGGCUUCUUCUCUCUUUUUGGAUCUCAAUACAAUGUUCUCCCCCUCUCUCGUGGAGAUCUAUUUGAUGUAAUCUUCUUUUUGCGGUGUGUUUGUUGAGAUCAAUGAAUUGUCGGUUUAUGAUCCAGCUUAUCUAUGAACAAUAUUUGAAUCUUCUCUGAAUUCUUUUAUGUAUGAUUGAGUUAUCUUUGCAAGUCUCUUCGAAUUAUCCUUUUGGUUUGGCCAACUAGAUUGGUAGUUCUUGCAAUGGGAGAAGUGCUUAGCUUUGGGAUCUAUCUUGCGGUGUCCUUUCCCAGUGACAGAAGGGGUUUCAAGGCACGUAUUGUAUUGUUGCCAUCGAGGAUAACAAGAUGGGGUUUUUAUCAUAUUGCAUGAAUUUAUCCCUCUACAUCAUGUCAUCUUUCUUAAGGCGUUACUCUAUUUUUAACUUAAUAAUCUCGAUGCAUGCUGGAUAGCGGUCGAUGAGUGGAGUAAUAGUAGUAGAUGCAGAAUCGUUUCGAUCUACUUGUCUCGGACGUGAUGCCUAUAUACAUGAUCAUACCUACAUAUACUCAUAACUAUGCUCAAUUUUGUCAAUUGCUCAACAGUAAUUUAUUCACCCACCGUAGAAAAUAUGUGCUCUUGAGAGAAGCCACUAGUGAAACCUAUGGCCCCCGGGUCUAUUCUCAUCAUAUCAAUCUCCAUUACUUUAUUACUUGCUUUGUUUUUACUUUGCCUUUUACUUUUUACUUUGCAUCUCUAUACCAAAAAUACAAAAAAUAUUAUUUAUCAUCUCUAUCAGAUCUCACUCUCGUAAGUGACCGUGAAGGGAUUGACAACCCUAAUCGCGUUGGUUGCGAGGAGCUAUCGUUUUGUGUAGGUACGAGGGACUUGUGCGUGGUCUCCUAUUGGAUUGAUACCUUGGUUCUCAAAAACUGAGGGAAAUACUUACGCUACUAGGCUGCAUCAUCCUCUCCUCUUCGGGGAAAUCCAACGCAGUGCUCAAAAGGUAGUAUAGAUCAUGAAAAGAAUGCUUUAUGUGGUGGUUAUAUUGUUAAAAUUAAUUCAUGAUGCUACAAUUAUUAUGAGGGAGGAAUAUAUGCUUGUUGGAAUUGCAAUAAUAUCAAGUUUUCCCUCUAUGUGCUUAAAGUUUUGAAUUUAUGCUUAUUUUUCCUUCCUAUGCUAGUUGAUUCUUUUUCCCAUAAAUUGUGUGCUCACAAAAUCCCUAGGCAUAGGAAGUGGGUUAGACUUAAAUGUGCUAGCCAUAUUCUUCAUGAUGCUCUCUUUAUGUUUCAAUUCUUAUCUUUUAUGUGAGCAUCAUUGAAAUCAUCAUACCUAGCUAAAAGGCAUUAAAGAAAAGUGAUUGUUGGGAGACAAAACAAUAUUUAUCCUUACUGUUUUUGUGUGUUAACAUGAUUAAGCUACUGUAGUAAUCAUUUUUUAUAGGUUUUGUUUCAAUAAAGUGCCAAGUAAGACCUUUGGGAUAGCUUAUGGUGAUAGUUGUGUUGAUCCUGCUGAAAAUCAGAAACUUUUGCACCCAGUAAAUUAGUUUUUAUAAUUCACAGAAACACGAUUUUGAUAUGAUUCCUUUUGCAAUGGAUUGGUACACCAAUUUCUUAGGUUUUCCUAAUUUGUAUUGAUUUUUGGAGUAGCAGAAGUAUGCUUCCUGUUCAGAUCAUUACAGACUGUUCUGUUUCUGGCAGAUUCGGUUUUCAAUGCAUAGUUUGCUUGUUUUCUAGUUUCUAUGGCUUAUAUUGAUCAAUAUAAAUUGUGGAAAUGAUAUGGUACAGUAGGAAUUGUGUGAGAACAAUUAUGAAUCUUGUCUUUGACAGUACCAAAGUGAAUGAUUUACUCUUUAUCAUACUAACCUAUCUCACGAAGUUCCGUUAAGUUUUGUGCGAUUGAAGUUUUCAAGUUUUGAGUGAGAUAUCGAUAUGGGGAGAAUGAGUGGAAAAGACCCUUAGAUUGGGGAUGCCCAAGGCACCCCAAGGUAAUAUUCAAGGAAGACUCAAGCGUCUAAGCUUGGGGAUGCCCCGGAAGGCAUCCCCUCUUUCGUCUUCAAAACCAUCGGUAUACCUUACUCGGAACUAUAUUUUUAUUUGUCACAUGAUAUGUGUUUUGCUUGGAGAGUAUUUUCAUUUUUACUUGCUGUUUGAAUAAAAUCAUGGGAUCUGAAAUCUUUAAUGAAAGAGAGAGUCCUCCCAUGGCUAAUUAAUUAUUUGACCACUUAGUGUUCUUCACUUAUAUCCUUUUAGAGUAGUUUGUCAUUUACUCACGUACUUCACGUGUAUCCUAUGAGUAAAUGGUUGAAUGAAUUGAAUAUCAUAAAUCUGAAUUUAUAUAUGUUUCAUAUGCUUAUAAUAGGGGGAGUAAUGACUUCACACAUAAUAAGUAUAGGUGAUAAAUUAUUGAAAGUUAGCAGACGCAGUAUUGGUCACUUGAACAAUUCAUGAAAGAAUAUUGAAGGAAGAGAGAUUUCACAUAUAAAUAUACUAUCUUGGACAUCUUUUGUAAUUGUGAGAACUCAUUAAAAUAUGACAUGCUAAAAAUUUGAUGUUGGACAAGGAAGACAACUUAAUGGGUUAUGUUUUCCUAUAUCCUAAUAGACGUUAUAUUGUCUUGGAUCAUCCAACAUGUUGAGCUUGUCUUUCCCUCUCAUGCUAACCAAAUUCUUUGCACCAAGUAGAAAUACUACUUGUGCUUCCAAACAUCCCUUAAACCUAGUUUUGCCAUGAGAGUCCACCAUACCUACCUAUGGAUUGACUAAGAUCCUUCAAGUAACUUGUCAUCGGUGCAAGCCAUAGAAAUUGGUCCUUAAAUACGUAUGAUCUAUUAGUGCAAAUAAAAUAAGCUUUAUACGAACUUGCGAUAUGGAAGAAAUAAAAGCAACGGAAUAAAGGUCCUUAUCACAAGCGGCAAUAUAAGGUGAUAUUCUUUUGCAUUAAGAUUUUGUGCAUCCAACCAUAAAAGCGCAUGACAACCUCUGCUUCCCUCUACGAAGGGCCUAUCUUUUACUUUUACCCUCUACCCUUAUACAAGAGUCAUGGUGAUUUCCACCUUUCCUUUUUACACUUUUUCCUUUGGCAAGCACUUUGUGUUGGAGCGACCCGGAUAUAUAUAUAUAUAUAUAUAUAUAUAUAUAUAUAUAUAUAUAUAUAUAUAUCCACUUGGAUGUAGGUUUCAUAAAGUAUUAUUGUUGACAUUACCCUUGAGGUAAAAGGUUCGGAGGCAAAACUAUAAGCCCCUAUCAUUCUCUGUAAUCCGAUUAAAACUUUGAACCCAUAAAUAUCACAUGAGGGUUAGCAAUUGUGAAAGAUUAAAUGAUAGUUGAGUAUGUGGAGUUUGCUGAAUCAAAGCUCUUACAUAGACCCUUCCUAAAAAUAAGAUGAAUUGCAAUUUUUUGAUGACUAAGAGCAUGGUUUGUUAGUUUUCAAGAUAGUUUAUGAUCUAUACUUUAACAUGUCAAUGGCUUGUCUUGAUCAUGAGAAGUUUUAUGAGUUCAGCUAUUGUUAUGAUAUAUAAUGAUGCUAGAAAAAGUGGUUGAAACUAUCAUUGAUCAAACAUAUGCACUUGCAAGCAUUCACACUUCAUAAAUUAUUUCUUUUUAUCAUUUACCUACUCGGGGACGAGCAGGAAUUAAGCUUGGGGAUGCUGAUACGUCUCCAACGUAUCUAUAAUUUAUGAAGUAUUCAUGCCAUGUUUAUAAUAUUUUUACAUGAUUUUGGUAUGAUUUGAUUAGAACUAACCCGGACUGACACUGUUUUCAGCAGAACUACCGUGGUGUUGUUUUUGUGCAGAAAUAGAAGUCCUCCGAAUGUGCUGGAAAUCAAUAGAGAAUAUUUUUGGAAAAUAUAAAAAUACUGGAACAAAAAUCUACCGGAAGGGAGUCCCGAGGGAACCACAAGGGUGGAGGGCGCCACCCCCCCAGGGCGCACCCCCCUGCCUCGUGGACUCCCUAUGGCCCCUCUUGACGUGAAACCAACGCCAACCCCUCCUAUAAAUCCAGAAAACCCUAGAACAGAAGGGAGAUUGGAAGUUCCGACGCCGGAAGCCUCUAUAGCCAUGAGAAAUCAAUCUAGGCCCUCUCUGGCACCCUGUCGGAGGGGGACAUCAUCACCGGAGGCCAUGGGGGAGGAUCUCGGAGGGGCCAUCAUCGCCAUGGAGGCCAAGGACCAGAGGGAGAACCUCUCCCCAUCUAGGGGGCAUGGAGGAGGAAGCACAAGGGGGAGAACCUCUCCUCCUCUCUCUCGGUGGCGCUAGAGUGCCAUCGGGAGGGGAAUCAUCGCCGCGGUGAUCAUCUUCAUCAUCAUCACCAUCCUCAUCUCUUUUACACGGUCCACUCUCCCGCACCCUGCUGUAAUCCCUGCUUGAACAUGGUGCUUUAUGCCACAUAUUAUGAUCCAAUGAUGUGUUGUCAUCCUAUGAUGUUUUUUGAGUAUAUAUCCUUUGUCUUUGGGUUGAUUGAUGAUCUAGAUUGGUAUGAGUUGUAUGUUUUAUUUUGGUGUUGUCCUAUUGUGCCCUCUGUGUCGUGGAAGCAUGAGGGAUUCGCUUAUAGUGGGUUGCUUGAGUGACAGAAGCAUAAACCCGAGUAAGGGGGUUGUUGCGUAUGGGAUAAAGGGGACUUGAUAUGUUAAUGUUGUGGUUGGGUUUUACCUUAAUGAUAUUUAGUAGUUGCGGAUGCUUGCUAGAGUUCCAAUCAUAAGUGCAUAUUGAAAGGAUCGAUAUGGUUGACUAGAGGGGGGGUGAAUAGGCAACUAACAAUUUUAACCUUUUCUUUACCAAUUUAAACUUUUCAACAAAAUAGGUUGUCUAGAUAUGCAACUAUGUGAGCAACCUAUAUGAUGCAAUAACAACUAGCACAUAAGCAAGCAAGGGAUAUAACACAAGUAGGCUUGCAAAAGUAAAGGCACGAAAUAACCAAGAGUGGAGCCGGUGGAGACGAGGAUGUGUUACCGAAGUUCCUUCCUUUUAAGGGGAAGUACGUCUCCGUUAGAGCGGUGUGGAGGCACAAUGCUCCCCAAGAAGCCACUAGGGCCACCGUAUUCUCCUCACGCCCUCACACAAUGCGAGAUGUCGUGAUUCCACUAUUGGUGCCCUUGGAGGCGGCGACCGAACCUUUACAAGCAAGGUUGGGGCAAUCUCCACAACAAUUGGAGGCUCCCAACAACACCACGAAGCUUCACCACAAUGAAGUAUGGCUUCGAGGUGACCUCAACCUUCUAGGGUGCUCAAACACCCAAGAGUAACAAGAUCCGCUAGGGAUAAGUGGGGGGAAUCGAAUAUCUCUUGGUGGAAGUGUAGAUCGGGACCUUGUCGCCCAAUCCCGAGCAAAUCAACAAGUUUGAUUGGCUAGGGAGAGAGAUCGGGUGAAAAUGGAGCUUGGAGCAUCAAUGGAGUUUCGGGUUAGAAGAGGUGAGUCUUCUUGGAGAAGAAGACCCCCCUUUUAUAGUGGGGAACAAUUCCAACCAUUGCCCACCACUCAGCUCGCGACCCACGGAACUACCGCUCCACAGGCGCGGUACUACCGCACUAGCGUGCGGUACUACCGUGGUGGACCGCGGUACUACCGUGAGCACGGCAGAGACCUGACCAUGCAAAAAGGAGCACGGACAGGGUGCGGUAGAUCCGCAGGAGCGGUACUACCGCGGCCCCAUGCGGUACUUCCGCAAGGCAGACACGGGCCAGGCCUGGUAGGCACAGAUGUAAAAAAAAUUACAUCCGUGACUACCUCCGCUGAGAAAAUGUCGUGCACAAAUCCGAGACAGAACUACCGCGACCGAGGUUGUGGUACUACCGUGGAGGGUGUGGAUGUAAAAAAUUACAUCCGCCCCUACCUCCGCUCCUGCUCCGGAACCUGGCCUGGUGCCAUGGUACUACCGCGCCAUAGCAUGGUGCUACCUCGUGGAGCGCAGAUGUAAAAAAUUACAUCCGCGCCUACCACCCUAGAGAGCGGUGCCAGACCAUAGCUCGCGGUACUACCGCUCGGACGAGCGGUACUACCGUGGGAGCCUACGGUACUACCGUGCCGGAGCCCGGUACUACCGCUGGCUCCUGCGGUAGUACCGCUCCAAAGAGCAGUACUACCGCUAGCCUGAGAAGAGCAAGACCGAGGCCUUCAUUUCACAGAGACACGGUGAGACGGAUGAACACUCCAGGGAGCUCAAGGAAAGGCGGUGCAAAAGGGAAUGUGUACGUGAGAUUCCACCCAAACCUUUCCAAAGCGGUCCCCCUCUUAAUACUACGGCUCUCCUACGACUCAACUCCACCGAACUGAACCGUAGACAAACGCCGUCUUCAUUAAUCUUCGAGGGGCAUCAAAUUGUCUUGUGUUUAGUCGUGAUGAAUCUGAAAAGCUCAAUACACACGAUUAGUCUGCAAAGGCAUUGUCAUCAAUCACCAAAACUACUUAGGGGCAAAAAGUGCCCUUACAAUCUCCCCCUUUUUGGUGGAUUGAUGACAAUACGGGAUUUGCACACAGGAGAUGAAUAUAGCACAAGAAAACCCCACAUCUCUAAAAUAUAGAGGAGCUCCCCCCUAGAUUCGUGAUAAAGAGUAAGGUGCUUUGGACUGCACGGCACGAAUACUAGGAUCACCACUCCCCCUAUAUUUUAGAAACAAGGCAUAUCUUGCAAUGGAAAGGCUGACACUAAGCAAGAUAGUAGACAUGAGCAUAACAUGAAUAGCAUGAUAAAGCAAGGUACGGUAGAGUGCAUAUGUCUUACACCAUAUGAUAAACAUAGUCUCACAAGCACAACCAACUCAAAGCAAGCAAGUUCAACGACGGAAAGCAAGGCAAACGAUGAAACACACGACACUCACGCAAAUCCUACACUCUCUCCCCCUUUGGCAUCGAGACACCAAAAAGGCAGAGAGGUCACCUACAACAACGGUGGUGGCUCCAGCAGAAAAGGAUUCCUCGUCUUCAUACUCUGCAGUAGGAACGGACUCCUCCUCUGAAUCGGUCCACUUGUAGCCCUGCUUCUGCAUCCAGGCAGUCUCUGGGGUGAUGUGCUUCUCAGAACCGCUGGCCACAUCCUCCCCGCAAGCCCUCAAGAUACUGAUGUCACAACGGUGACUCUCCUUCUGAGCAACAUGGGCCUUGUACUGACCCCAAACCUGCAUGCAGAACAGCCUCUUCAUCUUGUUCUUCAGCUUCUGUGACCAAGAGGGCUCAUCAGAGGGAGGCAAGAAAGCAGAACGGUCAGCAGCAGCUUCAUCCCUCUCAAGUUCCUCCUCAUCCACAGCCUGCCUGGUAGCCUCAGUAGAAGUGGUGGUGUUAGCCCAAUGAGGCUUUAUGCUGAGCCUGACGGACUCAUGAUGAAUCCACCCUGGAGCUUCAAACUCAUCCUGGGGAAACAGCUUCUCUCAAGUCAUGGAGAUCAAGUGGAACAGGUAAGGCCCGUAGAUGGGGACCUUACAGUUGAACACGGUGAACUGAAGCUCACACCACAUGAUAUGUGAGACAUCAAGUGGUUGAGUCUGAGCCUUACGGGCCUCCUCACAGAUAAGCAUCAUGUCAACGAGGUAAGCAUGUACCUGGCCCAUGUCCCCAAUGCGUGGGAAGAGGGUGUGCCGAAAGAGCCGAUGCAUGAUGUCAAGGAAGGGAUUAAGCACCCACACAGUCUUCUUGUUGGAAAGAGACUUCGGAAGAAGGAAUGGCAUGAGCUUGUUCUUGUUGGCAGAGUCAGAGUUGGCAUGAGGGCGAACUCCAACUGGCGUGUCGAGCCCUUCAUCUGGAACGUUAAGCAACUCCAUGAACUCCUUCCAAGUAGCAGACAGAUGGCGACCAUUAGUCAUCCAAGUCAUGGUCCUUGCAACAUAGUGAUUGUCCUACCUCAUGUGAUGCAUGUCAAUGUAGUGAACGUCAACAUAGUGAUCCUGCUUGGCCUUGAUCACAUCCAUGUAUAUCAGAUUCUGCUUCUUGUUCCAGAAAAGUUCAUUGCCUCGCGUGCUGCCCCGGGGAUUCACAUAGGGAUUGAGCUUUCUUCGAAUGACAAACUCGGCCUGGGGCAUCACAUCCAUGCCCAUGACGGGCUCCUUCUGUUUGUUGGCGAAGGUCUUGGUCCAGCAUUGGGGAGCAGCAGAGGACCCCUCAGGAACAUCAUCUGGGUUGCGCAGACGCUUUGACCCUGUGUCUCGGCUGGGAUUCGAGCGAUGAGCAAAACUGGAGCCACCACCUAGACACAAAGACAGAAAGACACGCACGGGAACAAAACGGAUCAAAACCAAACGCAGAGAAACACAAAAACAUGCCAUUUGGACGACACAAAUGAGCGCAGGAUGAAUCUACGGUGGUACCGGGCAAGGUUGCGGAAGUAAUAAAUUACAUCCGCUCCAGCCGCGGUAGUACCGUGCUAGGAUAGCACGGUAGUAUCACGCUUGGGGCGGAUGUAAUUUUUUACUUCCGAACGCCAAGCGGUAGUACCGCACCGAGGUGUGGAAUUACCGCUGAGCGCCAGAUCCAAGUGAGGCUGCGGUAGUACUGCUCCAGGAGGAGCGGUAGUACCGCAUGGUUUGAAAACCGCCACAGAGGACGCGGAUCUGGAUCUGAAACCUCCGCACGACAACGAUGGUACCACCGGUGAUCAAACGGAACUGAUUUGACAAUCCAAAGAGCAUGGGACAACACUACCACUCUACAACGAAUCCCAUUUGCACAGAUUUAGCCAAAAAUCUCACGAACACCACAUGCAUCUCCCCAAAACCUAGAAGCACAAGGAAGGACAAAAGAAAGAGGCACUUGGGAAAAAACCUGGGUCCAUGGCAAGAGGGCGAGGUGGGGAACGAUCCCACCGGUCAGAAUCCGUAGAGAGCGGCCGGAGAUGGAGAUCUGGCGAAGGCCUCCGGCGCCGUUCUUGGUCAGGAGAGAGAGAGAGAGAGAGACGGGGUGGGGAAUAGAGAUGAAUGGGUAUGGGGGAGUUAGAACUCCCCCUGUCCCGCUGUUAACCCCCACCCGCUUGCGGGGGCGCAGAAGUACCGCGGGUCAUCACGGUAGCACCGCCGGGGCGGAAGUACCGCACGCUGGGCGGUAGUACUGCUCGUCCAGCGGCAGUAAAAAAUUACUGCCGCGGAGGUAGCGGUAGUACCGUGCCCCUGGAAGGCCACACACAAGACGCAGAGCCACCAACUCCUGCGGUAGUACCGUGGCUCACCAUGGUAGUAUCGUAAAUCCAAGAAAGUGAACAACACACAAGAGAAAAGAGAGAAAAGGCAAAACAAACUACUCCGGAAGAAACACCAAACAACUAAGAGACGAACACACACGACGAAUGAGACCAACCACACGACACAACUUCUCCAUGAGGAGAGCGGUGGCCGGAGCCACCUAUGUUUGAGUCAAUUGGUAUGGCACCGCGAAGAAUUAUCCUUGGGCCCAUGACCAAAACUCGUCUUUGAAGCACAAGUACCAUCAAAAAAAUGGCUAAUGUGAAAGAGUUGAUCGUUUUAUGCAUAAUGGGGGGAGGGAGAGUUCAUUGAGAGAACAACACUCCCCCUAUGUCCAUGCCUACAUCUAAACCAGACAACAAGUUGAGUGAGGUGGGCGUGCAAGGGUUCAAGUCACAUUGCUUGAAUCAAUGAUAUUUAGCUCAUGCCUUAACUCGCGAAAUCUUGCUUCAUCCAAGGGCUUCGUCAAGAUAUCUGCAAGGUUAUCAUGAGUGUUGUCAUACUUGAGCUCGAUCUCCCCUCGCCUAAUGUGAUCCCGGAUGAAAUGAUACCGAAUCUCAAUAUGCUUCGUCUUGAAGUGUUGCACCGGGUUGAGAGAAAUCUUGAUGGCACUUUCAUUGUCACACCAAAGAGGCACUUUGUCACAAAUGACACCGUGUUCCUUUAAAGUUUGCCUCAUCCAUAAGAGUUGUGCACAACAACUACCGGCCGCCACAUAUUCUGCUUCGGUGGACGAGAGAGACACACAACUUUGCUUCUUCGAAGACCAACUCACCAAAGAGCAACCAAGAAUCUGGCACCCUCCGGAAGUGGACUUCCUAUCCACUUUGUCUCCCGCCUAGUCGGAAUUCGUAAAUCCUUCAAGCUUGAAGUUUUCUCCUCUUGGGUACCAUAAGCCAAAGUUUGGGGUAUGAGCCAAAUAUCAAAAGAUUCGCUUGACUGCCACAUAGUGACUUUCCUUCGGUGCAGCUUGAAACCGUGCACACAAUCCCACACUCAACAUGAUAUCCGGUCUAGAUGCACAAAGGUAAAGCAAAGAGCCAAUCAUGGAGCGAUAUACCUUUUGAUCCACCGCUUUACCAUUGGGAUCAAUGUCAAGUUGGCACUUGGUGGGCAUUGGUGUAGUAGCCGGCUUGACAUCACUUAGCUUGAAUCUUUUUAGCAUGUCUUGAGUGUAUUUGGCUUGGUUGAUGAAAGUACCUUCUCUUCGUUGUUUGAUAUCAAAACCAAGGAAGAACUUCAACUCUCCCAUCGAAGACAUCUUGAACUCGGAGGUCAUGAGAGCGGCAAAUUCCUCAUUGAAAGCUUUGUUAGGGGAACCAUAGAUAAUAUCAUCAACAUAUAGUUGGCAUACAAACAACUCCCCUUUUACCUUCUUAGUAAAAAGAGUGGGAUCGAUUUGCCCCAACUCAAAUCCACGAUCUUGUAACAACUCGGCAAGGUGGUCAUACCACGCAUGUGGGGCUUGUUUAAGGCCAUAGAGUGCCUUAUCGAGUUGAUACACAUGAUCCGGGAAGUAGGGAUCCUCGAACCCGGGGGGUUGCUUGACAUAGACCAACUCAUUAAUAGGACCAUUAAGAAAAGCACUUUUGACAUCCAUUUGUUGCAACUUAAAGUUGUGAUGGGAAGCAUAAGCAAUCAACAAACGUAUGGAUUCAAGACGAGCAACGGGAGCAAAGGUUUCACCGUAGUCGAUACCCUCGACUUGGGAGUAGCCUUGUGCUACCAAUCUUGCCUUGUUGCGAACGAUGUUCCCAUGAGCAUCUUGCUUAUUCUUGAAAUCCACUUGGUUCCAAUGACGUUGUGGUUCCCCGAUGGCCUUGGCACCAAUCUCCACACCUUGUUGUACUCGAAGUUGUUGAGUUCUUCAUGCAUGGCAUUGAGCCAAUCCGAGUCUUCGAGCGCCUCAUAGACCUUUUGGGGUUCAACACAAGAGACAAAUGCAUGACGUUGACAAUAGUUUGCUAAUUGUCUAUGAGUGCUUACCCCCUUUCUUAGGCUUCCAACCACGUUUUCCAUGAGAUGGCCUUGGGUGGUGAGCUUGGAAGCAAUCUUCGCGGCACGACGCUCUAAUCCCUCCUCGGGUGUGGAAGGAGGAGGGUUAACUUGAUUAUCUUGAGCGUCGUCUUGAGCUUGUUCUUGAUCUUGAGCUUCCUCAUGAUCUUGAACUUGCUCGAGGGGAAGAACUUGACCUUGGGCAUCAUUUAGAGGUUCACCACCAUCUUGAGGUUGAUCUUGCCCUUGGUCUUGUUCACGAGGUUGAGGGCCUUCACUUUGUUCUCCGGAAGCAUGUGGGUCUUGGGGAGGUGAUGGCUCCACUUGAGUGGAGCAUUGUCCUUCUCCUUCGGCCACAAGGGGUUCCUAAAUGGGUAGAAUAUGACCAAUACCCAUUCUUCUUAUGGCUUGGGGAGGAAUUUCAUCGCCUACAUCACAAGUACCACUUUGCUCCACCUGGGAGCCGUUAUUUUCGUCAAACUCCACGUUACACAUCUCCUCAAUGAGUCCGGUGGACUUGUUGAGAACACGGUAAGCAUGAGAGUUUGUAGCAUAACCAACAAAUAUGCCCUCAUGAGCUCUAGCCUCAAAUUUAGACAAAUGAACACCUUUCUUGAGAAUGAAACACUUACAACCAAAUACCCAGAAGUACGUGAGGUUGGGCUUGCUGCCAGUGAGUAUCUCAUAAGGAGUCUUGUUCAAGCCUUUGCGGAGAUAGAGCCGAUUGGAUGCAUGACAUGCGGUGUUGAUGGCUUCGGCCGAAAAGUUGUAUGGAGACUUGAACUCCGCCAUCAUGGUCCUUGCCGCAUCCAUCAACGUCCAGUUCUUCCUCUCCGCUACACCAUUCUGUUGAGGGGUAUAUGGUGCAGCAUAUUGAUGCUUGAUCCCCUCAUCACUAAGAAACUCGUCCAAGGUGUAGUUCUUGAACUCGGUGCCGUUGUCACUUCUUAUUGUCAAGAUCUUUGCAUUAUGUUGACGUUGAGCUUCAUUUGCAAAGUCGAUGAUGGUUUGUUGAGUCUCACUCUUCCUCUUGAAGAAGUAUACCCAAGUGUAUCUUGAAUAGUCAUCCACAAUCACCAAGCAAUACUUUCUACCUCCAAGACUAUCAAAUGAUGGAGGCCCGAAGAGAUCCAUGUGAAGGAGCUCCAAGGGUGUCUUCGAGUAGAUAAUGGUCGUGGGAGGGUGAGCCUUCUCAUGAAGCUUUCCUUCAAUACAAGCACUGCAAGCACGAUCUUUGGCAAAACUAACAUUUGUUAGACCACGAACAUGGUCCCCCUUGAGAAGACUUUGCAAAGAUCUCAUAUUGACGUGGGCCAAACAGCGAUGCCAAAGCCAUCCCACGUCAACUUUAGCCAUUAGGCAUGCCGCGGUCUUAGUGGGUCGCUCCGAAAAGUUAAUCACAUAGAGACCAUUCUCGACAUGCCCAACAAAGGCUACUUUAAGAGUAUUGCUCCACAAGAGGGCCACGGUAUCAAUGUCAAAGAAAAUAGCAAAACCCAUGAGUGCAAGUUGACAAACGGAAAGCAAAGUGUAUGCAAGGGACUCAACAAGCAUGACUUUCUCGAUCAUUAGAUCAUGAGAAAUGACAACCUUGCCAAGACCCAAUACCUUAGAAUGUGAGGCAUCACCCCACUCAACAUUGGUGGGCAUAGAUGGAAUCUUUUUCACGUCCACCACCAAGUCCUUGAUUCCGGUCAUAUGAUUUGUUGCUCCACUAUCGAGCAACCAUGAUCCCCCACCGGAAGCAAACACCUACAAGAGAUCAAUGCUUGGUUUUAGGUACCCAUUUAGUAAUGGGUCCUUUGAUGUUAGUAACAAGGGUCUUAGUAACCCAAAUAGACCAUUCAAUGUACUCAUAAGGAGAACCAACGAAUUUAGCAUAAACAUGUCCAUCACUAGCACGGCACAACACAUAUGACAGGUUAAAGUCGCCGGCUUUGUUGGAGGAAAUGCUUUUGCCCUUUUGGACGUCAACUCCCUUCACUUUUUCCUUCUUCUCCUUAGGAGCACCCUCUCCCUCUUUCACAAAAGUUUGCUUGAGAGGAGGAGGACGUUUGGUCUUGUCGUUCUUCUUCUUCUUGCUCUUGGACCUGGGUGCAAACCCAAUUCCUUCCUUGGCCACAACUUCCUUUUGAUUGCUCAAAUGUUCAUGAGGUUAUUCUCACCUUGAAUGCAUGUCACAAGGCCUUUCUCGAGUUGAUCCUUCAAUUUGGCAUUCUCCUCCACAAGAUGCACAUGCUCACAAAAUGGGUUAGUAGCACAUGCAUUAUCAAUUAAUACCAUAUGAGGGAAGGUGGCCUUUUCCUUGGUUAGCUUAACUUGGAGUUGAGCAUGAGACUCCUUGAGGUUAGCGUGAGCACCCUUCAAGACCUUGUGGGCUUUGUCAAGUAUCUCAAACUCCUCUUUGAGUCUAGCAUGAUCAACCCCAAGUUUAUCCUUCUCGGACGUUAGCACACGAGACACGACAAGAGCAUGCUCAAGAUCUUUCUUUAGCUUAGCAUGGUCAUCGUUGUAUGACUCCUCAAAAGUCAAACGAUGCAAACGCUCUUCCUCAAGAGCAUUAGAGAGAUCCGAUAUCUCAUCGGCAUCGUCACGACUAUGACCUUCCAUCUUAGAGAUGGUUUCUUUGUGAGCCUCGAUCAUGUCAUUGGCCUCACCAAGUUGUUCCAAGAGAGCAACAAAAUGCUUCUUGGACUUGCCCUUGAGCUUACUCAUAAAAGACUCAAAUUCAUUCACUUCCUCAUUAGACCCAUCAUGUUCAUCAAUGCAAUCCUCCAAGGAGGGAUUAGUAAUGAUGGUGGUUUUGAUGUUGGGGGGUUACCUUGUUUGAAGCUUUAGCCAUGAGGCACUUGGCGGUGAUGUUCUCGUUGGGUGAAUCAAAGAGAGACACCAGUGGAGUAGUAGCAAUGGCAACGGACGCCAUGGCCAUCGCUUCUCCAUUUUCAUCAUCGUCGUCAUCCUCUUGGUAUUCUUCUUGAACCACCAACCCACGAGUGGGAGUCUUCUUGGUGAAGUUGUUCUUGUUGGGGAAGGACUUGGCUUUGUCCUUUCGGAUGAACUUGCCACCAUUGUCUUCCUGCUUCUCGUAAGGACAAUCCGCAACGAAAUGGCUCACAUUGCCACAGUUGAAGCAAUUUCUAACUCGUUGCUUGCCCUUGACGCCGCUUGAGUUGUUCUUGUUGAAGUUGGGUCUUGUAUUCUUCUUGCUCCAAAAUUGUCUUGAAGCAAGGGCCAUGUGCUCAUGAUAAUCAUAUUUGGUGUCUUCGGGGUUGCUCUCCUCAUCUUCCACUUCUUCCUCUUCUUCCAUAAUAACCUUGGCCUUCAAAGCAAGGUUGGGCUUCUUUUCCCUUUGAGAACAGAGCACUGCAUUGUCGGCGGUCUUGUCCAAGAUGCUCAUUGCAACAAACUCAUCCAACACUUGACUUGAGGUCAUGGAGUGGAAGUAUGGUCUUUGACGGAUGACGGAGGACAUGGCCUUGUUGUAGGGCAUCAUGGCCUUGAGGAACUUGCGCUCGAUCCAAUUGUCAUGCGUGUCCUUGCUUCCAUGAUCUCGGAGUGAGACCGCGAGUUUGGUCACUCUUCGAAAGAGCUCACAAGGUUCUUCAUCUUCUUUCAUUGCAAACUCAUCGGCUUCAUCUUGCACCACUUCAUAGUUGGAGCGUUGAAUGCUAGCACUUCCUCGAUAGAGAGACACAACACAUUUCCAUGCGUCUUUAGCCACGACAUGAGGUCGAAGAUGAGGAAUAUUUCGGGAAGGAUUGCAUCUUGGAUGAUGAAUAGAGCACUCUCAUUGAAUUGAUUAUCCACGGCUUCUCGAGGGGUGAAGUUGCUUGGGUCAUGAGGAUAGAAACCUUCUUCAAUGAUUCUCCAAAGGUUAGUAUUCACAUGUUUUAAAUGACGCUUGAAGCGAUAAACCCAAGAAUCAAAAUCUUCAUUUUUCUCAUACUUAGGAGGAGGACCGGCAUGAUUCAAAUGAGUAGAGGGAAUCGGUCCUCCAUAAAUUGGGGGUUCCACAUGGGCAAAGAUGCCGGUGCCAUUUUUACCACUAGACAUAGGAGCUUUCUCACUAGUAGCUUCCCCCUUGUCGGGGUUAGCAUCCGUCACUGUGUUGGCGGGAUCACCCACUUUCACGGGCGCGGUGGAAAGUUUAAGCCCUUCUAAGAAAUCCUUAAACAUGUCCUUGACCUCGGUCGUCAUGGAGGUUUUCAAUGUGUCCAACGCCACAUUGAAUUCCUCACGUGAGAUCGAGUUACCCCCAUCUCCCGUAGAUGAUAUCGGAUUCGCACCGGAGUGCUCUCCCACAUCAUCUACGACGUCAACCAUACUCUUCGGACGGUAAAGUCCUUAAAAAGAGACGAGGCUCUGAUACCAAUUGAAAGGAUCGAUAUGGUUGACUAGAGGGGGGUGAAUAGGCAACUAACAAUUUUUAAGCUUUUCUUUACCAAUUUAAACUUUGAAACAAAAUAGGUUGUCUAUAUAUGCAACUAUGUGAGCAACCUAUAUGAUGCAAUAACAACUAGCACAUAAGCAAGCAAGGGAUACAACACAAGUAGGCUUUCAAAAGUAAAGGAACGAAAUAACCAAGAGUGGAGCCGAUGGAGACGAGGAUGUGUUACCGAAGUUCCUUCCUUUUAAGGGGAAGUACGUCUCUAUUAGAGCGGUGUGGAGGCACAAUGCUCCCCAAGAAGCCACUAGGGCCACUGUAUUCUCCUCACGCCCUCACACAAUGCGAGAUGCCGUGAUUCCACUAUUGGUGCCCUUGGAGGCGGCGACCGAACCUUUACAAGCAAGGUUGGGGCAAUCUCCACAAUAAUUGGAGGCCCCCAACAACACCACGAAGCUUCACCACAAUGGAGUAUGGCUUUGAGGUGACCUCAACCGUCUAGGCUGCUCAAACACCCAAGAGUAACAAGAUCCGCUAGGGAUAACUGGGGGGAAUCGAAUAUCUCUUUGUGGAAGUGUAGAUUGGGCCCUUGUCACCCAAUCCCGAGCAAAUCAACAAGUUCGAUUGGCUAGGGAGAGAGAUCGGGCGAAAAUGGAGCUUGGAGCAUCAAUGGAGUUUAGGGUUAGAAGAGGUGAGUCUUCUUGGAGAAGAAGACCCCCCUUUUAUAGUGGGGAACAAUUCCAACCGUUGCCCACCACUCAGCCCGCGACCCACGGAACUACCGCUCCACAGGCGCGGUACUACCGCACUGGCAUGCGGUACGACCGUGGUGGACCGCGGUACUACCGUGAGCAUGGCAGAGACCUGACCACGCAAAAAGGAGCAUGGACAGGGUGCGGUAGAUCCGCAGGAGCGGUACUACCGCGGCCCCAUGCGGUACUUCCACGAGGCAGACACGGGCCAGGCCUGAUAGGCACAGAUGUAAAAAAUUACAUCCGUGACUACCUCCGCUGAGAAAAUGUCGUGCACAAAUCCGACACGGAACUACCGCGACCGAGGUUGCGGUACUACCGUGGAGGGUGCGGAUGUAAAAAAUUACAUCCACCCCUACCUCCGCUCCUGCUCCGGAACUUGGCCUGGUGCCACGGUACUACCGCGUCAUAGCACGGUACUACCGCGUGGAGUGCGGAUAUAAAAAAUUACAUCUGCGCCUACCACAGCUAGAGAGCGGUACCAGACCAUAGCUCGCGGUACUACCGCUCGGACCAGCGGUACUACCGUGGGAGCCUACGGUACUACCGUGCCGGAGCCCGGUACUACCGCUGGCUCCUGCGGUAGUACCGCUCAAAAGAGCAGUACUACCGCUAGCCUGAGAAGAGCAAGACCGAGGCCUUCAUUUCGCAGAGACACGGUGAGACGGAGGAACACUCCAAGGAGCUCAAGGAAAGGCGGUGCAAAAGGGAAUGUGUACGUGAGAUUCCACCCAAACCUUUCCAAAGCGGACCCCCUCUUAAUAGUACGGCUCUCCUACGACUCAACUCCACCGAACUGAACCGUAGACAAAUGCCGUCUUCAUUAAUCUUCGAGAGGCAUCAAAUCGUCUUGUGUUUAGUCGUGAUGAAUCUGAAAAGCUCAAUACACACGAUUAGUCCGCAAAGGCAUUGUCAUCAAUUACCAAAACUACUUAGGGGAAUAAGUGCCCUUACACAUAUGAUCCAAGAAGAGAAAGUAUGUUAGCUUAUGCCUCUCCCUCAUAUGAAAUUGCAAUAGUGAUUAUCGAUCUUAUUAACAAUUGCCUAGGAUAAUUCCGCAUGCCGACCCAGCAUUAUUCCACUCUCGCUAUUUGUAAUAUUUAGUAAUAUAUUCUAAUUUUAUGAUAACAGCACCUACUUUUAUAUUUUAGAUCUUCGAUAUCAUGCAAAGUUAUCCUCUUCACACCCACAACGUAGUUUUAUUUCUCGUUUCUAGUUGGAAGCAAACGUUCGGUGUACGUAGAGUCCUAUGAGUGGCAGAUAGGACUUGAGAGAAUAUUGAUCUUACCUUUAGCUCCUUAUGGGUUCGACUCUCCAUACUUAUCACUUCUACCUUUGGAAUUGCUAUGAUGAUUCCUUGCACUUGGGUAUUACCAGCUAUCUUCAGUUUCCUCAGUCUUAGCAAUCUUCAGUUUCAUCACUAUUGAUUUCUUCAGCUUUGCUAUUGUCAGUUCACUAAGUUUGAGUGUCAGUUUGGUCAGACUUAUUUGGUCAUUGCUAUCUAUGUAUGUCAGCAGAAUGUCAUACUAUUUUACUAUUUAUCAUUUCCAAAUAUGCUAAUAUAUGAAAGCUAUGUUGUCUCGGUCAUAUAACUAUUAUCAGUUAGCUAGAUAUAUAAGCAAAUAUUGGCUUCACAUAAUAUAGGAAAGUAAAACAGCCUCAUCAUUCAACCUUCUUAAGUACUUAACUUAUCAUAGUAGGUCUUAACAUAAAAGUCAUUACAUCAUAGAUAAAACAACCUAGUUCUCAAACCAUAACAGUAGCUCAUACUAUCUUGAUUCAGGUUCUGAAACAACAUAACACAUUCCCAAAAUAUACACCUAACAUGCAGGACAUUUCAAGGCCAGCUAUAUAUAUAGGCCUAAUAAUUACUUAACCAACACAGCAAGCACUUUAGUCAUCCAUGAUUGCCAUGAUCCUCUCUAGGAUAUCUUUGAUGCCAUGCCCAGCAUUGAGCAGAUCAGCAAUCAUAUACUCUAGCUUCUUCUUCUCUUGCCUAAGUAGAUCCCUCUCCCCCUUCACCUUCAUGGACUUCCUCAUGUUCUGAAUGAUAACUGCUUGGCUUUGAAGAAUACACAUUUGCUCCUUCGCAAGCUUCAGCUUCUCCAUCUUUAUCUCAAUCUUUGCCUGAUCCUCAAGUUGUUUCUUCAUUUCAUUUAGAUCAUUGAUUGCCUAACUGGUAUAGUCCAUGUCAUGAGACAUCUUGCCAUCUUGAUAGUCAAAAAGCUUGGAUACAUCUUCCACCAACUAGUUGUAGCUGUCUGGCAGGAAGUCAAUUUCCUUCUUUAGCUUGCCCACCUCUUUCUCAUGAGCUUGUUUGUCCUUCACCCUACGCAAGUUCUGCUCAUGGUAUAUGUUGCAAAUCCUUGCUAGGAACCUUUGUAGGAUCUCUAGCCAAGGGGCAUCCACCCACUCCACCACCCCACAGUUCACAUCUUCAUCCUACAGAAGCAAUUUUUGAAAAGUAAGCACAAAGCACCUUACUUACUAACUUAAUACAGUUAACUGAAGUCAUAAACUUAAUUCAGUUAAGUGAAACCCUAUGUUUAUAUCAAUGCUCUCUGGAUUCAGCUAACAAAAGCAAUUUUUCAAAAGCAAGCACAAAGCACCUUACACUCAAAUUCAUUUAACAACACUCAAAUGAAUUCAGCUUACUGGAUUCAGUGCAGGAAACAUAAAUUUAGUUAACAGUUAACUCAGUUAACAGAUAUAUUCAGUUAACAGUUAACAGGUGUUCUCAGUUUCAGUAAACUGUUUAUUGAAUUCAGUUAAUUCAAGAUCUAAUUUCAUAUAUAUGCUUCCAUAUGUAAGGCACUUGUCAGUUUGAGUUCAAAACACACCACACAUCUCUGCACAACUGAGAACACGUUCACAUUGCACAUUUUGUUCUACUAGCAAAACAAGUAAGAGUUGAAGAUUAAAUACCUGCUGCACAGGACAACCGAGGAAUCGCCUCCCAGUCAAAGCACCUUCGAAAUCUACCAUCAUGUUUGGCCCCUGAUGAUGCAUCAUGCACUUCAGUUCAGAUUCAGUGAAAGAACCACAAAAAUAUGGAUCCACCACACUGUCGGGGGUUUCCUGCAAACAUUUUAACCAAAAGAAACUUGGAAUCAAACAUUUAAACAAAAGAAACUUGGAAUCUCGAAUUUGGAUGACCUAACUCUAACCCUAACUCUAUUCCACCGUGAUGUACUUACAAAGAGCUGAGGAUCCAUUGAAACCAUGCAGAUGUCCUCGUCUGAGCUCUCCUCGUCAUUCUACAAAGGGCAUCCUCAAGUUCUACAGGCAGCAAUGCCGGCGGCGGCGACGACGAUAUGCUUAGAGCAGGAGGGAGAGGGAGAGGAUGAGGAUGAGUGAGCCAAGAGGGAGAGAGUGACUGAGCUCUCACAGUGGGCCACCUUAUUUGACCACCGACAGCCGACAAGCAACCGCACCGUUAACGGGUGUUAACGCACGGCCGUCCACGGGGGCACUGAUUCGUGGGCCCAACCGGUCAGUUCGGUGCUUAGAGUGGGCGCAGCGAGCGGUUAUCCGACAUGGUAGUUUUUUGCCACGUGUUAGUAAAAAAGUGGGUUUUUGGCACAAAUUUGUAAAGUGGUAGUUUAUGGGCACGUUUCCGCGAAAUGUGGUAGUUUUUGGUUAAAUACUAAAUUACACGGCCACGCUGAUCAUAAUACUAAUGCCAACCCUGACUUAACUUUGCCAUGCAUCCAACGUACACGGUACAUCCACUAACUCAUCUAUGCUUGGAUUAUUCCAACAAUCCUUUCCAUCCAUAUCGUCGUUCUUGAUUGCAGUCCAACCUGUACUAGUGUACUAGUGUUGACAUUGCUAGGUCUGACGGUGGGAGCGUGUGUGGCCGGGAAGUCGCGGCCGUAGCGCAGGAAGUCGGGGUGCACCAGCGUGUGGAGCCGGUUGUUGUUACCGGCGUCCAACACCGAGUCCCUCUUUCUCUAAUGUUCAUGGAUAGUUGUCGAGCACUUUAACGAUAGUCAUAAGUGUCACUUUGAUCAAUAAAUUACAUCGAUUUGUUUCAUCACAAUAAUCCUUUGCACCAUACGACCAUCGAUUAGCUGCAGGGCAACAUUUGCACCAUCCGACCAAGCACAACAUAAUUUCUCGUGGCAUGGGGAAAAAAAGGUGCACCAUGCAUGAUUAAGCUUGCCAUGGAUGGGGAUCAAUGGUGAUCCUACUUCAACCCGAAAUGUUUUUUUCUACAGCAUUUUUACAAGCAUCUGCCAGAAAUGGUGAUUCCACGUAUAUAUCAAACAAGCAUCAAUUUUUUUAGGGGUAAACAAGCAUCAACUGAAAAUGGUGAUUUCACAUAUGUAUCAAACUUUGACAAAAAAAACAAUUCGGUUUUCGGUUUUUCGGGGUUUCUGCAAGCAUCUACACUAGUAAUUGCAUGGUUACUUGAAGGAAGCCCACGUACAUGACUCUUGAAGAGAGUUGACCAUAGUACUAAUUCAUCAACUUGUUGCCAUCCACCUUACCAACUCUGUGAAGCCCUAUAAAUUCAUAAAUAAAUGAGUGAAUGCAUGGCACAUAAUGUUAAUAUUUGAAGGGGCAAAGUACUAAUUUUUCCACAGUUGCAACAACGUUCUGAUCGAUGCAACAUAAACAACAUAUUAUGCGAGAUUUCAUGGUUUACCUCCAGUCAGCUAGAGUGUGUAGUGCAUGGACGGAGGUGCAUGAUGAAGGCACAUGCUCAAACUAGCCGGAAUGGUCUGUGCUAUGGUCGACCCGAUUUAAAAUCAUGCGCUUCUCUGAGCGAAAUCUGAAAACAAACUGAGCCCGCAUGAAGUGUCGUCGAUCAAAGUCAGUUGUGAGCGUGAGCAUGAAAGCCAUUUAUAAAAAACACUGCUAGAUAAUUUGGGCCAGCAAAAAGCAUAUUCCAUAGGAAAUCAAACGUCCAUCCCAACCUCUUUUUAAAGUUUAUUUGUUUUUCCCGUGAUGCAAUCAAACAAACUCAAAUCUUGUGGGGUCUGAAUGGCCAUGUCAUUAAUUCUGUGUUUUUCGUAUUCUUGUGUUUUAAUAAUCAUGCGAAUCAAAGAGGAAGAAUCCAAUUCGGCACUUCCAAGCAUAUGCUCUUGCGCGCCAAAAAUCUUUUUUGCAAAUGUAAUUUUUUUAGGAAAAGUAGACUUGUUCACUGUCACCUCCAAAUGCUACCUGCCAUUUUUUAGGGACAAAGCGUAAGUGUUUUGACCUGUGCAAAAAAAAAGUCGAACGCCAAAUGUUACACUUCAUUUUCUUUUCACGGACGAAGCACUGAUACCCUGUUUUGUAUGAAAAUAACCAGCACGCUUGUUACACUGUGGUGAUUUUGGUUUUCUUUUGAUUUUGAUUUUGUUUUUUUUAACUUAAAGUUCAUCCGACAGCAUAUACUACGCGGAGCCAAAACAGUCAUCCCAUCAAAGAUACCCUUACUAUUUGAACGGAAUCUAGCCCUUUACUAUUUAUAGGUGGGUCUAGUGCAAAAGGUCACUUUGGAGGACGGGUGCAUUGGAGCCCUAUAUUUUGAAUAGUGCCAAAAUGCUAUUUUUGAAGUUUCAAAAAAUUAUGAAAAUAAAUUAACAGGUUUAUAUGGAUGUAUAUUACACAUGUGCAAAUUUUGAUGCUGAAAUAAGUAACCAUGUGAGCCACACAAAGAUGUCAUCGUGAUUUUGGAAAGAUGAAUAGUGCAUGUAUUAUUCACUAUUUGGAAAUCACCAUUUUGUCAUCUUUGUAUAGCUCAUAUGUUUACUUAUUUCAUCACCAAACUUUACACAUAUGUAAUAUACAUCCAUAUGAUCACGUAGAAUUCUUUUCGGAAUUUUUUGAAAAUUUAGAAGUGAUCUUUAAAGUAUUUAAAAUAGGGUCCUCCAAUACACCCAUGUUCCAAAAAUCCACUCUCGGUCUUGUGCUAUUACUGGCUCAAACACGUGAUAAAAUCAAUCCUAAAAAAUAACAUGCACUGAGGAUAUAAGAAAAUCAUUGCGUGGAAACACAUAUAUAUCCUAUUCAGUGUGUACCACUCAGGGGACGAACCACUGUGGUGAUUUUGGUUUUCUUUUGUUUCCCCUGUGGAUUUUGGCCUUUUAAGUCUUUGUUUACCUUUUUACGUGUAUAUGUUUUAUUUAUUUAGUUAAUUAAUAUUGUUUCAAAUUUAUGGAUAUUUGAGAAUAUGAUUUUUAUUUAUUUUAAUAAUUUGAAAACAUUUUAAAAUCAUUAUUAAUUUGUUUAUUUUGUCAACACAAUUAAAAUGCAUGAACAAGUUUUUUUCAAUUCAGAAAUAUAUUUUAAAUACAUGAACAUGUAAUAAAUUAGGGUACUUUUUUUUAACUGGACUACCUUUUUACAAAUUUCGCUAAUCAGUUUUAAAUUCUACAAUGUUCAUUAAAUUGUCAAAAAUAUACGUCAAAUUCAUUAAUUUGUUUUUACUAUUCUGAUUUUUUUUAUAUGCUACCCCUUGCCGGUUAAGAAAAAAAAUUCUGAAGACCGGUUUUUAUUUAGGGGUCGACUGGAAACCGGUUACCCAAUCAACUAGCCCUCCCAGGCCAGUUCUUUUCGGUCAUUUCUGAAGAAUCACGGUUUGAAGAAUUAAAAUAGCAAAAGAACUCAUCUGUGCCCCAAGAAUCGUCUAGAAUUAUGAGAGAAUCAUAGUGUAACUGAGAAUCAUCAGAAGUUGGCGAUUCUGGCAAUUUUGAUGUGUCCCUCAAAAGAAAAUUGUUCGUUAGGUAUACCCCUAUUAAACAACAUAUUUACGAUGAAUACGCCACUCGGGCCUGAGGAGAGAAGCCCCAAAACGAGCUGAAAAUAGCGAACAACCUCACACACGCAUCCUGUGUGCUCGAGUUGUCCCCGACAGGAACCGCUCGCUUCAGCUAGGGUUUGUGCUGCCGGUCGGCGACUCCGGCCCGGCAUCUUCAGAUCCACCGCCAGCAGGAGCCCCACGCCGCCACCCUGUCCCGUCCGUCGUCGCCAUCCCAGUUACUGGCCGCCUCGUCUCCUACGCCCGGCUGCACGAUCUCCUCCGCCCCGGCCAUCUGAUCUCCUUCCGCGCCGGUAGGGUUGCGCCCGGUCUCCUCCACUUUCUCAUGCCUCUCCGUCUCCUACGUCCUCUCGGUCUCAUCCUCCCAUUUCUUCUCUCUGUAUACUUUCUUUCUCUGUUUAGGAAAUAUGUGUUGUAAAAAAUAGUGCGUACUUGUUUUCCACUGUAAAUUGUAUGUUGAUUUGUAUGGUGCAAGUUGACUUAGUAUGAAUUUUGUAUGGUUGAUGGCAUAUAGUGAAAAUUUUGUAUGUUGGAAGUUCACUUAGUAUUAAUAUAAAUGUUGUAAUUACAAAGCUUAUAUACACUUUAUGAUAUUUGCAACUCGCUUUCAUGGGCAUAUGGGACGUGAAACUAUCUAAAAUAACCUAGUGUGAGCUAUACAAUACUCAGUUUCAGUUUAGGGGCAUUACAGAUAUUUUAGCACAUAACUCAUACAACAAUCACUGGCUAGGAUCACAGAAAAGAACUGGACGGUUGAUUCUCUGGGUAGGUAAUUAUGUGGACAGUUUCCAGAAUCAGAUUCUCGAGAAUCAUGAGUCGGAAAGAACUGGCCCUAAGUCGACCGGCUCACUACAUUUUUUUUGAGAAACCGACCAGCUCACUACGUGUUGAGGUGCAUGUCUCCUCAAAUGUUCCCUUCGGUGGUGCAUGGGAUAGUCCUAUUUGUCCUGUAGGUCACUGAAUAGUGACCUAGCACUUACUCCCUCUUAGCCCGGUCCUAUGGAUUGGCCGGCCCAUUCCAGAACAUUCCCUGAACUGUUCUUUACUUUUUCCUUUGUUUGUUUGAGGGUUUCCCCCUACAUUUCUUCUAUUUCCUUUUUGUUUCCCCUUAUCCCUUUUAAUUAUCUUUUCUCUUUUUAAAUUUGCAAAAAAAUCAUGAAAAAAAUUAAUUCAUUGAAAUUUUAUGAAAAUCAUGAUAUUUUCCAUAUACUGAAAUAAUUUUAUAAAGUUAUGCACAUUUUUUGAAAUCAUGCACAUUUUCCAAAAUUGCUAACCUUGUUUCACAUAUUCGAGACUAUUUCCAGAAACCAUGAAUAUUUAUUGAUUUCAUGGACUUAUUGAAAAGAAUUCCUGGACAUUUUUUCAUAAAGCUUACAAAGUUUCUCACAUAUAUUUUUUUUUCAAACUUAUGAAUAUUUUUAAACUCGACCAUUGUUCAAAUUCAGAAACAAUUUCUGAUUCACAAACUUGUGAAUAUUUUUAAAUCCGACCAUUGUUCAAACUCGACCAUUAUUCAAGUAUCUCACCUAUAAGAAAAAUGUAUCAAAAAAUAUGAUCAUGUCUUUAAAGAAUGUUAAUCGAGUAUUUUAAAUAUGAUACUCAAGCGGUAAAAAAAUCUCGGAUAAUAAUAAAAUAUGAAAGAAAAAAUAUUCAUCAUGUAUUAAAAAUCAUGUAUUUGCAAAAAAUUAAUCAAUAUAUAAAAAUGUUGAAUGUGUAUAGAAAAAAUCUUUUUCAGGUACACAAAAAAUGUAGAAAAUAAGAAUACAAUUUGUAUGAAACGAUGUUGAUCAUGUAUUCAUAAAGUGUUAAACAUAUUUCAUUUUUUAAAUGUGUACAAAAAAUAUUCCUGAUGUUAACUAAAAGUGUGCUAUGUGUAUGCAGAAAUUUAGACACCAAAAGAUACAUAUUUAAAAAUGUUAAUCAUGUGUUUUGAAAAUCUUAAGUGUGUUUGCCAACAAUUACUGAUGUAUUCAGGAAAUUUAUAAAAUGUCGAUUAAAAACAUAUUUUUAAUAAAAUUAGAAAAAAAUCUUUUAUUUGAAAAGAAUUUUGAAUGUGUACACAGAAAUGUUUCUUUUAUUUAAGUAAAAUAUAAAUGUGUGUAAAAAGAUGUUCCUAUUCUAUAUGAAAAGCGAUAGAAAAACCAACGAAACCAUAAAGCAAAUAAAAGAACAAAGAAAACCCAAUGAAACUUGGAAAAUAGACGGACGAAACGAAUUGAAAAAGAAUUGAAGAAACCAGGAAAGAAAGAAAAAAUUCGAAGUAUAACAAAGAGAAUAAGGGAAACCAAAAAUAAACAAAGAAAGAAUAUCUCACAAAAAAUGAAAGAAACUAAUGGAAACCAAGAAAACAAACAAAGAAAGNNNNNNNNNNNNNNNNNNNNNNNNNNNNNNNNNNNNNNNNNNNNNNNNNNNNNNNNNNNNNNNNNNNNNNNNNNNNNNNNNNNNNNNNNNNNNNNNNNNNNNNNNNNNNNNNNNNNNNNNNNNNNNNNNNNNNNNNNNNNNNNNNNNNNNNNNNNNNNNNNNNNNNNNNNNNNNNNNNNNNNNNNNNNNNNNNNNNNNNNNNNNNNNNNNNNNNNNNNNNNNNNNNNNNNNNNNNNNNNNNNNNNNNNNNNNNNNNNNNNNNNNNNNNNNNNNNNNNNNNNNNNNNNNNNNNNNNNNNNNNNNNNNNNNNNNNNNNNNNNNNNNNNNNNNNNNNNNNNNNNNNNNNNNNNNNNNNNNNNNNNNNNNNNNNNNNNNNNNNNNNNNNNNNNNNNNNNNNNNNNNNNNNNNNNNNNNNNNNNNNNNNNNNNNNNNNNNNNNNNNNNNNNNNNNNNNNNNNNNNNNNNNAACCAUAGAAAACAAUUGAUAAAAGCAUAGAAAAAAGGAAAAAAAACAGGAGGAAAAAUAAAAGAAAAGGAUAAAUAAAUGAAAAAAGGGGGGAAGGAAACAAGAGAGAACCGUCAACAGCCGACCUCAGCCAACCUCGAAAAAAAUAUACAUUCCUUUUAAAAAUAGUAGAAAGGUUUGAGAAUUGUUUGUGUAAUGUUAAAAAAUGUACGGCAGAUUUUAAAGAAAAUCUGUACAAUGUCAACAAGUACAUAUUCCGUAAAUUGAAAAUUCAUUCCUGGUAAUUUAAAAAAUGCUUAACAAUGUCUUAAAUUUUUUCCCAUAGGAUGCAAUUUUUUUGUUUCGAAAAAAAUGUUUAUAACAUUUUCAUCAAACAUUCAAGUGUUACCAAAAAUUAUCAAUGAAAAUCAGAAAAAAAUCUUAUUACCAAUAAAAAUGUGCAACUUGUAUUUGUAAAAUGUUAUUAUUUGUAAAGAAAGUGUUCGAAACAUGUUUUUGAAAACAAUGUACUUCUUGUGUUUGAAGAAUUGCAAAGUGUAUCAGAUAUUCGUUUGGCAUGUGCUCUUAGAAUGAAAAUUGUAUACCGUGAAAAAUGUAGACAUGAGUUGGAAAACAGAUAAAAAUCACAUAGAAACAAAAAAAUAAAAGCAUGAAAAGAACUUUUUCUCAAAGAAAACAAACAAAGAAAGAAAAAACAAAUAUAAUGAAAAAAGGAGAACAAUGGAAAACCAAAGUAAGAAAUGAAGGAAAAAAUCUGAACAUGAAGAAAACAAAUAAAAUCAACGAAAAUACAAGAAGAACGAAGAAAAUCGACCGAUCGAACGUACAACGACUACUACUAAUGACUGCGACUACCACGCUAAAUGGGCUAGCCCGCUCAUUUUGUCGCAUGUUGGUGAUUUCUAUUAAGAAUCAAUAUGGGCCACACAUAGCUAUCACGCCGUUUUGCUCUCUUUUCAACACGUAGGUCGUUUAAUAGGGGCUCCCUAGGGCAUGGAGUAGGAGGACUUGGUUUAGUGAUACUUAUGUCGUCUGACCUAUCUACUGCUUCACACGCCGUUUACUGCCUUGUUGGUAUGCUGCACCUGCAUGAGUUCCUAUCGACCGACCGAUGUAUCCUUCGGUCUCGGGAAGUCUCUAUGUGUUUGUUUGGGUUUUUUCAUCAUUCUUUUUUUUUCUUUUUUCUUUUUUCCUUUAACUUUUUUUCUUUACUUAAUAUUUUUUCAAAAAUUCAAGGAGUUUUCAAAUUUAUCAGAAAUUUCAAAUGCAUGGUUUUUGAAAAUAUAUCAAAUCCACAAGCAUUUUCAAAUCUGUGAAUAAUAGUAUAGUCCAUCAAAUUCCUAAUUUAAAAAAUCCAUGAAUGUUUUGUCAAUUCGAGAACUUUUUUGAUGUUUUUUUUGCCUAUUUAAGAUUCCUAAACUUUUUAGAAAAAUUGACAGUCAACAUCCAUGGUCAACAUGCGCGACUCAUGCGUGAGCGAGCAAGCUAGAAUUCUGUCAAAACUUCAAGGAGGAGACCAGUCGACUGGAGCCAAACUUGGACCCCAUUAACUCUCCUGUGAAGGACGAGGCUGCUAUGAACGUGUUCCGACUGGAGUCUCGCGUUGCUGGAGUGGUUGACUACCUCGCUCGACUGAAGGUUGCGGUGUCGCGGAUCGACACGACACUCUGGCCAAGAGAGAUGCUUCACAAUGACCUCGAGUCUUUAAUUACUCAACUGAAUGACGUUCCAGGUCGAGUGCAGGAAUGGAAGAAGUCUUCUGCCAGGUGUGGUGCUGAUGUUGCACUGUCUCUGGUACGUGUUCACUGCAAGGAUGCUCGAGAGGACAAGCUAGCGUCCAUCAGGGUGGCCAACACCAAGAAGCAUGACUUCCAAUCUUUCAUGGAGACCUUCAUUGCUGCUGCCACUCGGAUUGCUGAUGGAAUCGACCUGGACCAGUUUGUCACGCCCUCCAGUCCUCCACCUGAGGAGUAAAAAACUUCUAUGCUUCAUCUUAAAUUUUCCUCGGAAUGCCGAGUGGUUUUGUAACCGAUAAACAUUUACAGGCUUGACGCCUGCGCACUUCUGAAUCCGUUAUCUGAACUUUGCUUAUCAUUGAAUAUGCUUGCAUUUCCUUCGAGCGAAUUUUCUUCUUCACUCGGAAUAUAUUUUAAUGCUUGAGAUGUAGCUCUAAGGUGGUAAGCCCAGUCGACCUGCACUUCACCGCUUUUUGGCAGGUAGGGAUGGGGCACAGAUGGAGUGCACAUUGUAUUUGUGGCGUAGCUCAGAGGGAGAAGGUUACAAUCGACCUGCGCCUCGUCAUCCUUGUAGAGCGAAAUAGAUUAAGUACUUAGGCGAGCACUGGGCUGCAGCUAAGCCCCCCGAGUGGGAGGUUUUCUCUCCACUCGGUAGGAUUUUCAGAUACUUAGGCAAGCACUGGGCUGCAGCUAAGCCCCCGAAUGGGAGGUUUGCUCUCCACUCGGUAGGAUUUUCAGAUACUUAGGCGAGCACUGGGCUGCAGCUAAGCCCCCGAGUGGGAGGUUUGCUCUCCACUCAGUAGGAUUUUCAGAUACUUAGGCGAGCACUGGGCUGCAGCUAAGCCCCCGAGUGGGAGGUUUGCUCUCCACUCGGUAGGAUUUUCAGAUACUUAGGCGAGCACUGGGCUGCAGCUAAGCCCCCGAGUGGGAGGUUUGCUCUCCACUCGGUAGGAUUUUUCAGAUACUUAGGCAAGUAUUGGACUGCAGCUAAGCCCCCGAGUGGGAGGCUUGCUCUCCACUCGGUAGGACUUUUUGUGGCAUAGCUUCGAAGGAAAGGGUAGCAGUCGACCUGCACCCCGUCAUCCUUGCAAAGCGCGCAUUGUAUUUGUGGCGUAGCUCGAGAAGAGAAGGUAGCAGUCGACCUGCACCUCGUCCGCCUUGCGGAGUGCACAUUAUAUUUGUGGCGUAGCUCGGAAGGAGAAGGUAGCAGUCGACCUGCACCUUGUCCUCCUUGCGGAGCGCACAUUGUAUUUGUGGCGUAGCUUGGAAAGAGAAGGUAGCAGUCGACCUACACCUCGUCCUCCUUGCGGAGCGCACAUUGUCUUAAACACUUAGGCGAGUACUUGGACUGCAGCUAAGCCUCCGAGUGUGAAGCUGGUUCACCACUCGGUAGGAUUUUAAACACUUAGGCGAGUACUUGGACUGCAGCUAAGCCUCCGAGUGGGAGGCUGGCUCACCACUUGGUAGGAUUUUAUAUACUUAGGCGAGUACUUGGACUGCAGCUAAGCCUCCGAGUGGGAGGCUGGCUCACCACUUUGUAGGAUUUUAACACUUAGGCGAGUACUUGGACUAUAGCUAAGCCUCCGAGUGGGAGGCUGGCUCACCACUUGGUAGGAUUUUAAAGUACUUAGGCGAAAUAGAUUCGUAGCUAAGCCCCCGAGUGGGAGGCUGUCUCACCACUCAGCAAGGAUUUUUUUUACAAACUUAGGCGAAACGGAUUCGCAGCUAAGCCCCCCACUGGGGGAUUUCAUAUGUAAACAAAAGUAACAACAAUCAUUGGGAAAAAUUAUAACACUCUUGUCUUUCAUAAAUAAACUACAGAAGUACUUUUAUUACAUCUCAUCCGAGUGAAUACUUAAGUAUAAAAGGGGUGGAGCAGCUCCGCGUUCCAAGCUCGGGGCUCGUCAAUCUGGUGACCGACAUUGUAAAGGCGGUAUGCUCCAUUGUGGAGAACUUUGGUGACGAUGAAGGGACCUUCCCAAGUAGGAGCAGGCUUAUGUGGCUUAUGCUGAUCCACUCGGAGAACCAAAUCUCCUUCUUGGAAGGCUCGACUCUUCACGUUUCUAGCAUGGAAUCGAAGUAAGUCCUGCUGAUAGAUGGUCGAUCGGAUCAUGACCAUAUCUCUUUCUUCUUCUAGAAGGUUGACUGCGUCCUGUUGGGCUUGCUCUGCUUCAUCUCCAGUGUAGAGUUUGACUCGGGGUGCAUUGAGAAGCAGGUCACUUGGCAAGACUGCUUCAGCUCCAUAGACCAAGAAGAACGGAGUUCUCCCAGUCGACCGAUUAGGAGUGGUCCUUAAUCCCCAAAGUACUGAUGGAAGUUCGUCGACCCAUGCACCUGCCGCGUGCUUGAGAUCGCGCAUCAGUCGGGGUUUCAGUCCUUUGAGGAUUAGACCAUUUGCUCGUUCUGCUUGCCCAUUCGACUGGGGUGAGCGACUGAAGCAUAGUCGACUCGUGUGCCUUGAGAUGCGCAAAAGGCUCUGAAUUCUUCAGAAUCGAAGUUUGACCCAUUAUCAGUCAUGAUGCUAUGCGGAACUCCAUAUCUGAAUACCAACUCUCUGAAGAAGCUGAUAGCAGUGCCAACAUCUAGAUUCUUUAUAGGCUUAGCUUCAAUCCAUUUGGUAAACUUGUCGACUGCUACUAGCAAGUGAGUGAAGCUGCUCCUGCCAGUUCUCAGUGGUCCAACCUUAUCUAACCCCCAAACACCGAAGGGCCAGACGAGUGGAAUGGUCUUCAAGGCUUAGGCGGGUUUGUGCGAUAGAUUGGAGUAACACUGACAUCCUUCACACUUGUCGACUAUCUCCUUUGCCAUUUCAUUUGCUCCUGGCCAGUAAAAUCCUGCUUGGUAUGCUUUAGCCACAAUGGUCCGAGAGGACGCAUGAUGGCCAUAGGUCCCCGAGUGGAUAUCGUCAAGGAUUAUCCGACCUUCUUCUGGCGUUAUACAUUUCUGACCGACUCUAGUCGCGCUUUCUCUAUAUAACUGCCCCUUUAUCACGGUAAAGGCUUUAGAUUGAUAGACGAUCUGUCGAGCCUCUUCUUCAUUCUUUGGGAGCUCUUUCCAUACGAUAUACGCGAUGUACGGCUCUGUCCAGUCGGGAGUGAUGACCAAAGCUUCCGUGAUCAGGUCGACCACCGCUGGAACUUCAACUUCAGUCGGAUCUGUGACACUUUUUGGCUAUGGAGCUUCUUCGGUGAAAGGAUCCUCUUGAACUGAUGGAGUAUGGAUGUGUUCCAAAAACAUAUUACUAGGAAUGGCUUCUCUCUUGGAACCUAUCUUCGCCAAAUCAUCAGCCGCUUGAUUUUUUUAGUUGGGGUAUAUGAUGGAGCUCUAACCCUUCAAAUUUCUUCUCAAGCUUUCUCACUGCAUUGCAAUAACCAGUCAUGGCUGGGAUUCUAACGUCCCACUCCUUCAUCACCUGAUUGACCACCAAAUCUAAGUCGCCAUAAACCAUAAGGCGACAGACGCCGAGUGAAAUGGCCAUACGCAACCCAUACAAAAGUGCUUCGUAUUCUGCUUCAUUGUUGGAGGAAUCAAAGUGGAUCUGGAGCACAUAUCUGAGCUUAUCUCCUCAGGGGGAAACCAAUACUACCCCAGCACCGGAACCAUUCAACAUCUUAGAACCGUCAAAGAACAUGGUCCAGUGCUCCGAGUGAACUUGAGUCGGUAAUUGCUGUUCAAUCCACUCGGCGAUGAAAUCUACCACUGCUUGGGACUUAAUGGCUUUCUUUGCCUCAAACUUGAUAUCAAGGGGAAGGAGUUCGAUCGCCCAUUUUGCCACUCGACCAGUUGCAUCUCUGUUGUGCAGAAUCUCUGAUAAUGGGGCGUCGCUGACGACUGUAAUGGAAUGAUUAGAGAAAUAAUGAGCAACCUUCUUCGUGGUCAUAUAUAUAAAUCCCAUAUACAAGCUUCUGAUAUUGAGGGUAUCUUUGCUUUGAUGGGGUCAAAACUUCAGAAAGAUAAUACACUAGGCACUAAACUUUGAAGGCUUUUCCUUCUUCUUCCCGCUCGACCGUAAGUACUGUACUGACGACUUGUCCUGUGGCUGCAAUGUAAAGCAAGAAAGGCUCUUUGCUGAUUGGGGCAGCAAGCACCGGCUGGGUGGAGAGAAGAGCUUUUAGCUCUGCAAACGCUGCAUCAGCUUAUGGAGUCCACUCGAACUUGUCUGACUUCUUCAUCAGUCGGUAAAGAGGCAAUGCCUUUUCACCGAGACGAGAGAUGAAUCGACUUAAAGCGGCCAAGCAUCCAGUAAGCUUCUGGACAUCGUGCACACGCACAGGGCGUUUCAUUCGGAGUAUAGUGCCAACUUUUUCUGGGUUGGCGUCGAAUCCUCGCUCGGAAACGAGAAAACCGAGUAACUUUCCGCCAGGAACUCUGAAUGUGCACUUUGAUGGAUUAAGUUUGAUAUCAUACCUCCUGAGAUUGGCAAAUGUUUCAGCAAGGUCAGUCAACAGGUCGGAACCAUUCCGUGAUUUGACCACAAUAUCAUCCAUGUAUGCUUCCACAUUCCGACUGAUUUGAGUGAGUAAACACUUCUGAAUCAUCCUAUGAACGUGGCUCUGGCAUUCUUGAGGCCAAAUGGCAUGGUGACAUAGCAGAAGCACCCGAAUGGAGUGAUGAAAGCUGUUUUGAUCUCAUAGGGUCCAUACAGACGGAUCUGAUGGUAACCGGAAUAGGCGUCUAAAAAAGACAGGCGCUCACAUCCCGCAGUCGAGUCGACUAUUUGGUCGAUGCGGGAGAGAGGAAAAUGAUCUUUCGGGCAAGCCUGAUUGAUAUGUUUGAAAUCAAUGCACAUGCGAAGUGACUUGUCCUUCUUGGGGACCAUGACAACAUUGGCAGGCCACUCGGAGUGGUAAAUCUCUCGGAUAAACUUUGCUGCCAGGAGCUGAGCCACCUCCUCGCCAAUGGCCUUUCUCUUCUGGACGGCGGACCGUCGAAGAUGUUCUUUGACAGGUUUCACUUUUGAGUCGGCUCGUAGACGACGCUCAGCCAGCCCCCUGGGAACACCCGGCAUGCCAGCAGGCUUCCAUGCGAUGAUGUCCCAGUUCUCACGGAGGAAUUGGAUGAGCGCUUCUUCCUAUUUAGAGUCGAGUGUUGUGGAGAUAUGAGUCGGAGCAGCACUGGGUCGGUCGGGUGAAUGUGAACGGGCUUCAUCUCACCGGACGACUGGAACACUGACUUUGUGGCGGGCUUCUUGGCCCACAAUAAAUCACUCGGAUCUGCAGUUUUCUGGUAUUCCUGCAGCUCGAUCACUGUUAUCUGAGCAUCGGUGAUCUUUGAGCCCUUCUGAAAGCACUCUUCUGCCUUUUUCCGAUUGCCAGUAAUGGUGAUCACACCCUUGGAACCAGGCAUCUUCAAUUUGAGGUACACGUAACAUGGUCGAUCCAUGAAUCGUGCAUAAGCUGGCCUGCCUAGAAUAGUGUGAUAAGCGCUCUGGAAAUCCACAACUUCAAAUGUCAACUUUUCUUUGUGGAAAUGCUUUGAAUUGCCGAAAACCACAUCAAGAGCAAUUUGGCCGAGUGACUCAGCCUUCUUCCCAGGAAUGACUCCAUGGAAACUCAUGUUGCUGGUACUGAGUCUGGACAUCGGAUUGCCCAUCCCUUUUAGCGUCUCCGCAUACAGUAUAUUCAGGCCACUGCCACCAUCCAUCAGAACUUUCAUCAGUCGAGUGCCUUCGACGACUGGGUCGACCACUAAAGCUUGCCUCCCAGGGGUGGCUAUGUGUGUCGGAUGAUCAGACUGGUCAAAUGUGAUGGCGGUCUGAGACCAUUUCAAAUAACUGGGUGUCACCGGAGCAACCAUAUUCACUUCACGGUUGAUAACUUUCAAUCGACUUUUGCUUUCAACAUCAGCAAAAAUCAUUAGGGUGGAAUUGACAUGGGGAUAUCCUUCAUCACUGUCCUCUUUGUCCUCAACUUUGUCUGAAUCCUUUUCCUUAUCUUUGGGCUGUUUCCCCUGAAAUUGCUGGAUCAAGAGCUGACACUGCCGAGUGGUAUGUUUCGGGUAAAUGAAGUUACCCUCCUCAUCUUUCUUCAUGUGGAUGUGGCACGGCAAAUCCAUCACGUCAUUUCCUUCCUUGUCCUUCACCUUAUUAGGGUUCCAAGAUCUUUUGGGCUUCCCUUUAAACUUUCCCUGAGUCACGGCCAAGGCUUCUCCCGGAGCAGCUGGCUCGGCUUUCCGCUUCUGCUUCCGACUGGAGUUUCCUCCCCCGGUUUCAUGAGCGGUUGGCUUGUACUUGCCACUCCGGAGUCGAUCCUCUUCUUCACCAUUGGCAUAUUUGGUGGCAAUCUCCAUCAUUCGACUCAGAGUCAUGUCUCCGGUCCGACCGAAUUUCAAACUUAACUCUCUGUUCUUAACGCCUUCCUUGAAGGCACAAACUCCCUGGUGGUCAGAUAUAUUCUCCACCGUGUGAUGCAAUGUGGUCCACCUUUGGAUGUAAUCCCUUAGAGUUUCAUUCGACUUUUGCACACAAACCUGCAGCUCUGGCAACCCUGCUGGUCGCCUGCAAGUUCCUUCAAAUGAUCUGACAUACACUCGGACAAGAUCUUCCCAAGUGUAAAUGCUGCUAGGUGCCAACUGAUUCAGCCAUGCUCUGGUCGAGCCCUCCAACAUAAGAGGUAGGUGUUUCAUGGCCACUUCAUCAUUGUCGCCGCCAAUCUGAACAGCCACUCGGUAGUCCUCAAGCCAAGUAUCGGGCUUGGACUCGCCGGUGAACUUGCUGACUCCAGUCGCCAACCUGAAGUUGGGAGGAAUCACCGUGGCCCUGAUGGCUCUGCUAAAACACUCUGGUCCUGAGACGUGAACUCUGCUGCUGGUGGGCACAUCUCUGUCAUGGCCUUCUCGGUGAGCUCUGUUCCGGUCGACCAAACCUUGCACAAAAAUGGAUCUCGCGUCAAAGCCUGGUCGACUGGAACCCUUCGCCCAACACUAUGCUGACGUCUGUCAUCUUGCUGUCGAGGAGCGUACGACCCACUCCUUGGGGGGGAGUGGGCACUCGACGCUGAUCAUCGCGAUCGAAUCGGUCGUCAUACUGAUCACGCCGACCUCCACGUCCCUCACGCCUCGGGGGCGAUCUCGGGCUAUGGGCCGACUGGACUGUAUUCGCAGCAACGGAUCUGCUGUGAAUCUUGUUUCGUGACUGCGAUACAGCUGAAUUCUGAUCUCCUGCUGCCCGGAGAAAAUCUCUGAUCUGUAACAAGCCUCUGCCAGCCUCUGACUGGGAGGGCUGAAUCGACUCUUCUAUACGGGCUGCAGCUGCUAGAUUCUGAAUCGGAGUUCGAUACACCUGAGUCGGUUGCAGAAAGAGUUGACGUCGACUGGAGUCUGGAACUCGUUGCCGCGCGCGCUCGUCGAGUGCUUGCUGGAGGUUCUCCAGUUGAGUGCGCUCAGCCAAGUUGGCCAAACGCGCGUCCUCUAAGGCACGAGCCUCGGGGGUUUCUCCAACGAUAGGAGUAUGCAGCGCAUCCAUGUUCCGGCGGCGAAGAUCUUCCCUUUGCAGGGAAGUGAGUGGCUCGGGCUGAUACUCUUCGUGGAACUGCGCUGGGUUACCUCUGCCAUCGACUCCGUCGGUGCAAGGAAAACCGGGAGGACUGCGCGGCCCAUUGACCAUCAGAACCUCCGCCACUGGAUCACUGCUGUCGCACUCAGAUGUAGUCUGUACGGAGCCAGUCGACAGGUUGAACAGGCCGUAGAGAGAUUCGUCGGGCUCGAUCGCCGCGACUUGGGGGGUGGCCGACUGGAGGGCCACUGCGUGCCUCACCCACCGUUGAAGCCUCGACCGACCGGAGCGCUUGCGCUAGCGGGAGACAGGGAGGGAGGAUGACACAGGGGUCAACCGAUACGGGGCCGACGGUUGCCGCAGGAGGACGCCGCGGACACACGCGCGGAAGUGCAUCGCCCCGCGGACUGGGAGCGCGUCGAUGUCGAGUGGAGCCUCCUGAAGCCAAGCGGAGUCGUCGGCGAUGAACAUGAGCGCGCCGAGACGGAUCUCGCGGCCCUCAACCAAAACUCCGCCUGAAACCAUGUUGAAGGAGAUCGGAAAAAUCGCAACUUCUCCAAUAAGUCGCUAAGACACCUGCCCCAUGGUGGGCGCCAACUGUCGUGGUUCUUAGCCUGACAGUAGAAUAGGGGGGUAGGUAUGGAGAGGCAAGAUCCUAGCUAUGGAGUAGUUGUGUACGCAAGAGAUUUAUGAGUUCAGGCCCUUCUCGGAGGAAGUAACAGCCCUAUGUCUCGGAGCCCGAAGGCGGUCGACUGGAUUAUAUGCGUAUGAGUUACAGGGGUGCGAACCCUUUAAAUUGAGGAGGGGGGUGGCUUAUAUAGAGUCUGCCAGACCCCUCCUGCCCUCAGUUAUGCAGGGUUUAAAGUACAUUAAGGCAUGGCGUACUAGUAACGCCUUACAUAAAGUGCUAUCAUGAACAUAAAGACUACUUAAUGACAGAUCGUUUGUGUGCAGAGUGACUCUAGAUCUCCUAGUGGUCGAGUGAGUGGCUUCAUGGUCGAGUGUCUUCGAUUCUGUCGAGUGGAAUCCUUCCAGGUCGACUGAAUGGUAGUUUCUUCUACAGAUGUCCUUGGGGAGGGUACCUUGGACAGGUCCAUGACCCUAACCUAGGUACAUGGCUUCAUCAGCGCGCCCGCUCAAAGACGCGCUACUGCUAUAAUUCCCACGAGGCCGCCGCGAGGCCAGUUAUAGCAGCAAUGCGUUAUAACGACGGGCGCUACUUUUAUGUAGCAUAGUAGCGGCGCAUUUCGCCAAUAAGCGCUACUGCUAAGUUUACUACAAAAAUUUAGUCCUACCUCGCUCCGUGAAGAGAGUUUCUACCACCUUAAAUAUGUUACUUCUAAAACUUUGACAAGCACUUAGUCUUCAUUGAACUCUAUGUGUAGAAUUUGUGGCUGCAAUAUGAGUCUUCACCUGUUCCUAAACCUGUGAGUACUCGUAUUGACAAAUCAGAUUGUACACAAAAAGAUCGUUGAUGAUCAAUGUAUUUUUGGUACAUUGAACUAAGUCUAUUUUUAUAUACUGACACAUAGCAGUAGCGCUUCUUUGUGAAAGGCGCUGCUGCUAGGUAGCUUAGCAGUAGCGUCUAUCUCUAUAGCGCGCUACUGCUAAGCCAUUCCAUCUCCCACCCCCCAUCUCCUCUACCCGAUCAACUCACAGUCACACACUCACUAGAUCCCCUCUCAAUCCCCCGCGCCGGUCCUCCCCCGUCGCCCCUCCUCCCUCUGCGCCGCCGUCACCUCCUCCUCCUUGCUGGACUCGGUACCAGCCUCCUCCUCCGUCCUCCCUCUCCACUCACCGUUGGUCGGCCCCUCCUUCCUCCGCCUUCCUCCUCCGUCCUCCCUCCACUAGCCGCCGGCCGGCCCCUCCUCACUCCGCCUUCCUCCUCCGUCCUACUCUCUUCUCCCUCCUCGAGUCACCCCUCCUUCUCCCUCCUGCCUGCUACAUUUUGAUUUAGUAGGAUAGUUCAUAUGCAACAUUUUGAUUUAGUUGAUAUGACUUAGUUGAUUUAGUAGGCUAGUUGAUUUAGUCGAUUUAGAACAUUUUGAUUUAGUUGAUUUAGUAGGCUAGUUGAUUUAGUUGAUUUAGAACAUUUUGAUUUAGUUGAUUUAGUAGGCUAGUUUAUUUAGUUGAUUUAGAACAUUUUGAUUUAGUUGAUUUAGUAGGCUAGUUCAUUUAGUUGAUUUAGAACAUUUUGAUUUAGUUGAUUUAGUAGGCUAGUUCAUUUAAUUGAUUUAGUAUGCAUCAUUUUAUUGUUAUUUUUUCUGUACAUGGAUAGGUACGUAGUUGCUUUUGUUUUUUUAAUAAGUUAUUUUUUGGCAAAAUGUAGGUGCUACCUUGUCAUCUAACAUGUUACUAGAUCUUAGGAUUAUAAUUGUCCGUCAAAUUGCUUCUCGCGAAAGAACCAAAAAUAUCACAUGCUACUGUUUUUCUUUCCUGUGAAGUGGAUCGUUAAUCCUUUGCUCAUAUUGCUUUAGGAAAAAUGGCGCCACCACCACCACCACUAUGUCGACUGUGCAGGUCAAGGUGCACCAGCAGCCUUGCAAUUGGAAAGCUGUUCGGCAUCUACUUCCAGCCGAGUUUUCGUCAUGCGGCGGUAAGAAAUUAGAUGAAAUAUAAUAACUAUUUUAUUUUUAGUGUUGGCAUCACUGCAUUGUGUCAUUUUGCUUAUUUUACACAGAUCGUCCCAUGCAAUGUGAGGUUGAAAUUCAACAAGCUGACAGGAGACACUGUGACAUUUGAGGCUCCGGGGGGCCGUACACUAUGGAGGUCGAGAAAGGACGCAAUAUGUCACAGAUUGGAGGAGAUGGAUGGGCCCGUUUUGUCGCUCGCAUGCGUCUUACUGGUGGUGAGUUGAUCAGCUUCUCCUUCAGAGCCGAAAGACCCAAGCUGGCUGUCAUUUAUCUCAAACUGGUGGAAGAUGAAGAAUAUGAUGAAGAUAAUGAGGACCCACUCGAUAAAGAUGAUGAGGACCCACUUCAUGAAGCCAUCAUAGCUCAAAGAACAAGGCUGAGCGAGGAGGAGGUGUCCAAUCUGUGGGACAUAAUUCCGCCACGUGCUGACUUUGUCGGGGUGCCAUUCGUGACCCGCCUGACAAAUACCACGGUUGAUCGACAUAAUAUGGUAUGUUAUACUUACUAAUGAAAAUUAUCCGAUGAAAUACUUAGUGUAUAGUCCAAUGAUAUGGUAUGUUGUGUGGAAUCUAGUCGAUGAUAUGUUUUAGUGUAGAGUUCGAUCACGUGCUUAUUAGUGUAGAAUCUAAGGAAACUAUUAAUAGUGUAGAUAAUGCAUAUGUACUUAUUUGUGAGGCUAUUUAUUAAUUGAUAUGUUUUUCUUAUUCAGAAAUUGGCAAAGAGCAUACCUGUGAGUUAUGGUAUCGAUCCUGAUGAAGAAGGCUCAGCUGGACUACGCCUUACCACAAGGGGCUCCGUCACAACAUGUGCUUACCGCGUGGACACGGACGGUCGCACACACUUAAACUCGGUUGGAUGGAAGAAAUUCCUCGAUGGCAAGAAUCUUCGUGUUGGACAGGCCAUCCUAAUUACUAUCAGGAACACCAACCGCCCAGGCUUGAGGAUGAUGAUUGUCUUUGAUAUCAUCUAGAACUACAUAUGUGUGUGUGUGGCUAUAUCAUCUAGAACUACAUAUGUGUGUGUGGCUAUAUCAUCUAGAACUACAUAUGAUGAUCGUCGUCGAUAUCAUCUAGAACUACAUAUGAUGAUCGCCGUUGAUAUGACCUUGUACUGCUUGAGGAUGCAUGUUGACUAUGCAUGAAAUUGUUAUCUAGUACUCCCUUCGUUCCAAAUUACUCGUCGUGGUUUGAACUAAAACCAAGAUGAGUAAUUUGGAACGAAGGGAGUACUACCCAGUAAUGGUUUAUGAAUUUGAUAUCUACUAGCAGUACCUAGUAUCUAGUAUCUGAAAGGGAAACUGAAAGGGAAAGGGGUACGGGGGGAAAUGAUGAAAGAUAUAGCAGUAGCGAGGCACUGCGAAAUCGCUACAGCUAGGUAAUAGUAGCACGUUCAUGAAAAGCGUUGCUGAUAUCGUCAACAGUAGUAGCGCGGGUACAGGCCGCGCUACUACUAUAAGUUAGCUGUAGCGCCUUAUUAGUAACGCGGUCACCCGCGCUGCUGCUAGCCUCAAAACCCGCGCUACUACUAGGGUUUUCCCUAGUAGUGAAUAGUCUUUGUGAAAUAGCUUGGAUAAACAUAAAUUGACAAAUUAUUUCUAAAAUUUUACAAUGAAAUGGUGUUAAAGCAUUUUUUUAACUGAACUAAUCCCACAUCAAACACGGUAAGAAAAUAUUGAACAUGCCCUCAUGGAAAUGUGUCAGUUGGUCAACAAGAGGAAAUAAAACACAAUCACAUAGAUGAAUUCUUAUUUGUUAGAAACUUUUCAUGGUGCAUUAUUUAGAGUUCCCCUUAGAGAAAAUUGCUAAUUUGUGAACUCAAGCCAUGGAAUGGUAAAAUAAUCUCUUUCUGCAUGAGAACAAUUAUCAUGAGUAGGAAAAUCACAUACAUUAAUUAGCCCGCACUUGUUCUUCUGCUUGAUAUUGGUAGAUGUCUACUUGAAAAAUUACAAUGACUUAUGUUUCUGGAGCAUUAUACACAUAGACAACAAGUUAUGAAUAAACUUACAGAUAGAACCUAUCUAUAUAAUAACAAGAAAAACCCAUACAUUACAUAAGAUGUUGUAGUCUCUUUUAUAUUUUGGACCGCCAUGUCUACCUUCCUUGAAACUAUUUAAUAGGAUGAUCUUAACAUGUUUUGUACUAACAAAACAAUGUUUGUUGUCACAUGUCCGAAUCGGUUUUAGGUCUAGGUAGGUAAAGGAAACCGGGAGGUGAUGGACCCUUCACCUCUUGACCUGCUAGUGCCACCGCGGAUUCCACAUCCAAUCUUUUUUUUACAUCAUAGUUAACCCAUUCGAAUGCAAUGAUGGUGGCAGCUCGAUGACACAUUGGAUCAGGCAGGAUGUUAACAUCAGUGGCAAAGGGGCGGCUCCAAGAGGCUCUAGUAGGAGAAUGACAUAAGUGGUGGAGGGUUUCAUCACUCAUCCGGAUAAAAAGAAUAUAUCAAUAUAAACUUCAAUUUGAGAUAUAAACUUCAGAUGUUCUAUUUUCAAAAGGUAUAAUUUUUGUGUUAUAUAGUUUCUAUUAGGGUGAUAAAAUUGGCAACCUAGGUAUACGCGUAGGACUUGUAAUCAGGAUGUACUAUUGGUCAAAAUACUAGUGUUUCAAAUUAAUAUACAAUGGAUACUUCUACAGAAAUAGUAUUAGUAGUACAUUCCUCUAGUCCUGUACAAGAUAGGCUCGCGUGGUAGAUAUAUGAAAUAUAGUAGUACAGUAGGAGUAGAUGAUAGGCUAACAUCCUAGAUAAUAAUCAAUGUCAAGACAUCGGACAGAGAGGUGCCCCUGGGUAAAUUUUCAUCUUAUAUUAUCUAUAUUGACUAGGUGAAAGCAUCUUUCAAAUCAUCACGUUAAUCCGACGCUACCAUUGCAGAAAAAACAGAAAUUUAAAUUUCCAAAUUAUUCAAACAUAAUUGUGUAUGCUCUCGAGAUAUGUGCCUACGAUGCAAAAAUAUUAUGCAUCCAAAUUUUAAUAGACAUAGAGAGACAACAAAGACAAUUUCAGAUGUCAAUAAUGUCAUUUAUAUGUUCUCUUUUUGUGAAACUAUUGAUGAUGCAUUAUAUAUAUAUAUAUAUAUAUAUAUAUAUAUAUAUGACAAAUUUUUCCUACUACAGAGUGUAGUUACAUCCAUUUUUAUUUUGUACGUUUUAGGUAGUAUCUAUCAUACCGCAGUGUAUGUAUGCGUAGUAUGUAGUAUGUAAGAAUAUUUAGGUAGUAUAUAUACUAUUCUUUAGGUAGUAUGUAGUAUAUUUUUAGCAUACUUCUUUUUACGUACAAAUAUGUAUGUAUUUUCACAAAUAUGAUAAAAACAUGGGCUCACAUGCAAUUUUUUCACAUAACUCGCUUUGAAGUAUCUUAGAUGUAGUAUAUGAACAUACUAAAAAUGAUAAAGUAGUAUAUAUACUACCACAUAGUAGUAUAUGAGAAAUGGGUGUAACUACACCCGGUAGUAGGAUGCAUUUUCCCUAUAUUUCUCUAUGUUUAUUUCAAAAUUGAAUUUCAAGGUUUUAGCAAGUUAUACACAUAUCUUGUGAACAUUUAGAAAUUUACUAAGAAUUUUUUUGUAACAAUAAAUAGUUUUGUGCAGUGGUAUCACCGUAAUAUUUAAACAGUUAUAUCACCGAAUAUUCUCCCCAAAAGUAUAUAUAAUUUGUUGAUCUUGAAAAUAACUACACGUAGAGGGUUUAGAUUUCUCAUGAGAAUCAUAUGCUGCAGUAAGAGUCCUCUCGCAAAUUACGUGGCAUAUGGUGUUCGUGGCAAUUAAAAAACUGUUUAAUGAAACGGCUGGGAGUUCGAGCUGUAAUACUAAUCCAAAAAUAUUCUACUAAAUAAAAAAAGAAAAUUAAUUUGGUCAACCAAAUAUGAGUGAUAUGCCAUGAAAAUGGUACCACUGGAAACUUCGGCCACACGUUGGAGGUACGUAGUUGUUGGGCCCUAUUUAUUACUGUACUAACUAGACAUCAUUUGUUUAUGUAGACAAUUAAGGGUCAACGGAAGUACUCUUUUCUUGUGAAUGUUGGGGUGUCCACAGGUACUUUUCAUACCACAGUACCACCACAGUGUCCUCAGGGACGUGGAAACUUAGAGAUGCGACCACAGCCCCAGCUCGCCGUCGUAAUCUGAACUAACUGCCUUGAGCUCGAUGGGAACAGCUGCUCCAAAUUCCUGUUUUUGGACAAUGGCAGAAGCGACGGCGGCACCAGAACCAGUCUUGCUCAACAUAUAUAAUAAUCACAAGUAUGUAGCCGUUAGCAGUUGUCCAGCUCAUAUCCAUCACUUCGGAAUUUGAGAUUGGUGAAUGACACCUAGCUACAUGCCAAACACCCUAGCUAUCUAUACCAUUGAAAGCAACGGAUAUGGUUGAACAACUUCACGUUCGGUCGUUGAUGAGACUGUACUACGGAAUCCCCAAAUGGACCAAAAGUUGAUUUUUUUUCUUUCGAAAAGGGGAUCCCGGCCUCGGCAUCAGCAUGAUGCAUACGGCCAUCUUAUUAAAAUAAAGCAUCCACAAAGUCUCGAAGUCUCAAUAGUAGCAAAAUAAAGAAGAAAAGGCUCACACAGAGCCAGAAGGCUAGAUACACAAGCUAGCCAAAAAAGGAUAAACCACAACCGGUUGGCUCAAAAAUAGACAGGUAAACUAAUUGCCUAUCCUAUUACAUGACCGCCAUCCAAACCGGCUGAAGAUAUCCCGAGCUACCGUCUCCCAUCGGGUAGCACCAGUAACCAAAAGCUCCCUGGCCUCCGUCGGAGUGAGUAGCGACCAGGAACAGAUAAGUGCCGUAGCUCUGAAGAUGACCUGCAAAAAAUGAAUGUUUGUUGUUCUGUUAAAGACCAGAUCAUUUCUGCAAUUCCAAAGCGCCCACACUAAGGCGCACACCCCCAUGCGAAUAUGUUUUGCUAACCCGGGCUCUACCCUGUUUAGCCAUGUUCCAAACAACAUGUUAACCGAAUUUGGCGGAGGAAUAUUGAAAGCAAUAUGAACAGUCGUCCAAAGAAUUCUAGCUAGUGGGCAAUCAAAGAACAAAUGUUCAAUGGUUUCACCCUGAUCACAGAAACUACACCUAGUAGGCCCUGUCCAAUUGCGCUUUGUUAAAUUGUCCUUUGUUAAGAUAACUUGUUUGUGUAGAAACCACAUAAACACUUUGAUCUUCAAAGGAACUUUGACACCCCACACAUGCUUGGAAGUAGGAAUCGAGCUCGAAUUAAUGACAUCAACAUACAUUGAUUUAACUGUAAAUUCACCCGACCUAGUGAGAUUCCAGCGGAGUUUAUCGGGUUGUUGUGAAAGUUGGACCUGCAUCAGUCUCCUAACUAUAUGUAGCCAAUCUUCCCAACGAUUGCCCACUAACGACCUUCUAAAUUGAAUAUUAAGGGGUAUCGAAUGAAAGACCGUUGCAACCAGAGCAUCGCGUCUUUGGACUAUGCGAUACAACGACGGAUACUGGAUUGCAAGGGGCGCACCUCCGAGCCAAGUAUCCUCCCAGAAUCUUGUGCUGGCACCAUUACCAACGAUAUGCUUUGUCCUCUGAAACAAUGAAAGCUUAACUUUCAUAAGCCCUUUCCAAAAGGGUGAAUCAGUUGGUCUAACCGUGACCUGAGACAAAGUUUUGGUUUGAAGAUACUUAUUACGAAGGAUUUGAGCCCAAGUGGCGUCAAUUCCUGAAGAUAACUUCCACAACCACUUACUAAGAAGGCAUCGGUUCUUAACCUCAAGAUUUUCGAUCCCGAGACCCCCUUGGUCUUUCGGCCUACAAAUGAUAUCCCACUUCGCUAACCGGUAUUUUCUUUUUAGCUCAUCUCCCUGCCAAAAGAAUCGCGAUCGAUAGAAGUCCAGUCUUUUCCUUACACCAACUGGGACUUCGAAGAAAGACAAAAGAAACAUGGGCAUGCUCGUGAGAACCGAAUAAAUAAGAAUUAAACGGCCUCCAUAUGACAUGAGCUUACCCUUCCAGCAACUUAGUUUCUUUUCGAAUCGAUCCUCAAUACACUUCCUUUCGUUGUUCGUAAGCCUACGGUGAUGUAUAGGUAUUCCUAAGUAUGUGAAUGGCAACUCCCCCAAACCACACCCAAAUAAUUGUUUGUAUGCUUCUUGUUCCUCCUUGGCUCUACCAAAGCAGAACAACUCGCUUUUGUGGAAGUUAAUUUUGAGCCCACUCAAUUGCUCAAACAAACAAAGCAACAGCUUCAUAUUUCUUGCUUUUACCAAGUCAUGCUCCAUGAAGAUGAUAGUGUCAUCAGCGUACUGCAGAAUGGAAAUUCCUCCAUCCACUAAAUGAGGCACCAAGCCUCCCACUUGGCCAGCCUCCUUGGCUCUCCCUAACAAAACUGCCAACAUGUCCACAACGAUGUUGAACAGAAUAGGGGACAUUGGAUCUCCUUGCCGCAGGCCCUUAUGUGUUUGGAAGUAAUGACCAAUGUCGUCAUUCACUUUAAUGCCAACACUACCCUUUUGCGUGAAAGAUUCAAUCUGGCUCCUCCAGACCUCGUCGAACCCUUUCAUAUGCAAGGCUUGUUGUAGGAAAGGCCACUUAACUUUAUCGUACGCUUUCUCGAAAUCCACUUUAAAGAUGACUCCAUCUAGUUUCUUUGAGUGGAUUUCAUGGAGCGUUUCAUGCAAGACCACCACCCCCUCUAGGAUAUUUCUAUCCGGCAUGAAAGCUGUCUGGGAUUGCUGCACCAUAGAAUGCGCAAUCUGUGUGAGCCUAUUAGUCCCUACCUUGGUAAAAAUUUUGAAACUAACAUUCAAAAGGCAGAUAGGCCGGAACUGCUCAAUCCUCAGAGCAUCGGUCUUUUUUGGUAGCAGCGUUAUGGUCCCAAAGUUCAAGUGAAAAAGUUGAAGCCGUCUAGCAAAAAGGUCAUGAAACAUAGGUAAUAGAUCCCCCUUGAUAAUAUGUCAGCAUUUUUUAUAGAACUCCACCGGAAACCCAUCCGGCCCGGGAGCCUUAUUGUUCUCCAUCUGAGAGAUGGCAUCGAAAACCUCCUUUUCCGUAAACGGCGCAACCAAAAUAGCAUUGUCAGAAGCAGUUAGUUGAGGCACAUCCUCAUUCCUGGACUCAUCGAGGGACACAGGGCUAUCCUCCGGCGGUCCAAAUAACUGCUUAUAGUAUUCGGUGAUGUAAAGCUUCAGAUUAUCGUGACCAACAAUUGUGCCUUCGUCUUGCUCGAGAUGGAAUAUAUUUUUCUUUCUGUGUGUUGCCAUUCGCAAUGAGGUGAAAGAAUUGAGUGUUCGCAUCCCCCUGCACUACUUUGCGAACCUUUGCUCUGAGCGCCCACUUCAGCUCUACUUCGCGGAGAAGUUCCUUCAACCUCUUCUCCGCAUCAAGCUUAAAAGUCAAUUCAGCAGGUUGCAAAAUUGUUGAUUCAGCUUUAAUAUCUAGGGAUUGUAUAAGAUCCAGGAGUCUGUCCUUCUCAAUCUUAUAAGCUCCACUAAGGUGCUUGGCCCAUCCCCGGAGAAAGCUCCUCAAAUGCCUGAUCUUAUUCUGCCAUCUCUCGACAGACGUUCUACCCCCUGUGUCCGUAGCCCACUCCCUGGCUACGAGAUCCAGGAAACCUUCUCGUUCAAACCACGCCGUUUCGAAAGAGAAGGCAUUUUUGUUUCCCACAUGCCUUGGCUCACCUGAGUCUACAAACAAAGGCGUGUGGUCUGAAAUCCCGCGCGUGAGAGCCUGAACCGUGACGAGAGGGAACUUCUGUUCCCACUCGGCACUUGCUAGUACCCGAUCCAACUUCUCAUAUGUCGGAUUGGGUAAAGAGUUAGCCCAGGUGAAUUGUCGACCAGAAAGCUCGAUCUCUCUCAGAUCCAAACUCUCAAUGAUGGUGUUAAACAUAAACGACCAUCUGCCGUCAAAGUUAUCGUUAUUCUUCUCGUCCCUCCUCCUAAUGAUGUUGAAGUCCCCCCCAACCAAAAUUGGGAGUUGCUCAGACCCGCAAAUACGAACAAGGUCAGCCAGAAAUUCCGGUUUAAGUUCAGGUUGUGCGGCCCCAUAGACCGCCACCAGAACCCAGUUAAACCCAUCUACUUUAGACCUGACUCGAAAUUUGACCGCGAAGUCACCCAUUACAACGCUACGAACUUCAAGGGAAUCACAUCUCACACCAAGCAAGAUGCCACCUGACCUCCCUCUUGGAGGAAGACAAUGCCAAUCGAAAUCCACACCUCCCGACAGCGUGUUAAGAAACUGUGGCGCAAAAUUAUCCCGACCAGUUUCAGAGAGUGCAAUGAAAUCUAAUCGGUGCUCUAAAGACGCCUCCGCUAGAAACCUUCGUUUAGCCAAGUCCUUAAGACCUCUGCUAUUCUAGAAUAUUCCUUUCAUAGGUCAUCAUGGAAUUUUUUGGCAGUACGAAUCCUAGCGCUCCUACGUACCGCGGAUGCAGGGUACACCUUCCACUUCCACUUACGUUUAGGAAUAUUAUUUCCCGUAGCCCGGUCCUCAUAACCGGGCUCCGGUUGUGGAAUUACUACAUCAUCCACACGGAGUUCCUCCUCGUCAGACUCCGCAGACGGAGGAACAAGAUCCGCAGAAAAAUGGUCAAGCACUCUUACUCCCAAUGCAUCAAUCUCAGCAUCAUUCAUAGGUCUUACUGCCGCUAGGUUUCUAAUGGUUUCUAUGGCACGUUCCGCUUCCAAAUCUAGGAGAUCGUUAACUGAGUUUGAAAUUUCAGAAUUAUUAUUCCCAAGCGACACCCCUACUUGGUUUGCAUUAUUAAUAAUCUCAUCCUUAGAAAAAUGCAAAAUGGAAUUGGAUAAAUUUACUGACAUACCGGUUGUGACCUCAACAUCACGAAGCUUGGCCGCCCGCAUAGCGCACCGCUGCUGCAUAUCAUCAACCUCUGGAAGGUCCUGGAGACGAGAGCUCAUCCGUCUCCCCUCGGAGACCGGGUCUGGGAUCCCUCCGAAAGCAAUGACCUCCUCCCGAGUAGCGGCACUCGGAGGGGGCAGGGACAAGGGAGAGCUCCGAAGGUUGGGAGAGAGGCCAGAGGAAGUGGGCGCCAAGGCCGCCUGCCCUAGUCCGUCCCCCCUGCCCUCACCCUCGCAGCCAAGUGCAUCGCCGUUUCGACCGCCGUCGAGACUAGGGGGUCUGGGGCCACCUGCCCCUGACGCCUGCCUAGCGCCUCCGGCGAUCCCUCCGCAAGCAUAGCUCCCGCGUGGCACUCCUCCAGGGCCACCUGCCUCAGAGAUGGACCACCACCGCCGGUUACCGGCGCCAAAGCUGUCGACACCGGUAACAAGGUAGUAUGAGAGGGAGUCUUGGCCGCCUGCCCCGACGCCCCCCCCCCUCGGUGUAGCUACCAAGUCGAGCUCAAAUUGGCUGCACGAGGACACCAAGGACCCUGGGAGCACCGGAGCCCCCUGAGGCUCCGCAGCGCCUAUCCUCUCCAGGUUCGGCUCGGAUACACCCGGAUCACGGAUGCCGUCCGUAAGAUGGAGCGCCGAUCCAAAGUCCAAAACCGGGAGCGAGUGCUCAAAAGCAUCGUCAGAGUCAACCCGAUCACUCCAAAGCCGAGGAGGGGCCGACGUCGGCUGAAAAGAUCCAAACCGCAAAGUGUUGUGAGGCAGAGACGAAGUAGGAGACGGCUCAACUCCGGAUCCGGUCUCGGGCUCCUGAGCUAUAGGUCCCGAUCCGUUGGACUCCUGUUCAGCCUCAUCAGUCGGUCCCCUCCUAGCACCAGCAUCAUUGCCCCCUUCGUGCAUAUCCACAUCAGUACCAGUAGCCACCUCAGCAAACAACUCAGCGUCCUCAAACUCGAUCUCAAGGGGAAACACCUCUCCCCUAUAUGUCCAGUUGACCACGUCCGGAACGUACUCUAUGUCCAGAAUACUGACUCGCAAUCUGGCCACCCCCUGGGCUCGAGUGAAUGCCAUAUCAACCUUUUCCGUUUUACCAACCAUGAUACCCAAACUAGCCACAACACGAACAUCAGCCAGGGCCUCAGAUGGUGCCCCAGAGAAGCGCAACCACACUUGAGUAAGAGGCUUCCCCUUAGGCUCAAAUUUCUUCCAUUCGUGAAACUCCAAAAUACCAUUGGUGCCUGGAACCUUACACAUCCCAAAGCUCAGCAAGCGCUGCAAGUCCUCAACUGAAGGGAACUCAACUCUGAACACUCUUUCUUCAAUGGAAACAAGGUCCCACUGAAAAUCACCCGGAGCCAACUCCUGAAGCUUCUGCACAAUCUGAGCCUGUGAGACAUCUCCCUGGGUGACCUUCACCAAACCAGUAGUGAGACUCUGAGUAUCAACUGGAAUCUCCCUCGCAGCUGCUGACUCAAAAAACAUCAGCUCAGCACAAUACACGCCGUACACUGUAAGAGCUGGAAUCUGCUCCCUCAAAAAAGGACACUCCCCCGAUGCAUGUGCUGGCUUGCCACAAGACUCACAAAGCUGAGCCACGCAUUUUGCAAUGAAAUGACCUUUCUCCCCGCACCGGUAACAAAGCAUCCUCUCUUUCUUGCGCGCAUACUUGGAUGCCCGCUCAGCAUCAGCCCUGUCAGCGACCUCAGUCUCCUUCCCAGUCCCAGGAACAUCAGCAACGGCCAGUGCAUUCACCACCUCCAUCGCCUGGGGUGGUAGCUCAGGGGGAACCUGGUCAGUCUCCAUUGCCGCAACGGCAGGGUCUGCAACCCUGGGUGGAGGCGGUCGGCGAAACCUCCCUCGGCCUCCACCACGACCACAGUAUCCACAAAAACCACCUCUCUGUCGAUUAUCCGGUCCUGAGGCCCCCUCAACAAAACCUCCAGCUGGGCCAAGAAACGGUCUCUCCAUAGACCCGUCACUCUGCCAUGCAUAUCCACGGCCUCCUCCCGUGGAAGAGGAUCCUCGAUGCUGACCAACACCAUAUGCAUCAUACCCGUCAUCCCCCCACUUGCCUCGUGGUGGAUCAUUUGGACCUCCAUUAUUAUUAGUCUGUCUGGCCUGUGACUGCGUCUGCCCAAAGCGGUUCUGCGCCUGCCGUGCGACAAGAUGAGGCGGAGGUGCACGUUGCUGUCCACCCGAAGGCACAUGCACGGCCUCGGGGGUAACACCUCCACGGCCAGCCGUAGCCACCCCCGGCGCAGGGGGUCUGUGACCAACCGAACCCACCGCCGCCGUCACAGCGGCUGGCGCCACCGGAGAAGGAGGCCGCUGCACACCCCGGCCAGCAGCAGACGGAGCCACUCCCGGCGCCGGGGGCCUUUGCCCGCCACGCCCAGCCGCAGACGGCAGCAAAGCCGGAGGCCGGGCUCCCUGGCUCGCGGCGCUCCCCUGGUUGCCCGCCUGCUGCCUCAAGGGAGGAGGAGGAGCUCCGCGGUGCUGUGGGGGAGGCGCCCCUCCCCGCCCCGCAGCACCCGUAGCCGGCGCCGGCGGCCGCUGUCCGUGCGGCACGGGGGCGCCACGGCCCGAACCCUGCGCCGGCGGCGGAGCAACUCCGCCCCUCCCCACCGCGCCAUUCGCAGCGGGUGGGGGGGGGGCAGUCCCCCGGCGAGCCAUAAGUCUCAGCGGCGAAAUCCUCCUUGCCCGGCGAUCACCGCAGACCGGAUACCCUCGACGCCCGCACCUACGAACCCUAACUCCACCCAACGACGGCGCAGGGUAGAUCGCACGAUCGGGUUCAUACGUGCAUGGCUCGACAACCAAACCGGGAUGGACUUCAGAGGUAACAUGGGCCUCAUACCCAUGUGUCUCCGGCCCAUCUCCCUCAAGGCCCGCAUCCGUCUGUGCUGGCCCAGCCGCACCCAGCAGCCGUUCCAGCGCGGCCGCCCUCGACGUUUGAAUCGAGGCCGCUGCGGCCGCCAUCACCCGCACCGGCGAUCCCAAACUCCGGGCCGAUCGCCGCGCCUUCUUUCUUCGCUUAACCGUAACCCACUCCUCCGGACGAAUCAAAUCAAAAACAGUAAGUUUUGGCAAACUAACCUUAGGUAAAGGUCCUUUCCACGGCCGGAGUGCCGUUACCGCCGUCUUCCGAUGAACGAUCCGGCGGAUCAUCUCGAUCCUCUCUCCGGCGUGUAGUCCCGCGCGAGCCGGAUCCUCCGGAGGAACGACCCAAUCUACCGUGGUAGCCACCUCCUCUUCGGAAUACCCUGAAUGGAAAAACUCGCAGAUGAGGUCAGAAGGGGAAGGCGACGGCGGCGACUCCACCGGCGGCGCCGCCCCAUCAUCUUCCGCGUCUUCUUCAUCAGAGUCCGCCAAAGCCCAAAACCGGCCUCCCACCCGCCGGCGAUCGCCGGUGCCGGACGGCGGAUCCGCAGUCGGGUGCAAGUCGCCCCCGCGGUCGCCCUCAGAGCGCCCCCUCGGUCGCCCCAUCCAGCUAGGCCUCACUGCGGCGGUGAUAAUAUAUUUGUCACGACACUGCGGCUGCCACGUGGUGCACCACGAUCAGUGUGACCGAUCAAUAAAUCCCACUUACGAUCUAACAAAUUUGUUGCCUCUCAAUUUUCGCAUGUUUUUGAAGUUGUAGUCUCAGAAUCAACACAACAGAAAAGAUGGCCAUACUUUACAUGUUACGCAAUCCCCUAUACGUUUCUGUAAACUAGCAAUGUAGCCCAUGUAAAUGCACAUGCAGAGUCUUUUAAUCAUCUAUCGUAUAUUAUUGAUCAAGUUACAUACAAAGUGUGAUUCAUAAAUUCCGGAAUAUAUUUAGAUUUUUUAUUUAUUAUUUUCACAACUACUAGGGAAAUGAAUCAUAUCCCAAAGAAUUAAUAUUAAAACAAAUUGUGGUAGGCUGGAGUUACAUGCAGAGUCUUUUAAUUUUCAUUACGUUUAUGUUACUAAUAUUUACAACAACAACAACAACAACAACAACAACAACAACAACAACAACAACAACAAGAAUGUCUUUAGUCCCAAACAAGUUGUGGUAGGCUGGAGUUGAAACUCAUAAGAUCUCACAAUCAACUCAUGGUUCUCGCACAUGGAUCACAAGCUUUGUUGUCUGGGAACCUAAAUGGGUAUGAAAUUGAUGUCCAAAUCAUGAGUUGGCUUACCAUUUCGACUUCAUAUUAGUUUGAUAUGUAAAUUUUGUACGCGAUGUUGGCAAGUCCUUAAGUUAAAGCAAAAGAAGUUUAAAUAAUAAUUUAUUGGUUUUACCAUGGUUUAGGUCCAUUACGAAUUUAGAUAUUACAAUAUCGUUCCCACUUGAAAUUAAAUAGUUUUAUUGCGCACUAUUUUCAUAUAUGUUCCCAUAUUGUCUAAGGCUUGUGUGAUGUUCUCUUUAGUUUUAAUUAAAGAUCCUUUUGAAAGAGCAUAACCUGAGAACGGUGACCUUUUUCUAUUCUAAUAUGGACACACCGAGUUCCUAAACAUUAAAAAAACGAGGAUUUUUUAUGUAUCUCCCAUUGGCCUUUUUGCAUAGACCAAUAAUAAUGUUGGCGAUGGUCUUCAUCAAGUAGCAAGGACAAACAUAAAUUAACCGAAUAUUUCUCUAAAUGAACUGGUGUGAAGGUGUUUUUUUAAAUUGAAGUAAUGCCACAUCAAGCACAGUAAGACAUGUUGAACAUGCCAUCAUUGAAAUGUGUCAGUACAUUAAUAAGAAGAAAUGAAAUAAAAUCACAUACGUGGUUAUUUCUUCAACACUCCUUGUGCAACAUUCUUCUAUGUUUUUCAACUACAGUUCCCCUGAGAAAAAAAUGCUAAUUUCUGAACUCAAGUGAUGGACCUUUAAAUAAUCUCUUUGUAAAUGUUCCAAAAUUAUAUAGAGUUUGAAAAUUUUGUACACUACUUAUCUCGUACUUAUUAUUCUGCCUGAGAUCGGUAGAUGCCUACUUGCCAAAUUAUAAUGACAUAAUGCAGUCAAAACAUGGACCACUGCUCAGGUAGAAGCUUAUGUUUCUAGAGAAUUAUAAACAUAAGAAGCAAGUUAGGAAGAAAGUUGCAUAUUAGUCCUAUCUAUGGAUGACAAAGAAGAAGUACAUACAUUACUUAUAGGAUGGCAUAGUAUUUUAUAUAUUUGGCAUCACCAUGUCUACCUUUCUUUAAAUUAUAUACAAGGAUGACCUUAGGAUGCUUCUUACUAAAAAAAUACCUUUGUUGUCGCAUGUACAUAUCAGUUUUAGGUCUAGCAAGCUAAAAGCAAAUAGGAGGUGAUGACAUCUCCGCCUCCUACACCCUGGCUCCACUUCGGGUUCACCAUCCAAUUUUUUGUGCAUCGUAGUGCUUUAUUAUGUAUGAAAGCCAGCAUGGUGGCAGCUCAAUGAGGUGCUGGAUUAGGAAGAUGGUUGACAUCGGUGGUGGAUGGUGGCUCGAAAAGGCUUCAGCGGGAGCUUAGCAUCAGUGGCGGAGGGUAUCCUCACUUGUCUGGAUGCAUCUUGUUCACAAGAUUAACACAUGACAAGAUGAUGGAAUAUGACAUGGACUUGUGAUUCACAAGGAAUGGAAAUGGAUAGAAGGAAAAUUUUAGUUUAGUAUUGAAUUGCGCGCAGUUACAACUUCCAAUCAUGUCGACUACCAUAAUUACUCAGUGGAUGUAUGGACUACUGGGAUGAAGAGCAUAAUUACUUGUUUCCCAAAGAGUUAACCAUGGAAAUGUUUUUGGUUGAUUAGUUGAUCGGUACCAUAGGUGGUUCUUUUGACUGGUUUAAUGCCCACAUUAAGUGGAACUGCUAUGAGAUAAAGGUGUAAUAUUGUUCAGGAAAAAAAUGUUCUAAAUUAAUAAAGGAUGGAUACAUGUUUUGAAAUAGCAAUUGUAGUACAGUUUCCAGUCCUGUACAAGAUAGGCUCAACUCACAAAUAUGAAAAAGUAGUAUAGUAAAAGGUAGGCUCACACCCCACAUACUGAUGAAUGGAUGGACAUAUGACAACAUAGUUCUCCUUGGUAAUUCUGCAUCUAAUCUUAUCUAUAUUAACUAAGUGAAAGCAUCCUACAAGUCGUCAUGUUAAUUCGAGGAUAUCAUCGCACAAAACAGAAAUAAAGUUUCUUAAAUGUUCAAGAGGAAUUGUGUAUGUUCUCAAGAUAUGCGAAAAAAAUUAGAAAUCCAAAUUAAAAUACACAUAGAGAGAUAAUGAAGACAAAUCUAAAUGUGAAUAGUGUCAUUUUCGUUGUUGUCUUUUUGUGACACUAUUCAUGCUGGAUUAUUGUUUCUUCGUGUGUAUUUCAGAAUUAAAUUUGAUGUUUUUAGUAACUUACACACAUAUCUUGUGAGGAUUUACAAAUAUUCUAAGUUGAAACAUUAAAAUUUUAGUUUAAUACAUUGGUAUCACGAUAAGCUUUUAACAUAGUAUCAAUAACUAUUCUCAGCAAAAGUACAUCUAAUUUCUUGCUCUUUAAAAUAACUCCACAUAGAGGGUUUUUAUUUCUUAGGAUAAUGAUACACCAUAGCAAGAGAGUCCUAUCGCAAUUUACAUGGCAUAUGGAGUACAUCUUAUAUUAAAACAAUUGUUUAAUGCCCAAAGUUGAUUGGAACGUCGAGCGCAAGCAUAAUACUAGUCCAAAAAUAUUGUUCUAAAUAAAUAGAAAUUUUGACCAUUAAUCGGAUAAAAAUUAUGAGUGAUAUGCCAUCAAAAUUUUACCAUGGAUAACUUCUUGAACUUGAAUCCUAUUAUAAAGUUUUUAUUAACAUAUACCUCAUAAUUUGUUGACCAAAAUAACCGCUCCAAUUUUAACUAAAUAUAUGUUAGCCUUAAAAACACAAACGGAGCGAGGAUAUGAUAUCUUAGAUCCCAAAGCUUGACAAAUGCCUAGGCAUAGGGUGGUGUUGUGCCCCUUUGGAUUUUUUUGUCUUGUAUCAUCUAAUUGGAGGCUUCAACGGGAGGUUGGCAUCAGUGGCGGAGGGUAUCGUCACUCGUUGGGAUACAACCUGUUGACCAAAUUAACACAUGACAAGAUGAUAGAUAGGUCGCAUAGACUUGUGAUUGACAAGGAAGGGAAAUAGAUGGACGGAAAAUUUUAGUUUGGUGUUGGAUUUCAUGCGGUUGUAUCUUCUAAUCAUGUCGAAUCCCACAAUUACUCGGUGGAUGUAUGGACUACUUGGCUGAAGAGCAUAAUUAUUUGUCUGACCAAGAGUUAACUAUGGAAAUACUUUUGGUUGAUCGGUACCAUAGGUAUUCAUUUUGAAUGGUUUAAUGCCCACAUUAAGUGGAAUUGCUACGAGAUCAAGGUUUACUAUUGGUCAAGAAAAAAAUGUUCUAAAUUAAUAAACAAUGAAUACAUCUACUGAAAUAGCAUCAGUAGUACAGUUUCCAGUCCUAUACAAGAUAGGCUCACCUCACCGAUAUGAAACAGUAGUACAGUAAAAGAUUAGCUCACAUCCCACAUCCCGAUGAAUGGAUGGAGAUAGGACAACAUGGUUCUCCCUUGUAAUUCUGCAUCUAAUCCUAUCUAUAUUGACUAAGUGAAAGCAUCCUUCAAGUCAUCACGUUAAUACAAGGAUACCAUUGCACAAAACAAAAAUAAACUAUCUAAAAUGUUCAAGAGGAAUUGUGUAUGUUCUCAAGAUAUGCAAGAAAAUUACAAAUCAAUACACAUAGAGAGACAAAGAAGACAAAUCUAAAUGUGAAUAUUGUCAUUUUCAUUGUUAUCUUUUUGUGACACUAUUCAUGCAGGAUUAUUGUUUCUCCAUGUGUAUUUCAGAAUUGAAUUUGAUGUUAUUAGUAACUUACACACAUAUAUUGUGAGGAUUUACAAAUAUUCUAAGUUGAAACAUUAAAUUUUUUGUUUUAUAUGUAGUGGUAUCGCUGUAAGAUUUUAACAAAAGUAACACUAAAUAUUCUAAGCAAAAGUACAUCUAAUUUCUUGAUCUUUAAAAUAGAUCCACUUGGAGGGUUUUUAUUUCUUAAGACAAUGAUAUACCAUUGCAAGAGAGUCCUCUCCCAACUUACAUGGCAUAUGGUGUUCAUCUUAUAUGAAAACAAUUGUUUAAUGCCCAAAGUUGACUGGAACGUCGAGCACAAGUGUAGUACUAGUCCAAAAAUGUUCUUCUAAAUAAAUAGAAAUUUUGACCAUUAAGUUGGAUAAAAAUUAUGAGUGAUAUGCCAUGAAAAUUUUAGAAAGGAUAACUUCACUUGAACUUGAAUCUGAUUAUAUAGUUUUUAUUAACAUAUACCUCACAAUUUGUUGACCGAAAUCACCGCCCCAGCCUAAUGAACACAGACGGAGCGAGGACAUGAUAUCUCAGAGCCCAAAAAUUGAUGAAUGCCUAGUUAUAGGGUGGUGUUGUGCUCCUUCGGAUUUUUUGUCUUAUAUGAUCUAAUUGGAGACAUACUUGGAGCCAACACAUUAUUGCUAGAAAAAAAUAGAUUUAAUAGAUUGAUCUUAAAAAUAAGUCUGCAUGACAGUUCAGUGUUCUAACCGCGUAAUGAGAUAUUACUAGCAAUUCACAACUCUUAUGCGGUACAUGUUCUGAGUAUUUACCACCCGCCUAAAAAUGUGCUAGGCAUAAGGAUGAUCCCAAUAGGUUCAUUGUUCAUUGAGGAGGCUCACGCCGAGAGUAGGCAGUGAUCCUCGAUGAUCUCCUCCCAUGGAUCGUCUCUAUCUCCGUGUUGUCUAGAUGCGGGCAAAGAUUAUUAUGGCAUCACUCUAGUUUAGUAUUUAAUCAUGCGGUGGAAAAUAAAGGAUUGGAUGACUGCAGACUAUAUAGUGUGCCUUUUGACAAUGCAUUGGCAGGUGAGUUCAUACAUAUUAGUUCUAGAGUACAUAAUUAUUGAUUGGUUAAAUAUAGAUUGCUUAUACCUACUUGUGUAGUUUAAUAAUACGACUUAUUCUAAUGGUUUUUAUAAACCCACCAGGCCAGAAGCUUCGUGGACUUAAGCAUUUACUUUUCUAGUUAGACAUCAACAUCUUGGAGCUAAUGUGGGAGUCGUUCAACAAACCACAUGUUAAGCUAAAUAUCUAUUGUGUUACCCAAGCUAGGAGAUUAUCUUUGACAGGGGAAACUAUGUGUUUUGGGGAUUUUUAUGUCAAGGGAGCCCAAUCAGUUCUCAAUUGAGUGAAUUGAAAAACAGAAAACCAUAGAAAGGACUAGCAGAAAACGGGCCUUUAGUCCCGGUUCUGAAACCGGGACAAAACAAACGGGACUAAUGCCCAAAACCUUUAGUCCCGGUUGGCUUACGAAGCGGGACUAAAGGAGCUCCACGUUGCCGCUGUCUGGAGCUCCACCUUUAGUCCCGGUUGGUAACACGAACCAAACACCAAUCGGGACUAAAGAAUUUUAAAAAAAAAAUAGAUUUUUUUUGAAUUUUUUCCGAUUUCAAAUAUCUGAAUUAUUUGACAAUUUAAUCUCUAAUCACCCCACAUCACUGCCCAAGUGUGGAGCACUCAUUUCAAAUCGUCUAAGUUCUCGGCUGGUUACCCAUCCUCUCACUAUUUCAGCCUAAGCAUGCUUAAAACUCCCAAGGUCUAUUCCCCCUAGUUUCCAAGUCUGCAUUUGUUUUUCUGCUCACAAUAGUAAACUGUCAAUCGUAUUAACCCUUAGGAAAUGAAAUUGAGCAUGAAGUCACACGUUUCACCAUUUGAGUUCGAAACUAUUAUUCUAAAAAACAAUAUUUAUUUAGUAACACUAAUAUUUCUUAAACAAGUAGUUUGACCAUAGUUUGACCAUAGUUUGACCAGAGUUUGGCCAAAAAUUCAAAAAAGCUUAACUUUGAGGAUAACUUUUUUCUUUUCAGAAUUUGAGGAUACUAAAAAUUUGCAAAACGGCAUGCGGCAGUCGAAAUUGGAACCGGCUUUCCAUACUGAACAUUUUGAUAUAUUAUACGUUUUUUCCGACAUCGUAUGCAAAAGUUAUAGCCGUUUUCAUAACUCUUUUUUCAAAACAUGUCGAAAUUUAUGUUUUUUAUUUUUCCUAACUAGUAGAUAUAGUAACAUAACUACAUAUCGAAGGAUUUUAAUUUUUGAAGUUUUUAUCAUUUUCUUUUUUUUCCAAACUGAAAUGGCGAUAGGGGGUAGAGUUUGAAAAUUGCAGAACCCCUUUAGUACAGGAUGGUGUCCAUCCAAUCCGGCCGUCGCCUACAUCUUCUAGCACCGUCCCAGCCAGAGUCACAACUACGGUUAACCAAGUGAGAGUAACGUUCUAUUAAAGUGGCAAAAGGAAUUACUUUUUAAUAUAGUAAAACUAAUUAUAUCAACUAUUAUUAAAGGCUAAACAACUAUUAAUACAAAACAAUAUUAAAAUUAAUAUUAAAUAAUUAUAAAAACUUAUCUACUGUUGGCUAACAGAAGCAUACUACAACAUGUUAAAAUCUACAUAAAGAACUACUAAAAAUAAUUGAAAACAACAAUUAGAGGACUAAAACAACUAUAUAAGCAAAAUAGUACUAUUUUAAUUAAAAUUCUAAUUUAAAUUGUUCUAAAAAUAACAAAAUAAAUCUUACCAUGACAACAAUCUAACAUGUGAUUGGGAGAAAAAGAAUUAAAUUUAAAACUAUUUUUAAACUCAAAUUAUUCACAAUCUACGGUUUGAAGCAAGUUUGAAAAAAUUCAUAUUUAAAUAAUUCAAAUUUGAUAAUGGCACAAACAGAAACUAGGCGAAAUUUUGAAUCUAAUUCAAAAAAGAAUCACUCAAAAACAGUAGAUAUCCUAAAAGAUAUAAGCAAUUUAAAACAGAAACUAAAAAUAAAAAACAAGAAACAAAUUUCAAAACCCCUUUAGUCCCGGUUGGUGGCUCCAACCAGGACUAAAGGUCCUCAACCCCUUUAGUCCCAGUUGGUGGAGGUGUAAUCUUUAGUCCCGGUUGGAGAUAGCAACCGGGACUAACGGGCAUCGCACCUUUUAGUCCCGGUUGGUGUCUCGAAUCAGGACUAAAGGUCCCAUUUGAAUAGGUACUAAUGCGUGCCCGGCGCCCUAACCGCUCGUAUCGGGACUGAUGCUCACAUUAGUCCCGGUUCGUAAUGCAACCAGGACUGAUGUGUAGAUUGAGCUUGGACCAAAGCCAUGUUUUCUACUACUGACGUUCGACACAAUAUAUUACCCAUGUUGCUUUAGUUAACCUAUUUAUAUUAUGUGGGUGGUGUAGCAUCCAAAAUCAAUGCAGUUAAUUUUGUCUGUUCCAGAAAAUGGUUAUCAACUUCCCAUUUUGUUCUAGCAUUCUUUAUUUCUUACAAAUGUUCUUCUACAAAUAAUCCAACCAUGAUUGCUACCCAUAUGGUGGGAUGCAGCAUAGUAUAAUUGUAUUUUACAUUGACGGGAUUACUUUUAAUUUAUAAUUUUCAUAACAUGUAAGUUUCUUUUGUUUACUUAACUAUAAAAUAAAUAGUGGUCUAGGAGCAUCUUUUCUACAUAUUUCUAAAACUUAAAUAAAGUAAAUAUAUUUUAAAAUCAAAUUUUUUGUAUUUAUCUUUGGUUUCUACUCAAUAAAGAAGAGAUAUACAUAAGCCUUAUGAGAUAUAUACUCCAUUGUACAUUAUUAAUUAGGGAAAUUUGUCGUCGAUAUAAUUCAUGCUAUGUUGAUCAUUGUCACGCCAUACAUAUCCUAUCUGGUCCACCACAUAUACAAUGGGUAAGUAUCAUUGUCUGAGAUUUAAAAUAGAUAUGAAAUUAAAUUCCAAAUCAUGAUAUUGGCAAGUCAUUAACUUAAAUUAGAAGAAAUUAAAGUAAUAAUUUAUAUGUUUUAUAUUGUUCCGGUCAAUUUGGAAUAUAUAGAUUACAAUGGUCUUCCGACUGCAAAUAACUGAAAAUAAAUAAUUUGAUUACGAAAUACUUUCGGAUAUGUCCCCAUAAUGUCUACUGUUUAUGUGAUGUUCUUUUUAGUUUUUAUGAAUACUCCCUUUGAAAUGGAGGCACAAGUUCAGCAUAGUUACUUUUUUCUAUUCUAAUAUGGACAUACCAAGUUCAUAAAAACUAAAGGUUAAUGAUUUUUUACGUAGCUCUGGUUGCCCUUUUGGCAUAGCCCUAUAAUAAUGCUGCUGAUGGCCUUUGUCAAGUACCUAGGACAAACAUAAAUUGACUAAAUAUUUCUAUAAUUUGACAAUGAAGUGGUCUCAAGGCAUUUUUUUAAACUAAACUAAUGCCACAUCGAACACAAUAAGAACAUGUUGAACAUGCAACCAGGGAAAUGUGUCAGUAGGUCAAUAAGAGGAAAUGAAACAAAAUCACAUCGUGCAUUCUUCUAUGUUUUUCAAUUCCAAUUCCUCUUAGAAGAAUAGUAAUUUGUGAACUGAAGCGAUGGACUGGUAAAUAAUCUUUUUGUGCAUGUUAAGAAUUAUCAUGAAUAUUUCUAUAAUUUUAUGAACAGAGUGAAUAUUUCUAUAAUUUUACAGUGAAGUGGUGUCAAGGCAUUUUUUAAACUGAACUAAUGCCACAUCAAACACAAUAAGAACAUGUUGAACAUGCUACUAGGGAAAUGUGUCAGUAUGUCAAUAAGAGGAAAUAAAACAAAAUCACAUACAUGAAUUUUUAUUGCUUCGACACUUUCAUGGUGCAUUCUUCUAUGUUUCGAAAUUCUAAUUCCUCUUAGAAGAAUAGCUAAUUUGGUUACUGAAGCGAUGGACAGGUAAAUAAUCUUUUUGUGCAUGUUAAGAAUUAUCACGAGUAGGAAAAUUCCAUAAACUACUUUGCCAAUACUUACACUUCUGGUUGAGAUUGGUAGAUGUCUACUUGAAAAAUUACAAUGACUUAACACAGUCAAACAAUGGACAAUUGCUCUGGUAGAAACUUGUGUUUUUGGAGCAUUACAGCAAGUCAUGAUUAAACGUACGGAUAGGACCUAUCUAUAGAAUAACAAAACAAACAAAUACAUUACUUAUGAUGGCAUAGUCACUUUUAGACUUUGCAUUACCAUGUCUACCUUCUUUGAGAUUAUACACUAAGAUGGCCUUAACAUGCUUGUUACUGACAAACCAACUUUUGUUGUCAGAGUUACGAAUUGGUUUUAGGUCUCACUACCUAAAGGCAACCAGGAGGCGUUGGCAUCUUCACCUCUCAGCCCGCUAGCACCGCUAUGGGUUCGCGAAUUUAGCUGUGAAAUAACUUUACAAGAAAUCCGGACACUACCAAUCCUUAAACAUUUCUGGAAACCACAAUCAAAACAAAAAACACUGAGUCUCUUAAACAAGACAUUCUAAAACUUAGGUAAUUUAUAGCAUCCAAUAUUUUCGUGCGGCGUAGUGGUUUAAUCCAUAUGAAAGCAAGCAUGGUGGCAGCCGGAUAAGGCAAUGGGUCAGGCAGGAGGUUGAGAUCGGUGGCGUCGUGGCGGGGCAAAGAGGCUUCAGCCGGAGCUUGGCAUCUGUUGCAGCGGGUGUCGUUGCUCGUGGUGAUGCAACCUGCUGAACAGUGUAACACAUGACAAGAUGGACAACGGCCAUGGACUUGUGAUUAUCAUCGAAGAGAAAUAUACGGUAGAGAUGUUUUAGAUUAGGUUUGGGUUCGAUGUGGACGCAACUUUUUCAAUCGUGCUGAAUCCCACAAUUAACUUGGUGAGUGUAUGGACGGCUGAGCUGAUGAGCAUAAUUAGUUGUUUGACCAAUACUUAAUGAUGAAACUUUCUCAGGUUGAUCGGUAGCACAGGUAGUCGUGUCAGAAAUUUUUGAUGCCCACAUUGAGUGGAACUGUUUGGAGCUCGAGGUGUACUACUUGUCCGGAAAAUAUUGUUCUAUAUAAAUAUACGAUGGAUACAUCUUCUAAAAUACUCUCUCCCUUUCUAAAUAUUUGUUUCUUANNNNNNNNNNNNNNNNNNNNNNNNNNNNNNNNNNNNNNNNNNNNNNNNNNNNNNNNNNNNNNNNNNNNNNNNNNNNNNNNNNNNNNNNNNNNNNNNNNNNNNNNNNNNNNNNNNNNNNNNNNNNNNNNNNNNNNNNNNNNNNNNNNNNNNNNNNNNNNNNNNNNNNNNNNNNNNNNNNNNNNNNNNNNNNNNNNNNNNNNNNNNNNNNNNNNNNNNNNNNNNNNNNNNNNNNNNNNNNNNNNNNNNNNNNNNNNNNNNNNNNNNNNNNNNNNNNNNNNNNNNNNNNNNNNNNNNNNNNNNNNNNNNNNNNNNNNNNNNNNNNNNNNNNNNNNNNNNNNNNNNNNNNNNNNNNNNNNNNNNNNNNNNNNNNNNNNNNNNNNNNNNNNNNNNNNNNNNNNNNNNNNNNNNNNNNNNNNNNNNNNNNNNNNNNNNNNNNNNNNNNNNNNNNNNNNNNNNNNNNNNNNNNNNNNNNNNNNNNNNNNNNNNNNNNNNNNNNNNNNNNNNNNNNNNNNNNNNNNNNNNNNNNNNNNNNNNNNNNNNNNNNNNNNNNNNNNNNNNNNNNNNNNNNNNNNNNNNNNNNNNNNNNNNNNNNNNNNNNNNNNNNNNNNNNNNNNNNNNNNNNNNNNNNNNNNNNNNNNNNNNNNNNNNNNNNNNNNNNNNNNNNNNNNNNNNNGAGAUGCUAUCACAGCCACAGCUCGUCGUCUUAAUCUGAACUAACUCCCUGGAGCUCGAUGGGAACAGCUACUCUAACUUCCUGUUUCUGAACACCAGCAGAAGCGACGGCGGCGCCGGAAACAGUCUUGUUCAUAAUACUCACAAGUAUGAAGCAGCUGAGCUGUUGUCGAGUUCAUAAACAUCAGUUCGGAAUUACAGGUUGGUGAAUGACAGUGAGCUUCCUGCCAACCACCCUGGCCAUCUGUCCAAGUGAAAGCAAUGGAUAGAUUAACAACUGCAUAUUCCUGCCUUUAUGAGACUAUUACGCUGGAAUCCCCAAAAGGACGGCAAAUGAAAUGACACAUUAUAAUUAAUCGCCAUGAUACUUGUAUGAUGCUCAGUAAGGACACGGCAACGAGGUGGUGAUUGUGAUCUUCUGGCUUCUCUCAUGGACCGAUACUCUUUAAUUGUUGUGAUGAUCAAGGCGGUGAUAUAUAUUUUUCAUGACACCGCCGCAUCCACACAGCGCACCGCCCCCCAAUCGUAUGGUCCAUUAAUAAAUCCUACUUAUGAUCUAGCAGAUGUGUUGCCUCUAAAAUUUUGCAUGAUUUUGGAGAACAUGUAGUCUCAGAAUCAAUACAACAAAAAAGAUGCCGCUGUUUACACGUUCCGUAAUAACCUUUUACAUUUCUGAAAACUAGCAGCAAAGUGGCCCACGUAAAUGCACAUGUUUUAUAUAAAGUGAGACUCAUAUAAUUGGGAAUAGAUUCAGCUAUUUUGUUUUAUUAGCUUCGUAACUAUUAGUUACAUACAAAGUGUGAUUCAUAAAUUCCGGAAUAUAUUCAGAUUUUUUAUUUAUUACUUUCACAACUACUAGAGAAAUGAAUCAUAUCCCAGAGAACUAAUAUUAAAACAAAUUUAGUUGUCGCAGCCAAAAUAUAAUAAUACAUAACUAAAAUUAAUGUAUUAUAUGCUUUAAUAUCGGAAAAGACAUGUAGCUGUGUAAAUAUCUUCAUUUCGCUAUGCAAAUCUCUUGAAAUACAAGUCAGACGGCUACAUUAACAAAUCUUCAAAUUUGAUUGAUAUUAAUUUUUUUUAUAUUCAUUGGAUUAUUUUUAAUUUUUAAUUUUAAUUAAGUUGAUGUUACUAAUAUUUACAACAACAACAACAACAAUGUCGUUAGUCCCAAACAAGUUGUGGUAGGUUGGAGUUGAAACUCAUAAGAUCUCACAAUCAACUCAUGGUUCUCGCACAUGGAUAGCAAGCUUUGUUGUCUGGGAACCUAAAUGGGUAUGAAAUUGAAGUCCAAAUCGUGAGUUGGCCGACCAUUUCUACAUCAUAUUAGUUUGAUAUGCAAAUUUUGUAUGCGAUGUUGGCAAGUCCUUAAGUUAAAGCAAAAGAAGUUUAAAUAAUAAUUUAUUGGUUUUACCAUGGUUUAGGUCAAUUGCGAAUUUAGAUAUUACAAUAUCGUUCCCACUGAAAUUAAAUAGUUUUAUUACGCACUAUUUUCAUAUAUGUUCCCAUAUUGUCUAAGGCUUGUGUGAUGUUCUCUUUAGUUUUAAUUAAAUAUCCUUUUGAAAGAGGCAUAACCAGAGAAUGGUGACCUUUUUCUAUUCUAAUAUGGAGACACCGAGUUCCUAAACAUUAAAAAAUCGAGCAUUAUAAACAUAAGAAGCAAGUUAGGAAGAAAGUUGCAUAUUAGUCCUAUCUAUGGAUGACAAAGAAGAAGUACAUACAUNNNNNNNNNNACUGAGUCUCUUAAACAAGACAUUCUAAAACUUAGGUAAUUUAUAGCAUCCAAUAUUUUCGUGCGGCGUAGUGGUUUAAUCCAUAUGAAAGCAAGCAUGGUGGCAGCCGGAUAAGGCAAUGGGUCAGGCAGGAGGUUGAGAUCGGUGGCGUCGUGGCGGGGCAAAGAGGCUUCAGCCGGAGCUUGGCAUCUGUUGCAGCGGGUGUCGUUGCUCGUGGUGAUGCAACCUGCUGAACAGUGUAACACAUGACAAGAUGGACAACGGCCAUGGACUUGUGAUUAUCAUCGAAGAGAAAUAUACGGUAGAGAUGUUUUAGAUUAGGUUUGGGUUCGAUGUGGACGCAACUUUUUCAAUCGUGCUGAAUCCCACAAUUAACUUGGUGAGUGUAUGGACGGCUGAGCUGAUGAGCAUAAUUAGUUGUUUGACCAAUACUUAAUGAUGAAACUUUCUCAGGUUGAUCGGUAGCACAGGUAGUCGUGUCAGAAAUUUUUGAUGCCCACAUUGAGUGGAACUGUUUGGAGCUCGAGGUGUACUACUUGUCCGGAAAAUAUUGUUCUAUAUAAAUAUACGAUGGAUACAUCUUCUAAAAUACUCUCUCCCUUUCUAAAUAUUUGUUUCUUAGAGAUUUUAAAUGGACUACUACAUAUGCGGAUGUAGAUAGACAUAUUUUAGAGUGAGAUUCACUGAUUUUGCUCUGUAUGUAGUCACUUGUUAAAAUCUCAAGAAAGACAAAUAUUUAAGAACGGAGGGAGUAGUAUUAAUAGCACAGUGAUGCAGUCUUGUACUCCCUCCGUCCCAAGAUAGGCUCACAUCGCAGAGAGAGAGAGAGAGAGAGAGAGAGAGAGAGAGAGAGAUGGGGUUCAAACAAGCAGAAUUAUCUGGUUGUUGAUUCUACCCCAUAACUCAAUAGUCGGAUAUUGAUAAGAUAUGUAUGGAUGCGGCGGCAACUACGGCCACAUGUUGGGGGUGCGUAGCUGAUGGCCCCUUAUUGCAACCAUCUGGCCUUCAUUAGUGCAGACAAUUAAGAGUCAACGAAAGUAGUCUUUUCAAGUGAAUUUAAUGUUGGGUGUCCGCAAGCACAAACAAACCACACUUUACAAUGGGACGUGGAAGCUUGGAGAUGCUAUCACAGCCACAGCUCGUCGUCUUAAUCUGAACUAACUCCCUGGAGCUCGAUGGGAACAGCUACUCUAACUUCCUGUUUCUGAACACCAGCAGAAGCGACGGCGGCGCCGGAAACAGUCUUGUUCAUAAUACUCACAAGUAUGAAGCAGCUGAGCUGUUGUCGAGUUCAUAAACAUNNNNNNNNNNUGGAGUUGAAACUCAUAAGAUCUCACAAUCAACUCAUGGUUCUCGCACAUGGAUAGCAAGCUUUGUUGUCUGGGAACCUAAAUGGGUAUGAAAUUGAAGUCCAAAUCGUGAGUUGGCCGACCAUUUCUACAUCAUAUUAGUUUGAUAUGCAAAUUUUGUAUGCGAUGUUGGCAAGUCCUUAAGUUAAAGCAAAAGAAGUUUAAAUAAUAAUUUAUUGGUUUUACCAUGGUUUAGGUCAAUUGCGAAUUUAGAUAUUACAAUAUCGUUCCCACUGAAAUUAAAUAGUUUUAUUACGCACUAUUUUCAUAUAUGUUCCCAUAUUGUCUAAGGCUUGUGUGAUGUUCUCUUUAGUUUUAAUUAAAUAUCCUUUUGAAAGAGGCAUAACCAGAGAAUGGUGACCUUUUUCUAUUCUAAUAUGGAGACACCGAGUUCCUAAACAUUAAAAAAUCGAGCAUUAUAAACAUAAGAAGCAAGUUAGGAAGAAAGUUGCAUAUUAGUCCUAUCUAUGGAUGACAAAGAAGAAGUACAUACAUUACUUAUAAGAUGGCAUAGUAUUUUAUAGAUUUGGCAUCACCAUGUCUACCUUUCUUUAAAUUAUAUACAAGGAUGACCUUAGCAUGCUUCUUACUAAAAAAUACCUUUGUUCUCGCACGUACAUAUCGGUUUUACGUCUAGCAAGCUAAAAUCAAAUAGGAGGUGAUGACAUCUCCGCCUCCUACCCCCUGGCUGAGAAUAGUUAGUGACACAGUAUCACUAACUAUUCUCAGCAAAAGUACGUCUAAUUUCUUGCUCUUUAAAAUAACUCCAUGUAGAGGGUUUUUAUUUCUUACGAUAAUGAUACACAUAGCAAGAGAGUCCUCUCGCAAUUUACAUGGCAUAUGGAGUUCAUCUUAUAUUAAAAAAUUGUUUAAUGCAAAAAGUUGACUGGAAAGUCGAGCACAAGCGUAGUACUAGUCCAAAAAUAUUCUUCAAAAUAAAUAGAAAUCGUGACCAUUAAGUCGGAUAUAAAUAAUGAUGAUAUACCAUGGAUAACUUCUCUUGAACCUGAAUCUGAUUAUAUAGUUUUUAUUAACAUAUACCUCACAAUUUGUUGACCAAAAUCACCGCCCUAGUAUUUUUAAAUAUAUGUGGGCCUUAUAAACACAGACAGAGCAAGGACAUGAUAUCUCAGAUCGCAAAGAUUGACGAAUGCCUAGGCAUAGGGUGGUGUUGUGCUCCUUCAGAUUUUUUUGUCUUAUAUCAUCUAAUUGCAGGCUUCAGUAGGAGCUUGGCAUCAGUGGUGGAGGGUGUCCUUAGUUGUUGUGGUGAAUCCUGUUGACCAGAUUAACACAUGACAACAUGAUAGACUGAUGCCAUGAACUUGUGAAUAACAGGGAAGGGAAAUGGAUGGAAGGAAAAUUAUAUUUUAGUGUUGGAUUGCGCGCGGUUGCAACUUCUAAUCAUGUCAAAUCCCACAAUUACUCGGUGGGUGUAUGGACUACUGGGCUGAAGUGCAUAAUUACUUGUUUGACAAAGAUUUAACCAUGGAAAUGUCUUUGGUUGAUCGAUACCAUAGGUAGUCGCUUUGACUAGUUUAAUGCACACAUUAAGUGUAACUGCUACGAGAUCAAGGGUUACUAUUGGUCAACAAAAAAAUGUUCUUAAUAAAUAAAUGAUGAAUACAUCUACUGAAAUAGCAUUAGUAGUACACUUUCCAGUCUUGUACAAGAUAGGCUCACCUCAACUAUAUGAAACAGUACUACAGUAGAAGAUCGGCUCACAUCCCACAUACUGAUGAAUGAAUGAACAUAGGACAACAUGGUUUUCCUUGGUAAUUCUGCAUCUAAUCUUAUCUAAAUUAACUAAGUGAAAGCAUCCUUCAAGUCAUCACGUUAAUUCGAGGAUACCAUUGCACAAAACAGAAAUAAAAUUUCUUAAAUGUUCAAGAGGAAUUGUGUAUGUUAUAAGACAUGCAAAGAAACUAAAAUACACAUAGAGAGACAAAGAAGACAAAUCUAAAUGUGAAUAGUGUCAUUUUCGUUGUUGUCUUUUUGUGACACUAUUCAUGCUGGAUUAUUGUUCCUCCAUGUGUAUUUCAGAAUUGAAUUUGGUUUUUUUAGUAACUUAGACACAUAUCUUGUGAGGAUUUACAAAUAUUCUAAGUUGAAACAUUAAAAUUUUAGUUUUAUAUAGUGGUAUCACGGUAAGCUUUUAAAAACAGUAUCACUAAAUAUUCUCAGUAAAAGUACAUCUAAUUUCUUUAUCUUUAAAAUAACUCCACGUAGAGGAUUUUUAAUUCUUAGGAUAAUGAUAUACCGUAGCAUGAGAGUCCUCUCGCAACUUAUAUGGCAUAUGGUGUUCAUAUUAUAUUAAAACAAUUGUUUAAUGCCCAAAGUUGACUAGAACGUCGAGCACAAGCACAGUACUAGUCCAAAAAUAUUCUUCUAAAUAAAUUGAAAUGUUGACCAUGAAGUUGGAUAAAAAUUAUGAGUGAUAUGCCAUCAAUAUUUUACCAUGGAUAACUUCUCUUGAACUUAAAUCCUAUUAUAAAGUUUGUAUUAACAUAUACCUCAUAAUUUGUUGACCAAAAUCACCGCCCCAGUUUUUAUGUAAAUAUGAUAUCUUAGUUCCCAAAGAUUGACGAAUGCCUUGGCAUAGGGUGGUGUUGUGCUCCUUUUGAUUUUUUGUCUUGUAUCAUCUAAUAGGAGGCUUCAACAGGAGCUUGGUAUCAGUGGCGGAGUGUAUCGUCACUCGUUGGGAUGCAACCUGUUGACCAGAUUGACACAUGACAAGAUGAUACACAGGUCCCAUGGACUUGUGAUUAACAAGGAAAGGAAAUAAAUCGAAGGAAAAUUUUAGUUUAGUGUUGGAUUGCGUGCGGUUGCAACUUCCAAUCAUGUCGAAUCCCACAAUUACUCGGUGGGUGUAUGGACUACUGGGCUGAAUUAGUUGGUUGACCAAGAGUUAACCAUGGAAAUGCCUUUGGUUGAUCGGUAACAUAGGUAGUCGUUUUGACUGGUUUAAUGCCUACAUUAAGUGCAACUGCUACGAGAUCAAGGUGUACUAUUGUCAAGAGAAAAAUGUUCUAAAUUUAUAAACGGUGAAUACAUCUACCGAAACAGCAUUAGUAGUACAGUUUCCAGUCCUGUACAAGAUAGGCUCACCUCACAGAUAUGAAACAGUAGUACAGUAAAAGAUCGGCUCACAUACCACAUAUUGAUGAAUGGAUGGACAUAGGACAACAUGGUUCUCCUUGGUAAUUCUGCAUCUAAUCCUAUCUAUAUUAACUAAGUGAAAGCAUCCUUCAAGUAAUCGCGUUAAUUCGAGGAUACCAUUGCACAAAACUGAAAUUAAUUUUCUAAAUGUUCAAGAGGAAUUGUGUAUGUUCUCAAGAUAUGCGAAAAAAUUACAAUUCCAAAUUAAAAUACACAUAGAGAGACAAAGAAGACAAAUCUAAAUGUGAAUAGUGUCAUUUUCGUUGUUGUCUUUUUGUGACACUAUUCAUGCAUGAUUAUUGUUUCUCCAUGUGUAUUUCAGAAUUGAAUUGAAUUUGACUUUUGGGGUUGUGCAAAAUAGGUCUCCAAUAUUUGCUCCCUUUCCAGCCCAGAAUUCCAGCUGCCGGCAUUCUCCCUCUUUGUGUAAACCUUAUAAAAUAAGAGAGAAAAGGCAUAAGUAUUGUGACAUAAUGUGUAGUAACAGCCCACAACGCAAUAAAUAUUGAUAUAAAAGCAUGAUGCAAAAUGGACGUAUCAUGGUUUUGUGCUCGUUCUGAUUUUUUUGUCUUAUAUCAUCUAAUUGGAGGCUUUAGCAAGAACUUGGCAUCAGUGGUGGAGGGUGUCCUCACUUGUCGGGGUGCAAACUGUUGACCAGAUUAACACAUGACAAGAUGAUAGACAGAUGCCAUGAACUUGUGAUUAACAAGGAGGGGAAAUCGAUGGAAGGAAAAUUAUAUUUUAUUGUUGGAUUGCGUGCGGUUGCAACUUCCAAUCGAUCAUGUCGAAUCCCACAAUUACUUGGUGCGUCUAUGGACUACUUGGCUGAAGAGCAUAAUUAGCUGUUUGACCAAGUGUUAACCAUGGAAAUGUCUUUCGUUGAUCGGUACCAUAGGUAGUCGUUUUGACUAGUUUAAUGCCCACAUUAAGUGGAACUGCCACGAGAUCAAGGGUUACUAUUGCUCAAGAAAAAAAUGUUAUUAAUCAAUAAACGAUGAAUACAUCUACUGAAAUAGCAUUAGUAGUAAUACAGUUUCCAGUCUUGUACAAGAUAGGCUCACCUCACAGAUAUGAAACAGUAGUACAGUAGAAGAUCGGCUCACAUCCCACAUACUGAUGAAUGAAUGGACAUAGGACAACAUGGUUCUCCUUGGUAAUUCCGCAUCUAAUCUUAUAUAUAUUAACUAAGUGAACGCAUCCUUCAAGUCAUCACAUUAAUUCGAGGAUACCAUUGCACAAAACUAAAAUUAAUUUUCUUAAAUGUUUAGGAGGAAUUGUGUAUGUUCUCAAGGUAUGUGAAAAAAAUUACAAAUCCAAAUUAAAAUACACAUAGAGAGACAAAGAAGACAAAUCUAAAUGUGAAUAGUGUCAUUUUCGUUGUUGUCUUUUUGUGACACUAUUCAUGCAUGAUUAUUGUUUCUCCAUGUGUAUUUCAGAAUUGAAUUGAAUUUGACUUUUGGGGUUGUGCAAAAUAGGUCUCCAAUAUUUGCUCCCUUUCCAGCCCAGAAUUCCAGCUGCCGGCAUUCUCCCUCUUUGUGUAAACCUUAUAAAAUAAGAGAGAAAAGGCAUAAGUAUUGUGACAUAAUGUGUAGUAACAGCCCACAACGCAAUAAAUAUUGAUAUAAAAGCAUGAUGCAAAAUGGACGUAUCAUGGUUUUGUGCUCGUUCUGAUUUUUUUGUCUUAUAUCAUCUAAUUGGAGGCUUUAGCAAGAACUUGGCAUCAGUGGUGGAGGGUGUCCUCACUUGUCGGGGAGCAAACUGUUGACCAGAUUAACACAUGACAAGAUGAUAGACAGAUGCCAUGAACUUGUGAUUAACAAGGAGGGGAAAUCGAUGGAAGGAAAAUUAUAUUUUAUUGUUGGAUUGCGUGCGGUUGCAACUUCCAAUCGAUCAUGUCGAAUCCCACAAUUACUUGGUGCGUGUAUGGACUACUUGGCUGAAGAGCAUAAUUAGCUGUUUGACCAAGUGUUAACCAUGGAAAUGUCUUUCGUUGAUCGGUACCAUAGGUAGUCGUUUUGACUAGUUUAAUGCCCACAUUAAGUGGAACUGCCACGAGAUCAAGGGUUACUAUUGCUCAAGAAAAAAAUGUUAUUAAUCAAUAAACGAUGAAUACAUCUACUGAAAUAGCAUUAGUAGUAAUACAGUUUCCAGUCUUGUACAAGAUAGGCUCACCUCACAGAUAUGAAACAGUAGUACAGUAGAAGAUCGGCUCACAUCCCACAUACUGAUGAAUGAAUGGACAUAGGACAACAUGGUUCUCCUUGGUAAUUCCGCAUCUAAUCUUAUAUAUAUUAACUAAGUGAAAGCAUCCUUCAAGUCAUCACAUUAAUUCGAGGAUACCAUUGCACAAAACUAAAAUUAAUUUUCUUAAAUGUUUAGGAGGAAUUGUGUAUGUUCUCAAGGUAUGUGAAAAAAAUUACAAAUCCAAAUUAAAAUACACAUAGAGAGACAAAGAAGACAAAUCUAAAUGUGAAUAGUGUCAUUUUCGUUGUUGUCUUUUUGUGACACUAUUCAUGCAGGAUUACUGUUUCUCCAUGUGUAUUUCAGAAUUGAAUUUGAUGUUUUUAGUAACUUAAACACAUAUCUUAUGAGGAUUUACAAAUAUUCUAAGUUGAAACAUUAAAAUUUUAGUUUUAUAUAGUGGUAUCGCUGUAAGAUUUUAACAACAGUAACACUAAAUAUUCUAAGCAAAAGUACAUCUAAUUUCUUGAUCUUUAAUUAACUCCAUGUAGAGGGUUUUUAUUUCUUAGGAUAAUCACUAGGACAUAGGCCCGUGCGUUGCAACGGGAGAUCAAAACCCUGGUUCAUAUCCUCUAUUUGAACAUGGCAUCCCACCCGUAUUGUUUCAUAUCCUCAUUCACGUCCUCUUUCCUUAUGUACACUUUCUGUUCAUAAGAGGAAAGAGUGAAAAUAUCACAUAAUCAGUUUUAGUGUUAUCCUAAUUUCUAACAUUACGUCAAAAGGUGUAUAUAAUUCUAUUACCACUAUUUUUUUUACAUUUUUUUCAAAAAGUCGGAUCAUCCUUCUAUGUAUAUAAUUCUAGUCUUCAUAAACCGAAUAUAAUCUCAAUUGAUCACAAAAUCUCUAACAUUUUUUGUUAGCUGCAUAUUAAUUUUUGAUGAAAAUCAAUGCUAUCAAUGAAAUAAAACUUUGUGAUCAAUUGAGUCCGCAAACUUAGGUGUCUCCAUAAUGAAAAGCUAGGAGUCCGCAAUAUUUUCAUUUGAUCGAGGUUUCGUUUUAUCCAUUUGCUUUGUACGACCAUAAUUUCCUUUAAUUACAAGAGAUGGCAUGGUCCUCCCUUCCAGCCUCCAUUUCACGCGAGUUAACUGAUAUUCACACCCCAACUUUUUUACUGCGUCCUUUUCUGUCAUCUUUCUUAUAUUGCGAAAUUCCUUUGCUUUCAAGGUUAAAUAGGACCCACACUUCAGCCUCUGUUCGUUAUUCUUGGUGUCUUUUUUAUUCUGUGACAACUCAUGGGCUAUAUAAACUGAUAAAAAAUCAUGUAAAAAAGCGAGGUGAGACUAUUUAAAUGCAUAAUGAGCGGUGUAGUUAACAUACACAGGAGCUGGUCCUAGCCUGAAGGAGGCAAAUACCAGGUCGUGGGCUCGAUCCUUAGUGCAAAUGGCAAUUUUUUUGCGAAUCCUUCUUCUCAGCACAAGAGCGUUGGCGUGCAUAGACCCCAAAAAACAGCGGUAACGAAUAUGAAUUUGUUUUGUAGCAAAAAAUAGUACCACCUCGAAUACAGUAAAAAAUAUAUAAAAUCACCUAAGCGGGACGAAACCAAGAAUAUCACCUUGCUUUAAUAGUAGGUAUAGAUAUAGAUAUACCGUAGAAAUAGAGUCAUCUCGCAACUUACGUGCCAUCUGGUGUUCGUCUUAUAUGAAAACAGUUGUUUAAUGCCCAAAGGUGACUGGAACGUCCAGCACAAGCGUAGUACUAGUCCAAAAAUAUUCUUCUAAAUAAAUAGAAAUUUUGACCAUUAAGUUGGAUAAGAAUUAUGAGUGAUAUGCCAUGAAAAUUUUACAAUGUAUGACUUCACUUGAACUUGAAUCUGAUUAUAUAGUUUUUAUUAACAUAUACCUCAUAAUUUGUUGACCAAAAUCACUGCCCAAGUUUUUAAUUAAAUAUGUCUGAGCCUUAUAAUCACUGCCCAAAGAUUGAUGAAUGCCUAGUUAUAGGGUGGUGUUGUGCUCCUUCAGAUUUUUUUGUCUUAUAUGAUCUAAUUGGAGGCAUACUUUGAGCCAACACAUUAUUUCUAGCAAAAAAUAGAUUUAAUAGAUUUAUCAUGAAAAUAAGUCUGCAUAACAGUUCAUUGUUCUGACCGCGCAGUUAGAGAUUACUAGCAAUUCACAAGUCUUAUGCGGUCCAUGUUCUAAGUAUUUACCACCCGCCUAAAAAUGUGCUAGGCAUAAGGAUGAUCCCAAUAGGUUCAUUGUCCAUUGAGGAGGCUCACGCCGAGAGUAGGCAGUGAUCCUCAAUGAUCUCCUCCCACGCAUCGUCUCUAUCUCCAUGCUAUCCAGAUGCGGGCAAAUAUUAUUAUGGCAUCGCUCUGGUUAAGUAUCUAAUAAUGCGGUGGAAAAUAAAGGAUAUGAUGACUGCGGACUAUGUAGUGCCUUUUUCGACAAUGCAUCGGUAGGUGAGUUCAUACAUAUUAGUUCUGGGCCAAUAGCUCCUGUGCGACACAUUUGAGGUGAAUUGGCUUGAGUGCGACGUUGUUCGAGAAAAUGGCUGUGGUGCGACACAUUUGAGCAGGUAAAUAGCCCAUGCAGGACAUGGCUGUUUAAUGUGGUUAAAUUGGUCGUCAACCAAGCCCGUUUAUGUUAGGACAUGUGGGUCCAACUUAAUUGCUCCUCAAAACAGCUGACAGUGCCCUGUCGCCCGACCGUGUCGGGCCCGCCACUCUGCCCCCUCCCCCCCUCUUCUCCGGUGGCGGCGGAUCUUGCAUUCUCCGGCGGAGGCGGAGCCCUCGUUCUCAACGGCGGCGGAGCCUUCGUCCUCAAAAAAUGGUGAGUGAGAACCCUAGUCCCCCUCCCGUUCCUCUCUCGGCCCCGUAGAUCUCAGCUUGUUUCCUCUAUUUUCGCUUGUUGAAUCGAUAGGUUGUGAGGGGAGCCCGUGGGCACACUGAGAUGGAGCCGCCAGAUUCAACUUCGAAUAGGCAAUGCGUCUCUCUCCGACCCAAUUUUGCAUGCAAUUAGGGCCUAGUCUGCUCUUUCUCACGGGCUCACACUGUCCGCCACUGACAGAGGGGAUGCUGCCGUUCGGACCUUCGAAUUGACGGUCAAUUUCUUUCCAUCCAAGGCAAAAUUAGUUGAUGGUAGCAUUCAGAACAUUGAGAGAGACACAAUUGUUAAAUGGGAGGUUGAGUUUACAGAGAUUGAUCCACAAGUUCUACAGAACAUGGGAGAGAAGGUAGUGAAGAAAUGGGUGGAAAAAAUUGGGGAGAAUGUUGUUUGGGGUCCAGAGCAAGAAGUAUCACUAUUGCGGUUUGAUGAUUGGAAAGGAGAGUAUGUCAGAAUGGAAGAUGGUGAACAGAUUGUUGAUGAAAUCGAUCGGCAAAACGGCCGGACAAGCAAAAGAGCUAAUUUUUUUGCUGAGCUGGUUGAUCUGAAUAUUUUUUCGAAGGUUGGAUAUGUGCCAUCACAAUUGGCUGCGCAGAUGGUAGAUGAUGAUUGGGCUACACAGAGGCCAUUGAUUCCCAUGUGUACUGAACUUACAGUAAUAGCCGAAGAGGGACAGGUUACUGGAACUGAAACUGAAACUGCAGCAACUGUUGAUUGGAAUGUAGUUGAAUUAGAUGAGCCUACUGAUUUGGUCAUUGCACCAAUGCCUGACAUUGAGAUGGCCAAACUUUUUGGCAUUCCAGUCGAUGACAGAGAUAAGCAAGAGAGGGGCAAAUCUAGUUUGUCUGCUAAUGUUGAUGAAGAUGUAGAUGGACAAUUGAUGGAACAAGCUGCAGAUGAAGUAGAUGAUGCACAUGAUGAUGAGCUAGUGCAUGUGUAUGACAAAGAAAACCCUGUCAUUGAAGUAGGCAAGUUGUUCCCAAGCAUGAAGGAGUUUAGGAUGUGUUUCAAGACUUAUGCAGUGAAACAUGAGUUUGAUGCCAAGCCUGUUUGGACUGUUAGAAAGAAGUUUUAUGCGAGGUGCAGAGGAUUUGAUGGUAGUGUCAAGCCUUGCAAGUGGUACAUAUCUGCUAGACUGCAACCUGAUGGAAGUACUGUCAGGGUUAACCAAAUCCCCAAUCAACAUACUUGUAUUACAAGUUCACAGAGAGUAUCAACCAUGACAUCACAACUUUGGGUUGCAGAAAAGAUCACCCCAAUUUUAGCCAAAACACCAAACACUACUGCCAAGAAACUCAAAGUAGACUUGGAAAAGAUGUACCCCAUUAAACUGAAAUAUACCAAAGUGUGGAAGGCAAAACAAAGGACAAUGAAAAAUUUAUAUGGUGAUUGGGCAAAUACAUUUAGGAUGCUUUACAACUUCAAAGCAGAGGUGGAAAAGAGGUCACCUGGUAGUGUUGUGGAGAUAGAUACAGAGGUAUCAGCCAAAGGUGAAGUCAAGUUCUCCAAGUUUUUUAUGGCUUUGAAGCCUUGCAUAGAUGGCUUCAAAGCAGGGUGCCGUCCAUAUUUGAGCAUAGACUCAUCAUUUUUGAUAGGCAAGUGGAAUGGUCAGUUGGCAGCAUGCAAUGCUCUAGAUGGACACAACUGGAUGUUUCCUAUUGCUGUUGGCUUGUUACAGUCAGAAACAGAGGCUUCGUGGACAUGGUUCAUGAUCCAGUUGAAAAGAUGCCUAGGGCCAGUGUCACCUUUGGCUAUACACACAGAUGCAUGUAAGGGGCUUGAAAAUUCAGUGAAAAAUGUUUUCCCACAUGAUGAGCAGAGGGAGUGCUUCGGUCAUUUGUGGAUGAAUUUGAUCAAAAAAUUUAGAGAAGAAUUUGGGCGCAUGUGGCCGGCAGCAAGAUCUUACACUAGACAGACACACAAAUAUCAUCUUGAUAAGAUAAUGGCAGCAUGUGAUGAGUUUGGUCCAUGGCUGAACACCUACCAUUCUUUGUUAUGGUACAGGUCAGCAUUCAACACUGCCAUCAAGUGUGACCACAUCAACAACAAUUUAGCAGAGAGUUUCAACAACAAGGUGAAGGAGUUAAAAGAUUUGCCUGUGCAUGACAUGGUUCACCAAAUCAGGAUCAUGCUCAUGCGGUUGUGGGAAUUGAGAAGAAGGAUAGGUGAUUGUCUGCAAGGUGAUAAGCUUCCAGCAGUGGUACAAUAGGUGGUCAAUAGGAGCAGAAGUCUUUCACAUUUGUUUGUUGAAAAAUCUUCACCUUGGGGUGCUGAAGUAAGAGAUAGCAAAACUGGAAGGAGACAUGUUGUUAACACUGAAUUGCAUGAUUGCACUUGCCUCGAGUGGCAACACACUGGUAAACCAUGUGAGCAUGCCAUUCUUUUCUUAGCAUCCCAACCGAAGAUAAACAUGCACCCAUAUCUGCAUGAAUAUUAUUCGGUAGCACGAUUCAAAGCUGCAUAUGCUACUCCAAUUCCAGCACUUACAGAUCAGUCUCAGUGGCCUGAAGUGGACAUUGAAUUUUCCAUGUGUCCUCCCUUGACGAAAAGAAAGGCUGGCAGGCCUAAACAGAGUAGAUUCAAGGCAUGGUUUGAGAAAGGUGGGAGUAGUAAGAAGGGAAAGAAAGAUGAAAAGCCAAAAGGGCCCAAAAGGUAACAAAAACAGAUGUAAAUUGUGCCAGGAACUUGGGCACAGAGUGGGAUCUGUCAAUGCCGUUACACUCCUGAUAAGCCAAAGUAUGUUCUUGUUUAUUUGUCUGCCUUUGAUUUGGUGCUUUUUUCCAAUUACUAUAUCUAUAACAUUUUCUGCACAAGAGGAAGCGAGCAAGUCAGCCCCUUGUUGUUGAACAGUGUUGGCCAACAAAAAAAGCAAGAGUCAAUGGCGGUAGAAAGAAGAGAAGUGUGCCUGAGCCUGAGCAGACUGAAGAAAAUCCUGCUGCAGUCAACAUUCAGACUGAAGAAACUGAUGUGGAGGUGCACACCGAAGAAACUGAACCUGAGCGUGUCGAGGUUCAGACUGAAGAAACUGAACCUGAGCGUGUCGAGGUUCAGACUGAAGAAACUCAACCUGAGCGAGGUUCACACUGAAGAAACCCAUGUUGAGGUACACAUCAAAGAAACUGAAACUGGUGUCAACAUUGAGACUGAAGACACUGAUCACGAGGGUAUUGGCGAGGUGUUGAAAAGACCAGUGAAGAAAACCAAGAUGAUCAGUGAACUUGUGUGUGUUGAAGAACCAAAAACAAGAAGGGCUAAGGCGAAGAAGGGCACACGACAUGGUAGGAAGAAGUAGAACAAAGAACAGUUUGAAAAUUUGGUGCAUGUAAUAAUAUUUGUAACUUGGUGCGUACUGGUAGUCACUAUGUAUCCCCAUAUUUCUAUUCGAACUUGUUUGUCUAAACCAGCCAAAUAAAAUUCAAAUUUAAAUUUAAAUUUGGGCUAUUGAUAUUUUAGUGCUAUCUAAAGUACCUCAACUGAAAUAUGUUUGCUUGCUGAUCAUUCCGAGCCCUUUUGGUAAGUUGAACUCAUAGUCAUGAAAAGUGUGUUUCAAAUGACCUCCAAAGGUAGGGUAAACGGCCUCAUAUUUAAGCAAGUUUUGUUGGCACUUUGUCUAAACCAGCCAAAUAAUUUUUCUACACAUCUAUUCUACCUAUAUAGUGUAAAUCUAAAGUCUCACUAUUUAUUGAAUUAAUUUUCUAUUAUUUUCUUUUCCUUUUGAAAAAACAAGGUUUAAUAGAAAAUUAUAUAUAUAACAAGUUUAAAACAUGAAAAUGAGAAAAGUAAGUUUAGAUCUUUCUUAGUCAAUCCAAAAUGAAAAUGAGAAAACAAGGUUUUCACACUUUUCAUUUUCAAAACCCCACCUACUCUCGGGUGCCCACUACUCUCUCCCUUGAACUACAUACUACAUUGUUUGAGGAAUGACAAUUUUGUGAAGGAUUUUUCGUAAAAAUGUAUGUAAACCAUAUUUAUGUUUUUUUCUCGUUACUAUACGACAUAAUGAGACUAUGUGCGCAAGUUUUAUAUUUUUUUGAUUUUUUUUGAAUUAGUUAUGCCCAACCCUAAUCAGUCAAAACCUCUCAAAACCCCUCAAAACCCCUCUCAAAACCCCUCAAAAACCCGCACACUACCUGGUCGUCGAUCGUUUUACAUGGACGGUUGAGAUCAGGCGCUAGGGUUAGCUACAGUGUGCAGCGAUCCGCAUGAGAUGCGCUGAUUGGUUGACGCGGUGGGGUUUCGAUCAGCCUCUCUCGUUGGAGCAUCAGGACCGUUCAUUUGAAUCCAACGGCAAGAGUUGACGCGGUGCAUGGACCAAGCCUACGCAGUGCCCUUUCCAUCGUUGCAUGCGUGCCCGUGCCCACCCGCAGCAUGCAUGCCCACCCGCAGGACUGCGCCCGUCGUUGGUCGUUGCAUGCAUGCCUUGACGUAGCCCUGCCCCGCCACCCCUAUCAACGCAGUAACCUGUCACAUGCCUACCAUUAGAACCGAUGCAGCGUCGCAUCAAAGCAUGCACCAAGCCACAAUGCAGCAGCCCAAUGAAGACAACCAAAAAGCAAACGCUGCAGGGCGUGCCGUGCAUGGCGUGCUCCUCUUUGAGGACACAAUACUGGCAUGGGGUAUCGAUGUGGGUAUAGAUGCAGUUCAAAUGACGUGCUGCCUGUUACAAGAUGGGUAAAUGAAGGCAUCCAUUAUUGUCACGUCUCACAUCGACCGAACAUUGCCCUCAAAAAAAACCCGACAGAACGUUGCCCUCUAGCCGGCUAGCCCUAGCAAGAUGGGCUAUGACAUGAAUGCAUGGGCGGCACACGCAGAGAACCCGGGGUAGGCGUGUCCCCUUGACCCACGACGGCACAGAUGCGUGCGUGAUCCCGCCCCCCUUGACCAGCGACCGUCACAGCCCGUUUCCCACGCUCGUGUACACACUUCCAUGGGGCGCCACCAAACGCCGCCCGCCCAUUAAUUCUACCCAGUGUAACCGCAGCGCUUCCAUCAAAAACCACGUCGCUCUUGGGCUAUUUAAGCCGGGCACUAUCGUCUUCCUCUUCCUCCUCAUCCACACCCCAUCCUCUUCCUCCUCUGCCCUCCUUCUUCCUUCUUCUCCAUCAAACCCGAUCGAGCCCUCGAGCCACCGGGCGCCACCAUGCAGUACAACGCCCCCACGUACCAACUCCCCCCAACCGUGCCGGAAAGGCUCUACCCGAACGGAGUGUACGUGGAGAGUACCCUUAGGGUUUGGGCCAUCUCAAGGUGGAGGGGCGCAAGGGAGUUGACGGAUUUCUUCCUUCCGGCCGGCUUCUGCCAGCUCCCCCGCGGCUCUCCAAGGAUGUACCAUGUUGAGGAGGUCACCCACAACGGCGUUGUGGUUGGGCUCCUCGCUACGUUCACUAACCCAUUCGAUGCUUUCUACCUCCUCGGGCGAGUGUAUUGGGUUGGUUGUGAGUUCAUAGCUUUCACCACCCAUAACAUUUUCACCGACUUCAACUCCAUCUUCCCCAACAACGGAGUUAUGCACACGCUCCCGUACCCAAUCAACAACGACGAGUGAAGGGCGCCCGGAGGAGCCCGGAGAGAAGAACCCGAAGAAGAACCCGAAGGAGGAGGAGAGAAGAACCCGAAGAAGAACCCGCGUUUGGUGCCCCCCGAUCUAUCGUAUCGUAUCGUAUUAGUUUUUAAGUUGUAAUCGUUAUGCUACUGUUAUUAAGUUGUAUUAGUGUUUUAAGUUGUAAGGCUAUCGUGGAACUAUGUGUUGCAAUCGUUAUGCUUCUAUAUAAUCGUUAUGCUACUAUAUAUAUAUUCUGUAUUUUGUGCUAUUAUUUGUAGAUUGCUAUGGGUUGUUCCAUUAUUUGUGUAUUGCUAUGGGUUGCUACGGGCCCGGGUUGCUACACCCCAAUCACCACACACACCAUCUUCAAAAUAUUGGCCAAAUAAUGGGUCAUGACCCAAACCAUAGACAUGCAACUAGGAGCCCCAUGCAAACCCACUAUGGACAUGCAACUAGGAAAUGCAAACUAAUUUACUUCAUGCAAGCAUGCAACUCAUUUAGUUCAUGAAACCGUAGACAUUCAUAAAAACAAGUAAUAUUUAGUUUUAGUGCAUCAAAAAAUGAUCCAUCACAAAAUUUAGUGCAAGAAAAAGGCCAAAGUAAAAACAAGUAACAUUUUAUUUGCCGAAGUUAGAGGUGGGCUGGUGCCCCUACGCGGGUGGGCUGGUCUCCUUGAGCCCGAUCUCCUUACGGCCCAACAUCUAUUCGGCAGCUCAGUUUUAUUUUUUACUAGAAACUGAAUUUGGGUGCCCGUGUACUCUGUUAACUGAAGAACCAAAACAGGGGAAGCAGAGCAUGAACACUGAAUAAUUUGUGUUCCAAAUUGCUGCUUCAAUUCAGAUACAUUACUUGCGCACAGAUCACAUCCUCUACACUGAUAGGCCUAAAGGCCCAUUCUAAUGACGGAUGAACAACAAAUAAAACAAAAACAGAGCAAUGAUACAACAAUAGAACCCCCCUGCCAUGAUAUUUGCUUGCUUCUGCAAAUCGAUCAUCUGCAUUAGAUGUUUCUUGAUCUUCUUCAGUUCCUUGGUCAGUUCGGACUCCGCAUGCAGUUCAGCAUUGCGCGCAUACAUCGCCAUCGGCACGACUCUGCCCGCCCCUCCGCCUGAGCUCCCCGUAUUCUCCACAGCAAUCGGCGGCACCCCGCCCAAAUUGAGCUCCCAGGUUGCGGCCACGCUCGAAUCAACGUAGCCCUCAAACUGAAUCCUAUCAACAUAUUCAUCAAUCCACUCAAAAUGGUAACAUUUCUUCAAGAUCUGAAAAGAACAACACGAACCCUAAAUCCCAAAUUCGAGGAGAAAAAACAAAAUAUGGAGAAAUCAGAGCGAAAGACAGCGAAAGAACGGGCUAAGAACUGAGAUCUAACCUUGCCAUCCCUUCCUGUCAUUGGUUUGCUCAAGCAUUUCACAAAUUCCUGCCCAAGAUUGCCAUUGUCAUCCCUUUUAGUGACCAACCGUUUAAGAGGGUCUGGGCGUGGGCAUUCAGGGCACCUUGUUAGCAGCACUGGUCCAUACUGCCGCCAUUUUGAUUGCGUGGCGGAGGAGGUAGACAUUUGCGCUAGGUCGCCGGAGAAGAGAAAGAUUGGGGAAAGGGGAUGAAUGGGCGGCGGCGGGCGGACGGGCACGGGCGCUCGUCUCUUCUAGCUGCGAGGAGGUGGGUCCCGCGAGUAGACAAGUGGUGGGUCCCGCGCUUAGGUGGAUAAGUGGUGUGUCCAGCGCUUACGUGGAUAAGUGGUGGGUCCAGCCCUCAACAGCUUACGAGGGCAUCAGUUUAGUUUAACAGCCAUGUCGUGCGUGGGCUAUUUACCUGCUCAAAUGUGUCGCACCACAGCCAUUCGUUCGAACAACGUCGCACUCAAGCCAAUUCACCUCAAAUGUGUCGCACAGGAGCUAUUGGCCCGUUAGUUCUAGAGUACACAAUUAUUGAUUGGUUGAAUGUAGAUUGCUUAUACCUACUUGUGUAGUUAAUAAUACGACUUAUUCUAAUGAUUUUUAUAAACCCGCCAGGCCAGAACUUUCGUGGACUGAAUCAUUUACUUUUCUAGUUAGACGUCAGCAUCUUGGAGCUAAUGUGGGAGUCAUUCAACAAACCACGUGUUAAGCUAAAUAUCUAUUGUGUUACCCAACCUAGGAGAUUAUCUUUGACGGGGGAAACUAUGUGUUUGGGGGAUCUUUAAGUCAAGGGAGCCCAAUCAGUUCUCACUUGAGUGAAUUGAAAAAUAGAAAAUCAUAGAAAGGAUGAUGUUCGACAGAAUAUAUUACUGAUUUUGCUUUAGUUAAGCUAUUUAUAUUGUGUGGGUGAUGUAGCUUCCAAAAUAAAUGCAGUUAAUUUUUUCUUUUCCACAAAAUAGUUAUCAACUUCUCAUUUUGUUCUAGCAUUCUUAUUUUCUUUAGGUCUUAUUGGCAUGCUGGAAGAACUAGGGCUACUACAACGAGCUUUGAAAAUGCAAUAAAUCACAACCACUAGCAUGUUCAUUACCUGAAGCCUCCUAACAAAGAUUUUCGUAUUUAUACUUGUUCAUAAAAAAUGUGCAACGGCUUGGUUAUUCCAACUAACUCAGCAAUUCGUUCUAACGUACAAAAGAAAUAUUAGGGAAAGAACAAAGGAAAACAAUGAAAAAAAAGGAACAUAUUAAAUAAGAAAAAGUGUGGGAUUCGAACCCUCGAUAGUUUCUAGAACUAUACGUGUUUACCAGAAUAGAUCUAUCAACCAUUAAACCAUCUCUCGAUAGAUAAUCCCGAUUUUAUUCUUAGAAAUAAAACAUAGUCAUACUAAAAAUAAAAAUAGAUAUAAACGUUUAGAAAUAUUUCAUGUGGGUAUAUUUUCUCCUAUUUUAUACACAUAUAUAAGAUGUGCUAUACAACCUUGUGAAAUAAAUACUAAAUCCCCUCUUCUUGCUUCCAUAAAAAAUAAAAAGAAGUGGUUAGAAAUAAUUUCGAAGAGAAUGAUUAAUGGAUUCAAGAUUAAACUGCUCCUACUUCGCACUUUUUUCCUUUACAUUUAUUGAUAAGUGAGUGAUCAAAUAUCUAGUCAACAAUAUUUGAUGUUAAGUUGGAGGGUUACAAAUAUUGUUAUUGCUUACCAGUUAGCUCUUUGAGCAUUAUUUUAUGACUUACUCGCUCCUAGUAAUAUGUGUACCCCUUGUAUUUGCUUGCUGGUUUCUGUAAUAAUAAAAAUGUGGUACUUCCUUGUACAUCACUUUGGAUUGGACUAGUAUUGUCGUACGUAUUCAAAUUCUCUUAUUUCUUAAAAAAAAACUCCCUCGGCUGAAUGUUUAGAGGGAUAGACUGCAUCACCGUGGCAACGAGAGCGUCCCUACGCUGAACAAUACAAUAUAGUGUCGGAUAUUGUGUAGCCAGAGGCGCGUCACCCAGCCACGUAUCCUCCCAGAAUCGCGUAUCAUCACCAUUACCGACAAUACAUCUCGUUCUGUUAAAGAAAGCGGCUUUAACCCUCAUAAGCCCUUUCCAGAACGGCGAAUCUGUAGGUCUCAGAGUGACCUGGGAUAAAGUCUUUGAGUGCAGAUAUUUACUACAUAGAAUCUGCGCCCAAGUUGCCUCUGUCUCAGAAGACAACUUAAACAGCCACUUACUAAGCAGGCAUCUAUUCUUGACUUCAAGAUUUUCAAUAGCAAGUCCCCCUUGGUCCUUUGGUCUACAAAUAAUAUCCCAUUUGGCCAAUCUGUACUUCUUCUUAGACUCAUCACUAUGCCAAAAGAAGCGAGAACGAUAGAAGUCUAGCCUUUUCCUAACCCCAACUGGGACCUCGAAGAAAGAUAAGAGAAACAUAGGUAAACUCGUGAGCACCGAGUUAAUCAGAAUCAACCGGCCUCCAUAAGACAUGAGUUUUCCUUUCCAGCAACUUAGUUUCUUCUCAAACCGAUCCUCGAUGCACUUCCACUCUCCAUUUGUUAGCUUACGAUGGUGUAUGGGAAUACCAAGAUACGUGAAAGGUAGAGCCCCAACUUCACAACCAAACAAUUGUGUAUAUGCAUCUUGUUCGUCUUUGGCUCUACCAAAGCAGAACAACUCGCUUUUAUGGAAAUUAAUCUUCAGCCCCGACAAUUGUUCAAAAAGGCAUAACACUAACUUCAUGUUCCUCGCUUUUGCCAAAUCGUGUUCCAUGAAAAUGAUUGUAUCAUCAGCGUAUUGCAGGAUGGACAGACCACCAUCAACCAGAUGAGGCACCACUCCCUCCACCUGACCGGCCUCCUUGGCCCUCCCAAUCAGGAUCGCUAACAUAUCAACCACAAUAUUGAACAGGAUCGGCGACAUAGGGUCACCCUGUCUCAGACCCUUGUGCGUUUGGAAGUAGUGACCUAUGUCGUCAUUAACUUUAAUGCCAACACUACCUUUUUCCGUGAAUGUUUCAACCUGAUGUCACCAGAUCUCAUCAAAGCCCUUCAUCCGUAAAGCCUGCUGGAGGAACGACCAUUUGACUUUAUCAUAAGCCUUCUCGAAAUCCACUUUGAAAAUAACACCAUCUAGUUUUUUCGUAUGAAUUUCAUGAAGCGUUUCAUGAAGGACCACAACCCCUUCGAGGAUGUUCCUAUCUGGCAUGAAAGCCGUUUGAGAAGGUUGUACUACUGCGUGCGCAAUCUGUGUGAGCCUGAUCGUCCCAACCUUGGUAAAGAUUUUGAAACUGACAUUCAGAAGGCAGAUAGGCCGAAAUUGCUCAAUUCUCAUGGCAUCUGUUUUCUUAGGCAACAAAGUUAUCGUUCCAAAAUUAAGUUGGAAAAGCUGCAAAUGUCAAGAGAACAAAUCAUGGAACAUCGGCAUCAGGUCCCCUUUGAUAAUAUGCCAACACUUCUUGUAAAACUCAGCCGGGAAACCAUCCGGCCCCGGUGCCUUGUUACACUUCAUCUUGGAAAUAGCCUCGAAAACCUCCUUUUCCGAGAAAGGGGCAGUUAAUACAUCGUUCUCCACAGCAGUAAGUUGAGGGAUAUCGUGAACCCUAGACUCAUCCAGGGACACACACUUCUCCUCUGGUGGUCCGAAAAAAUGUUUGUAGUACUCAGUAAUGUAGAGCUUCAGGUUGUCCUGGCCGACUAUUGUACCCUCAUCUUGUUCUAGCUGGAAGAUUCUCUUCUUCCGGUGCUUGCCAUUGGCUAUCAUGUGGAAGAACUGAGUGUUCGCAUCCCCCUGGACAACUUUUCUCAACUUUGCCCGCAGUGCCCACUUUAAUUCUUCUUCACGGAGUAACUCUUUCAGCCUCAUCUCAGCCUCAUGCUUGAUAUGAAGCUCGGUGGCUAACAGAAUCGUAGUUUCUGCUUUUAUAUCUAAGGUUUGAAUAAGGGAAAGGAGUCGUUCCUUCUCCACCUUAUACACUCCACCUAGAUGCUUAGCCCACCCACGAAGGAAACUUCUGAGAUGCCUAACCUUGUUCUGCCAGUGUUCAAGGGCAUUCCUACCUCCUACAUCUUUAGCUACAAGAUCCAAGAAUCCUUCUCUUUCAAACCAAGCAAGCUCAAAAGAGAAUAAAUUCUUGUUGCCCGAAUAGGUAGCCCCACCAGAAUCGAGCAACAGAGGUGUGUGAUCAGAAAUCCCGCGAGAUAGAGCCUGAACAGUUACAAAGGGAAACUACUGUUCCCAAGCAACACUAGCCAGAACCCGAUCCAACUUCUCGAAAGUUGGAUUUGGCAACGCGUUAGCCCAGGUGAACUUCCUACCUGAAAGCUCAAUCUCUCUCAAAUCUAAGCUUUCAAUAAUAGUAUUAAACAUAAAUGACCAUCUCCCAUCAAAAUUGUCAUUAUUCUUUUCAUCGCGUCUUCUAAUAAUAUUAAAAUCACCCCAACCAGAAUUGGAAGCUGCUCAGACCCGCAGACUCUAACAAGAUCAGCCAAAAAGUCAGGUUUGAACUCUGCCUGCGCUGCCCCGUACACCGCCACCAAAGCCCAGUCGAAACCAUCAUCUUUCGACCGCACCCUGAACUUAACAGCAAAAUCCCCCAUGACCACACUGCGAACUUCGAGAGAGUCACAUCUAACACCAAGUAAGAUUCCACCCGACCUUCCUCUCGCUGGAAGACAAUGCCAGUCAAACUCAAUACCCCCCGACAACGUAUUGAGAAAUUGAGGUGAGAAAUUUGCUCUGCCCGUUUCCGACAAGGCAAUAAAGUCCAAUCUAUGCUCAAUGGAUGCCUCUGCAAGGAACCUCCUUUUAGCCAAGUCCUUAAGACCUCUGCUAUUCCAAAAGAUUCCUCUCAUAUCUCAUCAUGAAAUUUUUUAGCCGUGCGGAUCCUAGCGCUCCUACGGACCGCGGACAUCGGAUAUAUUUUCCGCUUCCACUUGCGCUUAGGGCUGGUCGGGCCCACCCGGUCCAAACUGCCCGUAACCGGGGACAUAACUACUUCCAAACUGACAUUCUUGUCCUCCUCCUCCGGCUCCUGGAGGGGUGGUGCGAGAUCAUCACAAAAGUUAUCAGGUAUUCGAACUCCCAAGGCAUCAAUCUCAGAAUCGUUCAUCGGUUUGACAGCAGCUAAGUCACGAAUCAUUUCUAAAGCCCUCUCGGCUUUUAGAUCAAGCAAAUCGUUAACAGAAUUAGUAACUUCACCCUCAUUACUACCAAGUGAAAUUCCUAAUUGGUUUGCCUUAUCCACAAUUUGAUCAUUCGAAAAAUGCAAAAUAGUAUUGGAAGUAUUUACGGACAUACCAGUAGUGACCUGGACGUCACGAAGCUUUGCUGCCCUCACGGCACAGCGCUGCUGCAUGUCGUCAACCUUCGGAUAGCCCUGAAGCCGACAACUCAUGCGUCGGCCCUCAGACGCCUAGUCCGGGAUCCCGCCAAACAGAAUAACCUCCUCCCUCGAGAAUUUAUCCAGAGAGCGACCGCUUGUCACUCCCCGAACAUCCACCCGGUCGCCAUGACCAGGUGAGAGCGCCGAGUCAGCCACUGGGGAGGCAAAGGCCACCUGCCUCCGCCCCCCAUCCGCUCCGGACCGCCUGUCAGGAGUGCACGUCGAUGUCGCGAACGGGGUGCUCCCCUCGGGCACCGAAGGUGAAGAGGGCCUUGAGGCCGCCUGCCCCAAGCCCUCUCGCAGAGCCUGUCCAGCCACCUGCAGUGUGGCCCGAGCAACAGGCAUAGAAGGUGCGGAGGCCACCUGCCCCGGCCCCCCUACCGUAGGCCCGUCGUCUCUCCCGGUAAACUCAUCGGGAAGAAGAGGAGAAGGGGUCUCCAAAGCACCCUGCCCCGAACCCCCAGAUGGGAUCGGACCACCCUCCUGCAACUCAGCCACAUCACCGCAACCCUCCACACCCGUGUCCUCAAAGUCCAACGCAGGUAAAGAGUGCUCAAACUCCUCAAGAGACUCCACCCGCUCGCUCCAAAGUUGCGGAGGUGCAGACGCGUGACCAAAGGAACCAAAUCUCAAAGUGGUCGACGGCACAGACAUGUUAGGCGCCGUCCCUCCUCCUGCUGCCUUGGCAGUCGACUCCGGUCUCUUGGCCAUCUCACACCCAGAAUCAUCGGUCGGUGUUUCCUUACCGGCCGUAUCAUCAUCACCCUCGCUCAUAUCGUCGCCAGUGGCAGCCGGAGCCUCGGCAAAGAGGCUAUCAUCCUCAAAUUCAAUCUCAAGGCUGUAUACCUGACCACGAUAAGCCCACUUAACCACGUCCGACACGAAGUCAAUGUCCAAAAUGCUGACUAAUAGGCGAGAAAUCCCAUGAGCUCGAGUAAAGGCCAUAUCCACUCGCUCGGUCUUUCCCACCAUGAUACCCAGACUAGCAACAACCCUGGCAUCCUGCAGGAGCGCGGACGGAGCUCCCGAAAAGCGCAGCCAGGCCUGGGUGAGGGGUUUACCCUGAGGAUCAACCAGCUUCCACUCCUGGAACUCAAGAGUGGCCUCCGUACCUGGAACCUUACACAUCCCAAAGCUCAGCAACCUCUGUAAAUCCUCCACAGUCGGGAACUGAACUCUGAAUAAGUUGGUCUCCAGCCUGACAAGCUCCCAAUGGAAGUCUCCUGGUGCCAGCUCCCGGAAGCGCUGAAUAAUCUGGGCCUCAGACACUUGACCUCUAGUCACUUUCACCACCCCAGUUGUCAUACUGUGCACCUCUUGAGGAACCUCCCUCUCAGUCGGCGACUCAAAAAACGUGAGCUCAGAACAGAAGACACCAUACGUCAUAAGGCUCGGUGUCUCCUCCCGCAACCGCGGACAAGCCCCAGACUCGUGUGCAGGCUUACCACAAGUAUCACAUAAAAUCGCCACACAUUCAGCAAUAAAAUGGCCCUUAUCACCACAUCGAUAACAAAGCAUUCUUUCCUUUUUCCUUGCAAACUUUGCAGCCCUGUCCAUCUCAGUUCUGUCAGAAGCCUCCACCGACAUAGGCUGGGCCUCAACCGCAUCAAGAACCUCCACAGCCGCCAGUUCCGUCACCACUUCCAUAGCCUGGCAUGACAGCCCUGUCUCCUCAGUAACAGCGUCGACCACCGUCUCAUCAACGGUAACAUGAUGCUGCCUUGGACGGUAACGACCCCCUCGGCCACCGCGGCCACCACGAUUGCCACAAAAACCGCCUCGGUUACGAUGAGCCGGUCCAGAAGCCCCUUCGACAAAACCGCCUGUCGGCCCCAAGAAAGGCCUCUCGGCCGAACCAUCGCUCUGCCAGGCAUACCCCCGUCCACCACCCGUAGACGAGGAUCCCCGGUGGUGUCCAUCUCCAUACACAUUAUAAUCAUCGUCACCCCACUGCCCACGAGGUGCCGAGUGAACAUCCACAUUAGCAGAGACCUGCGGCGCCUGUGCCUGCUGCAAAACCGGCGUCGUCGAGUUAUUCGCCUGCCUUGCCACGAAGUGCGGCGGUCUAGCUCUUGCCUGAGUCGCCACCGGACGCUGGCCAUUAGCAGCAGGAGGAGGCGGCCUUGGGGUCGGGGCACCCCGGCCCGCGACAGCCCCAUGGGUCGGCACGGGCGGCCUAAAUCCACCCCGCCCCGCAGCAAGCAUCAUCAUCACCGGCGCGGUAGGCCGAACUCCAGCCGCAGCAACCCCGCGGCCAGCCGUACCGGCCAUAGUGGCGCCACCCACUGGCGGUCUUUGGGCGCCGACGACCGGUGCCGCGCGGCCGGUUCCAUUCCCUGGACGCGGUAGGCCGAACUUCAGACUACAUUUCAUAUUAUUAGUUUUUAGUUUAACCUGCAGAAUUUCUUCCCACGGUGUAUUUCUUUAAAUUUAUUGAUUUCCGAGAGUGCAUACAGAGUAAGACACUAAAAUCUACAAAUUGUACACAUAAAUGAUAUUAAUUAAGACCUAGCCAAGACAUCGAGGCUACAAACAGUUAAAAUAUCAUAAAAAAGAAAAAUAAUAUGGCUAAAAAAGUCACGCUCAAGCUAUCGGUGGUACGCAACAAGAGGAAACAACAACAAUAACAGCGGGGGAGGUUUUUCAAGAUCAGCAUCCCUAGAAAGGAACGAUGCCCCCGCGUCAUCGUUGCUGGGAUUAAUCAUUGAAGGCCAAAUCAUGGGAUUUCACCCCGAAGAUCAAUUCAAGGAAAACUCCAAGCAAUGCCUCGAAGAAGGAAACCGAGUGUAAACACCAUUGCUGCUAGGUACAACAAACUAAGGUCAGACCUAAGGAUUCUUGAUGCGAAGCUCGAGACCAGAUAGUCGAGAAGCACCAUCAAACAAUUGUUGUUGAUCUGUGGUGCCGCCUUCAUUUGCCGACUUCGAACUACAUCAAUGGCAUAUAAGGAGAAAACUGUUCAUGUGGACAAUUCUAAUACCGACAUGUAGAUACACGAGCAUAGACGAAAAAAACCCUGAUCAAUCAAAUUCAAACACAGACCGAAUUCUACGAGAUUCACCAGAGACAAAUCUCCACACACCCCACGACGAAGCUAGAAGCACCACACCAUAUCGUCAUCCCAAGCAGUGAGUUAUAGCAGAUUUGGACCAGAUCGUGAAGGCCAUUGCCACCCUCGACUUCAACUCAUGCCGGCGCUCUCACCACUUAACCUAGCCACCGCACGCUGGAUGAGCCCAUGUGAGGGCCAUCACUCAAGCGAUAUGACGGCGCAAGCACUGGCAUCCUGGGCAAGGUGUGCUUUGUCUGCAGUGAGGACGUCCGAGAUAACACUCCCACAUAUCAUCCAAACAAGUUCCACCUUACCGCUCUCGACCUCUUUGGACAUAUCAUCCAAACAAGUUCCUCCUUACCGGUCUCGACCUCUUGGCUCCUGCAGUGAUUUAUUUCCAAGCUUAAGCUUACAAUGAGUGCAUUCCAAAUCCUCUCAAUUCUGAGAUUACGUCUCAUAUCCCACAGCCUCUAUUGAUGUAAUUUGAAGUGAUAAAAUGGUGAAGUUGAAACACUACUAAUAUAUAUACUGUUUAUUCAUUGAAAUUCUAUAUGAACCAAUAUCUCCUUGUGAAAAUUAUUGUCUACAAGCAAAGAGUUAUGCCAAAGUCCAUUCACCAUUAAUAUAAACAUAUGAAAUUUGAUGAUUUUUUUUCUGGUGCUAGCACAACUUUGCAGCACAGUAAAAACUAACAUGAUCACAAAUCUUGUAGCACCGGAACUGCUCUUGUCCACUCGACAGCAGUCAGCUCAGCACUGGUCCCUGUCCCGCCAACUCAAGUAAACCAGGCCAGCAUGGUAGUGCGCGUAAGCGCUGGCAAUGACUAGCACGUGGAACAGCUGGUGGCUAUGCCCGACGAGGUCAAACAUUCCUGGCAUAAACCUCUCCGGCACCCUUGUGGCGUAAACCAACACGCCGGCAAGGUAGAACGCCCCCAUGACCACCUCGUAACCAGUCGUGAGCACCGCCUCGGGUCGUGCAUGGAACAUGAGCAUCUUGUGCACGAUUGGCACGAUGCCGGACGCGCCCAUGCACGCGAAUAGCGCAGCGCGCGCCCACCGCAGAUCAGGUGCCUGGAAGACCGGCAGCAGCGAGACAGCCACAGCGGCCGCGCCGCAGAUGGUGAUGGAGCCAAGGUAGAGUGUACGGGAGAAGGGGUCACAGAGGAAGGUGUAGUAGACGACCGGGUAGAAGGAGGUGACGAUAAGGCCGGUGAUGCCGGCGUAGUCGAGCCGGAGCAGCACGUAGGUGGCAUGCUCCGAGUGGCACGCCAGCAGAUGGCAACCGCUGCUCAUCAGCAGGCAGAACAUGGCGCCGCACAGGUACGUGUAGAACGGCCACCGCGUGACCGGGCCGUGCUCCCCCGACCAGACGGACAUGGUGAGCGCGAGGAAGAUGAAGAAGCAGAUCAAAUGCCUGCGGGGUUUCGUUGAAGAGUACACGUGACGUGAGAAAUAUUUUGAUCGAGUGUGACAUUAGGGAAGGCUCACAGAACCUACGUCCAGACGUUGAUCGUCUCGUUGUGGAGGGCGAAGGCGCUGAGGAUCGCCUGCUUGACGGGCCAUUCGCUGCGGUAGUGAUCGAGGAUGCAUUCGUCGUGCUUCAAGAAGGCCCGGAGCGCGUCGUAGCAGACGAGCUCGUACCUAUGCUUGCAGCUCGGCUUCGCCACGUCACUGCAGGUGGGGCUGCCUUUGUUUUUCAAUGCAACAGCUUGAUCGGCAUGGACGCCGCCGCCGUUCCCCAUGGUGGCCGCCGUCUUGGAAGCCAUUCUGUCCUAGAGCCUGCCGAGAAUAUAUGCUCUUUUGUAGUCUACUGUCGGACAACUCCAGUCCAGAGAGAAUUAAGGUGGUCAACGCAUCCAAUUCAAUCUAUCUAUCUAUUACUUCCCCUGUAUCAACAUAGAAGACUUCCUUUGACACUGUCAUAUUAUUAGAAAACUUCUUAUAUUUUUAUAUAGAGGGUACACUCCUUUAAUCCGAAAUUAGUUGAUGCUUACUUAGCCAUUUUAGUGCUUGAUACAUCUGUUUGAGCGCCACCAAAUUAUGGAUGAAGUAUCAAGCACUAAAUUAAGUCUAGAUACAUUUGCUUGAGGGUCAACUGAUUUCGGACGGAGAAAGUGUUAUCUAUCUAUACCUAUUUAUUAAUAAAGAAAGAAAGUUAUUAUUCCUGGUCCAUCAACCAGUUUUAAAGAAAACUAGUUGAAAUUUAAGGUAGUCAACUCGCAGUCCAUCCUUGCCCCGGAAGCCAGCAGUUUUUUUAAUUCGCUUGCAGGAUCGAUCCAUCCAACUCAAUCUAUCUAUCUAUUACUCCCUCUGUUUCAACAUAUAAGACGUGUUUUUGGACACUAUCAUAGUGUUAGAAAAUGUCUUAUAUUUUAAUACAGAGGGUAUACUCUCUUCGUCCGAAAUUAUUUGGCGCUCAAACGGAUGUAUAGCCAUUUCUGUGCUAGAUGCAUCUUUUUGAGCAUCACCUAAUUAUGGAUGAAGUAUCAAGCAUUGAAAUAAUUCUAGAAACAUUUAUUUGGGUGUUAACUAAUUUCGGGCGAAGAAAGUAUCUAUACCUAUUUAAUAAAGAAAGAAAGUGGUUAUUCCUAGUCCAUCAGCCAAUAUUAAAGAAAAAUCCUUGCAAUUUAAGCUAGUCAACUCGCAGUCGAUCCUUGGCCCGGAAGCCAGCAGUUUUUUCUUGUUCGCUUGCUUCCUCCAUCGUACCUUCAGCCUAGGUUCAGCCAUCACCGAGUCGCCAGCCAGGGGCAGACACACCGGAUCUCCUCGGACAGACCAGAAGGAGCCCAAGAGGAGGGUAACAGCCGGCUCGCUGUGUGUCUGAUUGUUCGCCGUGGCGUUGGCACCUGUGCCACUGCAUCGGUGCUAUUACGGCAUUUUCUUAUUUCCUGGUGUUCAAUUCAUACGUAUGACCGUGGUGUGAUACAGGGUGUUCAUUUGCUUAUGCGAUAUGUGCUUCUUUCUCUGAAGAAAUAGGUGCUUGCUCUUUGUUUUUCCGUGAGAUGAUCGUGUUUGUUCUGUCACUCCUACAUGCACGUGCUACAACUAAGCCGUUAGAUGGAUGAUGUGUUUCUACUACUGGCUGUUAGUAUUGUAUAUGCAAUUUAGACAACUUUGAAUACCUUGAGCAUGUUUGUACUACUUUUGUUUCUUUUUACUCAGCAUAUAAAACUUGUUUGAAUUCAAUCUCAAAUAGUUUGCUAAAAUAUAGGAAAACAUCAACAUUUAUUCAAAUUAAUUUCGUAAUGCAUCUAAUGAUAUUGAUUUUGUAUCAUGGAUGUUGAUAUUUUUUCUGUAAAGUUGGUUAAACUUUAUGAAGUUUGACUUUGAUUUUUUUAUUUGCAAGCUGAAAAGUCACCGAGGGAGUAAUCAUCCCCCUGUAUAUCGAGCGAUGAUAACAUAAAUAUAUGGAAAUAAAUUCAGAUGUUUGUAAGACAAUAUUCUUUUUUAAAAACUUCGAGUAGGAAGACAAUAUUCAGGUGGGGUAAACUCCCCCCGUUGAAAAUUCAAAAAAAAGACAAUAUUCUUUAAAAACACCCACCAUUGUUUUGUCAAUGUGAAAAUGUGCGGACGCCUACAAUGAUCUAUUCCAUUCAAUCAUAGGCCACAUGCGGGAGCGUGGAAUUUAGUAAUCGGCCUCACGGAUGCAGGUGCACAACGUGGCUCUGCCGGCCUCAAAAAAUAAAGUCACCUUGUCCACACCAUAAGAACUGAAAAUUAGAGACUUCUAGAGAGAAGUCAGGUGAUCGGAAUCGUCGUGAGUUUUCUUUUGGGAAGAAAAAUUAAAUAUCAUGGCUAUUAAUUAUGAUAUGUAGUAUAUCAGUUGCCGUCCUUUUGGGAGGCAAAAUUAAAUAUCAUAUCACUAUCUUACAAAAGCAGGAACAUGUAGAUAUAGUCAACUCACGAACGCCUAACUAACUGAACAACCUCAUUAUGGCGUCAAACCACUGCCAUAGCCAAGGGACCUGUCAAACUAAGAACCAUUAGAACCAGCAACUAUAACACCGUGCCUUUUAUCUUUUUUGGAUGAUGGGUGCCGAGCAAUUAAAACAUAUUACAGCAAUUAAAUUUGAUAUGUAGUAUCAUCUGCCAUCCUUCAGGGGAUUCAGCAUUAGUCUAUCUCUAAUCUGCUCAUUAGUUAAUGGAAAGUUGCAAACGUCAAGAUCACAUGUGAGUACUAGGUUGUUUGACUCAUUCAAGCAAUGGUAUCACGUCUUCACACUGUCAUUACUAGUAUAGGGGAGUUGGGAAUUGUACCUUGUAUGACGCCCACCAACCUCCCCUCGACCCUCCAUGUCUCACGAGCAACUAAUCGGGGUUACCCCUUGCGGCUCAACCAGUUGAAACUUUCCCUGAAACUGAGCGCUCCAGCGCAGCCACAUAGCACACUCAUGCGUGAUCACAUGGAGUCUGCUGGGCGCUUCUCCCAGAAAGUUUUUUUUCUUCUGUUUUGUUGGUUUUUUCAUGUUUUUUCUCGGUUUCUAGUUUCUUUGGUACCCUUUUUUGCGCCUCUUGGUUUUUUGUUUCAUGUGAAGUAUAGUUGUGCUAUGUCGGGUGAAAAAUUCAAUCGUGCUUCCAUGUGAAACGCAAUAGCAAAAAUGGUUCAUGAUUUGAACUCAUGAUGCAAGAGAUAAAACCUUUUUAAAAAAAUCUACCCAAAAAGGCACAAAUAAACCCACCCGUCCCUCCCGUGGGUUGAAAGAAGUCCCACUAAAAUUCCCAGCUUACAACAAGUGUCGCACUUGCAAGAUUUUGGUCCAUGUUAGGGGAUGAUCUGGUUGAGGAGAUUCUUCAGGCAGUAAAUACAUGUACUAUCCCUCCUGGGUGGAUGAUAAUGCAAUUGUGAUUACCCCCAUGGUUAAUUCUCUGGAAAAGGUUUGCCAACUUAGACCUAUCAGCUUAUGUAAUGUGGUGUAUGAGGUUAUUGGAAAAUGGUGGGAAUUCGGUUGAAGGAUUUUCUUCCAAAAAUUACCAAGUCACAUUGCUUUAGUUCCCAGAAGAAUGAUUAUGGAUAAUGUCUUAGUGGCUUAUGUUUGCUUUCGUACAAUAAGGAAUAAGAGAGAAGGUAAAGAGGGUUUGUGCGCUGUAAAACAAAAUAUGCAUACAACUUAUGACUGUGUUGAGUGGUCUUUCCUUGGGGAGAUUGUUCUAAAACUUGGCUUUCGAGAGAACUGGGUAUGCAAUGUGUAUACACUGUUGAAUAUCGGGCCAGAUUCAAUGUAGAAGAAAGUGACAGUUUUAAACUGGCGAGGCGCUUACGGCAGGGCUAUCUUCUUUCUCCCUAUCUUUUCUGGCUUUGGACGAAGGGCUUGACGACACUCUUGACGCACGCGGAGGAGAGUGGUAAUAUCUUGGGUGUGAUGCAUUGUAGAGAUGCACCUCCGAUCACCAAUCUUAUCUUUGCUGAUGACUCAUUGAUCCCCAUGAAGGAAAAUAUGCAUAAUGUUCAGACGUUGUAGUCAAUUUUGGACUCCUACUGUGCCACUUUUGGGAAAAUUGGUCCGUGUUGAUAAAUCUAGUAUUUUUUCAGCCCAAAUACAAGGGGUGAGGUGAGAGUGCACAUGUGUAAAUCUGAUUAUCAUGAUGGAAGCAGUUAAUGAUAAAUAUUAAGGCUUGCCUGUCAAUGUAGGAAUGGAUACAUUUGACAGCUUACAAUACCUGAUUGAUUGCAUUGUCAUGAAUAUUAGUGGUUGGAACAAAAAAAUAUCCGUUGGAAGGAUGGAGAUCCUCCUCAAGUCUGUUGUCCAAGCCAUACCGACCUACACAAUAUCCGUCUUUAAAAGUUCUAAGAAAUGUAAAGGAAUUAUUGAACAAUGGCACAAUUGUUUGUGGGGAGAUGAGGAUAACCAGAGAAGAAUGUAUUUGAUUGCUUGGUGGAAAAUAUGUGUCCCAAAAAAUCAAUGAGAGAUGGGUUUUAGGGAUAUCCAUUGUUUCAAUCUAGCGAUGUUGGCAUAGCAGCCUGUCGUCUGAUUGAGGACCCUAACUCUAUGUGCUAAUGUCUCGAGAGUCAAUUAUUUUCCUGAUGGGGAUUUAUUGAACGCAAACUAAAAAAGGGAUGCUCAUUUACUUGUAAAAGUAUUUUGGCGGGUGUGAAUUCUAUGAAGAAAAUAUAUAUUUGGCAUGGUGGAAAUGGCCGAAAUAUUGGUAUUUGGGAGGUCGCAUGGAUUCCAAAUCGUUCCACUAGGAAAACUAUCUGUUCGAAAGGGUGUCAUUUGUUAUCCCGGGUGGCAAACCAUAUUAAUCCAGUUUCUAAUAACUAUGAUGAAGAUCUAGUUAGAAAAACCUCGUGUCCUAUUGAUGCACAAAUGGUUCUCGCAAUACCUUUCCCUCAGCAUGCCAUGCAAGAUUUUGUCACCUGGAAUUUUAAGAAAAACACUUUAUUUUCAGUCCAGUCUGCAUAUUUCAUGGAAUGGGAUCAUCAACAUGGUAUGAAACUAAGACAUACAAAUGGUAGGGGAUGAACCACUUAUAAACCUAUUUGGUGCAAGAUUUGGAGGCUAUCGAGGCUGACAAAGUAUAAGAUUUUUAUGUGGCGUACAUUGCAUGGUACACUCCCAUGUCAUGUUACACUUGCACAUAUACAUUUGAAAACCUCGCUCAAUGCCCGUCAUGCUGCUUGGAUCCAGAAGAUACAAAGCAUGUGUUAUUUCUUUGCAAAAAGCUAGAGAAGCUUGGAAUAGGUUGGGGCUGGACGAUGUUAUUAAUCGUGCUUGCGAAAUUGAUCUUGUUGGGGAGGCGGUUCUAGAAUUCCGACUCCCUUUAACAGAUCUGGAUUGAUCUGUGAUGGGAGAUCACAAUGUCCGAAAGAUGAUUGCUAUGACGGGUUGGUACUUAUGGUGGAAAAUAUGUAAGUUGGUCCAUGACUAGAAAGUUCAAAGUGCUAUCCACAUAUCUAUGGGGUUCCCGAACUCAUGACCACUUCUGUUAUUGAUUCUUCCCCUAAUGCUUCCAUAAAAAAGAGAGUUGGACCAGGCCUCCAAGGGACUUUGUCAAACUAAAUGUGGAUCCAAUGAUGCAUCCGCAUCAUGAUACAAUUCUUAUGCAUUUUCUCUCUUAAAGGUACUGUUUGCGCGAUCCUGUGGGAUGAUAAAGGCAAGUUCAUUCAAGAGGUAAUCGACGAAUCGACUGGUUUAUGAAUGGUUUAAUGGCUGGAUAUUUGGCUCUCGGAUUUGGGCUUUCUCUUGCAGAAAGGGUGGGUUGCAACCGUCUCGUGAUUCACUCUGAUAACUUGAAGGUCACUAAGACCAAGAAGAAUGGAGGAAAAUCUGCAGGUGCGGCGGCGACAUUUUUUGAUGAUUGUUAUCAUCUUGCUUGUGAUUUCUCUUUCUCUAGGUUCGAGCAUUGCACUAGAUAGCUAAAAAAGUCACUCAUGAGCUCGGCAUCUAGUGAUACGUCCAUUUUGCAUCAUGUUUUUAUGUUCAUAUUUAUUGCACUGUUGACUGUUAUUUCACAUUAUGAUACAAUUCUUAUGCCUUUUCUCUCUUAUCUUACAGUUUUACAUGAAGAGGGAGAAUGCCGGCAGCUGGAACUCUGGACUAGAAAGGAGCAAAUCUGAUAUACCAAUUCUGCCCAACUCCAAAUGUGCAGACACUUUAUGGAGAAUUUUUUUGGAAUAUAUAAAUAAAUUGGGCGAAGAAAUAACAGAAAGGGACCCACUAGGUUGCCAUAAGCCUAGGGGGCGCACCCUACCACCCAUGGUGCGCCUCCCGAGCUUAUGGGCCCCCUGGCCAGCCCCCAGUGUCCAUCUUCUAUUAUAUGAAAGGUUUUGACCUAGAAAAAAUAAUAAGGAGGCUUUGGUGACGAAGCGCCGCCGUCUCGAGGCAGAACCUGGGCAGAAGCAAUCUACGACUUCGGUAGAGCAAUUCUGUCGGGGAAACUUCCCUCCGAGAGUGGGAAACGAAGCCUUCGCCAUCACCAAUGAUCCUCUCAUCGUCGGAGGGUCAAUCUUCAUCAACAUCUUCACCAGCACCAUCUCCUCUCAAACCCUAGUUCAUCUCUUGUAUUCAAUCUUUGCCUCAGAACCUCAGAUUGGUACUUGUGGGUUGCUAUUAGUGUUGGUUACUCCUUGUAGUUGAUGCUAGUUUGUUUAUUUGGUGGAAGAUCAUAUGUUCAAAUCCUUAAUGAUAUUUAUUACCCCUCUGAUCUUGAACAUGAACAUGCUUUGUCAGUAGUUACGUUUGUUUCUGAGGACAUGGGAAUCAUGUGAAUUUGGUAUUGGUUCAAUAUUUUGAUGAGAUGUAUGUUGUUUUUCCUCUAGUGGUGUUAUGUGAAUGUCGACUACAUGAUACUUCACCAAGAUUUGGUCCUAGGGGAAGGCAUUGUGAAGUAGCAAGUAGAUGAUGUGCUACUAGAGUGACAUAAGCUAAAACCCUAGUUUAUGCAUUGCUUCGUAAGAGGCUGAUUUGGAUCCACAUGUUUCAUGCUAUGGUUAGAUUUAUCUUAAUUCUUCUUUCAUAGUUGAGAGUGCUUCCGAGGUGGUUUAAUCAUAAGUGGGAGGCUUUUCCAAGUAAGAACAACACCCAAGCAUAGGUCCACCCACAAAUCAAAUUAUCAAAGUAACGACCGCGAAUCAUAUGAGCAUGAUGAAAACUAGCUUGACAAUAAUUCUCAUGUGUCCUCGGGAGCGCUUUGCUUUAUAUAAGAGUUCGUCCAGGCUUAUCCUUUGAUACAAAAAGGGAUUGGGCCACCUUGCUGCACUUUUGUUAUACUUGGUACCUGUUACCCGUUACAAAUUAUCUUACUACCAAACUUUUGUUAUACUUGUUACUUGUUACCCGUUACGAAUUAUCUUACAACCAAACUAAUUGUUACCGAUAAUUUCAGUGCUUACAGAAAAUACCUUGUUGAAAAUCUCUUGUCACUUCCUUCUACUCCUCAUUGGGUUCGACACUCUUACUUGUCGAAAGGACUACGAUUGAUGCCCUACACAUGUGGGUCAUCAAGACUCUUUUAUGGCGCCGUUUCCGGGGAGUGAAGCGCCUUUGGUGAGUGGAAUUUGGUAAAGAAACAUUUAUAUUACCUGCUGAAAAUUAUUGUCACUUGUCACUGUGGAGAAUAAUCCGUUGAGGCGUUUGUUUGGGGUAUCUUCACCUUGACCGGAAGAACAAAGAUUUGCUCCUCAACCGACUAGACCUACUGAAAAUAUUUAUUAUGAAAUUCCUUCGGGUAUGAUAGAGAAACUAUGAGGUAAUCCUAAUGCAGGAGAUGGAACACUACGUCCGGAUAUGCAUCUAAUCUAUGUGGAUGAAGUUUGUGGAUUAUUUAAGCUUCCAGGUUUAUCCGAAGAUGAAAUCAAGAAGAAGGUAUUCACUUUAUCUUUGAAGGAAAUGCAUUGAGAUGGUAUAGGCUAUGUGAUGAUUUUGGGGCUUGGAUUUACAACCGAUUGGAAUUGGAAUUUCAUCAGAAGUUUUAUCCUAUGCAUCUGGUUCAUCGUGAUCGGAAUUAUAUAUAUAUAUUUUGGCCUCGUGAAGGAGAUAGUAUCGCUCAAUUUUGGGGGAGGCUUAAUUCAAUGUUAUAUUCAUGCCCCAAUCAUGAGCUCUCAAGAGAAAUGAUUUUUCAGAUUUUUUAUGCUCGACUUUCUCCUAUUGAUCAAUCCAUGCUUGAUACAUCCUGUACUGGUUCUUUUGUAAAAAAAACUACUGAAUUUAGAUGGGAUCUUUUGGAAAGAAUUAAAUGCAACUCUGAAGAUUGGGAACUCGACGAAGGAAAGGAGUCAGGUAUAAAGAUUGAAUUUGAUUGUGUUAAAACUUUUAUGGAUACCGAUGCUUUUCAUAAUUUUAGCACUAAAUAUGGACUUGACUCUGAUAUAGUAGCUUCUCUCUAUGAAUCAUUUUCUGCUCAUGUUGAUGUCCCCAAGGAGAAGUGGUUUAAAUAUCAUCCUCUCAUUGAAGUAAAAAUAGUAGAACCCGUUGAAGCUAGAGAAAAAACUAUUACGUAUAAUGUUGAUCCAGUUAUUCCUACUGCUUACAUUGAGAAACCGCCUUCUCCUAUUAGGAUAAAAGAACAUGCUAAAGAUUCAAUCAUGGUUAAUAAAAGUUAUAUAAGAACAUCUACACCCCAAACAAAUUAAAUUUGAACCAAAUGUUGCUAUUGUUAAAGAUCUCUUAGUUGAAAAUAUUGAUGGGCAUGUUAUUUAUUUCUGUACUGAAGCUACUAGAAUUACCAAACUUGAUUAAAACAUAAACAUAGACCUGUUGCUGGCAUGGCUAUUGUCUCUAUUAAAAUAGGAGAUUUUUUAUAAUGGAUUAUGUGAUUUGGGUGCUAGUGUGAGUGCUAUCCCGUUUACUUUAUAUCAAGAAAUUAUGAAUGAUAUUGCACCUGUUGAGAUAGAAAGAUAUUGAUGUUACUAUCAAAAUUACAAAUAGAGAUACUAUAACACCACUUGGGAUUGUUGAAGUCUUGUGUGGGAAGAUAAAAUACCCUACCGAUUUUCUACAUCUUGGUUCUCCACAAGAUGAUUUUUGUCCCAUUAUAUUUGGUAUACCUUUCUUGAAUACGGUGAAUGCUAAAAUAGAUUGUGAGAAAGAAACUAUUAGUGUAAGUUUUGGUGACGUGUCUCAUGAGUUUAAUUUCUCCAAAUUCCGUAGACAACCUCGUUAUAGAGAAUUACCUAGUAAGGAUGAAAUUACUGGCCUUGCUUCAAUUGUCGUGCCUCCUACUGAUCCGUUAGAACAAUAUUUGCUAGAGCAAGAAAAUGAUAUGCUUAUGAAUGAAAUAAAUGAAAUAGAUGAGAUAUUAUUUAAAUAAAUGCCUGUUUUGAAACAAAAUUUACAUGUUGAGACGCUUGGAGAUCCUCUUCCACCCAAGGGUUAUUCUGUGUUUGAGCUUAAACAAUUACCUGAUACUCUGAAAUAUGCUUAUCUUGAUGAAAAGAAGAUAUAUCCUAUUAUUAUUAUUGCUAACCUUUCAGAGCAUGAAGAAAAUAUAUUAUUGAAAACUCCGAGGAAGCACCGUGCAACUAUUGGAUAUGCUCUUGAUGAUCUUAAGGGCAUUAGUCUCACUCUAUGUCAGCAUAAAAUUAGUAUGGAACCUGAUGCUAAACCAGUUCUUCAUCACCAGCGAAGGUUAAAUACAAGGAUGAAAUAAGUAGUAAGAAAUGGAAUAUUAAAGCUUAUGGAAGCAGGUAUGAUCUUUCAUAUAGCUGAUAGUAGAUGCCUAAGUACUGUUCAUAUUGUCCCUGAGAAGGGAGGUAUUAAUGUUGGUCCUAAUGAUAAAAAUGAGCUUAUUCCACAAGGAAUUAUCACAGGUUAUAGAAUGGUAAUUGAUUUGAGAAAAUUAAACAAAGCUACUAGGAAAGAUCAUUAUCCUCUAGCUUUUAUUUAUCAAAUGCUACAAAGACUAUCAAAACAUACACAUUUUUGCUUUCUAGAUGGAUACUCUGGUUUCUCCCAAAUACAUGUGUCACAAGAGGAUCAAUAAAAAACUAUUUUUACAUGCCCUUUCGGUACUUUUGCUUAUGGACGUAUGCCUUUUGGUUUAUGCAAUGCACCUGCUACCUUUCAAAGAUGUAUGACUGCUAUAUUCUCUGUCUUUUGUGAAAAGAUUGUUGCGUUUCCAUGGAUGAUUUUUCCGUUUAUGGAACUUCUUUUGAUGAUUGCUUAAGCAACCUUGAUCGAGUUUUACAUAGAUGUGAAGAAACUAAUCUUGUCUUGAAUUGGGAGAAGUGUCACUUAUGGUUAAUGAAGGUAUUAUCUUGGGGCAUAAAAUCUGCAAACGAGGUAUUGAAGUUGACAAAGCUAAAGUUGGUGCAAUUGAAAAAAAUGCCAUGUCCUAAAGAUAUCAAAGGUAUAAGAAAUUUCCUUGGUCAUGCUGGUUUCUAUAGAAGAUUCAUUAAAGACUUCUCUAAAAUUUCUAGGCCUCUAACUAAUCUUUUGCAAAAAGAUGUUCCAUUCAUUUUUGACAGUGAUUAUUUAGAAGCCUUUGAAAUACUUAAGAAAGCCUUAAUAUCUGCACCUAUUGUUCAACCAGCUGAUUGGAACCUACUCUUUGAAAUUAUGUGGAUGCUAGUGAUUAUGCUGUUGGGGCUGUUCUAGGACAAAGAGUUGAUAAUAAAUUAAAUGUAAUCCAUUAUGCUAGUAAAACUCUAGACAGUGACCAAAGUAAUUAUGCUAUGACUGAAAAAAAAAAUUAGCAGUUGUGUUUGCUUGUGAUAAAUUCAGAUCUUACAUUAUUGAUUCCAAAGUAAUUGUUCACACUUAUCACGCUGCUAUUAAGUACCUUAUGAAAAAUAUGGAUGCUAAACCUAGAAUCAUCAGGUGGGUUCUCUUGCUACCAGAAUUUGAUUUACAUAUUACUGAUAGUAAAGGAGCUGAGAACCCCAUAGCAGACAACUUGUCUUGGUUAGAAAAUAUUCUUGAUGACCCAUUACCUAUUGAUGAUAGAUUUCUGGAUGAACAAUUAGCUUUCAUAAAUGCUUUCUAAACUCUUGCACUAGAAAAAUUAGUGUUGGUCCCUUUUUCUACAAUGGUAUUGAUGUUUUCCUCGCCAAACACCUAGUGCGACAGUACCCCCACCCCCACAAAACAAAAGAAUAUCACCAUAUUCAUUUGUGAGCACAAUUUUACUUUGAAACUUUGCUACAUUGUAGUCUUUCACGUUACUAUGCUGUUUAUGCUUCUGUGUGGUUGGUCACCUUGGUCUUGUGUAUGUUAUGGUGCAACUUUGAGUAUGGUGAUGCUAAUUGGGAUUCCACGAUAUGUUAGGUCCUUGAUGACGCCUAAGGUAUGGUGGUCGAUAUCCUGGAAAAGGUUGGGCUUGCAAGGAACUUGAAGACACUUCCAAAGAUGGGGCACCUAGAUGGCACUAUGUACUUACGGAAAUUGUUGGGGCAAGUCUUGAGAAGCUAGGAUCUUGAAGGUGCCGAUGUACCUAGGUUCCAGCUUUCCUUUGACAUUGAAGUGUUGCAUACCAUGCUUCAUCUCAUUAUCCUCCUUCAAAUGCUCCUCCAUAUCUAGCAACAACAUGCGGGGGCUAACAUAGCGCCAGUGGAUAACAACAACCAUAGGCCAACAACAAUGACUCCAUCAACAAUCCUAGCAACAAAACGAGGUUUAUGUGAAAGAAAUCCGCUUAGUCCAGAAUAGUUUUGUUUUACCUCUGCAUAUGAUGUAUUGAUGUUUGUUCAUGCCACACAGUCCAGAAACUGCGUGGGGUAGUCUGUCACCAAAUGAGCCAUACAUAAUUCGUGCUAAGGGCAUCUCCAAUGCUGACCCGCAAAUUUGCUCUGGCAUCUGUCCACGGAUAGGCGGGACUAAUCCGAUGACACAGUUGCCGGAGCCUGGAGGCCACGAUCCAACGCAACCCGCAUACAUUUCAACCAUUGUUGGAACUAACCAGAUGAAAUUCAUGUAGACCAGCCAGAUUUGCAUAUAAACCAGAAGAGAUUCAUGAAAAUACAGAUGAUUUCAUAUUAAGAUGACGAAAUUUAUUAUAUUUCGGACAUACUUCAACUAAAAGCGGAGCUCGUUGACUCUGAAGAUAUAAUUUUGGACUUACUUAUAUUCUAAACCUAAUCUAAGUGAUCGCCGGUGCUAGUUCCUAGUGUCCCGCCAUGAGCCCCAGUGUUCUAGCACUUGCCCCUGCCUUCUCCAGUUCCGCCUUGGCGCUCUCUAGCUCUGCCUCCGCAGACUUCAUCAGUCUUGGCCCACACCUCGUCCGCUGCCUCGCCAAACUCCUUGUAGGCGGCCUCCAAUUUUGCCUGAUACUAGCGGAGACAGAUCUAGCGGGUGGAGCGGUAGGAAUCGAGCAGCGCCACCUGCUCCACCACUUCUGCGUCUGGCGCCAUCACCCUACCGGCGUCGAGCUUCUCCUCCAUCUGCUGGUGUUCUUGGAGGAGCUGGAGGUUGUAGGCUGCAUCAGGCUGCUCCUCCUGAAACUGCUCCCCCCACUCCUCCAGCACCAAGUCCAUGUAAUGGGCACAGGCCUCGCCGAUGGUCAUGGUGGAAUGCACAGGCGAGGGUGGCGCCGGCUCGUCUCGGUCGUGUCCUUCAUUGAGAAUUUGUUGGCCUCUGGCUGCCUGUCGGCCUUCCAGCCGGUAGAAAUGGCGGCCAUCUCCUUCUGUUCCAUCGACAAUCCAUCGUAGACAGCUUUUGAGCACGAUUAGGCCAUGGUAGGAGUGGUGCCGAGAGGAGGAAGGGACCAUAGGAGGAUGAAUGCGGCUAUGGCCGGGGCUGCAGUUUAUAUAAAGGGCGAAUAGCAAUGGUGGGCGGCAGAAGGACAGACGGAUGGCGAUGGAGUAGGUUUUUCGACAAUGGUUUGUCAUUAAUGUGGCGGUAGAUGGACGGCCUUGGUGUCCUUUGAACGGGGAGCAGCCGCGUGCAACGGGAAGCGGCGCUGGCAGCAUUUCCUCGGCCGGCGCGUGGCUUAGAUGACGGUGCCAGUGACAGGUCGCCUCCGCUCUAGCCGGGUAUGAAUGCGGCCAUGACGGUUUGGAGCAGUGCUGACUGUUUCGGGUGGGAAGCACGCACGGUCAUGGGAGGAGAUUUGGGUGGGCCAGGGUGGUCAAGAGCGGGCGUGGCGGCGGUUCGGACGGCCGGAAAGCCCUUCCUAGUUUGUCUCUGGUUUGCGGGACAAAGUACGUCUGGAUCACUCGGCGGACCGAUACAGGACCGCAUUAGAUGGCACAACACGUCCGGACUGCACAGUGUAUGCGGGCGGUUUGAGCGUCCGUGUUGGAGAUGCCCUAACAUCCUAUUUAUGCAGAGGACAGGUGUUACUCAACAUACUUUGUAUCCACUUGACGUUAUAUUCUGAGAUAAUAAUUACGCCCUUUAUGAAAAAUACUCCCUUUGCAACAAAAGGUAAUGCCGUGUGCGCUCUAUGCGGGUUUAUGACAUUGUGUGUGUGUGUAUCCUUUCGGUUGAAAAUUCAUGAACUUGUUGGCUGGAACACUUAGCUAAUACAACAACCAAACCCUAAACCAACUAGAAGAGACGCGAGCGCGACCUGAGGCCUGCAUAUAGACCAGCGUUUAAGUCCUCGAGCACGAAAUAGAGUAUCCAAUCAUAAGUAGGCAGUCUUUGUACAUUAAUUGCAAAAAAGAAAGUCUUUGUGUAUUGAAAGAUAUACAGUGCAGAAGCACGUGUCCAGUAAAACGCUAUAAAAUCCAUAGAACAAAGCCUCUGCCGAACCAUAAUCGAGCUCUGACGACUUUUAUUAGCUUGUACUCGUAGUUGAAGUGCAUCAACAUAUCGUACCUAGGUCGCCAUGCCUGCAAACAAGACUUACCCCUCCCAUAAAAAUGCCAACGGUGAGGUGGACGACGAAUUCUACCCAUUAAUCCGCAAGUACAAGGACGGCCGGAUCGAGCGGUUCAUGAGCUCAUUCGUGCCGGCGUCGGAGGACCCGGCGGCCAGCCGUGGUGUGGCGACGAGGGACGUCGUCGUCGACCAGGGCACCGGUGUGUCCGUGCGCCUGUUCCUUCCUGCCCAGGCUGCCGAGGCCGGCGCGAGGCUCCCCCUUGUUGUGUACGUCCAUGGUGGUUCCUUCUGCACGGAGAGUGCCUUCUCCCGGACGUACCACCGUUACGCCACUUCCCUCGCCGCCAGCGCAGGGGCGCUCAUCGUGUCCGUGGAGUACCGUCUGGCGCCGGAAUAUCCCGUGCCGACGUCCUACGAUGACACAUGGGCCGCGCUGCGGUGGGUGGCGUCCUUGUCCGACCCUUGGCUCGCCAAAUACGCAGACCCUAGCCGCACGUUCCUCGCCGGCGACAGCGCUGGCGGCAACAUCGUGUACCACACGGCCGUGCGCGCCACACAUGAUGACAGCAUCAUGGACAUCCAGGGGUUGGUCAUGGUGCAUCCAUUCUUCUGGGGGCCCGAGCGUCUCCCGGCGGAGAAGGUCUUGGACGGCGACGCCAUGUUCCCACCAGUGUGGGUGGAUAAGCUGUGGCCGUUCGUGACGGCGGGCGGGGCUGGCAACGAUGAUCCUCGGAUCAAUCCUCCGGACGAGGAGAUCGCGUUGCUAACUGGCAGGCGGGUGCUUGUGGCCGUUGCAGAGAAGGACACCCUGCGCGACCGGGGGCGCCAGUUUGUGUGCAGCAUGCGCAGGUGUGGGUGGGUUGAUGGCAGCCUCACCGUGGUGGAGUCGGAGGGUGAGGACCAUGGCUUCCACUUGUACGCCCCCCUACGUGCGACCAGCAAGAAGCUUAUGAAGAGCAUCGUGCAGUUCAUAAACCAUCGCGCCACCUUGCCGUCACCGGCCAUGGUGAUCCCAGAAGGCUCGGCCGAAACUAUGCUAGGCGUCCCUAGUAGGCCAUUUAAGGACAUAUUUGGCUACGGGAUGCGCAUGAAACGUUGGAGUGGCACGAGUUUUGGGCUCAAAGUUGGUCGUGCAAAAGCAUCGACGACGAGCUAUGGGUUACCUUUGAAGCAAGCUCGCACCUUCGGAGACCCUGUUUCAGCACCAACUUCGGUAAGAUUCGUGAUGAGGAACUGUUUCUAGAACCAGUUCCCGGGGUGUGUUAAGUUAAUUUAAAUUUACCUCAAUAAAUGUAUUCUUUUCAUUAUUGCUUGCACGUUGAGUUUGUAUACGUCAAGGUUAUGAUCACUUCUGGAGUCGUGUAAGUGCUUUUGCUAUUGCACUGGCGCAUUGUAUCUGCCAGAAACGUGCAAGUUCACGUUGCGGCUAAGUCGUUGCUUGGCAUGUUGUAGUCUCGUCGCCACGAUCCACCGCGUGCAGGAUGGCGCACGCUUUGUGUGGAUCGAUCACGGUGAGCUUUGUGUGUCUGGUUGUCAAGUGUUAGAAUAAAUAAAGGAAAUGAAAGAAAGAUAGAAAAGAUGCAAUUACGGCGUCACAAAAUUACCUCUUUUGUUUCUCUAAAGCACAUCCAGAUAUACCCUAAGUAUUGCACAUCUCAGUCCUAUGCUAUUGAUUUUACGUGAAGAACCGUGCAAGCAUUUUUGUAAAACUCCUAUCAUCCCCCGGGAAUUACCAUGUCUACCACCGUCUGCCUCAGCGCAGCUUCGCAGUUGAUGUGGAGUUUGACUUGUUGCAGCCGUGGGUCUUGCCAUGUGCGCCGGCUCUUGAAGCAGUACGAGGAUUCCUGGUGCACAUAUCCUCUGGGCCGGUCGGCUCCUUUUCGGGUGGUGCAGUGGUUCUUCGUUGCUGAUACUAAUGUGCUGCGUGUGGUAGCCUUUGUUGGCAGAGUGGUGGUUCAUCCAGGUUUUUCCUUUGGCACGGUUGUGGGUGGUGGUAGGUUCUUGCUAUUAUCUCUUCGUGAGGUUGCAACAAAGCCAUGAGUUGUGGCUGUGGCACUCUGGGCAAAAGCCCUGCACUACCUUUGUUGGUGUUGAUGACAAGGACACUCUCGGGCCAUGUUUUCCUCCUGAGUGGCAUUGUCGACGAGCCCUACUCCAUCAUCAUCCCUCGUGAUCCAGUCUCCAGUUGAAAACCUAGAUUUGCCUUGCUUUAUCGGAGAAUGGCAUUGUUGUCGAGGUUGCUUCCUUCACGGAGGCAUUGUUCUAGGAGGUCUGACCCUAGGUUCACAUGCACGCUGCUGACAUGCAUUUUGGCUCUUUCUGGCAGAUCCUAGGUGUUGUUGAAAUAUCCCAAUGAUGCUACCAUGGAUGGGAUGUGUAGUGGACCGCGGAGUAUCAAAUGUCGCGUCAUCUUGGUCGCCUGGGGCACCCAACGGGUUUCGAUUGACGGAUGCUAACGUAUGUUGUGACAGACAAGGGAUGUGAUGGGAUACGGUGGUGCAACAUUCAAGGUGCAUGUGGUGUGUCUGGAAGUGUCGAGGCCUCGGCACCGACGGCGGAGCAAGGCUGGCAGUCCAUGAUGCCAUCUGGUGUGAUUUUCGCUUCCAUUGCCAAGAUUACUAUCAUGUAUGUUUGUGUCGAUGGCUUCUAUGCCAGGGUUUAUCUGGUGGUGUCUGAUGCAGGGUGUGUGUACUAACAUUGGUCGUAUUCUUGUCUUACGUUUGUGGUUGUUUUGGCCUAGUCUUGGAUUGUUCGGUUUUAAAUCUUCUUUCUAUCAACGGAUUGAAACCCAAGCAUUGCGUUUUCUCAACAAAACAAAAGUAUUUUUCCAUCCGGCCAUUGUGAGACCGGGUCUUAGAAAAGCAGCUGCUGCACUUCAUCUCUAUGACGUCAAGAAACCCUCGCCUGCAAUGGUUAGUGCGGUAAAUUAGAGAAGAUAAUUAGGAAAAAAUGGCUCGUGUGUUUUGGUACUUUUUGGAAGGAGAAAAACUGUAGCAGAGAGGCAAGCGGGGUCCACAGUUACAUUCCUAAGCUUAAUAGCUUCAACACUAGCCUAACAAAACUAGUCCUGAAGCUAUUAAGCUGUCGAAUUCAAAAUCCGCUGCCACUUUUACUGUAAAUGGGUGAGUAGAAUACAGUCUAAUACCAACAUUUGGCAUUCGUAACUUGUAGUUUUGAACGAGUGAUGAUUAUGAUCUGCUGAUGCAAUUUGGCUGCUGAUUGAAUAAACUAUCAAAAUCUCGAAAGAAAUCCGACUAGCCACUAUUGUGUACCAGCCACAGCGGAAGUGAACUGGAGAAGGUGGUCAAGGGCUCAAGGCUUCCAUAGAAAAAGGCUGAACAAUGGAUUCUUGAUCCAGUAACAACAAUUACAAGAGACAAAUUUACAGCUUUUGGCAGCGAGGAUGAAGAUUCUGAUGAUUUCUCUCGGCAUUUGGUCGGUAAACAUUGAUGACGCCGACAUUGGUCAUGAAAACGAUCAAGGAAUCAUGGUGGACAUUUUGCAAUCGAAGACAAUUUCUAUGGCUUGGACAUAGUCAAUGUGGAAGCCCAAUUUAGAGAACAAGUGGAGUUGUAAUGAGGCCAUUGACAUGAUCCACUCGACGCCCAUGGUGGGCAUCAUGUGCCAAUGAAGCAUACAGCGCAGAUUUCAAGAUCUACUAUGGAGUCAUGAAGAGGGUAGGAUAGAGAAGGGGUCAUUCCCAAAGAGAUACAAUCAGUCACAAUGGAGACACAGUGGUAUUAUCCGAGUUCAGGCCCAUGAUUGAUAAAACCCCUAUGUCCUGCUUAUUGUGUAGUAUUGUUUUUUUCCAGGGGAUUAUUGUGUAGUAUUCACAAUGUUGAAUUACUGUUAUAGUAUAUAAGGAGUCCACGCUCUACACUCCAAUCAAUGCAACAAUCAUAUAUAUGUUACUAUGUUACUCCAAACAUCAUAGAUUCCUCACAAUUGUUGUUUACCCAACCUUAUGACUGCCAGAUCAACCACCAUAGAUAGGGAUUUCAGUACUCAACCUUAGAGACCACGCUAGGUACGAUGGCAAUAGAUUCCUGACAAUUUCUUUUUACCCAACCUUAUGACUACCAGAUCAAACACCUAGAUAGGGAUUUCGGAACUCAACCUUAAAUACCACGUUAGGCACAAUGAUGGGUCAAUGGUUUGGAGGACUAAGGCUAGGCGCUAGCCACCAAGAUGGAAACCAAAGUUGGUCUAGACAUAUGGACGGCUAGCACUUCCCAUGCGUAAUACAAUUCGCCGAUAAAUAGGAUAAGACCCCUUGAAUCCACAUGAUAACAGGCAAAAAGGAGAAGAGGGAAGGUGAAUAGCAGAGCUCUAUUAUUUUUAUUCAUUUCUCAAGAAAGUGUCAAAACUUAGAGAUUACAAAAUUAUUCAAUUAUAGAAUACUAGCAAAAGCUUAGGACUUACUAAUCGGCCACAGGGAUGUAGAUUAAAGUUCAUGAUGGUAAUUUAUUUUGUGUUGGCUCAAAUUGCAGGGAUGUAGAUUAAAGUUCACAACAUCUAAAUCCUUGAUUAUUGUGGGUUCAAAUAAGGAUCUUUUUUAAAUAGGUUAUGGCCCUAUCAUCUUGUAAAUAACCACCCCAACAUUAAUCACAAUGAUGGGGAGGGUUUCCAAGUAGUUCAUUGGCACCACACUCGAUGGCUGAUGUUCAUAAGGGUUCCGUUAGAUUAUCGUAAUGUUUGGUGACAUUUUAUCAUACUUUAAUUUAGUGUUUGUUGUUCAUGGGCAGAAGACAUAUUAUCGGUGCCCUCAAGUAUUUCAUACAAGUAGAAGAAUUUGUGCUUGUCAACGUGCCAGUACAUGGCAAGUGCUUGGGCUACUAAUCUCCUUAGCCUGGUCGGCUUUGACUUAAUAGAAUCCCUCUCACAUGCAGUUUUUUCCCUCAGAGGACCUUCUACAUCAUGGUAACAUGGCCAUUACCAGCAUUUGCACAAUUUGCGAAGCAGAGGACUCAUGGUGUUACUCCCUCAUGAACACUACAUUAUGUCUCACUACAUUUGGGAUCUUUCCGCUGAGGAACUUGUGCAAGCUAUGCAUAUGACAAGAGAACCUGACGGUAAACGCUGGAUUUUCUCACUGAUGAAGUUUCUUUCAUAAUCCCAGUUCACCAGAGUGUUAGUUACCAUGUGGUGUAUUUGGCACGCCCGACGGAAAGCUAUACAUGGAAAAUAUUCGAGAGCUCAGUGCCUGCAAAAAAAGUGAAGGUCUUCCAUGUGGUGAUAAAUUGCCAACUUAACUCAGAGGUAGAGCGAUUUCGGCCUCGGAAGCACACGGGCGUGCAAUGACGCGUCCAGGUGUCCUCCCUAUCCGAGUCCGUCGGAUCCGGCAGCGACUCCACCAUCUAGUAGACAAUAUAGAUAGUGUAUUUAAAAGAAUUUUAACACCCAUAACAUAUAGCAGUAAUUGUAUUACCACAAAUCCAGUGAGCAAGUGUUAAUAUAUCCGGUGAAGUGUGCUUUUGAUGUAGUUAAUAGUGGAGACAACUUCAAGAAACUAAUUAAACCGGACACAUGCAAGGUCGGGUCCUGUGCUCUUCUGAUUAAGUGAUAAUCAAACACAUUUAUCUGAAAACUACUAAGUAAAACCAAGUCUUGCAGCAGUAAGAAGAAGACCAAUUGAAUGUAUGAAGUCCUGAAUAACUGGUUAAUGGACCAACGCAUGAUCACUGACGGUGUUCUGAACUAGGGGUACUCACCACGUCGUCUUCCGACCAGUGGGUCGGGCCGAUGACCCCCAUGAUGAUUUACUAAUGGGCCCCUUCGGGUAGCCCAUGCAGAACACAAGGAGGAUUUCACAAAACUUGGCGCACAAGACAAUGACUCCUCUAAAGCCUAGGCCUACGGUGCAUAUAUAAACUGAGGCCAAGCUAGUCAAUAGACAAUCCAAUAUUCAUUGCUACAAUCUCGUUGUAGACACAUGCAUCCUGUACUACACCCAUAUCAAUAUAAUCAGAAGCAGGACGUAGGGUACUAUCUCUUCGAGAGAGCCCGACUUGGGUAAAAUCAUGUGUCCAUGUUACCAUCGUUUCCAAGACGCCUAGCUUAGGACCCCUACUACGAGAUAUGCCGGAUAUAGAACCGACAUUGGUGCUUUCAUUAGGACCCUGCUGGGUGAUCACCAUGGAUCGAUGGGAUGAUCAGAUCAGUUUUUGGCUCACCGGCGGCGAUGAUUUUUGUGCAAGAUCCGAUGAAGGCAGGCUGGCGUGCCCACAUGAAUCACUUCGCGUGAGAUCGAUCAUAGAGACAAGCGCAGACGUAAAGACUAAUGAAUAAGAAAACAGUUCGUAUGGCGCUCCUCACUGGCAAAUUUGACCAUUUUGACCUAUGGACGAAAUCAGUUCACGGAAUGAACUGACCGUGAAACUAUUUCACAGCCCUAACUUUUUUGUGUAGCGCCCGCCACGACGGCGCCACACCCUACUGUGCAGCGCCUAGCGCGGGGGCGUUGCACACCAGUCCACCGUGGCAGCCCCUGGGCCCGCACCCAGCAGUGCAACGCCUCCGUGCUAGGCGCCACACACAUGUAAUGUGGAGCGCCUAGCGCUCGGGCGCCACACUUGUAAAGUGCAGCGCCUAGCGCGUAGGCGCUGCACUGUGACUUAUCCAGCCACUCGGCUGCCCCCCUCCCCCACCCCCACACCACACACUCUCCCACUCUCCUCCCCGAGCUUUUCCCCCUUUCCCCCUCUCUCCCCCUCUCAAACCCUCUCCCAAAUCUUGCAAAUUUGAAGAAUUUGUCCGUGGAUUUCGAAGUCAAACCCUCCCUCAAGGUAAUAUUCUCCAUUCCCCUUGUUUUGAUCCAAGUAAAGUUCCCCAUUGCUCAUUUGUUGCUUGUUUGGGGAAACCCUAGUUUUGUUUGGAUCUAGAGAUUUGCAUGGAAAUGUGAGAUGUUUGUUUGCCAAUUUCUAUGGUUAGGCUUUGUUAGUAUGCUAGGGUUAUUCUUAUGGGUGUUCUUAUGUUGGUGCUAGGGCUAGGGUUAUGGUUAUGGUUAUGGUUAUGGUUAGGGUUGUUGUUUGACAUAUAUAUUAGGGUUUCUAUUCCGUGUUAAUCCUUGUAUUAGUACUCAUGGAAGCAAUGUUACCUUGUGUUAUUGGAAUGCUUAUAGGGAUGGGAAGAACAUGUGUGUUUGUUCAUCAUGGGGACAAGGACGCCUUUUUGAAAGGCAAUGUUGAACCGGACCCGGAUGAGGUUGACAUGGUGUUUAAUAGUAGUUCUAGCUAUGCGGAGCUCUUGCAACAAGUUAGGGAAGAUUUGAAUUGGACGGACCCUAGUGAUAUCAUAGAGAUGGAGGGAAGGCAUAAUGUUGGUUUUGGAAUGCACAUCCGUUGGAAGACAAUGCGUGUCAACUCGGAGCAACGUUGGGUUGCAUACAAGGAGACGGUGGCCGAAUCACUAGACAAGGCUCUUGAGUUAUUUGCAACAAAGAAGGUUGAUUCAAGUUUGCAUUUGGACUUGAACCGGAACCCCUCCCCUUUGGUUGCUAGUAGCCCCACACCCUUGAAGCGAGAUGAAAUUGUUGAACCUCUUUUGACCCAAGAAGUGAGGCCAACAUUGAGCCCGUUUACAAACAACCAAGAUGAAGCUUUGCAAGAGGACAAUGAUGAGUAUGCGGACGAUGACAAUGAAGUUGAUCUCCAUGACAACAAUGUGGGUGAUCUCGACAAAUAUCACUUGCAAGAGACAAUGGACCCUUCCAUCCCUUUUUCCCGUGGAUAUGCAUCGGACUCGGAUGACGAUGGUCUCGAUGAACAAGUUGAUGCGGAGGGGUUCACGGUGAAGGAGGCCGAAGCUUUCGAGAAGGUAUUUGGUCGGGAUCAUCGGACUACAUUGUUCAAGGAUGUUAGUCUCGCGGAUGAAGCCGUGGUAGAUGGUGGCCAAUGUGUACCUCUUGGGGUUAGGCCAAGCUCUUAUCGUGAUUUGGGAGACGACAAGAACCACAUUGCUAAAGGUUCUAAGUUCGACACCUUCUUGGAAUUGAUAAUGUGGCUCGACAACUACUCGGUUACGCAUUAUCGUCCACAUAAGGUGGUGCACUCGGACGUCAAAGUGCGCUACACGGUUGCAUGUGCAUGUGAAGAUGAAAUAUGUCCAUGGAUUGUGUGUGCAAGACCAUGGAAAGGAGGUCCCACUUGGCACGUAGUGAGUUGUGUGCCAACUCACAUGUGCCAAGGCAAAAGGGUGGAUGGCAAGAUUGUGUCCCAAAACCACAAACAACUCACGUCCGAGUUCAUCGCUUACAGGCUCUCCAACUCAAUAUCCACACUUCCAACAAUGAGCAUCCAACAUGUCAUUGACCUUGUGAAAGCCAUCUUUCACUACAAGGUGAAGUACGGCAAGACAUGGAAGGCGAAGCAAGCCGCAUUUAAGAUGUUGUAUGGUACUUGGGAGGAAGCAUACAACAGAAUCCCUAGGUUGUUGUUAGCCAUGGCCGCGACAAACCCGGGCAUGGUUCAUGUGGUCGAGCCUCAUGGGCACCAAACAAAGGUUCAUCAAGGAAGGAAAGUCAGAGUAUUUGGCCGUGCUUUUUGGGUGUUCGAGCAAUGUGUGAGGGCUUUCGAACAUUGUAGGCCGGUCAUCGCAAUUGAUGGCACGUUCUUGACCAGACAAUACAAGGGCACCUUGUUGGUUGCGAUAGCAAGUGAUGCCAAUAACCGGGUGUUGCCAUUGGCAUUUGCUUUGGUUGAGGUGGAAAACAAUGACAACUGGGAGUGGUUUCUGCAUCUUUUGAGGACGAAGGUGUUACCCGCUCAAAGGGAAAUUUGUGUCAUAUCGGAUCGGCAUCAAGGAAUUCUUAACAUGGUGGAGAUUGACAUUCCCGGGCAUGCUCCGUUGCACCACGAUGGUGCAUGAGGCACUUUUGUUCGAACUUCUGUAGGGCAUGUGGCCUUAAGGAGUUGGCCGAUGAUCUUCAAGAUUGUUGUCUUGCUUUCUCCGAGAAGCGCUUCGCCACUUUGUACCACAAAUUGCUCGCACACAAAAAACUUGAUGCCGGGGGUCAAGACUUUCUCAAUAGGCACAUUCAAUACCGGAACAAGUGGGCACGUGCCUUUGAUGAAGAUGGCCGGAGAUACGGUCAAAUGACAAGCAAUAUGGCGGAAUGCUUCAAUAGGGUGCUCAAAGGUGCACGUGGAUUACCCGUGACGGCAAUAGUUCAAUACAAAUUUGACAAGAUGAAUGCGUACUUUGUAAAGUACUCGAUGGAAACCGAUGCACAAAUAGCGGGUGAGAACCCACGGAAGUACAAGUACAAGUUCCCACCCAAAGUUGAUGAAUGGUUGGUAUUUCAAUCAUCGAAGGCGGACUCAGAAGAAGCUAUAUUAUAUGACAAUGAAGAGUGGAAGUACGAAGUGAAAGAGCGAGGAGGAACCACAGACGAUGGCCGGCAACAUGGAGGUCGGGCUUUCAAGGUGUCGUUAACACAAUGUGAUUGCACUUGCGGGAGGCCGUUGUUGCUUCAUCUCCCAUGCUCACACUUGUAUACCGCCGGUCGCGUUAGGAAUGUGGACAUCAAUCACCCACGCACCAUGAGGGAGUCCGAGUUCUCAAUCAUGACGGUCAAGAAAACAUGGGCUCCCCGCUUUCACCCGUACUUUGACCAAUCACAAUGGCCGGAGUAUCAUGGAGUUCAACUAUGGCCGGAUUCGGAGUUGAAGGUUGUUAAACGGGGUAGACGUCAGACAAAGCGUCUUAGAGGAGACAUGGACGGAUGGGGCCAUGGUGGCCGCCGCGAAGCGGGCAACGACCAAUUCCAAGAGCCUCGUGAGAGCUCCCGUUGUGGGGAGUGCAAAGGUCAUGGCCACAACAAAAGAAAAUGUACGAAACCAAGGAAAAGGUCCAAGAAAAAUGAUGCAAGCACAAGCCAACAAGGAGCUACACAAGGGAGCCAACCAAGUGGUAGCCAACAAGUGCCAAGCCAACCAAGAGGUAGCCAACAAAAGCGAAGGCAACCUAGUGGUAGCCAACAAGUGCCAAGACAACCAAGUGGUAGCCAACCUAGUGGUAGCCAACCUAGUGGUAGCCAACCUAGUGGUAGGCAACAAGUGCCAAGCCAACCAAGUGUUAGCCAAAGAGGAUCUAGGAAACAAAGAGGUCGUCAACUAGGACUUACAAGGGGCCGUGGUGGUGGUAGUGGCCGUGGUGGUGGUGGUAGAGCUCGUGGUGGUGGUGGUCUAGGCCGUGGUGGUGGCAAUGGCCGUGGUGAUGGUCUUGGCCUUGGUGGUGGAUUUGGCCAUGGUGAUGGAGAAGGGCAAGUUCGUUAUAGAGGAAUGUUUGGAUACCUAGAUGGACCGUUUCCGUAUGUUCCUCACUAACUAUAAUGUAUCACAUGUUCUUGUUUUUCAUAUGUUCUUCCAUUUGUUCUUAUUGUCCUUACUAGCCAUUAUGUUUCACUCAUUGUAGGUAUGGCGGCUUCCCAACACAACAAACCAACGAUGAAGGAGGAUGGCGAAGAUGAGAUGGCUGGAUGGUGGGAGAAGGCUGCGAAGAAGCUUAGAGAUGAGGAUGCAGCCAAGCUAAAGAAGAAGGAAGAGGAGCUUGAGAAGGAGAUGAAGAGGAAAGAGAGAGCGUCAAAUGCGAUGCGCGCUAGGGAGGAAGCGUUGGUGAGGAAAUGUGAGGAGGCACAGAAGAAGCGUCUAAAGGAUUUUCAAGAAAAAACCAUGAAGCUUUGGGCAAUUGCAGCUGAAAAAGAAGAGAGGGACAAUCAGAUAUUCAUGGAAAGGGUGGUUAAGGAGGCUCACCUCAUAAGAAAAGGGAGGAGGAAGAGGAAGAAGAGAGGAAGAAGAAGAAGGGAAAGGGGCCUUGCUCUACGCAAUAAAGCUACUAUGUCUCCUCUUCGAUUUGGUUGUAAGAACUACUAUGUGUCGUGAACUACUAUGUCUCCUCCUCGAUUUGGUUGUGAACUACUAUGUGUCGUGAACUACUAUGUCUCCUCCUCGAUUUGGUUGUAAGAACUACUAUGUGUCGUGAACUACUAUGUCUCGUCCUCGAUUUGGUUGUAAGAACUACUAUGUGUCGUGAAGUACUAUGUGUUAUGAACUAUGUGUCAUGCAUAUAUUCUCUUCACAGUUGUUAAAUUACUAUGUAUCAAUCCUACCUCACAUCAUCUUACUAUGUUUGCACAUGCUAAAAAAUUCACCAAGUCCACGUGCAACGUCUAGCACUGAGGCGCUGCACUGUGNNNNNNNNNNNNNNNNNNNNNNNNNNNNNNNNNNNNNNNNNNNNNNNNNNGAGAGCAACAGAAUGUGUGUCAUGCUACAGACAUGUGCAACGCCUAGCCUGGAGGUGUCACACACCACAGUGCAACGCCUAGCCCUGAGGCGCUGCACUGUGUAGUGUGACGCCUACAGGCUAGGCGCUGCACGUGUCUGUAGCUAUCCAGAGAGCAACAGAAUGUGUGUCAUGCUACAGACAUGUGCAGUGCCUAGCCUGGAGGCGUCACACACCACAGUGCAAUGCCUAGCCCUGAGGCGCUGCACUGUGUAGUGUGACGCCUCCGGGCUAGGCGCUGCACAUGUCUGUAGCUAUCCAGAGAGCAACAGAAUGUGUGUCAUGCUACGGACCUGUGCAACGCCUAGCCUGGAGGCGUCACACUACACAGUGCAACGCCUAGCACUGAGGCACUGCACUGUGGAGUGUGACGCCUCCUGGCUGGGCGCUGCACAAAAACUUAGCGAAUUUUUUGGCCAAAACUGGAGGCCUACCUUCUGUUGCUCUCUGGAUAGCUAACAGACAUGUGUGACGCCUNNNNNNNNNNNNNNNNNNNNNNNNNNNNNNNNNNNNNNNNNNNNNNNNNNNNNNNNNNNNNNNNNNNNNNNNNNNNNNNNNNNNNNNNNNNNNNNNNNNNNNNNNNNNNNNNNNNNNNNNNNNNNNNNNNNNNNCCAUAGUGCAGCGCCUGGCCUGCAGGCACUGCACUAUGGAGUGUGACGCCUCCGGGCUAGGCGCCACACAUGUCUGUAACUUUUCCUUCAUUCUGUUGCUCCUUGUUGCUCCAGUUUUGCAUCACAGAUAGUUUCAUCACAGAAUAAGCAUUACUAAGAGAUUUAAGUUAAACAUUACCACCAACAUAGAGUUCAACACAUAGAGUGACCAUCACGACAAGUUCGACAUUACCACCAACAUAGAGUUGAACACAUAGAAUGACCAUCACGACAAGUUCGACAUUACCACCAACAUAGCUACCAUUACUACCAUUACUAAAAGAGAACGACGACUACUUCCUUCUGCGCUUGUUGGCUCCUCCACCUCUCUUGGAGGGUAUCUUCUUCACCUUCCUAGGAAGACGAACCCGCUCCGGCUCUGGCUCCGGUUCCUCCACGUCAUCCACAUCGUCAUCCACAUCGUCAUCCAAAUAGUCGUCCAAAGCCGCCAUCCGCGAGGUGCCGACCGUCCUUUUGCCUCUUUGGGUGAAGUCCUCAGGUGUGUAUUUGUUGAUUCCCCUCCUAGGCUUUUACUCAUAUGCAGACCGAACCUUGUAGGUCCCCAAGGUCCUAUCAUCAAAAACCUAUGCAUCCACAAAAGAUAUGGAAAGACCGUUUGUGAGAAUAUAGUUAGCAAAUGCAUCAACAAUUGGAUAUAUAACCUCAGGCCAUACCUCUUGGGUGAGCACGCACACAUCUUGGGUGACCACACCCACAUCCUCAUCGUCCAAAGGAUUAUCAUGGCCAGAAGUUGGAUCUGAUGGUGUCGCUGACCUAGAACGUUCUGGUGAUACAUACUCGGGGUCACGACAACCGAAAAGGUUUGACAGCCGCCUUAACUUUUGGCCCUGGCGCUGCAACAUGAACAAGUGAAUGAGACAUCGAACGUAGCAACACAUGUUAAGUGCUAGUUUGAAGGAGAUGUGAACCUUAAUGAAUGCUCGAAGUGCACCUUCCCCAUCGCUUUUGCCAGCCGGGGUUGUUUCCAGAAUAGUGUCGGACUCAUCAGCUGCUUUCUUGAUCUGGGCACGCUAUGAACAGAAAAGGUAUUAACGUGUUAGGCAAGUGAAGAUGUGAAUAUUGCGAAUUGAAAAGCAAAAAGGGCAAAUACCACAAAGUUCAUCAUUGGCCCCGCAGGGAUCACGAAGUUUCCUUUCCUGACUAAUGCGUUGUACUGGUGCUGGGCUACCUCAUCAAAGACAGUGGGUUCUUCCAAAAUCUUAUCAUCAUACGUCGGCUUGCAUACCUCCACACGAGUGACGCCUAGAAACCAUGUGAGAUAGUUGUUGAACGCAAUCGGGCAGUGCUCACGAAGCUUGGCUCAUUUUCCAGCCCUAGCUUGCUCCAAAGUAAGCUCCCACUGUAUGACAUACUUGUUGUGAUGCUUGGCCCAAUCCUUGAUCUUCCGCUGCUUUUUCCUAUCCAACCUGCAAGUUAGAAACAUAAUAUUAGCAUCAUCGAAACCGCCGAGAAGCUGCUAAUUGCUCAAGGUUGAUUAUAUCUUACGCGUGUAGCACUAUAUCCGUGUCCACAAACUCCGGCGGGUGUGGCAUGAACAAACCAAACUGACGGUACACCCGAUGUGGCAUGUGAAGCUCAACCGCCCAGUUGCAUAUGAGUGGACACCGCAUAUGCCAGAGAUCCCUAUCCCUAGUGCACACCGGAUUCAGCGUGAACUCUAUAGGGUUCCCAAAACUCUCUCCUUUUCCAUAAGGUUCCCAUACAACCUACAAAAUUGGAUAGAAUGAAAAAUUGAUAUCGAUUUACGAUGGAAGCAUGAUAAUAACUUAUGCAAUGUCAAUUCACCUGCUCAGGCGUGAUCGCGUCCAUCUCGCUCCUGUACAGCUUGUACAUGACCGAGGGAUCAUCCGUCAUCUCAUUUAACACAUCCCACUUGUAAGCCCAAGUCGGGCGCCGUAGUGGGUCGUCUUUCUCGUCCCAAUCCUCGAACUUCAAGGUCUUCAGUCGUCCAACCGGCAAACGCUCCCAGCUCCAUAUGGAAAGUGCGAGCAAACAACCACCAAUACCUCCAGAUAGCCUACAACAGGCUUCGUCCAACUACUAGUACGAACCGAACAGAACCCCACGUGAUGGUUGUCAAAAUCAAGUACUACUUCUGUAGUAAUUGAAGCACGCCUCCCAAGAGUACAUCAUCACUACAGCUUUUAAUCAAAUUCCAUGGGCGUUGUGUGCUUUGGUUUUAGCCGGCCGCUGCCAGGUGCUAUCUCUCCAAAUUACUUUCAAUGCACAAUAUUUUUCUUGGGAAUUAUUCCUUCGGCCAGUGUUAUUUUUUCUACACAGGUCAGCUAAUUUGUGGCUGCAAUGAGAUCGCCCCACGAAUUCAUGUUUCAUCAUGCUGCCACUGCACUACAUCUGCGUCGUUAUUCCGGGCACCCUGAAUCCAGCCGAGGAGGACGAGCAUGUCUGCGUACAGUCCACGCGGAGCAGCGCCCGUAGCCAACACGAAUUCAGCUAUGCGGCAACCCACAUGGAGAUCAAUCUUUCCUUUUCUUUAUUAAGAUAAUGUACUAUACUAUUGCUUGCUACUACCUGUGUGGGAUGCUAUACCUCUGCACUGUAUCUAUUUGGAUCUAACGUCUGAUUGCUAGCUGAUUGACUCACAAAUCCUCAGGUGCUAUUCUUCCUAAUAAUUACAUGCAGUAAGAAUUAUUUGUGACAUUAUGUUUUCUGUUAGGUUUGUACUGCUCUAUGUAUAUAGAUUGAUGUACGGCCUAAGUUCGCGUCCGCUGCUUGUCGAUACAUCGGAUUCGGAUACAUCGGAUUCAGACUCAAUCUGACCAACAGACGAUUCAGCCGAAGAGAUAGUGCAGAAGCAGUACCCUAACAGGGAAUGGGCUCCCUGACAGCACACAAAGCACACAAACAAGGAGAUUUAAUUAUUUUCCCCCUUUUUAAAUGAGCUCUUCAUCGGCCGCUGGCAGUUCCCAAUAAUCCUUUUCAAAAAGUGGAUAGACCUAGAGUAUUUCUAACCUAAUUAAAUACUUGUUUUGCAAGCACUGUCCUUGUGAUCUAAUCUACAAACACUAAUUCACAUAUUGAUGAAUGCCAGCAGUCCAGCUAGCACUACUUCGGGCAACGAGCAAAGUUCGACCGAUGUUUCUUUAUUUCCUUCGGUCCUCCACGAUUAUUGCCGUCCAGGUUUUUAGCGAUUUGUUUAGCACAUAGAUUAUUAUACAGAGAAUGUUUUCUGUUCUUUUGUGUUGCAUUAUUUUUGCAGAGAAGUUUUUCGGACCCUCCUACACGGCGUCAGUCUGGCCAGUCUCUCGUUGUCACCUAGGCAUGUCAACCAAUGUCGAUAUUGACCUCGCGCCAGAUAAUCGACCUUGACUAUGUCACGCCGCCACCUCGGCAAUCCGACGUUGUCGUCCAGCCUGCGCUGAUCAUGCCAGACCAAUCUCAACGCAGUCACAGGGAGAUUUGAUUUUUCUUCUUUUCUCUAUUAUUUAUUAAGUUUGGAGGCAGUCUACACUUUCACUAAUGGCCUCACUUUCGUGUGCUUUUCUGAUGCGAUUAGUACUACCAGUUGCUUCACUUCCAUCAGAGAAUGGAGUGAUGCAACAAGAAGCUUACGUGGUACCUUCCAUAUGAAGUUGUAUGAGUACUUUGGGCCGCUCUUUCACAACAAUUGCUACAUGCGGAUAAGGCUGACAGCCACCGCACCCACUGACACCUUCGUGCUGUGUCUUGAGCUUGCGUUGUUUUUUCUUGAAGAGGAAAGGGUGAUGCAGCAAUAGUAGCGUAAGUAUUUCCAUUAGUUUUUGAGAACCAAGGUAUCAAUCCAGUAGGAGGCUCCUCAAAAGUCCCACGCACCUACACAAACAAACAAAGAACUCGCAACCAACACAAUAAAGGGGUUGUCAAUCCCUUCACGGCCACUUGCGAAAGUGAGAUCUAAUAAAAAUAGAAUGAUAAGAUAAAUAUAUUUUUGAUAUUUUAUAAUAUAGAUGCAAAAAGUAAAGACGUAAAUAAAAGUAGAUUGGAAGCAAAUAUGAUAAGAGAUAGACCCGGGGGCUAUAGGUUUCACUAGUUGCUUCUCUCAAGAUAGCAUAACUAUUACGGUGGGUGAACAAAUUACUGUUGAGCAAUUGAUAGAAUAGCAAAUAAUUAUGAGAUUAUCUAGGCAUGAUCAUGUAUAUAGGCAUCACGUCCGCAACAAGUAGACCGACUCCUGCUAGCAUCUACUACUAUUACUCCACACAUCAACCGACUCCUGCCUCCAUCUAGAGUAUUAAGUUCAUAAGAACAGAGUAACGCAUUAAGCAAGAUGACAUGAUGUAGAGGGAUAAACUCAAGCAAUAUGACAUAAACCUCAUCUUGUUAUCCUCGAUGGCAACAAUACAAUACGUGCCUUGCAACCCUUUCUGUCACUGGGUAAGGACACCGCAAGAUUGAACCCAAAGCUAAGCACUUCUCCCAUGGCAAGAAAUAUCAAUCUACACUAGUAGAAAAGGGGCCAAUGGUCCAGACCAGUCCAGCCCAUUAGUCCCGGUUCAAUCCAGAACCGGGACCAAUGGGGGCACCGGACCCUGUUCGUGAGCCCCGGGGGACGGCCGGGCCACGUGGGACAUUGCUCCCGGUUCGUCUGGACCUUUUGGUCUCGGUUGGUGGGACGAACCGGGACCAAUGGGCCUCGCUCCUGGCCCACCACCAUUGGUCCCGGUUGGUGGCUCGAACCGGGACCAAAGGCGACCAUUAGUCCCGGUUCAUGCCAUCAACCGGGACUAAAGGGUUGGUCCUCGUUGCGAGUUUAGUCCCACCUCGCCAACCGAAGGGGAAUCAGACCGGUUUAUAAGCCCCUCCCUCUCUACCUUAUUGAGCUCCUCUGAAAAUGAAAAUAGAUGCCCUUAUAUAGGGAAUUUAGCAUAAAUUCAUACGGAUUUCUCUUGAAAUUCGUUAUGAAUUUAAGUUGGAUUUCCUCUAUAAGCGCAUCUCUACUCAUUUUUGAGUAGUUUUUUAUAUAGUUUUUCUUCUUAUUCUUCUAUAUUUAUUUUUUUCUUUUUAUUUAUGAGUUGUAAUAAGCCAUUAAAAAUAAGCAUAUAUGCUCCUUUUUUAGUACAGUUAAUCACAACUAUUUUUUGCUUCUAUUCAUUUUUGAGUAGUUUUCUAUAUUUGUUUUUAUUUUCUGCUAUAUUUAUUCUUUUGUUUUUAUUUCUGAGUUGUAAUAAGUUAUUAAAAAUAAGCAUCUAUGCUAUUUUUUAGUAAAGUUAAUCAAAAUUAUUUUUUCUUCUAUUUAUUUCUGAGUGGUUUUUUAUCUAGUUUUUUUUCUUUUCUGCUACAUUUAUUUUUUUCUUUUUAUUUCUGAGUUGUAAUAAGUCAUUAAAAAUAAAAAGAGGCGCAAUGCUCGUUAAUUUGCUUCAAGCCUUUCGGAAUAGUGUCAACUGCACUGCACAUAGCUCUAUGCAGUCUACCGUAUUCCUCAAGGCUUGAAGCUAACCAACGUGCAGGAGCAUUGAGCCUCUUCGUCAUCAUCUUUGCACUCAGGGCUUAUAAACAGUUGCGAGUGCCUCUCGCUUGGCGAGGUGGGACUAAAAAAACAGCUGCAGGAAGAAUCAUCAAAAAAUAGCUGCAGAAAAUAAAAAAGUAGUUACACGGGUCCAUUGGUACCGGUUCAUGGCACCAACCGGUACCAAUGCUACUCUUUGGUCCCGGUUGGCUGGACCAACCGGGACGAAUGCUCAUCGUUAGUCCCGAUUGGAUCCACCAACCGGGACCAAAGGUCUUCGUUUCUCGCCCUUUGCGCUGCUGAAAAGAGGCCUUUGGUCCCGAUUGGUCGCUCCAACCGGGACUAAAGGUUGCAUUAGUCCCGGUUGGAACGACCAACCGGGACCAAUGCUUUUGCUAUAUAUACUGGACUUAGCAGUUUUCGCCAAGACCCAUCUCUUUCUCGCCCCGACGCCUCUGCUCCUCAUCGCCGUCGCCGCCGAGCCCUACCCCGCGCCGCCCCGAGCCCGCCGACGUUGCCCGCGCACGUCGUCGCCGCUCCCAUCGCCGCCCGCGUCCCGNNNNNNNNNNNNNNNNNNNNNNNNNNNNNNNNNNNNNNNNNNNNNNNNNNNNNNNNNNNNNNNNNNNNNNNNNNNNNNNNNNNNNNNNNNNNNNNNNNNNNNNNNNNNNNNNNNNNNNNNNNNNNNNNNNNNNNNNNNNNNNNNNNNNNNNNNNNNNNNNNNNNNNNNNNNNNNNNNNNNNNNNNNNNNNNNNNNNNNNNNNNNNNNNNNNNNNNNNNNNNNNNNNNNNNNNNNNNNNNNNNNNNNNNNNNNNNNNNNNNNNNNNNNNNNNNNNNNNNNNNNNNNNNNNNNNNNNNNNNNNNNNNNNNNNNNNNNNNNNNNNNNNNNNNNNNNNNNNNNNNNNNNNNNNNNNNNNNNNNNNNNNNNNNNNNNNNNNNNNNNNNNNNNNNNNNNNNNNNNNNNNNNNNNNNNNNNNNNNNNNNNNNNNNNNNNNNNNNNNNNNNNNNNNNNNNNNNNNNNNNNNNNNNNNNNNNNNNNNNNNNNNNNNNNNNNNNNNNNNNNNNNNNNNNNNNNNNNNNNNNNNNNNNNNNNNNNNNNNNNNNNNNNNNNNNNNNNNNNNNNNNNNNNNNNNNNNNNNNNNNNNNNNNNNNNNNNNNNNNNNNNNNNNNNNNNNNNNNNNNNNNNNNNNNNNNNNNNNNNNNNNNNNNNNNNNNNNNNNNNNNNNNNNNNNNNNNNNNNNNNNNNNNNNNNNNNNNNNNNNNNNNNNNNNNNNNNNNNNNNNNNNNNNNNNNNNNNNNNNNNNNNNNNNNNNNNNNNNNNNNNNNNNNNNNNNNNNNNNNNNNNNNNNNNNNNNNNNNNNNNNNNNNNNNNNNNNNNNNNNNNNNNNNNNNNNNNNNNNNNNNNNNNNNNNNNNNNNNNNNNNNNNNNNNNNNNNNNNNNNNNNNNNNNNNNNNNNNNNNNNNNNNNNNNNNNNNNNNNNNNNNNNNNNNNNNNNNNNNNNNNNNNNNNNNNNNNNNNNNNNNNNNNNNNNNNNNNNNNNNNNNNNNNNNNNNNNNNNNNNNNNNNNNNNNNNNNNNNNNNNNNNNNNNNNNNNNNNNNNNNNNNNNNNNNNNNNNNNNNNNNNNNNNNNNNNNNNNNNNNNNNNNNNNNNNNNNNNNNNNNNNNNNNNNNNNNNNNNNNNNNNNNNNNAAAGAAGACGUAGUUUAUAUAUAGUUGAACUAGCUAGUUGAUUUAAUAAACUAAUUUAUUUUACUAUAUAUAGAAGUAGUUUGUUUUUAGUAAGUACUACUUAUUUAUUUAUAGUAAGUGCUUAGUAGUUGAACUAGAUAGUUGACUUAAAUAAUAAAACUACUUUUAUUUAACUAUAUAUAGAAGUAGUUCCCGCGUCGACGUCGGCGAUGCCUAUCCCGCAUCCUCGUCGUCGUCGACUCGGCGGGGGACGUAGGUUGGUGAGGAGGCAGCCCGUUGUUGACCCGAUCCUUGUUUGGUGGCGGUCGCGUGGGCCAGUGACGGUGGUGAGGCAUCCGGACACAGAGGAGGUGGUACGUCACCGUGUCAGCAAGGAGGACGAGCAAGUCCGUCGCUACAUGGUUGCAUUGGAGGGGAGGUUCGACAAUACCUGGCAGGUUCUUCAGGGAUCUCAUUGGAGCUAUGAUCCUGUGAUGGUUCCUUAUCUUUGGGUGUCCACCGCCCGCGUCGAUACCCGUCGGGCGCUACGGUUCUAGUUGUAUUAGUGAUAAUAUUCGACGAUGUACGGACACCAAGAGAUGAUGUACUUUUGCUUAUAAUUAUUGAAUGCAUGCUAAUUUGAAUACUAUACUUUAUUUUAUGAUUUGGUUUUGGUUAUUUUAUGAUUUGGUUUUGCUUAUUGAAUGCUCAUAUUGGAUAAGUUCUCCUUCAUUCCCGUGUGCUAGACAAUUUGGUAUCAUAAUGCAUUUGGGAAUGAAAGAGGAGCUACAUACAUACAUCGAUCAUCGAUAGUCAAUCCAUGAUUAAUAAUAAUGAUCUAGUUUAAUAUUUGAAUUAUGAACAUAGGCCGGAAAUGUCGUACUCAUCGGACGACGAAAACCGCCCGGGGGAGUGCGACUGGUGCCACGACGACCGAGGUAUCUGCGACAGGUUCAUUGAGCUGGACGAAGAUCGGCGCUUCAGCAUUAAGCUCGAGGAAACCUGCGAUGUUCAUACGGUACGCAACGACGACAAUAGUUUUUUUCGUAAUUAAGCAUGACUUCAACUAUUUUAACGUGUAUUUUUCAUCUUCUCCAAUUCGACUAGGUUAUCCCAUGCUUUGCAAGACGCUAUGUCUUGGAGAGGAUGGGUUUUGAAGACCAUGAAAAUUUUGAAACCAAAAAAAUUAUCCUAAGUACCCAUCAUGGUGUGGAUUUUCAAGUAAAGUUGUACAAUGCUCAGAGUGUAACCCAUUUUGGUUGCAAAAAUUGGGAUGCAUUUUGCAAGAUGUAUGGUCUUGAUGAGGGUAUGCUUGUCACCAUGGAUCUUGGUGAUCCUACAAUCGAGCAAGAGACACCUUCGAUUUGGGUCCUUGUGGAUACACCUCUAGUUCUUCCCUCAUGUGAGCUAAACAUAGUUAUUAAGUAAUUUAUAUUGUUUAUUUCAAAAUAUAUAGUUGACAACUUAUCUCCAUUGAUAGCUUAUUUUCAUUCUUCAAAGAACGUGCGGAAGAUGGUAGACAGAAUGUACUACACCGGAGGCUCCGAAUUAACUUAUCAGGAGAAAAAUCAUCUGGUCGGAUUUUGUACUGAUCUUGAGAAUUACAAUAUCUACAAUCAAACUCCUCAACAUUAUGGUCAAUACGUGCCACCAGUGCACGUGUUGAACUACGGUAACUACCAUGGAGAUACCCUGGUAAGAUUAUUUUUUACUAUUACAACAUCCGUGCAUCUUUUUGCACACUUCUAAAACUAGUACAUCAUUGCUAACUACGAAGUUAUUACUAUGUUUUUCAACAGAUAAUCCUGAAUGAUUGUGUGCCUCAUCUGAUGUAUACGCAUGGUAGCCUUCAUGUUUUGAACAUACAACCAGGUCGUCCUACGAAUCUCAACUGUCCAUACCGGGUUUCUAAAAGAAGUGGAGACAUAACAAUCAAAGAAUGGAAAAAAUGUAUGGACAGUCGUAAGGAGCUUCUUGGAAGCAAUAAGCAGCGAAGGGCAAGAAUUGGAGACAGGAUGAUCGCCAUUCUUCAUAAUGGAGAGUCGGGGUCUAUAUUGUUUUAGCUAUUUUACCUUAAGGGUGUUUAGGUCCUACCUGAUACUGAUGAUCAUGUGCUAAGAACAAUUAUGUAGGGUUGGGUUCGAUGACUAUAUAUGAGGAUGAUGAUCGUAUGACUUAUUAUUAAUAACGAGUAGAAGUUGUAUGAUGAUGCAUGAUUAGUAGGACUUGUUAUUAUAUAUAUAUGAUGAUGUAUGAUGCAAAGCAUGCAUAAGCAUGUUAUACCUGCGGGUGCAAUGAACAUAGCAGCAGCGUUGAUAAACCAAGGACGAAGAUAAGAGAGGACACUUCUCUCUAUUAGCUAGCUAUAAUAACAACCUAAAAAUAACCCCCAAAACCCCUAAAGCAGCCACUUUUGUAAAGAAAAAAGACUUUUGGUCUCGGUUGGAGCCGCCAACCGGGACCAAAGGCCCCAUGACUGGGCUCGGCGCAGAGGGCCACGUGGAGGCACAUUGGUCCCGGUUCGUGUUUGAACCGGGACUAAUGGGUGGAGGCAUUAGUAACGACCCAUUAGUCCCGGUUCUUGAACCGGGACUAAAGGCCCUUACGAACCGGGUCUAAUGGGUGGUUUUCUACUAGUGCUAGUAGGUCAAACCAAACUGAUAAUUCGAAGAGACUUGCAAAGAUAACUCAAUCAUACAUAAAAGAAUUCAGAGAAGAUUCAAAUAUUAUUCAUAGAUAAACUUGAUCAUAAACCCACAAUUCAUCGGAUCUCGACAAACACACCGCAAAAAGAGUUUACAUUGAAUAGUCUCCACAAGAGAGGGGGAGAACAUUGUAUUGAGAUCCAAGAAGAGAGAAGAAGCCAUCUAGAUAAUAACUAUGGACCCGUAGGUCUGUGGUAAACUACUCACAACUCAUCGGAGGGGCAAGGAUGUUGAUAUAGAAGCCCUACGUGGUUGAUUCCCCCUCCGGCAGAGUGCCGACGAAGGGUCCAAGAUGAGAUCUCGCGGAUACAGAAGGUUGGAGGUGGAAAUUGUGUUUUGUUGGCUCCCUGGAUGUUUUCGGGGUAUGUAGGCUUAUAUAGGAGGAAGAAGUACAUCGGUGGACGCCCGAGGGGCCCACGAGACAGGGGGGCACUCCCUAUAGGGGGGCGUGCCCUCCUAUCUCGUGGAAGCUUCGGCUGCUUCUUGACUUGCACUCAAAGUCCUCUGGAUCACGUUCAUUCCAAAAAUCACGCUCCCGAAGGUUUCAUUCUGUUUGGACUCCGUUUGAUAUUCCUUUUCUUCAAAAUACUGAAAUAGGCAAAAAAACAGCAAUACGGGCUGGGCCUCCGGUUAGUAGGUUAGUCCCAAAAAUGAUAUAAAUGUGUAAAUAAAGACCAUAAACAUCCAAAAGGGGUAAUAUAAUAGCAUGGAACAAUCAAAAAUUAUAGAUACGUUGGAGACGUAUCAAGCAUCCCCAAGCUUAAUUCCUACUCGUCCUCGAGUAGGUAAAUGAUAAAAAGAGAAUUUUUGAUGUGGAAUGCUACCUAGCAUUAUUCUCAAUGUAAUUUUCUUUAUUGUGUCAUGAAUGUUCAGAUCCAAAUGAUUCAAAAUAAAAGUUCAUAUUGGUAAAAGAAAUAGUAACAUUUCAAGCAUACUAAUCAAAGUAAUCAUGAUUCUCAAAAUAGCAUGGCUAAAGAAAGUUCAUCCCUACAAAAUCAUAUAGUUAGGCUAUGCUUCAUUUUCGUCACACAAAGAUGUUCCCAACUUCUAUACCCCCGAUGACAAGCCAAGCAAUUGUUUCAUACUUAAAUAAUCUCAAACAUUUUCAACCUUCACGCAAUGCAUGAGCGUGAGCCAUGGAUAUAGCACUAUUGGUGGAAUAGAAUAUGAUGAUGGGGAUUGUGUGGAGAAGACAAAAAAGGAGAAAGUCUCACAUUGACAAGGAUAAUUAACGGGCUAUGGAGAUGCCCAUCAAUUGAUGUCAACAUGAGGAGUAGGGAUUGCCAUGCAACGAAUGCACUAGAGCUAUAAAUGAAUGCUCAACAAAAGAAAACUAGUGGGUGUGCAUCCAACUUGCUUGCUCACGAAGACCUAGGGUAUUUAAGGAAGCCCAUCGUAGGAAUAUACAAGACAAGUUCUAUAAUGAAAAAUUCCCACUAGUAUGAAAAAGACAACUUAUGAGACUCACUAUAUGAAAAGCAUGGUGCUACUUUGAAGCACAAUAUAUGAGACUCACUAUAUGAAAAACAUGGUGCUACUUUGAAGCACAAUAUAUGAGACUCACUACAUGAAGAACAAGGUGCUACUUUGAAGCACAAGUGUGGAAAAAGAGAUAGUAACAUUGCCCUUCUUAUUUUUUUUUUCUUUCUUUUUUUUGGGCCUUUCUUUUUUUUUCUUUUGGCCUUUCUUAUUUUUUUUUCUUUUUGGGCAAUGCUCUAAAAUGAUAAUCAUCACACUUCUAUUGAUUGCAACAUAUGAAUUACAACUCGAAACUAGAACAAGAUAUGACUCUAUAUGAAUGCCUCCGGCGGUGUACCGGGAUGGUGCAAUGAAUCAAGAGUGACAUGUAUGAAAAAUAAUGCAUGGUGGCUUUGUCACAAAUACGAUGUCAACUACAUGAUCAUGCAAAUGGAAAUAUGACAAAAGUAAAGUAUGUCAUGAUGAUGAUGAAUGGAACGGUGGAAAGUUGCAUGGCAAUAUAUCUCGGAAUGGCUAUGGAAAUGCCAUAAUAGGUAGGAAUGGUGGCUGUUUUGAGGAAGAUAUAAGGAGGUUUAUGUGUGAUAGAGAGUAUCGUAUCACGGGGUUUGGAUGCACCGGCGAAGUUUGCACCAACUCUCAAGGUGAGAAAGGGCAAUGCACGGUACCGAAGAGGCUAGCAAUGGCGGAAAGGUAAAAGUGCGCAUAAUCCAUGGACUCAACAUUAGUCAAAAUAACUCAUAUACUUAUUGCAAAAAUUUAGAAGUCAUCAAAAAUCAAGUACUACACACAUGCUCCUAGGGGGAUAGAUUGGUAGGAAAAGACCAUCGCGCAUCCCCGACCGCCACUCAUAAGGAUGCACAUGCCAGGUACACUUCAUGUUUCAAAUUUGUUACACAACUUUAACCAUACGUGCAUGCUACGGGACUUGCUAACUUCAACACAAGCAUUCUUUAAAUUCAUAAUCACCCUACUAGCAUGAAUUUAAUAUCACUACCUCCAUAUCUCAAAACAAUUAUCAAGUAUCAAAUUGAUCAUAGCAUCCAAUUCACUUCCUAUGAUAGUUUUUAUUAUACCCAACUUGGAUGCCUACCAUUCUAGGACCAAUUUUAUAACCAUAGCAAAUACCAUGCUGUUCUAAAAGACUCUCAAAAUAAUAUAAGUGAAGCAUGAGAGACUAGCAAUUUCUUCAAAAUUAAGUCACCACCGUGCUCUAAAAGAUAUAAGUGAAGUACUAGAGCAAAAACUAUCAAGCUCAAAAGGUAUAAGUGAAGCACAUAGAGUAUUCUAGCAAAUUCUAAUCAAGUAGGCUUCUCCCAAAAGGUGUGUACAGCAAGGAUUAUUGUGGUAAACUAAAAAGCAAAGUCUAAUAUAAUACAGGACGCUCCAAGCAAAAUACAUAUCAUGUGGCGAAUAAAAAUAUAGCUCAAAGUAAAGUUACCAAUGAAUGAAGACGAAAGAGGGGAUGCCUUCCCGGGGCAUCACCAAGCUUAGGCUUUUGGCUAUCCUUGAAUAUCUUGGGGUGCUAUGGGCAUCCCCAAUCUUAGGCUCUUGCCACUCCUUAUUCCAUAGUCCAUAAAAGCUCUACCCAAAACUUGAAAACUUCACAACACAAAACUCAACAUGAAAUCUUAUAAGCUCCGUUAGUGAAAGAAAACAAAACUACCACAUAAGGUACUGUAAUGAACUCAUUAUUUAUUUAUUUUGGUGUUAAACCUACUGUAAUCUAGCUUCUCUAUGGUUUAUAACAUAUUUUACUAGCCAUAGAUGCAUCGAAAUAAGCAAACAACACACGAAAAACAGAAUCUGUCAAAAACAGAACAGUUUGUAGCAAUCUGUAACUAACGCAAACUUAUGGAACUCUAAAUAUCCUAACAAAAUAGGAAGUCCUGGACAAGUUGUGUAUUGAUCAGCAAUAAAAAGAAUCAACACAAAAGCACAUUUCUGUGAUUUAACAAAACUAAAUUCGUGCGCGCAAAGUUUCUGUUUUUCAGCAGAAUCAAAUCAACUAUCAUCAUAGGUUAUCCUAUAGGUUCUACUUGGCACAAACACUAAUUAAAAGAUAAAAACACAUAUAAACAGAAGGUAGAUGCAAGAUUUAUUACUAAACAGGAACAAAAACAAAAAACACAAAGAAAAUUGGGUUGCCUCCCAACUAGCGCUAUCGUUUAACGCCCUAGCUAGGAAUAAAGCGAAGAUAGAUCUAACGAGUGCCAUCUUUGGCACUAAAUUCAUAAGUAGCCCGCUUGAUAGAUUCAUAAGGUAAUUUGACAUUCUUUCUUGGAAAGUUCUCCAUGCCUUUCUUUAAUGGAAAUUUGAAUCUAAUAUUCCCUUCCUUCAUAUCAAUAAUCGCGCCAAUCAUUCUAAGGAAAGGUCUAUCAAGAAUAAUAGGGCAAGAAAGAUUGCAAUCUAUAUCAAGAACGAUAAAAUCUAUGGGCACCAAAUUUCUAUUUGCAACAUCAUUGAUCCUUCCCAUUGGCUUUUUAAUGGUGGAAUCCGCAAGGUGCAAAUUUAAAGAGCAAUCAUCAAGAUCAUGGAAACCUAGAAUAUCACAUAAAGUUUUCGGAAUUGUGAAAACACUAGCGCCCAAAUCACAUAAAGCAAAACACUCAUGAUCUUUAAUUCUAAUCUUUAUAGUAGGUUCCCACUCAUCAUUAAGUUUUCAAGGUAUAGAAACUUCCAAAUUAAGUUUUUCAUCAUAAGAUUGCAUCAAGGCAUCAACAAUAUGUUUGGAGAAAGCUUUAUUUUGACUAUAAGCAUGAGGAGAAUUAACAACGGAUUGAAACAAGGAAAUACAACCUUCUAAAGAACAAUUAUCAUAAUCAAAUUCCUUGAAAUCCGAGAUAGUGGGUUCAACGCUAUUUAAAGUUGUGACCUCUCCAAUCCCACUUUUACCAAAUUUAGCAUCAAGAUCUAAAAACUCCGAAUUCUUGGGACGGCUUCUAGGUAAAGUGGACUCAUCAUCAGUCCCAUAAUUAUCAAGAUUCAUAUUACAAAACAUAGAUCUAAUAGGAGACGCAUCAAUAACUUUAAGAUCCUCAUCAUUAUUUUCAUGGAAACUAGAAGAACACGCCUUUAUAAAGCAAUCUUUCUUAGCACGCAAUCUAGCGGUUCUUUCUGUGCACUCAUCAAUGGAAAUUCUCAUUGCUUUGAGAGACUCAUUGAUAUCAUGCUUAGGAGGAGAAGAUCUAAGUUUAAGAGAAUCAACAUCAAGCGAAAGUCUAUCAACGUUCCUAGCCAAAUCAUCAACUUUGAGCAAUAUUUCUUCAAGCAUAGCAUUAAAAUUCUUUUGAGAAAUCAUAAAUUCUUUCACACUAUUCUCAAUCAGAGGGCAUCUUAUUGAAAUUACCAAAAGCAUUAGUGUAGGAAUUUUCAUAAUUAUUAGAGGAAUUACUAGGGAACGGUCUAGCAUUAAAGUUUCCUCUAUAAGCAUUGUUUCCAAAACUAUUCCUACCAACAAAAUUCACAUCCAUAGAUUCAUUAUUAUUCUCAAUCAAAGAAGACGAUGGCAUAUCAUUGGGAUCAAGAGGAGUAUUUUUAGUAGCAAACAACUUCAUAAGUUCAUCCAUCUUUCCACUCAAAACAUUGAUUUCUUCUAUAGCAUGCACUUUUUUACUAGAAGAUCUUUCGGUGUGCCAUUGAGAAUAAUUAGCCAUAAUAUAAUCAAAAGUUUUGUAGCAUCUCCUAACGUUAUUUCCAUAAACGUGCCUCCCGCGGCCGAAUCUAAGAGAUUUCUAGAAGCAAAGUUCAAACUGGCAUAAUUUUUUUGUAUGAUCAUCCAUAAAUUCAAACCAUGAGUAGGGCAAUUGCGAAGCAUCACUUUCAUUCUUUCCCAAGAUUGGGCAACAUGCUCAUGAUCAAGUUGUUUAAAAUUCAUAAUAUCGUUCCUAAGAGUGAUAAUCUUAGCGGGAGGAAAAUACUUAGAGAUAAAAGCAUCUUUGCACUUGUUCCAAGAAUCAAUACUAUUUUUAGGCAAAGACGAAACCAAACUUUAGCAUGAUCUCUAAGUGAAAAAGGAAAUAACUUCAAUUUAACAAUAUCAUUAUCUGUAUCUUUCUUGUUUUGCAUAUCACACAAAUCAACAAAGUUGUUUAGAUGAGUAGCGGCAUCUUCACUAGGAAGGCCGGCGAAUUGAUCUUUCAUAACAAGAUUCAGCAAAGCAGUAUUGACUUCACAAGACUCAAAAUCAUUAAGAGGAGCAAUCAGAGCACUAAGGAAAUCAUUAUUAUUGGUAUUCGAGAAAUCACACAAUUUGGUAUUAUCUUGCGCCAUGGCAACAAGUAAUCCAACACACAAGGAAACGGAAAAAGGCAAGCGAAACAGAGAGGAGGAGAUUGGGAAAGAGAGGGCGAAUAAAACGGCAAGGGUGAAGUGGGGGAGAGGAGAAUGAGAGGCAAAUGCAAAAUAAUGUAAAUGCGAGGGAGAUGGGUUUGUGCUGGGUACUUGGUAUGUCUUCACUUGAGCGAAGACCUCACCGGCAACGGCGCCAGAAAUCCUUCUUGCUAUGUCUUGAGCUUGCGUUGGUUUUCCUUGAAGAGGAAAGGGUGAUGCAGCAAUAAUAGUGUAAGUAUUUCCCUCAGUUUUUGAAAACGAAGGUAUCAAUCCAGUAGGAGGCUCCUCAAAAGUCCCACGCACCUACACAAACAAACAAAGAACUCGCAACCAACGCAACAAAGGGAUUGUCAAUCCCUUCACGGCCGCUUGCGAAAGUGAGAUCUAAUAAAGAUAGAAUGAUAAGAUAAAUAUAUUUUUGGUAUUUUAAAAUAUAGAUGCAAAAAGCAAAGACGCAAAUAAAAGUAGAUUGGAAGCAAAUAUGAUAAGAGAUAGACCCGGGGGCCAUAGGUUUCACUAGUGGCUUCUCUCAAGAUAGCAUAAGUGUUACGGUGGGUGAACAAAUUACUAUCGAGCAAUUGAUAGAAUAGCGAAUAAUUAUGAGAUUAUCUAGGCAUGAUCAUGUAUAUAGGCAUCACGUCCGCAACAAGUAGACCGACUCCUGCCUGCAUCUACUACUAUUACUCCACACAUCGACCGACUCCUGCCUGCAUCUAGAGUAUUAAGUUCAUAAGAACAGAGUAACACAUUAAGCAAGAUGACAUGAUGUAGAGGGAUAAACUCAAGAAAUAUGACAUAAACCCCAUCUUGUUAUCCUCGAUGGCAACAAUACAAUACGUGCCUUGCAACCCUUUCUGUCAUUGGGUAAGCACACCGCAAGAUUGAACCCAAAGCUAAGCACUUCUCCCAUGGCAAGAAAGAUCAAUCUAGUAGGCCAAACCAAACUGAUAAUUCGAAGAGACUUGCAAAGAUAACUCAAUCAUACAUAAAAGAAUUCAGAGAAGAUUCAAAUAUUAUUCAUAGAUAAACUUGAUUAUAAACCCACAAUUCAUCGGAUCUCGACAAACACACCGCAAAAAGAGUUUACAUCGAAUAGAUCUCCACAAGAGAGGGGAGAACAUUGUGUUGAGAUCCAAAAAGAGAGAAGAAGUCAUCUAGCUAAUAACUAUGGACCCGUAGGUCUGUGGUAACACUACUAGGGAAAAGCCUAGCAGCACCGCGGGUUUUGGGCCUAUUAGCAGCGCGGGGGCCGGCGCUACUAAUAAGGCGCUACAACUAACUUAUAGCAGUAGCGCGGGUGCCACCCGCGCUACAGCUAAUGUAUAGCAGUAGCGCGGGUGCCACCCGCGCUACAGCUAACGCAUAGCAGUAGCGUGGGUAAAAACCCGCGCUACUACUAAUCUGUAAUCUCUGAAUUUUUUUUUGAAUUUUUUUGAAUUUUUUUGAAUUUUUUCCCUAAUUUUCAAAUUUCUGAAUUAUUUUAACCUCAAAUCUCUAAUCACCCCUCAUCGCUACUCAAUUUAAUCUCUAAUCACCCCUCAUCAUUCAAAAUCAUCUAACAUCCCGAACGGUCACCCAUCCUCUCACUACUCCAGCCUGAGCACGCUUAACUUCCGGGUUCUAUUCUCCCUCGUUUCCAAGUCUGCACUUGUUGUUUUCCUGACAAUAGUAAGAUGUCAAUCCUAUUAACCUGAGGAAUUUAGCUUGAGCAUGAAGUCACAAAUUUCACUGUUUGAGUUUGAAACUAUUGUUCUAAAAAAUUAGUAACACUAAUAUUUCUUGAAUAAUUAGUUUGACCACAGUUUGACCAUAGUUUGACCAGAUUUGACCAAAAUUCAAAAAACUAAAAUAAUUAUUUAGUAACACUAAUGUUCUUGAAUAAUUAGUUUGACCAUAGUUUGACCAGAUUUAACAAAAUUUAAAAAAACUGAUGUUUUUUUGAAUUUUUUUGCCUUCAGAUCUUAAAAGCCCCGUAACUUUUUUUCUGUUAGGUUUUUGAGGAUUUUAAAAAUGUUUAACGGGGUUCCAGAGAGAUGUAACUUUUCGAUUAAAUUCGGAUGUAACUUUUCGAGUAGAUGAUUUUUCAUAUUAAAAACUUUUUCAUCCGAGUUCGUAUGCAAAAGUUAUGGCCAUUUUACAAAUUUACAGAGCGAUUGUGCAAAUAAAGUCGAAAUUCAUAUUUGUAAAUUUUCCCAACAACUAGACCACAUAUCACAUGGGAAACUUAUUUUCUUUUAUUUUUUUGACAUUUUUAUCAUUUUCUUUUAUUUUUUCUAAAACUGAAAAGGCGGUCCACGGAGGGGGGGGGGGGUAGACUUUGAAAAUUUUGCAAAUAGGCCAUACCCCGCGCUACUACUAUGGCAGACGAUUAGUAGUAGCGAGGGGUAAAAACCUGCGCUACUACUAUCAGCUUAGUAGUAGCGCGGGUUUAUACCAUCACUACUACUAUGGCAUGGUCCAGGGGCCACUUAGUAGUAGCGAGGGUUAAAAACCCGCGCUAUUGCUAUCAACUUAGUAGUAGCGAGGGCUAAAAACCCGCGCUACUACUAUGGGAUGUCCCGGGGGGCACGGUAGAGACCGCUUAGUAGUAGCGAGGGUUAUAAACCCGCGCUGCUGCUAUCAACUUAGUAGUAGCGAGGUUUAAAAACCUGCGCUGUUAGUAAGUAGCAGUAGCGAGGGUUUUUAACCCUCGCUGCUGCUAAGAUUCUGUGUAUAGGUUAUUCCCUAGUAGUGUAAACUACUCACAACUUAUCGGAGGGGCAAGGAUAUUGAUGUAGAAGCCCUCCAUGGUCGAUUCCCCCUCUGGCAGAGUGCCGGCGAAGGCUCCAAGAUGAGAUCUCGCGGAUACAGAACGUUACGGCGGUGGAAAUUGUGUUUCAUUGGCUCCCUGGAUGUUUUCGGGGUACGUAGGCUUAUAUAGGAGGAAGAAGUACGUCAGAGGACGCCCGAGGAGCCCACGAGACAGGGGCACACCCUAUAGGGGGGGGGCCCAUCAUAUCUUGUGGAAGCUUCGGCUGCUUCUUGACUUGCACUCCUAGUCCUCUGGAUCACGUUCGUUCAAAAAAUCACGCUCCCGAAGGUUUCAUUCCGUUUGGACUCCGUUUGAUAUUCCUUUUCUUCGAAAUACUGAAAUAGGCAACAAAAAAAACAGCAAUACGGGCUGGGCCUCCAGUUAGUAGGUUAGUCCCAAAAAUGAUAUAAAUGUGUAAAAAUAAAGCCCAUAAAGAUCCAAAAGGGGUAAUAUAAUAGCAUGGAACAAUCAAAAAUUAUAGAUACAUUGGAGAAGUAUCACUCCGCACAAUGAGUUCGGAUACAAGGUCGAUGUUGGCGUCCCGCGCAUGGCGACCUGCAUCGACGGGUCCGCGCUGCCACUGCAUCGACUUCGCAUAUAUUAAUUAUGCAGUUUUUUCUUUCAAUUAUUAUUUUUUUGCUUGCUGUAUUUUAUGUGUGCAGGUAAUCGAUUUUUACUAUGUUACGCGGUCACUUCGGUGUCACCGGCCGACCUGCUUCCACACCUCGGCUGGCAUGAGACUUCGGCGUCACCAGCUGGCCUGCAUGAGACUUCGGCAUCCGCCGAUCAUAGCUUUGCCAUGUUAACUGCACCGAGGACUUCAUCUCGCCACAUCGGCCGUGCAGCGUCGCCACUUUGUCAGACCGAACUCUUCGUUCAGUCACCUCGGCGUACGGAGUCAUCCUCUCGCUUCCAUCAACCACAUUCCACCAUCACCAUGGUGUGAUACCCUGUGUCGCCAUUAUCGCAUCGUCGCUUCAUCAAACUGACGUCCACCAUGCCUACCUGUUUCGACACGUCGACUGACGUGGGGGCUUCAUUGUCAUGCUGCCUAACUACUUUGUCUCCUUGGCUGGACCGGGGGCUUCGCCUCGGUACUUCGGCACUGUCGUGCCAUCACUUCAUCAAGCUAAGCUCUUCGCUCGGGUACAUCAAGACUGGUUUGUGGGUUGGGACCUUGAGCCGCUACAAGCUCGGCCCACGUCACAUCGAGCACAUUAACCAGCAAAGUCGCUUUCAUGCUCAAAAACUUUCAGUUUUAAAUUUUGUUCGAUUCGACCAAGCAUUAUACUUUUUUUGACAAAAAGUCCUUUGCAAAAAACUUUCUUUGUCAAAACCUUAUUUGUUAUAAACAAAUUCAUAUACCCUGUUUACUUGGGGGCAUCCUUUCAAUCCAUUCUUCUUGCAUAUGAUUAUUAAUGUAUCACACCAUUCCUUGUUCACGCAUUAUGUCAAAAUAUGCAUCAUGUUGACUUAAGUGCUCCACAAAGCUGGGUUGCCUGGCUCCUGUGCUUACCCCUACGUUUCCGAUUGUUCAGCUAGGGAGUAAAGGGAGCACCUCUGCGAUUGUUACAACCGGGUCAUCCAAACUCGUACGUCAGAUGGGUGAAGCCGAAUGCUAGAGCUCUUAUUGUUUUCAACUAUGGUCGGCACACAACGGAACUCACGCAUUCACAAAUCUAUUGCACAAGUCUCAUAGUAAUCAUGAGCGACCAAAGAAAGGUACCAUUGGGGGCGCUAGUUUCUAUGAAGAUGCUUCUUACGUUAGAUAAGUAAUAUAGCAUAAGUUCCCUCGGCGUGUUUUGUCUGUUACAGCCUCAUGACCUGAUUGCCUGGUUAUCCGAAACACUGCCGAUAUUCUCGGUAGGCAGAUUAGAUAACACUUUUCGGCCCUUGGCCGAAGAGGGAGAAGCCCACGGUCGGUUACGACGCGUCUAGAGUUCGGGCGAACACAUAUAUUAUAUAAAGUACUUUCGUACAUACAAUCGUUAUACAUAAAAUUCUUUUACCCAAGUCACUUUUGAGCUCUUAAAUUAAUAUGAGAUGUUUUAUAAUAGAUGUUUUCUUCUUAGUCAUUGCAAAGUCUUUUUCUACCACUCCUUUCUCGAGUUAGGUGUAUGAUCAAUAGCCGGGUAUCCUGGUUUCUCUCUAAAGCCAUUUGGUUUAGUUCACUAAAUUGGCCUGAUAAACACUCCGCCUUCAGGAUAGGGAGGUUGAAGCAAAAGGCUGGCCCACUUGAAGCAUAGAGAUCGGAUGUGUCAUCUGAAAGCACGACGGAGGUACAAUUUAUGCAUGUUUUUUGGUCUUUUGAGCUUAUAAAAUAUUUCACCUAUUUUAUGUUUUCCUUUCAGGAAGUGGGACAUCCUCUUGGUUGAGGUGUUCAACGUGAAACUCUUUUCUAAAACAACAGUUUGGCAUCUUUCCUACUGAACUCCACCUCGGUAUUGUCAAAACAUACAUGACAGUUGAACUAGUUCCCAAGGAGGUACGAUCCUAGGGUCGACCAUGUUGCCCAACCCAAUUCUCGAUGGCUACUGCAUUGAAAAUCCAAUGCCGAAAAUUUAAGUGCAAUGUAGUUUCCGAGGAGAUUAUGAUCCUCAGGUUGGUCGGCCGCACCCAACCUGAGUCUCAAGGGCUGUGCACACUGCUUUUUGUGUCCUGAAGUAUUCUGUCGAUCUAGGAGUUGAUCCUCAGGCCGAUUUUGCGAAUCAACCUGAGUCUCAUGGGCUACUGGGAUCAGCUGUCUUAUGUCAUCUUUCAGGCGCAUCUUGGGUAUUAGACCGACACACACCUUGAGGGCUACUGGCUAUAUAUCUCGGCAGAGAAUAAAUUGCACCAAUCAAAAAUAUUCUGAACAAAUCAGCUCGCAGUCGGGGUGGUGCACCACCUAAGAAGCAGUCCGGCAUAAAGCUCGAGCGCCAGUGGCUGGCUCCAUAGAGGGCAUUUCCGGCAUUAUGCUUGGCUGAAAUCGUUAAAUCUUUUAAAGACCAAGGUAGUUUAUGACACUUCGGAUGCCGACCAUCGUCGAAGCUCGGCUUUGAAAAUAUGCCUCGGAUUUAGUUCCGCGUUGGAGCUUGGACGCAAGAGGAUACCUUGAAUGCCGAAUAGUGUUGGAGCUCGGCUGUGAAAAGACGCCUCGGAUUUAGUUUGGCAUUAGAGCUCGGACGCAAGAGGAUGUUGUCGCCUGGGAAACACUUCAAACCCCAGGUGUGGCGUAAAAAACUUAUAAGGCAUUGAUAGGCCGAUAACUUAAAGGGGCUCCUUGGAUGCCCAACAUGUAAACCCUUUGGAUUCAGCUCCUUUAUCGUCAAGAUUGGACAUGGGAAGAUUUGUUGAACCAGUUUUCAAGAGCGACGAUCGAAGAAGAAGAAUUAUUCGAAAGAACCGAGGAGCGUCCUCAACUUGAAGACCGGUUAAAGGGGCUACUGACGGUGUCCUGGACUAGGGGGUACUCACCACGUCGUCUCCUGACCAGUGGGUCAGGCCGAGAACCCCCAUGAUGAUUCACUAACGGGCCACUUCGGGCAGCCCACGCCGAAUACUAGGAGGAUUCCACAAGACUUGGUGCACAAGACAAUGACUCCUCUAAAUCCUAGGCCUACGGUGCAUAUAUAAACCGAGGCCAACCUAGUCAAUAGAUAAUCCAAUAUUCAUUACUACAAUCUGGUGGUAGACACAUUGUCGGUGUCAAAACCGGCGGAUCUCGGGUAGGGGGUCCCGAACUGUGCGUCUAGGCGGAUGGUAACAGGAGACGAGGGACACGAUGUUUUACCCAGGUUCGGGCCUUCUUGAUGGAGGUAAAACCCUACGUCCUGCUUGAUUAAUAUUGAUGAUAUGGGUAGUACAAGAGUGGAUCUACCACGAGAUCAAGGAGGCUAAACCCUAGAAGCUAGCCUAUGGUAUGAUUGUUGUAAUGGAUGUUAUGUCCUACGGACUAAAGCCCUCCGGUUUAUAUAGACACCGGAGAGGGCUAGGGUUACACAGAGUCGGUUACAAUGGUAGGAGAUCUACAUAUCCAUAUCGCCAAGCUUGCCUUCCACGCCAAGGAAAGUCCCAUCCGGACACGGGACGGAGUCUUCAAUCUUGUAUCUUCGUAGUCUUGGAGUCCGGCGGACGAUGAUAGUCCGGCUGUCCGGACACCUAGUCCAGGACUCCCUCAGUAGCCCCUGAACCUGGCUUCAAUGACGAUGAGUCCGGUGCGCAUAAUGUUUGGCAUUGCAAGGCGGGUAAUCCAUAGAAGAUUGUGAACACCAGGAUAGUGUCCGGCUCUGCAAAAGAAAUUCCACAUUCCACCGUAGAGAGAAUAUUAUGUACACAAGUUCAAUUUGCUAACGUAUCUUGUAGCAUGACAUCACGCCACUACCAAGUCUUUACUUGAAUCGUUUUUUAUUAUACCACCUCAGCGCGUUUAGCGAAGCAGUUUCCUUGGCACGUCUUGUCGAAGCAGAGAUCGUGUUCCCCUUAUUCCGGGAUUCUCAUCAAUACGGACGUGGGUAACCCAACCGCGCCAUUGAUGGUGGCGCUUGGGAGAUAAGCGAGUUUUACUAGGCCGGUGGGGACGCAUAGUCUUCGUCCGCCUAUAUAUAAGGGGAUAAGGAUCCACCUUUUCACCUACGCCUUCUUCCUCCUUUGCUUAUCCAUCUCCGCGCACUCGAGCUCCAGCGCCCAAGUUUGCGCAUCUCGUCUCAACCUUCUCCGACCAUGUCUGGAGCGGGAGGCAAAUGGUUGGCCUCCUCCGUCACGGAGGAGCACGUCGCAAGACUGCGCAGCGCUGGAUAUCUUUUCGGCGAUAUUGCGCACAGGCUGCCCGACAAGGGGCAGCUCAUCCCCACCCCCAGGCCCCAUGAGAGGGUCGUUUUCCUUCCCCACUUCCUCCGCGGACUGGUCUUUCCACUUCACCCCUUUGUCCGGGGGCUCAUGUUUUACUACGGCCUGGAUUUCCAUGAUCUGGCGCCGAACUUCGUCCUCAACAUCUCGGCGUUUUCGUCGUGUGCGAGGCCUUCCUCUGCAUCCAGCCCCACUUCGGCUUGUGGCUCAAGACCUUCAAUGUCAAGCCGAAGGUAGUGAAGGGUACUCAAGCGGAGUGCGGAGGCGCCAUGUGGCAAGAUGCCCAACGUCCUUUGGUUCGAAGGGGCCUUUGUGGAGUCCGUCAAGGGGUGGCAAUCGGGGUGGUUCUACAUCACCGAGCCGCGCGACCCUACAUGGGCGGCAGCCCCCGAGUUCAGAGCUGGUAUUCCCAUGCAGCUUACCUCCUGGAAAGAGAAGGGCUUGCUAUGGCGUAGUUCGGAGGAGCUGACGGGACUCCAAGCCUGUAUCCAGAAGCUGGUUAACAAGAAGCUCAGGCUUGUUAAUGUGAUCCAAGUCAUGCUCGUCCGCCGGAUUCUCCCAUGCCAAGAACGGGCAUUCAACCUGUGGGAGUUCGAUCCGGCACAGCACCAGGCAUUGAGCGGGCUCUUCGACACGACGUACGAAGGUGCCUGGAGGGUGCUGUUCAAGGGCGCCGAGGCUCCCACAUCCGCCACUGAAGAUCGCGGAUUUCGCUCGCAGCGUCCAGCUGACGAGGUAAGUGAUUCUACCCCUUUACGGGACACUUGUUUUUAACAGUUUGACUCUGCGCGGGUUUCAAUCUCCCUUUUCCUUUGACAGGACUGGAUGAGGAAGGCCGAGCAGCUCAUCUGCCCUGCUCCCAUGCCAGAAAACCCAGUAGACACCCGCCUAGCGGGGCUACUGGUUCUGGCACCGCAUGUGGUGGCGGAGAAGAAGGCCAAGAAGGUGGCCACGGGAACUCGAAGAAGUUCCCGGCGCCAGGUGGUAUCGGAUUCAUUGUCCGAUGGCUCUGAGGCGGACUCCUCCCCGGAAGACGAGGAGGAGAAGGAGGACUCUCUCCCAGAGGAGGGAGAGAGAAAGAGGAAGGCCUCCCCGACAGGGGAGGCCGAAGGGUCCAAGAGGGGAAGGACUAUUCCCCCGGACAGCUCCGCCAACACCAACAUUGGCGACGAAGAGUGGCCCUCAAGGGCCAGGCCUUCGGCAAGAUCGUAAGUAUCCGGAUUCCUGAAUGAUUUGUAAUUUCUUAUGUGUCACAUAGUGUCCUUCUAAUGCCGCAUACUGCCUGCAGUCCGGCCGAUGAUGAUCUCCCCGCUUCAUCGAGCGGGUCGUUGGCUCCGUCGGAUGUGGAUUCCAUCCCGACUGCCUCCACCCCUCGCGCCGCUGAGGACGCCAGGUGGGAUCCCAAGAAGGGACCCAUCAGGAGGAGGCUCCGGAGGCGCCGCACGGCAGCCUCCCGGACUUUGCGCCGGACUCCAUACCGGAACCCGCAGUCGUUCCGGAGUCAGGCAGGCGGCCCCUUCGCAAGAAGGGAAAGACCGUGACGCGGGCGGCCCCCGUCCAACUGGAGGCGCCGUACAACUUGCUGGAGGCGCUCAAAGGCGCUUUCAUCGAGGAAGAACACCGCACUAUCAUGAGUGCGGUGAUUCAGAAGGUUCAGCUCGCCAAGAGCGGGCUGACCGAAGCUUGCAGCAGCCUUCUAACAGGCUUUGAGGUAAGAAGUUAAAAUUAUGUAAUAUAAUACCACAUAGACAGUAGCCCCUGAUGCUCGGUUCGGUGUUCGGAAAGAAAAGCCGGACUGAGGAUCUAAAAAAGAUAUACGCAGGGUUGCUAAAAAAUUGUGUCAAUAUGGGUUUGCAGGCUGCGCUGCUGACCUCUACCGCACUGACUGCGGAAGUCGGUGCUUUGAAGCAGGACUUCGAGCGGUCCGAGCAAGAUCUCGGCCGUGCCAAGAAGCAGCUCGAGGACAAAGAAGGUGAGUAACACCAUUUUGAAUAGUUACCUUACAGAAAAGGAUUUAGGUUGCAAUAAAAAUAACAAGGAUAACGUGGGUACUGCAGGGGCCACGAACGAGGUGGCGACCCUGAAGGAGGCUGUGUCCGCGGCCGAACGCAAUGCGGCCACGGAACGGGCAGAGCGCGAGAAGCAGGAGGCGCGGGUGGCGGAGGUGCGGCAAGAGCUCCAGGCUCUCAUGGAAAAGCAUGAGAGUUUAGAGCGUGAGUCAACGACUCGGGAGUCCGAGCUUGCCUCGGCUCUCGAAAGUGCCAAAGCCGCCAAGGCCGAGGCCCAUAAGGCACUUCAGGAUGUUGAGGAUGUGAAGAAAAUAGCGGCGGGUAAGGCACUUUUCAUGCAAAGCAAGCAUGUUAAUGUAAACUACCUGACACUUACCCGAAUUUGGAGCUCUCCAGGGGCGUUUCUAGAUCUGCCUCGUAGUGCGUCCGAUGCCGCCGCAUUCUACCGUGGCGAAGAGGGGAGCUCAACGGAGAAGGUCUUCUGGUCUCAGUACGCUGAGGCCAGCCAUCCGGUGCCCCCUAGCGAUCAGCUGAAGCAGCUGGUCGAGCUCCACAAGGUAGCCGAGCAGGCCAUGAAGGGCCUCAUAGUCCGGUUGUGGCCUGGAGAGGCCAUGCCUGGGAGCUACUUCAGCCUUGUGCGGCGGCUGGUGGAUGCGUGCCCCUGGGUAGAGGUCAUCAAGCGCUCCGCCUGUAUUGAAGGUGCUCGUCGGGCCCUUGCCCGCGCAAAGGUGCACUGGGGCAGGCUGGAUGCGGAGAGGCUUAUCACUGACGCGCCGCCAGCGGGCAAGGAGUAUCGUACGCCCGAGAUGUACUAUAAGACUGUCCUGAAGGGUGCCCGCAAGAUUGCGGAUGAGUGUCCCAAAGAUGUAAUUAUUGAGUAAACUCGCUAUGUAUUAUCCUGUGCGCUGAAAAUUUUGUUCAUAUGCGCUAAGCAACGCUUGUUUGAUUUAAAAUAUUACCUUCUGUGCGGCCGUUGAUGAAAUCUGAGAGAUGACAAGUCGUCUGCUUCAGCCCCCAAGCCACGAGUGCUGGGGUGUUCGGGAUAAACUUGAGCACUCUUGUUCCCAUUUUUGGGUCCAUCUAGGGAGGCGCUCAACACUACGAACAAGGCAACCGGACUUAUAAUGCUUGAACACUCUAACUUAGCCAUAGAAUUCUAUAAUUUUAAAUUUCGGCGAAGCCCCUAGUAUUCGGAAGGCCGAAUUUGGGGCGCUAUCCACGCCUUCAUCGGACAUUAUCCGGUUCUUCGCUCGAAGCGGCAUAAGUCUUUAAGGACUCAAAAAGACCUCUCGAACAGCGACCAGUCUCUCGCCUUAUCAUGACAGUCAGUUUUAGCUUUCUCCACUGAGGCGCUCGCCCAGCUCAACCAGGGUGCAAUCGCAGUGGUUCUCCCAGUGCCACUUUAGCCGACAGAACGGAACGUAAGGUACCAAAACGUGGGAGCCGGGCAAACCCAACUAUUGACCCAAGACAUGAUUCGGAGCCGAUUCAUAUAAUGAUAUAAGUUCGGGGUGCCGCACUUGUGAAAGUGUUCGGACUUAUCACACCAUAAUGCGGGGAACAUAAGCCCCUGGUGUAUUCGGCCGUACCAAAAUAUACGGGUGCAAGAUGUCAUUAAUGAACAUAUAUGUAAAGUGAUGCAAUUAUAGGCAAAAAAUGCUGCAUUAUUUAUUUAAGGAAUUCUGCUAUGAGUGCGGAAUGAUACAAGUAGUGCGGUAAGCAAGGGAUUGGACUAAUUAAACAUGUCCCCCUCCAGGGGUGGGUUGCGGACUGGUGUGUAUAAUCAAAUUUAAUGCUCUUAAUGGAGACCACCUGAGUGUUCGUCGCGACCUUUUUCCCUCCCUGGCGGUUGCAUCGUGAGUUCGGCGGGUUCACCGCUGGACAGGGCCUCUGGUAAACGGAGUCCUGUAUAUAAAAAGAAGGAAAAUAAAAGUAAGAAGAGUGACACACUUGGGAGCCCCUGGUGUGGUCGAGCCGCACUUUGGGUCUGUUGUGGUCGUGCCCCUCCCCCUAGGCCCAUGGUAUCUCCAGAGCAUAAUGAUGUACGCGGAGGGUUGGCCUUGCAAUCAUGUGAGGGCUGGGGUUGGGGCCGCAUUGCUACGCAUGCUCGGAACGUGCCGGGUGGUCUUGGUUGAUGUUGCUCCGGGCGCGUUUGGCCGUGUCCGGUCGUUUAACGGCCGGACUCGAAAAUUGCCUUAGAAGGCUGCUCUGUACUUCUGCCGCGAGAGCCGCUGUAUGUUCCUCCGUUCGGAGGGAUCGUUCUGUAUUUCUGUUGACCAUGAUGACUCCACGAGGGCCUGACAUCUUGAGCUUGAGGUAUGCAUAAUGCGGCACCGCGUUGAACUUUGCAAACGCGGUUCGUCCGAGCAGAGCGUGAUAGCCGCUGCGGAACGGGACUAUGUCGAAGAUUAACUCCUCGCUCCGGAAAUUAUCCGGGGAUCCGAAGACCACUUCCAGCGUGACUGAGCCUGUACAAUUAGCUUCAACACCUGGUAUGACGCCUUUGAAGGUCGUCUUUGUAGGUUUAAUCCUUGAUGGGUCUAUGCCCAUCUUGCGCACUGUAUCCUGAUAAAGCAGGUUCAGGCUACUACCGCCGUCCAUUAGGACUCUCGUGAGGUCAAAUCCAUCGACGAUUGGGUAUAAAACCAAUGCGGCGAAUCCGCCAUGGCGGAUGCUGGUCGGAUGGUCUCUUCGAUCGAAAGUGAUCGGGCAAGAGGACCAUGGAUUGAACUUCGGGGCAACUGGCUCCAUCGCGUAUACGUCCCUUAGUGCACGCUUCCGCUCCCUCUUGGGUAUAUGGGUUGCGUAUAUCAUGUUUACCGUCCGCACUUGUGGGGGGAAACCCUUCUGUCCUCUACUGUUCGGCGGUCGGGUCUCUUCCUCGUCGUCGCUAUGCAGCCCCUUGGCAUUGUUUUCGGCAAUUAACUUGCCUGCCUGCUUGAAUACCCAACAAUCUCUGUUGGUGUGGUUAGCUGGCUUUUCAGGGGUGCCGUGUAUCUGGCAUGAGCGGUCGAGUAUUCGGUCCAAAUUGGACGGACCCGGAGUGGUUCUUUUAAAUGGCUUCUUCCGCUGACCGGGUUUAGAGCCUCGGAAUCCGGCGUUGACUGCCGUAUCCUCCUUGUCGUCGCAGUUACCGCGGCGUUUGUUUUUGCUUCAACGCGACCUACCAUUGUGGUCCUUGGUAUCCGGACUGCCAGAAUUUUUACUGAGGUUGUUGCUGCGAGCUAGCCAGCUAUCCUCUCCCGCACAGAAGCAGGCCAUUAAUGAUGUGAGGGCUGCCAUGGAUUUCGGCUUUUCCUGUCCUAGGUGCCGGGCUAGCCACUCGUCGCGGAUGUUAUGUUUGAAGGCUGCGAGGGCCUCUGCAUCCGGAUAGUCAACGAUUUGAUUUUUCUUUGUUAAGAACCAUUUCCAGAACUGUCUGGCCGAUUCGUCUGGCUGCUGAAUUAUGUGGCUUAGGUCAUCGGCGUCUGGUGGUCGCACAUAUGUGCCCUGGAAGUUGUCGAGGAAUGCGGCUUCCAGGUCUUCCCAACACCCAAUUGACUCUGCGGGCAGGUUGCUAAGCCAAUGCCGAGCUGGUCCUUUAAGCUUGAGUGGGAGAUAUUUGAUGGCGUGGAGAUCGUCGCCGCGGGCCAUAUGGAUGUGAAGGAGAUAAUCUUCUAUCCAAACCGCGUGUCUGUCGUGCCAUCGUAGGAUUCAAUGUUUACGGGUUUAAACCCUUCAGGGAUUUGAUGAUCCAUUACUUCGUCAGUGAAGCAUAGCGGGUGUGCGUCGCCUCUGCAUUGAGCAAUAUCGCGACAUAGCUCAAGGGAGCGUUGUCUGCUGUGUUCGGCCCGGCCGGAGUUGUUGUAUCCGGCUCGACGGUAUUUGUCGUGGGUCGUGUGGCGCCCAUGUGAUCCAUAGAUAGAUCUGGAUUGUCUUGCCUUGUCCUCCAAUAUAUCUCGCAAGUCCGGCGCGUUCCCUCAUGGCUUCGUACUUUUGGAGCGAUGCCGGGGUACGGUCUUGGUGGAGGGCCUGGAUGCCUCUCUGUCGCGACCACGGGGUGGUCGGUCGGCCGCUGGGGAUGAAGGUAUGUAUGCUUCCUCCUCUAAUCGAGAGAGCAACUUGCAUUUUGGGUAACUCUUGGAGGGACGUAUGAGUUCGUACUCUUCGGCCACGAGGACCUCGGUCCAUCUGUCGGCCAGCAGGUCUUGAUCAGCUUGAAGCUGCUGCUGCAUUUUCUUUAGGCUGUUUGCUGUGGCCAUUAGCCUGCGUUUGAAACGCUCUUGUUCGACGGGAUCCUCGGGCACGACGAAUUCGUCGUCGUCGAGGCUUGCCUCGUCUCCCGAGGGAGGUAUGUAAUUAUCAUUCUCAACCUCUUCGUCUGCCGCUCUUUCGUGUGGGCUUUCUUCUGCGUCCUCCUGCGCUGAAUCUUGCUGGAGGGGAUUGUCUUCGGCACUUUCUGGGGUGUUAUUAUCUCCUGUGCCGGAAUCUCCAUUCUUGCUGUGGCGGGAUUUAGAGCGCCGCCGCUGAUGUCGGCGCUUGGGCUGUUUCUUUAAGGAAUCUGCCUCCGCUGCUUUUUCGCCGUCCCCAUCUUUUGGGGUGUCCACCAUGUAUAUGUCAUAUGACGAGGUGGUCUUCCAGUGCCCUGUAAGCGCUGGUUCCUGAUCGUCUCCGGCAUCGUCGUCCAUACCGUCGAUGUCUUCGGAGUCAUAGUCUAGCAUGUCGGUUAGAUCGUCGACAGUGGCUACAAAGUGGGCGGUGGGUGGGCUUUGAAUUUCUUCGUUGUCCGCAUCCCAACCAUCCUGGCCAUAAUCCGGCCAGGGAUCUCCGGAUAGCGAGAGAUGCUUUAGCGAAUUUAAGAUGUCGCCAAAGGGUGAGUGCUGAAAGAUGUCUGCAGCGGUGAACUCCAUGAUCGGCGCCCAAUCGGAUUCGAUUGGCAGGUGCGCAGGAGGUUCGGAGUCCGGCACCUCGGAGUCACGGGAUUUAUAAGAGACAAGGUCAGUGUUCGGCUCCAUCGCCGUGGAAGUUGCAGCUCCCGAGGCGGUGUCCAGCCACCCGUCCUCGAUCUGCGCGAUCGGCUCCAGACUAUGGGUCGGAGCGGAUUCGUGUGCGGCCUCCAGGGUACUAUCCGGCGGCAGAGCUAAAUCGUGCCCAUCGCGACAGUGCGGCACGCUCGGCUGCGGAUCGGAUCCGUCGAAGAUCAAAUCUCCGCGGAUGUCCGCCGUGAAGUUUAGGCUUCCAAAUCUGACCUGACGGCGAGGGGCGUAGCUUUCGAUCUGCUCCAGAUGGCCAAGUGAAUUGGCCCGCAGUGCGAAGCAGCCGAAUACGAAGAUCUGUCCGGGGAGAAAAGUCUCACCCUGGACGGCGUUGUUGUUGAUUGAAGAAGCCAUCAGGCCUAUCGGUGACGACACAGAGAAACUCUCAACGAAAGCACCAACGUUGGUGUCAAAACCGGCGGAUCUCGGGUAGGGGGUCCCGAACUGUGCGUCUAGACGGAUGGUAACAGGAGACGAGCGACACGAUGUUUUACCCAGGUUCGGGCCCUCUUGAUGGAGGUAAAACCCUACGUCCUGCUUGAUUAAUAUUGAUGAUAUGGGUAGUACAAGAGUGGAUCUACCACGAGAUCAAGGAGGCUAAACCCUAGAAGCUAGCCUAUGGUAUGAUUGUUGUAAUGGAUGUUAUGUCCUACGGACUAAAGCCCUCCGGUUUAUAUAGACACCGGAGAGGGCUAGGGUUACACAGAGUCGGUUACAAUGGUAGGAGAUCUACAUAUUCGUAUCGCCAAGCUUGCCUUCCACGCCAAGGAAAGUCCCAUCCGGACACGGGAUGGAGUCUUCAAUCUUGUAUCUUUGUAGUCUUGGAGUCCGACGGACGAUGAUAGUCCGGCUGUCCGGACACCCCCUAGUUCAGGACUCCCUCACACAUGUACCCUGUACUACACCCAUAUCAAUAUAAUCAGAAGCAGGAUGUAGAAUAUUAUCUCUUCGAGAGAGCCCGAAUCUGGGUAAAAUCCUGUGUCCAUGUUACCAUCGCUACCAUGAUGCCUAGCUUAUUACCCCUACUACGAGAUAUGCUGGAUAUAGAACUGACAACCACCUGUAUAGCACUACCAAUUUUAUCGUCCAAGCACUAUCAGCUGCUCAUUAUUCCAGAUAAUGCCCAUAAAAACUCUUGUAACUGAUCCCUUCCAGGGCAAGGAGGCGCAAGCAUGAUGAACGCGUUCUUCAAGGGAUCCUACAUAGUCUGCAGGCUGGCGUUGUGAUGUUCCGUUGGGCAAACGUUAUUCUUUCUCGCUCAGUAUUUGGGAGCAAACGAAACCCACGCUUUACAAUCUUAGUACUGAUUCUCAAGGCUGCUCACUGAUUUCAGAUCACAUAGGUAUGUAAAUUGAUGGAAUAGAGUAUAAGGGAGUGAGGUGGUACUACUAAAUAGAUAUAAGAAUCCGCUCCUCUGGCCACAAGUAUGAACUGGCUCAGUUGGAUGUAGGCUUCAGUUUUGGUUGCUAGGUCACAAGUUCGAUUCUUGUCUCGAGCGAUAAAGUUUUGCCGAUCCUCUCCUAGGCAGCAUGGUCCUGGGUCACCGUUAUUUGACUUAGAGGCCUCUUGGACAUAUGCGAUGCGAAGUGAUGUACUGUCGGCUUAUUAUAUAAAAUGUCAUGCGUGUUUCUGUAGAAGUGCAUGAAGGUACAAGAAUAUCAUCUACCUUUAUUAGUAGGUAUAGAUAUAGAAGAAUGUUGAAAGGAUAAACACUCAGCUCAAGUCCUCGAAUAUAGUGUCAUUUUUUUAACAUAGUAUAUAUACUGACACUCAUACAUACGCACUUAUACUCACCCCUAUCAUGCACACAUGCACACCCUACCCCUAUGACUACUAGAAGAACGCCCGUGCGUUGCUACGGGGCCACAUUAACUUUAAGAGUUCAAUAUUAUGACAUUGGCGACCUUUUUUACCAUCAAACCCUCACACACACACAGACACACACUCUCCCCCCCUCUUCCUCACUCUCUAUCCCCCUCUCCCUCUCUCUCUAACACACACACAUAUCCAUCUUAUUGGGUACGGGACCAUAAUCCAUCUAUUUCACACAUACACGCUAGCGCAUAACAAUAUGGAUUAUGUGUAUUAUAUUUGCCACCAGAACUGAGGGAAUUAAUUUCAUGUAAAUCGACCAGCCACAGCUCCAAAAAUACGCGGACGAGGUGGCUCGCGUCGGCGUCGGCGCCGUCCAGUGCGGGCCACGGGCCCGCUUCCAAGUGCACGUGCAAUGCACGUCUUCACAAAUAUUUUAACCAGAUGUGAGAAAUCACAUGCAUAGAAAAGACAUUCUGAUAGCAAUCCAAAUACCAUACUCAAUUGAAUACCUAACCUGGACAAUACUCUUAUUUCUAUGCGCUAGAAAAAAUGGAAUGGCAAAGCUAAGUAUGCCUACAUAUGCUCAGAUUAUAUACAAGAAUCUUGGGUGAACAAUUGCAACAAAGCACUAAGCAGCGAUAAAUUUAAAUAAAAAAUCCGUUAACUAUGCAGGCAGCAGGCUUGUUACAAUAUAGAGAUAAGAAAAUGUCACCUCCAGUAAUGUAGCACAAUGAGUGGAACGAAGCAUGAAUGAGCGGUUGUCUGUUCUUCUCCAUGUACAUGGAUCAGCAGUAGGGGCCAAGUAUAUAAGUACUUGACUGAACUCCACUCUUCGUGUACGAAGAGCCAUGUCACCUUCUCGCCGCUGCAGCAUGGGAGGACGACUGGUUCACGUGACCCUCCAGCUGGGGGAUCCAUGGUGGCUGACCGUCGAGCUCGAGGCAGAGAAGUUGAGGGCAGCAGUGGCGAGAUCCAUGCCGGCAACCGGGCGAAGAGGAGGUCGUCGGGGAGGGACACAUUGGCAAGAUCCGGUCGCCACGCGACCUGAAGAGCAACAGUGAUCUCCACAAGCUGUAGGCCGACGGCGUGCUCCAUCCCCUGCGAUGGGGUGACCAUGGCGGUGGCCACAGCUCCUCAUGCUCGCCUUGAUCUCGGCAACACACCCUGAGUGUAGGAGGCAGCAACGACCUCGACGAAAUCAUGGCCUCCAUCCCGGAACGCAUGAAGGACCUCGGCCCCGUCGCUACUCCUCCCGCCGUAGCCGCACGCGGCAGCGGACCGUGGGUAGGAGGGCAGGCGGCAUCGCCUCGGCUGACGGCAGGGAGCAGCGUUGAUUUCGGGUAGGUGGCAUCGCGAGGACGGCCGCGGCCGUGGGGAAGCACCCCGAUCAUGCUGCCAGGCCAAUCCUUCUCCUCCGAUCCCCUAUCCCCGAAGAUUGCGCCACCACCCCGGUCGUGUUGUUUCCAUAUAUUAUGCCAUUUUUUCCUGUACCUAAACGAACGCGGGCGAGCGGAUGGCGGAGUUUUGGUCCGCCCUCUAAAAUUGCUAAACGCACUUUUGGUGAGGAUUAUUGCUAAUAAAUGAAUUCAAUCAUGUUGCUCUAAAUAAAUGGAUUCAAUCAUGUGACUCUAAUUACUUUGGAUUGUUACGUGCACACUAAGCAGGGUGCAAUUAGGAAAGAAAAUGUUUUCUAAUUAAAGUGAUUGAGUGAUUUAAGGUAAGGUUAAUUAAUUUAGAUUUGAUUUUUAGUGAUUGUUAGUAAAGUAUGAUGCGUCUUUAAAAUCUUUUAUUGGUUUCCUUAAAAUCUAUUAUUUGUUUCCAAAAGAAAUUUGCAAUAAUGGAAGGUAUAGGUUGAUUUGGAUAAGUUAGUAAAUUUAGAUCCGUGAUUGCGUGCACGUUUGGAAAGUGUUGAUUUGCAAGGAAAGAGCUGAGGUGUAAAUAAACCGGUGAAUAAGAAACCAGCAUCGAAAAAAAUCAACGACAGUUAACCUACGAAAAAAAACCGGACGAAAGUGGUGGGACAAAAAAAAACCUGGAAGCGAGACUACCAACUGCUCCAUUAGGAGUAGAGAUAAUGUCAACUUAAGACAAUUAAAUUAGGCAAGGAUAAGAGUAUCUGCAACAUUUUAUAUGUUAAAUUGUUGGCACAACUAUCCACGUCAGCAGUGAGCAGCACAUCAUACAAGGUCUCCAAUGGAUCAUAUGGUAAGCUGUAUUUAACAAGAGAGAGGUGACACCAGAAGCAUUUAAUUACUAUGAAAAAUAGAUGAUCAAGAGUGCAACACAUCUAUGUAACCAUAGAUGAUGCUUUGCUUGCAAGUACGUACAUGACAAAAGAUCUUCAAAGUGGGAUUGCCCUACAGCCAACAAAGUUUAACCGAAGUAGAAAUUCUUACAAAAUAACAUAGUAGUAGUGCCCUCUAUUUUAGUUCUUACAUAAAAAGGCCACAAGCUCAAAUAACAUGAACCCAGUCGCCAAAGAGUAAUCAACUAAACAAAACAAGGCAAAGGUUCUCUUCAGUUUAGCGUAACAAAAAUAUAGAAGACCAAGUCGCUGUCCAGCGGUAUGCAAACUCCAGCAUGCUGCCAUGAAUCUAUUCAUUUCUAUAGAUGACAUGAAUCGCUUGAGCUUGCCAAUCCCAGCCUGAAAAUAAUAGAUAGCAAAGGAGGUUGUUAACACCAUUCAAUCAUUUAUGUAUUGGUUAGCUGAGGAUGUACAAUCUAGGAAUACUAGGAAAUAUUUUGUUAGGCAUAGAAGAGACAUACCUAAUUAUUUAGCCAAUUCGCCAACCUCUUCCAAAGCAUCACCUAUGGUUACAAGAUGUAUUGCAAUGUUGAUCAUCUGCUUACCCUAGUAAUUUAAUUCUUCUGGUAUGUUGUCUCUCUUAUCACACACAACUUAUCAUAUGAUCACCCGCAAUUCCCGUGCUGAUUUCCCCAACAUUCAGUAUGCUAAUGAUAUUGUCAUUGUGAUGCCUGAUUCCUCAUAUCAGCUCCUUCUGCUCAAGAACCUCAUUAUGCAUUUCACAACUUUUACAAGGAUGAGGGUAAACUAUGGCAAGUACACAAUUGUUCCCAUCAGCACUCCUCAACCAAAAAUGAUUGAGCUGGCCUCCAUUAUGGGAUACUCUAUUGGCCUUUUACCAAUUUAGGUUUACCUUAGUCCAUCAAUAAACCCAAACCAAUAUACUUUAUCCCCAUCCCCAAAAAAAUUCUCACUAGAUUAACAGGCUAUUCUAAUGUGCUUUCAUAUGCUGAGAAAUUAGUGCUAGUCAAAUCAGUUUUCUUAAGCCUCCCAAUUUUCUACAUGAGCACAUUAUCUCUUCCUGUUGGCAAUGUUUCUCAUCUCAACAUUUUUCUCAAACACUGUUUUUGGAGGAAAUAUGGUAUGGUAGAUAGGGGCUAUAUUGAUCGCUUGGGAAACAAUAUGCUUAUCUGAACAAUAAGGGGCUUGCGAGUACUUGAGUUAGCCACUCGCAACAAGUGUUUGUUGAUGAAACGUCUGCACAAGGUCUUUAACUUUGAAGACCUCGCUUGGGUUAAAUUAACCUCAUACUCUUACUUUGUAAAUAAACCACUCUUUCAAUGUAAGGGGGGCUCUAUUUGGUGGAGAGAUUACCAAACUUAUGCCUACUUUCAAAGAGAUUGCCAAAUGCUCUGUUGGAAAAGGAAAUGAUGUCAUGAUCUAGAAUGAUAACUGGAAUGAUGAGGGGAUCCUGAAAGAUAAAUUCCGAGAGCUCCUCUCUUAAGCCAUUACAACUGAUAUUUCUUUGAAAACAGCGAAAGAAACAUCUGAUAUGGUGGAGUUACUCCAUACUCCCAUAUCAAUGCAAGCUUAUGAUCAGUGUUAGCACUUUCAAGUUCUCAUUAGUAUCACCCAGCUAAGAGAUCAUCCAGGCAAGUGGUCGUAUCCAUGGGUAAUCGAAAGUUCUCCUCUAUCAAAAUGUAUAAGUCAUUGAGACAUCAUCUUGGAGCACAUCAGCUCUUCCAUGGGUGUGGAAAAGUGCACAUCAGCUCUUCCAAUCGGUUUUUGGACAAAGAACCGUCGUGCAUGCAUUGCGAUCGGGCGCAAUAGCCGACGGCGUAACGGGGAGUGCAGGUUUUUUGCGCAUGAUAGCUGGUUUAGUAGCCGCCGCAUUCCCCUUAAAAAAAAGUAGCCACCGCAUGGGAGAGCCGAUAUGCAUCGCUGCUACCUAGUUGCAUUCGAAAUGAAACUUCCGGAGAGAUAGGAAUAGGAUAACCACCAAAGUAAUUAAAGAGUAGAAUCAUAGUCUAAGAGCAUUAGAUCUUUUGUACUGGGUAGUAUCAUAGACGCGUAGUAUGUAUAUCAUACUAGCCUAUGUUACUACCUAAAUAUUGCAUAGUAUCAUAGAGUGAGUAUCUUAUUUAUUUAUUGUAAGAGAAAUUUUUGAUCUAUUCUUAAUCACUCAUGGUAGUAUAGAGAACGCUAGAGGUAAUACAAAUUAUAAGUCAAUGGAUCAUCUAGAGAUGACUACAAGAACCGCAACGAGCCAAAAGCGCGCCACAGCUAUUGUCCCUCCCUCAUUGGAGUCGGGCAAACCUGAUUGUGGUAAACAGUCAGAAAGUUAUCAGGCUAAGGCCCCAAAGGAUCACUGCACCAGAGCAGCAACCAUCACCGAUGAAGAGAGUCGUAGAUCUAAAAGAUCAAACCUAUAACCACCGGAACAAACACGAAUGAAAGUUGGAUCCCGUGAGAUCCAACACCAACGGAAUCCCGUGAGAUCCAACAGAGACACACUACCACACGCCUUUCGACUAUGCUACAUGCACCAUCAGGGCAGGGAUCGGACGUGGGAGACAUUAUCCCUACUAACGAACAUCGCUACUGCCACACAUCCCAAACCAAGACAUUAGUCCUAGCAAAAAAGUGAUUGGGGUCCCUCAAGCCGGUGAUGGGCAGAGAUCCUCUGCACCUCCACGGCCUAAAGUCCAUCAGAGGUGGGGAGGACUGCUGGUGGCAAAUUGAGUUCCAAUCUAGCAUUGCUCUGAUUCAAGUGCAAUCGAUUGAGUUUGAAUCAAAUCAAAAUGGAUUGGAUCAAAUAAAUUCUAACUAAAUCCAAUCCAGACCAAUACAACUAAUGACUGCCGAAAGUAUAGCCCAAAACUACACAAAAACCCAAACUACGAACGCGAGCACGGGAAAAAACUCAACACUUUCGGAUCACGGGUGUUGAUGCAGGGGUCCCGCCGACAAUGAUGGGCUGGCCAUAACUAUGGCAGUUGCCAUGGUCCCCGUGAUGCGCGGGUUAGAGGAUGAGCGCGUCGUUGUUCAGUUCCCUCACCUUUACACAGGAUGAAUGGGAGAAUACCCUCGAAUAUGUGUGGGGGGGGGAGACCCUACCCACCUAGGCUGCCUUCGUCAUAGCCGUUUGGGUUCGCACCUCUAGGGUCGUCGAACCCAAGAUGACUAGGUCCAACAUCGGGAGCGAAUCCAGAGCACGAAUUGCGUGUGGGGCAAUGGGCGGUGCAUGCAGCAUGGUGCCAUGAGGUUCCCACCAGAAGAGGCGAGGCCGCCAACCCACCUGUCCUGGAUGGUGUUGCUCUCGGCAACGAUGGGUGGUGGGGUCCGCGUGCCCGUGGCGCUGACAUCGGAGACAUCAGAGGGGUGGUGUGGGAGAGAGAGCGAGUCUGGUGUGAAUGUGCAUGAGAGGUGACUGGUGAGAGGGGGGGACUUAUGAGACAUCUCUGUGUCUCCCGCGCUUCCCAAGCCGUCCAGGCAACGGGCACGUGUGGCUCGAGCUAGCAGGCCCAAAGGUUCUUCAAGUUUCGUGUGGGCCGAGAAUCUGAUUCAAGACAGGAAACCAAAUAGGCCAUUUUAAUCCCGUGCGGGCCUGGUAGACCUGUAUGUGGAAAAACAAAUGCUCCGUUAGGAGGUAGUUAGCUUUCUUUCCUACUUUAUAAAACUAACAAAAGUUUAUUUUUCGGAAAAUAUUCAUGAAGUUCGGGGUCAAAAAAAAUUAUCUGAGAAAUCAAACAUGCAUAGAUUCAAAAUGCAUCGGCGACUAACUAAGAGCAUCUUCAAUAGAUCAUGUAGUUGUAUAAAUAACUGAAUUUUACAUCACCAAGGUCCAAAAACCAAGCUCCAACGGAUGAUGUAGAUGCAAUUUUACUACACAGGAUUUGCUCCAGAUCUCACAAAGGGAACUUGGUGAUGCAAAUUUGCAUCACCAGCUGUGGCCCGAGCAAACUUGCAGCCGUCCGUACAAAUGCCCAACAACCUCGCUUAAAGUUCCUGUCGCCCCCCUGCCUACCUGCCUUCCGUCGCCUACCAUUAGACCCGAUGGCCAGCUCCCCCGACCACGGGGCUGCAACUGCCACUCCGCUAUACCUUGCAACAGCCGCCUCCGUGUCUCCCGCCGUUCCCGACCCUACCAUCGCUGCCAUGCCUACCCCAUAUCGGCGCGGCGGCGGAUGUGCAGCCCACGUCCCAGGGCCGCCACCAGACUGGAAGCACUAGCGAGUAAGAAGCCUAGCACGGCCAAACUACAUUGUGGCAGCUUGAAGAAGCCACCACACAACAGAAGAAGAGAAAGGCGGUCAUGGCAACCGUUGUUGUUUCGAUGUCAUCGAUGCCCGCGACUGUUGUUGCGGACGAAGGCGUGCCUACUCCCCCGCCAUCACAUGCCCCGCCUCCGGCUAUGUAGGAAGAGUUGUCGACUCUCGUGGCCAUCGUCUCCAACAUGCUCGACGAAAUGUCCAAAAUGUAAAAAAAAUCUCAUACCAUGGAUGGAUCACAAGCCAAUGUUCAUAAUGUGCCAAGUAACAACGGCGAGAAUGAAGGCGAUGAUGAUCUUCAAGCCAAUGUUGACAACGUUCCAAGUGCCAAUGGAGAAGAUGCUAGUUGAGAGGCCAUGUUUAUGUUUAUGUUUAGGUUUAUGUGCACAUCUUAUUCGUUGGAUCAUGAACUUUGUUUGCCAACAUACACUAUGAGACAAUAAAUUUGCCAUGUUGAUGUUGAAUUUGACAUAUUGAUCAUUAUGUUUGUGAUGAUCUUGCAAAAUUUUGGAUGAUUCUGAUUCAAAGAUGUGCUGCUGUACUGAUGCUGUUGCGCAGCUUUCGUGCGGCUGGCUAUUUUUUACAUGAUCUAUUGGGGUGGCUGCCCUCUUGUACAUCAUCUGUUUGAGUUUGACGUCUUUGGUGAUGUAAACAUGCACAUUUUGGUGAUUUAUAUUUUACUCCAACCACUUUUUUGGUGAUGUAAAAUGCAUCAUCUAUUGAAAAUGCUCUUAACCACUAGCUAGCUAUUUCGGUGGACUGACCUCAUCAUGGAGUCAAUGCCCUGCCGUAGUGGAGUAACCUGUCAAAUUAGGAGCGGUCAGACCAAUGUAAAUGCAAAACUAUGCCUUUGUAAUAUCAUCUAUGGUCCUUUUGGCUUAAUUAUGUAUGACCAAGCAAUUAAUUUUUGAUUGUGCACUAUCAUCUGCCGUCCUUCCAAGGGACCCAACAUUAAUCUCUGUCUAAUAUUUUUUUUGCGAAUUGUGAUAUCAGGUACCGUUCUUUUGUCUUUUGGAUGGUCGAUCGGCACCAAGCAUUCAAAAGACACUACGGCGAUUAAUUUUGAUUUGUUGUAUCAUCCGCCGUUCUUUUGAGGAUCCAACAUUAAUCCACGUCAAACCUGAGCAUUAGAUUAUGCAAAUGUCAAUGCUCAUAUCCUGUCAGGUGUCCCCAACGAUAUCACGUGACGAUCUAUUAACAUUAUUAUUCUACAAUUUGUAAAUACUAUUGUUCAUGUAAACUACCAGGGUGACCACUCAUUUGCACUCCUAGAUAUGAUACAUACUAGUAUAUUAUUAUUACGUAUGUUUGCACCAUAACAAACUGUUAUUAUCGCUAUAUACUUCAUAAAGUAAGCCAAGCAAAACCAUAGACUAUAUCGCACCAUAACAAACUGUUAUUAUCGCUAUAUACUUCAAACCGGGGAAUAUCUAUGUCUCUAGGAAAGUUGAUUAGACUAUAAUAUUGGAAAUACGAUCUUUUGCUGUGUUAUCACCAGCCAAGCAAAACCAUAGACUUUCAUUGACUAUAAUAUUUUUUCUAUUAAGCUGGUCAAGCCAUACUUUUUUUUAUCAAAAGAAGGAUAAAACCCCCGGCCUCUGCAUCUGGACGAUGCAUGCAGCCAUUUUAUUAAUUAUUCACAAAGAUCAUACAAAGUAAUACAUCAGUCAGCCUGAAGCCACCAUCUAGGUAACACCUGUUGCUACCCCUAUUUCCUUGAUGAAGCUGUGCCGAAUAUCUGGGACAAAUACCAAACGGACAUCGCACUAAACCCUAACAUCUAUAGCCGGAUGCCCCUGCCCAGCCACACACCGGGACUGGGUCCAUACUGGCUCGGCGCACUCUCAUAGGCUGCUGCCGCCAUCUUCCACCGGUCCAUCUUCAGAGCAGGAGCUGACGCAUCGACUUUGCCUGGCCUGCCAUCGACGCCAACACGGCGCCAGACAGCUCCACCAUCCUGCACAUAUCCAUCCACACGCGCCCGUCGCCAAACUUCCGCAGCGCCAUGCCACCGGGAUCCGUCGUCGGCCUUGCAGUGAAUGCGACACCGCUCCUCCAUUUGUCUCGUCCAACCAGCAUUUGCUCCAAAAUGAUGCCCCAUGAGGGAUAACGGCAUCGAAGGUGCCAUCAUCGUCCGAUCAGGUAGAUCCAGAUCUAGGGUCCCCCCAGAGCCACACGAGUGGGGUGCCAUGACCAGCAACAAUGAUGCCUCGAGAAGGGAACGGCGUCAUGGCCGCCGCCAUCGUCCGCCGUGACCGAAGUCGCGCGAUUUUCACCGGAAGUCGCGACUCCCCGAACUCGCAGCUGGGUGGAACCAAACGGAGCCUCGCCCUGGAGACGAGGGCCGCUGUUGGCAUGCCGGAAGGGAGGCUCUAGCCGCCCCUCACCGGUCCUCCUCGCGUCACCGGCCGGCCAAUGCCAGAUCCACAGCCAUCAAAGCCACCCAUGAGCACAUAGCCGCCACACCGCCGGCCAUGGAGGCUCCAAUCGCCGCCAUGCAUCAGGGUCGCCGCCCUGACUGCCACCUGUGUCGUCUACAAGCCCAUGGAUCCAGAUCGGGCCAGAUCCGGAUCCAGAUCGGCCGCGGUGCAGACACACCCCUCUCCACCGGGAGGUACUCCAGGCCGCCGCCCAUCCGCAGGGCCCUGAGCGCCGGCGUCCUCAACGCGCCCCACGCCGGCGAGCCGCCCAGGCGCAAGGAUGCUGCCCCACCGCAGUACCCCGNNNNNNNNNNGACGGAGGGGUACGUGGGUAUCCCAAUCUAAACGAUCAGACGUAAACGCAGGAAUGUUUGACUGUCAAGCAAUACUAUAUGGUAUAUCUUUUCACCAUUGCUUUCUUAAAACUAUUCCAAUAAGAAUUAAAUCUAAACACCAACGGUUUCGUGCCCAACCAUUUGUAGCAGACACUGAGAACAUACUAGUAUCAACAAGUUGCCGGUGUGGUUUGUGACGCCUGUGGGUUCAGCACCUUUCUCCUGUGUUUUAUAUAUUUCCCACGUGUACUGACCCAUCAAAGGCAGUUGCGCAGCAAGACGCAUCGUAAAUAGGGCUGUGUUAUAUAAAGACCUAAAACAGCUGCCAGAGAACAAUCAUAAGUUAAGCACCCAGAACAAUCAACAAAACUGAGAAAGGAGAGAACUAAUAUUCAUGGCGGCUAACGUAGUGCAAGCCCUGGCCGCUGUCCUCACACUGCUGGUGAUCACAAGAGCGCUAUGGUAUCUGCUUUGGAGGCCAUACGCUGUGGCCAGGUGGUUCGAGCAGCAGGGCAUCAGAGGUCCGCCUUACAAAUUCCUGGUUGGGUCCCUGCCCGACUGCCAAAGGAUGCUCGUUGCCGGGAGAGUCAAGGAUCUGGACACGAGCUCCCACGACUGCAUCACCACCGUGCAACCCUUCUUCCGGAAAUGGGCCUCACUGUAUGGUAAUUACUUGAAUGUCUCUACUCUCUACCCGAUAAACCACAAUGGACUAUAACUGUGUGUAUUAUAUAUAAUACGGAGUAACAUGCAUGUCCCUAUCAGGAAAAACAUUCCUGUACUGGUUGGGACCGACACCAGCACUGUGUACUACAGACAUAGAAAUAGUGAAGAAAGUGUUAAGCGACAGGACAGACAUGUUCCAAAAAGAUUACUUGAAUCCCAGUUUGGAAGCAAUUCUAGGGAACGGGGUAAUAUUUGCAAACGGAGACGACUGGAAGCGGCGGCGCAAAUUCAUCCACCCGGCUUUCAGCCAAGAGAAGAUCAAGGUUACUUAGUUAGCAAUCUCUUCUUUCUUUUCUUUUUUAACAUGCUUGAAGGAUGUGGGAUUUUCUUGAAAUCUCAACGGAAUAAUUACGUUUGAAUGUUUGUGUUCACAGUCCAUGUCAGCAAUAACGUUGGAGUGCACACAGCAGAUGAUGGAACAGUGGCGCACUCAAAUGCAGGAGAGCAACAUGCAGCAAGCCGAGAUCGACAUGAGGUACGACUCCGAUGACAUAGCAAUGCGUGUCAUAGCACGAGUGAUGCUGGGCAAGAACUACAGGGAGGCCUGGGAAGUGUUCAUGGCAGGAAGGGAGCAACUGAAGCUCGCCGCGUAUGCAUUUGCGGAUCCUCCAGUACCUGGAUUCAGGUAAGCCGGAAGAGUAGCUAGUUUUCCUUUUAUGGAAAGACUAGAUAGGAGACCCUAGAGUAUAAAUGUGAGCACAAUGAUUUGAACUAUGCUUAGUGGAGUCGUGCCCUGUACACUCCACCGGCCCAACCGGUGGUUCUCAAAGAAUGCGAUCAAUCCAAGGAUAACGUGAAAUUAACUUUUAUUACUCUAGGUACCUGCCGACACGUCGCAACCGUCGGACCUGGCAACUCGACAAGCUUGUGAGAAGCAAGAUUACAGAGAUCAUAAAGGCGCGGCUUGCUAGCAGUGUCUAUGGAGACGACCUGCUCGGGCAGAUGUUGUGGCUGCAGAGGUCGGGUGCUGGCGCCAACGCCGAGACCCUGAGCACGGAGGAGAUGGUCGGCGAGUGCAGGACCUUCUUCAUGGCUGGGUACGAAACCAGCGCCAACCUCAUUACCUGGGCCAUGUUCCUGCUCGCCAGCCACCCACGGUGGCAGGAGAUGGUCAGGGACGAGGUCGUCCAGGAGUUUCCUGCUCACAAGCCACCCUUAGGUGACGGCCUCGGCAAAUUGAAGCUGGUAUGCUACGCAUAUAGUAUAGAUGGACAUUAAUCCUCAUCCAUACAGCUUUGAUAUAUCCCAGGUCCGUAGAACAAUUAAUGAAUGCCGUGGUAACUUGCAGCUCAACAUGUUACUCUGGGAGACAUUGAGGCUCUAUGGCCCCAUAUCAUUCCUGCAGAGGAAGACAGCCUCAGACACAAUCCUCACACAUGUGAAGGUGCCGAAAGGAACGAUGAUAACGAUACCUCUGGUGAUGUUGCACCGGGACAAAGAGGUCUGGGGACCCGACGCCGACGAGUUUAACCCAAUGAGGUUCCAGAAUGGCUUCGCGAGAGCCGCCAAGCAUUCACAUGCACUGCUGGCCUUCUCGUAUGGGCCUAGGGUCUGUGUCGGGCAGAACUUUGCCAUGGUGGAGGUGCAGAUCGUCAUAGCGACGAUGCUCAAAAGUUUCUCCUUCUCCCUGUCCCCCACUUAUGUGCACAAGCCGAGCAAUUUCGUCACAUUGACGCCCAAGUACGGGCUCCCUCUCAUCGUGAGGAACCUGCAGCUGACUAGGUGAUUGUCUUGUGACAUGACAUACCGGAGCCAUGACCCUAUAGUUAGAUGAGACUUGGGUGUACAAAUGUACAUCCGUUAUUUCGUCAAAAACUAUCUAUGCUUGGGUAUAAUUCACAUACGGAACAAUAUACAUGAAAUCGAUUAGAAGAACUUGAGAAAAACUGUGUUUUUAUCGCACUGUGUAAUCUAUUGUUUAGAUACCGUUAUCGCAACUGACGGGACCUGUAUAUUGUGAUGUGUCUUGUACUACACCAUACUGUACUAAAUAAACUAGGCCACUUUCGCAUGUAUUUGUGACGCAUGGUUUUCUCACCAUUGUUAUUCCUCCAAGCUACAAAUAUAAAUAGACUAGGAUGAUGUCGUAUGUUAUCGAUUAUUCAUUGUUGUCUAUCUUUUCAUCAACAACAAAAGAAUUUAAACAUAUAUGAGUAUCUUCUAAUUCUAUCUGGUGAACCAUAAUAUGUUCGCAAUAGAACCGAACGGCCUGAAUGAUGUCUGAUAUAAAUCGCGCAGUUACACCCGCAAGCCCAAGAACCACCUGACCUAGGGUAAUGUUUGUGACAAAUGUUACAUUGUUGUUUAUUUCUCUAUCAUGCUGAAAUAUACUUCUCUACAACAUCUGCCUUCGAAAUCCAGAACUUCAUGCUAGACUUUUGGCAGACCCUGAAUAUUUUUUGCUGAACUGCACCCACUCCUAGGGAUUCAACAAGGUGCUACGCAAUGAAGAUACAUACAAUAAGGACUGCCUAAUGACAACAAAGGAUACAACUUCUAUGCUUUCUAAUGAGAAGUUGGGCAAGAACUGGUGGCUGUUUUUGUAAGGUGUCUGCCUUUGACCCGGCGGACCCAUAGCUGAAGAAGGGCUUUAUGAUGUUUAAUCUAGUACAAACUAACAUAGGUAUACUGCUAACUUUAUUUGUGUAACUAACGUGGUAAUAUGCACCCCACAAACUUAAUAACCUACUUACAAACAAAGUGGUAACUUUGGUCCGGGUAACUUAUGUGUAAAUACGUGGUAAUAUACACACGGUAGACCUCAUAGCUGAUGCACAAAAACUAUGAUAACUUUUGACCAUGUCAAACGUAGUUGCUGAAAACAUACCCACGGCAACUUUUGUGAAAAUAGUAUGGUAAUAUACGUACCGUAGAGCUGAUAACCCAUGUAGAAACACUGGUACAUUUUGACAGGGGAAAGAAAUUGUUCAAAAACAUGCUCCUGAUAACUACUAUGUAAACAACAUGGUAAUAUACACACCUUAGACCUGAUCACCUAUGUACAAACACUGUGGUAAAUUUUUGAUCCGUGGAAAAAGUUGCUAAAAACAUACCCUGAUAAAUUUUGUGUAAAUAGCAUGAUAAUAUCCGCAGUGUGGACCUGAGAAAGUAUGUAUAAUUACCGUAGUAAAUUUUGUUCUAUGUAGAUAUCAUGGUAAUAGAUGCACUGCAUACCUGAUAACUUACAUUCGCAUACCGUAGUACGAUUGGCCAGGGAUUUUUCUUGACAAACGCAUCCGCCGAUAAAUUAUGUGUUAAUGGCAUGAUAAUAUAUGGACCAUAGACCUAAUAACAUAAGUACAAGCACCGAGAUAAGUUUCGACCCGGGAAGAAAGGUGAAGAAAACUUACCUCGAUAGCUUCUAUGGAAAAAUGAUGGUAAUUUACAUCCAACAAGCAUGAUAAUUCACAUAGCUCAUGUGUGGUAACUUUUGACCUAAAAACAUCAAAACACAUCAACAUGAUAUCUAAUUUCGAAGAAUUGAUCGCAAUAUAUUUAAUGGUGAAACUGUAUCUUGAAUCAUACCAACAGAAUGAGCUACAAAAACAGAUUUUGAAAUGGAUCAUCAUGGCAGAUUGUAGUAACUUUGAUUCAGAGAAAACAAGUUGUUGAUACUUAGCCCCGAUAAUUUCUCUGUAGAUAACAUGGUAAUUUACACAUUGCAUGGCUGUUAAACUUACUGACAAAACACUACGGUAACUUUGACUCCUGGAAUUUACAAAAGUUGAUUAAACAAACCCUUAUAAUUUAUGUGCAUAUAGCUUGGUAAUUUACACAUGGUAGAUCGCGAUAACAUGUUUACAAAAGCAUGGUAACUUUUGACCAGGUGGUAAACCUGAUGUUAAACAUACUAAGUCAUUUAUGCGUUAAUAGCAUGGUAAUUUACCUAUCACAGGCCUAAUAAAUUACCUACAAAGACCUUCGUAACUGUUUAUGUUGAGAACAAUGUAUUUAAAACAUAUCUAGUAGCUUCUGCGUAAAUAUUAUCGAUCUUUUGUUGGGAAAAACUCAUAAAAUUACCUUUCUUUGUACUAGUGGUAAAAAGGGUUUAGAAUCAUUGAUUGGAUCCAAAAGAACAACAACAAUACCUUUAUUUGUUGUAUAUUGUACUUAGUACAUGCAUCUGUCUACCGUGAGACUAGGGUUUGAAUCCCCAGAAUUUUAUUUUCUCUUGCAUUGGUUUUCGGGCAAAUCUCUGUUAGAGUCGAACAAAAAAGUGGGUCAUCGAAGGAAUAAUAGCAACAAGGGGAUCGUUUGAAUCAGUCGCUAAAAAUGGAACAUUCGCUAGGUAUCAAGGUCCACCUAAUUAUUGUUGUCCCUUCUUACACAAUCUCAUUGCUUCUGUAUGUAGUUUUAUUAUUUUAUUUCUUUUGUGUCAUGCUUUGAGAUAUUUUCUUGUAUGGUCCCCUUCUAAUAUCGGUUAUAAUUUGAUCACUUCUGAUAUGGCUAAACCUGAGCGUAAAACAAACUCUAAUCUAACCAAUAUUGUCGCACGGUGAUCUGUGCGUGAUUUAUUUUCACUUAUUUGGUUCUCCCUAUUGAAAGUAACAUAUGUCUUCAAACUUUGCAAGCUAACAAAAUAUUAGAACUAAAAUGUGAACAAAAAACAAGUGAAUUUCUUAUUCAGCAUAAAUAUAUAGUUAGGAUUUAUUACUAUGAAAUAUUAUUUUAUGUAGUUACGAUGCGCCAAAAAAAUAGAAAUUUUUUUCCGCACAUUGUAGUUAUAGUAUUUUGGUGACAUGCAAAGUGUCAAGUCUAUGUGUUGUUUCAAGUCAUAUUGUAAAGUUAGUUGAAGGGGUACAUAUUACACACAGGUUUAUAUAGAAGGGACAUUUACAUUUGUGCCCUUAAUUUGCGCCCACUCUCAGAUUUGUCCCUAAUUUCGAAGUCUGCUCAAAUUUACCUCUCCGCCGUUAGAUGCCCUUAAAGAAAUGCCCUUCUGCGCUGUUACCGUCCAUUCAAAGAUGGGCAAAGGGCUUUGACCAUCCUAAAAAAAAUAUAAAAAAAUAUAAAAAAUCUGAAAUUUUGUGAGAUCAAAGAUACUAGGGUUCGCAAGACCCGUGCAAACUUUUGUGCUGUUUGGACAUUCCAGGAGGUCGUGGCAAACAAAAAACAGUAGAUAUGUACACUUGUGAACAGUAAAUUCUUAAAACUUGCAAGAAAAUUCAAAAAAAUAUGAAAUUUUUUGGCAUCAAAGAGGCUUGGGUCUGCAAGGUGCGUGCAAUUUUUUGUUGUGUUUGGACACAGUAGGAGCUCGUGGAGAAAAAAAAAAUUGGCUCAGGAAAAAACUUUGGAAAAAAUAACUAUUUUGUUUUUUUUGCUAGAGCUCCUCGCAUGUCAUUUGAUCACAAAAACUUGCAAGCACCUUGUGCACCCAAGCCUCUUCGAUGCCAAAAAAUUUCAUAUUUUUAUAAUUUUCUUGCUAUUUUAUUUCAAAUUUACUGUUCACAAGAGUACAUAUUAACUGCUUCAUAUUACACCCAGGUUUAGCCACAUCGGAAAUGACCAAAUUAUUUUCCCCUGCCAACUGCUUCAUAUUACACCCAGGUUUAUUUAGAAAGACCACAAGUUCUGGCCGUCCCUUCCUGCCGUGUAGGAGGCGCGAAGGCGGUGAGGUCUCGUUGCAGCUGCUGGUGGCUUGUCCUGCCUGCUGGCCACUCUCCCUGGCGAUGGUUCUCCUCUUGCAGUCCUGGCCGCCGGUCCGUAAGACCAAGCUGUCGAGGAUGGUGUGGUGGAACCUUGGAGAUGCUAUCACUGCCGUCGUAAUGUGAGCCAACUCCCGGGAGCUCGAUGGAGACAGCUGCUCUCACUUCCUGUUUUUGGACACCGGCAGAACUGACCGCGGCACAAGAACCAGUGUUGCUAAUCAUAAUUAAUACUCACAAGAAAUAUGAAGCAGUUAGCAGUUAUCUAGGUCAUCAACAUCAGUGCAGAAUUUCAGAUUGAUCAAUGACAAUGAGCUAUUCCCUCCGUCUAGGUUGUGCACCAUGACCAAGGAGGAGGGGAAAAUGAGAGACUUUAAUGUUUAUUUGCUAAUUAAUAGUAUUGCAUGCAAUGAACUAACCACUGCAUGUUAUGUUUGGUAGCCUCAAGUCAUUAAAAGCAUGCACACUCCUCAUCUCUUAUUGGUUGAUAUGGCAAGAAAUAAGAAACGAGGUAAAAAUUAAUGCAUCGCGCCUUAGUGUUUUGAGAUUAUUUGGUUUCGUAAGAUGACUUACACACCUAGACGGACGGAGUACGUGCCUAGUACAUGCCAAUAACCCUGGCCAUCGAUCUACCCAAUUGAAAGGAAUGGAAAUGAUUAAGCAACUGCAUGUUGCUGCCUUUGUCAGACUGCUAUAAUGGAGUCCCCAAAAGGACGGCAGAUGAUACUACACAUCAUAAUUAUUCGCCAUGAUAUUUGUUCGUUGCUCAGUAACACGGCAACGGGUGGUGAUUAUGAUCGCCUGCCUUCUCUCUUUGGACCACUCUACUCUUUAAUUCUUGUGAUGAAUUUCUCAUGACACGGCCGCAGCAACGCUGCGUACCCCCAUCGGUCUGCCCAAUUUAUUAAUUCCACUUAUUAUCAGACAGAUGUGUAGCCUCUCAAUUUUCGCGAGCUUUUUGGAGAACUUGUAGUCUCAGAAUCAAUCAAAAAAGGAUGGAUCUACUUUAUACUCCCUUCAUUUUUAUUUACUCUGCAUAUUAGAGUUCACUGAAGUCAAACUUACUAAAAUUUGACCAAGUUUAUAGAAAAGAAUAAAAAUAUUACCAUAACAAAUAUAUAUGAAGUGGAAGUACAUUCAAUAAUAAAUCUACUGGUAUUGAUUUGUUAUUGUAUAUGUUAAUAUUUUUGUCUAUAAACUUUGUCAAAUUUUAUAAAGCUUGACUUUCACAAAACCUAAUAUGCGGAGUAAAUAAAAACGGAGGGAGUGGCCCGUGUAAAUGCCCAUGCAGAGUCUUUUAGUCAGCUAUCACAUUUUAUCGACCAACCUUUAUGUAAGGUGAGAGACUCAUAAAUUUGGGAACACAUCCCGAUAUUAUUGUUUAUUAUUUUCAUAACUAUUAGUAAAUAUGAGUUAUAUCCCGAAGAAUGAAUAUUAUUCAAACAAAUGUAGCAAUCGUAGCCCAUACCUCAUAAAAUAUAAUUAUUAGUUAAUAUUAUCAUAUGAUUUAAUACCGAAAACAACAUUUAGCUGUGUAAAUAUGGUGAUUGUAAAAGUUCAAAUGCACAAGAAACUGCUACAUUAACAAAUCAUGAAAUUUGAUUGAUAUUAAUGGAAUAAUUACAAAUGUGGGAUGUGGCAUAGCUACUGUCUUAGAGCAUCUCCAAUGCUGACACGCAAAUUUUCUCCAGCAUCCUUCCGAGGAUAGGGAGGCCAGUCCGUGAACACAUACGCGGGAGGCGGCCAACCAAAUCUAUCCACGUAUGUCCGGUUACAUUUCCAAUGAAAAUGAAUGAAAAUAAACAAUUUUUAUUCAACUCGAACAAACCUGACAUCUUUUACAUAAAAUCGGAUGAUUUUUAUCUAAGCCAGAGCAAAUUCAUUACAUUUAGAUAUUUUUCUACUAGAGCGGACUAUAAACCUAGACUAAAAGGACCGUCGGCGCCCGUUCCCCAUCUCCGGCCGGCCAUGAGCCCCGGAAAAUGAAGCCUCGCCCCGCCGCUGACAUAUCUUCCUAAAGUCCGAAAGCCCGCUCGUCGGACUGCCGGACGCCCUGAAAGGAUAUGCUUCAGCGAGAAGGGAAGAAUAACAUCCUCUUUCCCUAUACCUUCCCUAUGUCUAACAACGCUUGUCAUUGGAGUGGCCUCCACUUUCGUGAAGGAUGAAUAAGGGUUGAUUUUUGGGGUGGGUGACAAGGUGGCCUGCGAAGAGGGCAAGACACCGGCUGUGCAUGCUGGCAUCACGCCGGCGGUGGCCUUGUGGGACCCAAGUGGCGGCGGCCUCUCAUGAUCUACUUUUCCUCACUGUCGGCAACUGCCGCGGAAGUGCUAGCCGCCUUGUUGAUCUCCCCAUUGUUGGGGAACGUAGUAAUUUCAAAAAAAUUCCUACGCACACGCAAGAUCAUGGUAAUGAUAUAGCAACGAGAGGGGAGAUUGUUCGUCCACGUACCCUCGUAGACCGUAAGCGGAAGCGUUAGCACAACACGGUUGAUGUAGUCGUACGUCUUCACGAUCCGACCGAUCCAAGCACCGAACGUACGGAGCCUCCGAGUUUAGCACAUGUUCAGCUCGAUGACGAUCUCCGGCCUCCGAUCCAGCCAAGCUCCGGAGAUGAGUUCCGUCAGCACGACGGUGUGGUGACGAUGAUGAUGUUCUACUGGCGCAGGGCUUCUCUUAAACACCGCGACGAUAUGACCGAGGUGGAAUAUGGUGGAGGGGGGCACCUCACACGGCUAAGGAACGAUCGGUAGAUCAACUUGUGUGUCUAUGGGGUGCUCCCUCGCCCCCGUAUAUAAAGGAGCCAGGGGGGAGGAGGCGGCCGGCCAAGGAGGGCGCGCCAAGGGGGGAGUCCUACUCCCACCGGGAGUAGGACUCCCUUCUUUCCUAGUAGGAGUAGGAGAAGGGGGAAAGAGGAGGAAGAGGAGAAGGAAAGGGGGGGCGCUGCCCCCCUUCCCUUGUCCUAUUCGGACUAGGAAGGGGAGGGGCGCGCGCCCCCCUCCUGGUUCCUUCCCUCUUCUCCCUCGAGGCCCAUGUAGGCCCAAUAACCCCCGGGGGGGUUCCGGUAACCUCCCGGUACUCCGGUAAAAUGCCGAUUUCACCCGGAACCAUUCCGAUGUCCAAACAUAGGCAUCCAAUAUAUCAAUAUUUAUGUCUCGACCAUUCCGAGACUCCUCAUCAUGUCCGUGAUGACAUCCGGGACUCCGAACAAACUUCGGUACAUCAAAACUUAUAAACUCAUAAUAAAACUAUCAUCGUAACGUUAAGCGUGCGGACCCUACGGGUUCGAGAACUAUGUAGACAUGACCUAGAAUCAUUCUCGGUCAAUAACCAAUAGCGGGACCUGGAUGCCCAUAUUGGUUCCUACAUAUUCUACGAAGAUCUUUAUCGGUUAAACCGCAUAACAACAUACGUUGUUCCCUUUGUCAUCGGUAUGUUACUUGCCCGAGAUUUGAUCGUCGGUAUCCAAUACCUAGUUCAAUCUCGUUACCGGCAAGUCUCUUUACUCGUUCUGUAAUACAUCAUCUUAUAACUAACUCAUUAGUUACAAUGCUUUCAAGGCUUAGGUGAUGAGUAUUACCGAGAGGGCCCAGAGAUACCUCUCCGACAAUCGGAGUGACAAAACCUAAUCUCGAAUUAUGCCAACCCAACAUGUACCUUCGGAAACACCUGUAGAGCACCUUUAUAAUCACCCAGUUACGUUGUGACGUUUGGUAGCACACAAAGUGUUCUACCGGUAAACGGGAGUUGCACAAUCUCAUAGUUGCAGGAACUUUGUAUAAGUCAUGAAGAAAGCAAUAGCAAUAUACUAAACGAUCAAGUGCUAGGCUAACGGAAUGGGUCAUGUCAAUCACAUCAUUCUCCUAAUGAUGUGAUCCCAUUAAUCAAAUGACAACACAUGUCUAUGGUUAGGAAACAUAACCAUCUUUGAUUAGUGAGCUAGUCAAGUAGAGGCAUACUAGUGACUUUAUGUUUGUCUAUGUAUUCACACAUGUAUCAUGUUUCCGGUUAAUACUAUUCUAGCAUGAAUAAUAAACAUUUAUCAUGAUAUGAGGAAAUAAAUAAUAACUUUAUUAUUGCCUCUAGGGCAUAUUUCCUUCAGUCUCCCACUUGCACUAGAGUCAAUAAUCUAGAUUACAUGGUAAUGAUUCUAACACCCAUGGAGUCUUGGUGUUGAUCAUGUUUUGCUCGUGAGAGAGGCUUAGUCAACGGGUCUGCAACAUUCAGAUCCGUAUGUAUCUUGCAAAUCUCCAUGUCUCCCACUUGGACUUGGUCCCGUAUGGAAUUGAAGCGUCUCUUGAUGUGCUUGGUCCUCUUGUGAAAUCUGGAUUCCUUCGCCAAGGCAAUUGCAUCAGUAUUGUCACAGAAGAUCUUCAUUGGUCCCGAUGCACUAGGUAUGACACCUAGAUCGGAAAUGAACUCCUUCAUCCAGACUCCUUCAUUUGCUGCUUCCGAAGCAGCUAUGUACUCCGCUUCACAUGUAGAUCCCGCUACGACGCUUUGUUUAGAACUGCACCAACUUACAGCUCCACCGUUUAAUAAAAACACGUAUCCAGUUUGCGAUUUAGAAUCGUCCGGAUCAGUGUCAAAGCUUGCAUCGAUGUAACCAUUUACGACUAGCUCUUUGUCACCUCCAUAUACGAGAAACAUAUCCUUAGUCCUUUUCAGGUAUUUCAGGAUGUUCUUGACCGCUGUCCAGUGAUCCACUCCUGGAUUACUUUGGUAGCUUCCUGCCAAGCUUAUUGCUAAGCAUACAUCAGGUCUGGUACACAGCAUUGCAUACAUGAUAGAGCCUAUGGCUGAAGCACAGGGAACAUUUUUCAUUUUCUCUCUAUCUUCUGCUGUGGUCGGGCAUUGAGUUUGACUCAACUUCACACCUUGUAGCACAGGCAAGAAUCCUUUCUUUGCCUGAUCCAUUUUGAACUUUUUUAAAUUUUGUCAAGGUAUGUGCUUUGUGAAAGUCCUAUUAAGUGUCUUGAUCUAUCUUUAUAGAUCUUGAUGCCCAAUAUGUAAGCAGCUUCACCGAGGUCUUUCACUGAAAAACUUUUAUUCAAGUAUCCCUUUAUGCUAUCCAGAAAUUCUAUAUCAUUUCCAAUUAAUAAUAUGUCAUCUACAUAUAAAACUAGAAAUGCUACAGAGCUCCCACUCACUUUCUUGUAAAUACAGGCUUCUCCAAAAGUCUGUAUAAAACCAUAUGCUUUGAUCACACUAUCAAAGCGUUUAUUCCAACUCCAAGAUGCUUGCACCAGUCCAUAAAUGGAACGCUGGAGUUUGCACACUUUGUUAGCACCUUUUGGAUCAACAAAACCUUCCGGCUGCAUCAUAUACAACUCUUCUUCUAGAAAUCCAUUCAAGAAUGCAGUCUUGACAUCCAUUUGCCAAAUUUCAUAAUCAUGAAAUGCAUCAAUAGCUAACAUGAUUCGGACAGACUUAAGCAUCGCUACGGGUGAGAAAGUCUCAUCGUAGUCAACCCCUUGAACUUGUCGAAAACCUUUUGCAACAAGUCGAGCUUUAUAGACAGUUAUAUUACCAUCAGCGUCAGUCUUCUUCUUAAAGAUCCAUUUAUUCUCAAUGGCUUGCCGAUCAUCGGGCAAGUCAACCAAAGUCCAUACUUUGUUUUCAUACAUGGAUCCCAUCUCAGAUUUAGUGGCCUCUAGCCAUUUUGCGGAAUCUGGGCUCAUCAUCGCUUCCUCAUAGUUCGUAGGUUCAUCAUGGUCAAGUAACAUGACUUCCAGAAUAGGAUUACCAUACCAUUCUGGUGCGGAUCUUACUCUGGUAGACCUACGAGGUUCAGUAGAAACUUGAUCUGAAGUUUCAUGAUCAAUAUCAUUAGCUUCCUCACUAAUUGGUGUAGUCGUCACAGGAACCGGUUCUCGUGAUGAACUACUUUCCAAUAAGGGAGUAGAUACAGUUAUCUCAUCAAGUUCUACUUUCCUCCCACUCACUUCUUUCGAGAGAAACUCCUUCUCUAGAAAGGAUCCAUUCUUAGCAACAAAUGUCUUGCCUUCGGAUCUGUGAUAGAAGGUGUACCCAACAGUCUCUUUUGGGUAUCCUAUGAAGACACAUUUCUCCGAUUUGGGUUCGAGCUUAUCUGGUUGAAGUUUCUUCACAUAAGCAUCGCAGCCCCAAUCUUUAAGAAACGACAACUUUGGUUUCUUUCCAAACCACAGUUCAUAAGGCGUCGUCUCAACGGAUUUUGAUGGUGCCCUAUUUAACGUGAAUGCGGCCGUCUCUAAAGCAUAACCCCAAAACGAUAGCGGUAAAUCGGUAAGAGACAUCAUAGAUCGCACCAUAUCAAGUAAAGUACGAUUACGACGUUCGGACACACCAUUUCGUUGUGGUGUUCCGGGUGGCGUGAGUUGCGAAACUAUUCUGCAUUGUUUCAAAUGUAAACCAAACUCGUAACUCAAAUAUUCUCCUCCACGAUCAGAUCGUAGAAACUUUAUUUUCUUGUUACGAUGAUUUUCCACGUCACUCUGAAAUUCUUUGAACUUUUCAAAUGUUUCAGACUUGUGCUUCAUUAAGUAGAUAUACCCGUAUCUGCUCAAAUCAUCUAUGAAGGUGAGAAAAUAACGAUAUCCGCCAUGAGCCUCAAUAUUCAUCGGACCACAUACAUCUGUAUGUAUGAUUUCCAACAAAUCUGUUGCUCUCUCCAUAGUACCGGAGAACGGCGUUUUAGUCAUCUUGCCCAUGAGGCACGGUUCGCAAGUACCAAGUGAUUCAUAAUCAAGUGAUUCCAAAAGUCCAUCAGUAUGGAGUUUCUUCAUGCGCUUUACUCCGAUAUGACCCAAACGGCAGUGCCACAAAUAAGUUGCACUAUCAUUAUCAACUCUGCAUCUUUUGGUUUCAACACUAUGAAUAUGUGUAUCACUACUAUCGAGAUUUAAUAAAAAUAGACCACUCUUCAAGGGUGCAUGACCAUAAAAGAUAUUACUCAUAUAAAUAGAACAACCAUUAUUCUCUGAUUUAAAUGAAUAACCGUCUCGCAUCAAACAAGAUCCAGAUAUAAUGUUCAUGCUCAACGCUGGCACCAAAUAACAAUUAUUCAGGUCUAAAACUAAUCCCGAAGGUAGAUGUAGAGGUAGCGUGCCGACCGCGAUCACAUCGACUUUGGAACCGUUUCUCACGCGCAUCGUCACCUCGUCCUUGGCUAGUGCUCGCUUAUUCCGUAGUCCCUGUUUCGAGUUGCAAAUAUUAGCAACAGAACCAGUAUCAAAUACCCAGGUGCUACUACGAGCUCUAGUUAGGUACACAUCAAUAACAUGUAUAUCACAUAUACCUUUGUUUAUUUUGCCAUCCUUCUUAUCCGCCAAAUACUUGGGGCAGUUCCGCUUCCAGUGACCAGUCUGCUUGCAGUAAAAGCACUCAGUUUUAGGCUUAGGUCUAGACUUGGGUUUCUUCUCUUGAGCAGCAACUUGCUUGCUGUUCUUCUUGAAGUUCCCCUUCUUCUUCCCUUUGCCUUUUUCUUGAAACUAGUGGUCUUGUUGACCAUCAAAACUUGAUGCUCCUUUUUGAUUUCUACCUCCGCAGCUUUUAGCAUUGCAAAGAGCUCGGGAAUAGUCUUGUUCAUCCCUUGCAUAUUAUAGUUCAUCACAAAGCUCUUGUAGCUUGGUGGCAGUGAUUGGAGAAUUCUGUCAAUGACGCUAUCAUCCGGAAGAUUAACUCCCAGUUGAAUCAAGUGAUUAUUAUACCCAGACAUUCUGAGUAUAUGCUCACUGACAGAACUAUUCUCCUCCAUCUUGUAGCUGUAGAACUUAUUGGAGACUUCAUAUCUCUCAAUCCGGGCAUUUGCUUGAAAUAUUUACUUCAACUCCUAGAACAUCUCAUAUGCUCCAUGACGUUCAAAACGUCGUUGAAGACCCGGUUCUAAGCCGUAAAGCAUGGCACACUGAACUAUAGAGUAGUCAUCAGCUUUGCUCUGCCAGACGUUCUUAACAUCGUCAGUUGCAUCAGCAGCAGGCCUGGCACCCAGCGGUGCUUCCAGGUUGUAACUUUUCUGUGCAGCAAUGAGGACAAUCCUCAGGUUACGGACCCAGUCCGUGUAAUUGCUACCAUCAUCUUUAAACUUUGCUUUCUCAAGGAACGCAUUGAAAUUCAACGGAAAAACAGCACGAGCCAUCUAUCUACAAACAAACAUAGACAAGCAAAAUACUAUCAGGUACUAAGUUCAUGAUAAAUUUAAGUUCAAUUAAUCAUAUUACUUAAGAACUCCCACUUAGAUAGACAUCUCUCUAGUCAUCUAAGUGACCACGUGAUCCAAAUCAACUAAACCAUAACCGAUCAUCACGUGAGAUGGAGUAGUUUUCAAUGGUGAACAUCACUAUGUUGAUCAUAUCUACUAUAUGAUUCACGCUCGACCUUUCGGUCUCCGUGUUCCGAGGCCAUAUCUGCAUAUGCUAGGCUCGUCAAGUUUAACCUGAGUAUUCCGCGUGUGCAAAACUGGCUUGCACCCGUUGUAGAUGGACGUAGAGCUUAUCACACCCGAUCAUCACGUGGUGUCUCGGCACGACAAACUUUGGCAAUGGUGCAUACUCAGGGAGAACACUUCUUGAUAAUUUCGGUUACAAAACAUGAUCAUCUCAUACAAUAAAAUAUAGCAUCACGUCUUGACCAUAUCACAUCACAACAUGCCUGCAAAAACAAGUUAGACGUCCUCUACUUUGUUGUUGCAAAUUUUAUGUGGCUGCUACGGGCUUAAAAAGAACCGUUCUUACCUACGCAUCAAAAACCACAACGAUAGUUCGUCAAGUUGGUGCUGUUUUAACCUUCGCAAGGACCGGACGUAGCCACACUCGAUUCAGCUAAAGUGAGAGAGGCAGACACCCGCCAGCCACCUUUAAGCACGAGUGCUCGUAACGGUGAAACCAGUCUCGUGUAAGCGUACGCAUAAUGUCGGUCCGGGCCGCUUCAUCUCACAAUACCGCCGAACCAAAGUAUGACAUGCUGGUAAGCAGUAUGACUUGUAUCGCCCACAACUCACUUGUGUUCUACUCGUGCAUAUAACAUCAACGCAUAAAACCUAGGCUCGGAUGCCACUGUUGGGGAACGUAGUAAUUUCAAAAAAAUUCCUACGCACACGCAAGAUCAUGGUGAUGAUAUAGCAACGAGAGGGGAGAGUGUUCGUCCAUGUACCCUCGUAGACCGUAAGCGGAAGCGUUAGCACAACGCGGUUGAUGUAGUCGUACGUCUUCACGAUCCGACCGAUCCAAGCACCGAACGUACGGAGCCUCCAAGUUCAGCACACGUUCAGCUCGAUGACGAUCUCUGGCCUCCGAUCCAGCCGAGCUCCGGAGAUGAGUUCCGUCAGCACGACGGCGUGGUGAUGAUGAUGAUGUUGUACCGGCGGAGGGCUUCGCCUAAACUCCGCGACGAUAUGACCGAGGUGGAAUAUGGUGGAGGGGGGCACCGCACACGGCUAAGGAACGAUCCGUAGAUCAACUUGUGUGUCUAUGGGGUGCUCCCUCGCCCCCGUAUAUAAAGGAGCCAGGGGGGAGGAGGCGGCCGGCCAAGGAGGGCGCCCCAUGGGGGGAGUCCUACUCCCACCGGGAGUAGGACUCCCUUCUUUCCAAGUAGGAGUAGGAGAAGGGGGAAAGAGGAGGAAGAGGAGAAGGAAAGGGGGGGCGCCGCCCCCCUUCCCUUGUCCUAUUCGGACUAGGAAGGGGAGGGCCGCGCGGCCCCCUCUUGGUUCCUUCCCUCUUCUCCCUCGAGGCCCAUGUAGGCCCAAUAACCCCCCGGGGGGGGGGGGGGUUCCGGUAUCCUCCCGGUACUCCGGUAAAAUGCCGAUUUCACCCGGAACCAUUCCGAUGUCCAAACAUAGGCUUCCAAUAUAUCAAUCUUUAUGUCUCGACCAUUCCGAGACUCCUCGUCAUGUCCGUGAUCACAUCCAGGACUCCGAACAAACUUCGGUACAUCAAAACUUAUAAACUCAUAAUAAAACUGUCAUCGUAACGUUAAGUGUGCGGACCCUACGGGUUCGAGAACUAUGUAGACAUGACCUAGAACCAUUCUCGGUCAAUAACCAAUAGCGUGACCUGGAUGCCCAUAUUGGUUCCUACAUAUUCUACGAAGAUCUUUAUCUGUCAAACCGCAUAACAACAUACGUUGUUCCCUUUGUCAUCGGUAUGUUACUUGCCCGAGAUUUGAUCGUCGGUAUCCAAUACCUAGUUCAAUCUCAUUACCGACAAGUCUCUUUACUCGUUCUGUAAUACAUCAUCUUAUAACUAACUCAUUAGUUACAAUGCUUGCAAGGCUUAGGUGAUGAGUAUUACCGAGAGGGCCCAGAGAUACCUCUCCGACAAUCGGAGUGACAAAACCUAAUCUUGAAUUAUGCCAACCCAACAUGUACCUUCGGAAACACCUGUAGAGCACCUUUAUAAUCACCCAGUUACGUUGUGACGUUUGGUAGCACACAAAGUGUUCUUCCGGUAAACGGGAGUUGCACAAUCUCAUAGUUGCAGGAACUUUGUAUAAGUCAUGAGGAAAGCAAUAGCAAUAUACUAAAUGAUCAAGUGCUAGGCUAACGGAAUGGGUCAUGUCAAUCACAUCAUUCUCCUAAUGAUGUGAUCCCAUUAAUCAAAUGACAACACAUGUCUAUGGUUAGGAAACAUAACCAUCUUUGAUUAAUGAGCUAGUCGAGUAGAGGCAUACUAGUGACUUUAUCUUUGUGUAUGUAUUCACACAUGUAUCAUGUUUCCGGUUAAUACAAUUCUAGCAUGAAUAAUAAACAUUUAUCAUGAUAUGAGGAAAUAAAUAAUAACUUUAUUAUUGCCUCUAGGGCAUAUUUCCUUCACCCAUUGCCGACUCCUUUCUUCACCUGCAGGGCGUGGUUCCACGCACAUUGGCGAUAGAUGGUGCAGGAGCAUGCCGCCUCGUCCACGGCAACAUCUUGGCCCGUACCGACGUGCUCCUCUGAGAGAUGGCUUGGAGAGGCGACUUACUAAACCACACGCCGACUUGGAGCGGCCACUUGCUCCUCCAUGCAAGCCUGCAUCCUCGCCGGUGGUAUUGAUGGCCUGGAGCGGCAAGGGAGGUCAAGUAGCGAGUUGACUAGCUUGUAUACGACGGGCUCGGUGGGUCACCUAGAUGGCUUCUAUGACGGAGAACCACUCUUCCUGCUCGUCGGAUGUCAUGAACAGUGUGGAGAACAUAGUGCGAGAUGGAAAUGGGGAGCGGAGGAGUGGUGCGGUUCCUGCAUGGCGUCUGGUCUCGUUCAAAUAGCCGAUGGACACGAGGACCUAACCGGCAUUGAGUUUAAUGUCGGCCGGCUCAUGAACGGAUGUGUGGCUGGAGUAGGUUCCUCGGCAGACGCGUGGCUUUAAUGAAUGCAUGAGAGGAGGUGUGUUCAACUGGGCGUCCAGCAGGCAGUGUUCUCUCCGCCAGCCCGCCGCUUCAAUGUUGCGCAAGUUAGAGGUCGCAUCCGCUUUGGGCCGGCGUCAAUGUGGAGCGGCCGCUCACAGCAGCAUGAAUGCGGACAGUUGGCACCGGGCGGGAAUGGACGCGGGUGAGGGAGGAGGGUUUUGGGUCCGCAAGGGCAGUUAGAAGUGGGUGUGGCAGCUGUCCGGAUGGCCGCAAACAUCCCGCCCCUGGUCUCCGGUUUUGCGGGAAAAAGUACACCCGAACCGUCGAGCAGACCGAUACCGGCCCGCAUUGGAUGGCAACAUAAGUCUGGACUGCGCGGUCCGGAUGUAUGCAGAUGGUUUGAGGGUACGCUUUGGAGAUGGUCUUACAAAUGUUCUCUACAAAUAAUCCAACCAUGAUUGCUACCAAUGGUGGGAUGUAGCAUAGUAUAAUUGUAUCUUACAUUGACCGGAUUACUUUUAAUUUAUAAUUUUCAUACCUAGUUACUUGACAAAAAAACAAAAAUAUAAUUAACUUUUAUUUAUUUUUACUUAACUAUAGAAUAAAUAUUGGGCCAGGAGCAUCUUUGAUAUGUAUUUUCUAAAAAUAAAAUACAGUAAAUAUAUUUUAAAAUCAAAUUAUUUGUAUGUAUGUUGGGUUUCUACUCAAUAAAGAAGAGAUAUACAUAUGCCUUAUGAGAUAUAUACUCCAUUGUGGAUUAUUAAUUAGGGAAAUUUGUCGUUGAUAUAAUUCAUGCUAUGUUGAUCACUGUCACGCCACACAUAUCCUAUCCGGUUCACCACAUAUACAACGGGUAAGUAUCCUUGCCUGAGAGUUAAAAUAGAUAUGAAAUUAAAUUCCAAAUCAUGAUAUUGGCAAGUCAUUAACACAAAUCAGAAGAAGUUAAUGUAAUAAUUUAUAUGUUUUAGAUGUUUUCGGUCAAUUUGGAAUAUAGAGAUUACAAUGGUGUUCCGACUGCCCACCCGCAAAAAAAUGGUGUUCUGACUGCAAAUAACUGAAAAUAAAUAAUUUGAUUACGAACUAGUUUCGGAUAUGUCCCCAUAAUGCCUACGGUUUGUGUGAUGUUCUUUUUAGUUUUUAUGAAUACUCCUUUUGAAAUGGAGGCACAAGUUGAGCAUAGUGACCUUUUUCUAUUCUAAUAUGGACAUACCAAGUUCAUAAACAUUAAAAGUUAAAGAUUUUUUUACGUAGCUCCGGUUGCCCUCUUGGCAUAGCCCUAUAGUAAUGCUGCUGAUGGCCUUUGUCAAGUAACUAGGACAAACAUAAAUUGACUGAAUAUUUCUAUAAUUUGACAGUGAAGUGGUGUCAAGGCAUUUUUUUUACUGAACUAACGCCACAUCAAACACAAUAAGAAAAUUUUGAACAUGCUACCAGGGAAAUGUGUCAGUAGGUCAAUAAGAGGAAAUAAAAUAAAAUCACAUACAUGAAUGGUUAUUACUUCAACACUUUCAUGGUGCAUUCUUCUAUGUUUCUCAAUUCCAAUUCCUCUUAGAAAAAUAGCUAAUUUGUGAACCGAAGCCAUGGACUGGUAAAUAAUCUCUUUGUGCAUGUUAAGAAUUAUCACGAGUAGGAAAAUACCAUAAACUACUUAGCCAAUACUUACUCUUCUGGUUGAGAUUGGUAGAUGUCUACUUGAAAAAUUACAAUGACUAAACGCAGUCAAACAAUGGGCAAUUGCUUUGGUAGAAACUUGUGUUUGUGGAGCAUUACAGCAAGUCAUGAUUAAACUUAUAGAUAGGACCUAUCUAUAGAAUAAAAAACACAAAUACAUUACUUAAGAUGACAUAGUCACUUUACCAUGUCUGCCUUCCGUGAGAUUAUAUACUAGGAUGGCCUUCACAUGCUUGUUAGUGACAAACCAACUUUUGUUGUCACACGUACGAAUUGGUUUUAGGUAUCGCUAGCUAAAGGCGACCAGGAGGCGUUGGCAUCUUCCCCAUACAAUAUUUUCGUGCGCCGUAGUUGUUUAAUCCAUAUGAAAGCAAGCAUAGUGGCAGCUCGAUAAGUCACUGGAUCAGGCAGGAGGUUGAGAUCGGUGGCAUAGUGGCUUGUCGUGCAUGAACUUUUUUACAUGGAAGAGAAAUAUACGGUUGAUUUUUUUUAGUUUAGGUUUGGGUUCGAUGCGGAUGCAACUUUUUCAAUCGUGCUGAAUCCCACAAUUAGGUUGGUGAGCGUAUGGACUAUUGAUUUGAAGAGCAUAAUUAGUUCUUUGACCAAUCACUAUUGCAGGACGCUGCUAACGCGACACUACGAUCAGAGACCCUUCGAUGGAACUGUGUGCGAUGCAAUAAUCGCAAACGGUGGUGUAAAAAAAUAAUCAAAAAAGGUGCAAAACGUUUGCGAGGACGGAUGCAUUAAAGGCGGUUCAGAUUUUGGUUUCGUGUGCGAUGCAGGGCAUAUGGUUCAGUUCAGUUAACUGCUUGCGAUGAGGAGGAACAAAAGAAACGGGCAGCCAGAUGAAGGUGUGUGCGAUAUACAACAUAUGUUUCACACUGAUGAACUGUUUGUGAUUAGGCAACACAAAAGAAACGGUCAGGCAGAUCAAGGUGUGUGCGAUAUACGACAUGCAGUUCACUCGAAUGAACUGUUUGCAUUGAGACAAGAGAACAGAAACGGUUCAAUAUAACAAGAUGUGUGUGAUACGCGGCAAACAGGUCUGUAAUCAGAAGUGUGUGCGAAGACCGAUAAUAACACAUACGAUUGCUUCUAUUAAGAUGUACGUGAUAUGCUCUGUCUACACAACAUGUAUUGGCCAUUGGGGGAUGGGCGUUCAUCCGGAUACGCCAUAAGGAUGCGAAGAGGCAUCCUAUAUCAGCAAGGACUAGUUGUUCCACGAGUAGCUCAUCUAAGAGAACUCUCAAGUUAACUGUGCUCAGGCUGGAGCAGCCAUCAGAUGGGUGAUGGAUGGGAAAUUGUGUUGAUGUUAAAUUAACUGAUAGGAUGGGUCAUUUUAGUCAAAUGACCAAAAUGACCCAUUCCCUAAGCUAAUUUAACCUCGAUGUCUUUGUUUUUAUUUUUAUUUUAUUUUUCUAACAUAUUUUAAAGAAGGUCUACCGCAUUACUUUUUGACAAUGUGUAUAUGUGGCAUAUAGUUGAUCAAUCCGACCUGUUUGUGAUGGAAUAAGCCGUGUGUGUUGUGGGCAAACGCCUUCGAGUGUAGAACCAUUUGCAAUUGAUAAUUCAUCAUUGACGGCUUCCCUAGUGUGGUCCGUGUUCAUCUCAUCAUCAUCUACUUCUUGUGCCAGCUCGAUGUUCCUUAUAUGCUAAGUUUCCAUUAAUUAAUGGCGUUCUAUGAACACGCCACCGUUUCCCGCCAUAUCUUCACCUGUUUCCCGCCACCCAGCGAUAUUGCACAUAAACCUAGGCGCGGCGCGAUGCAUGGAGGCAACAAAAGCAGCCUGUAGCACAUCCACCAUUUCCAAGCAUGCCAACGAACCAAAGGGUCGCCUCUGCCAUCAACAUCGUCGACGGGGAAAACCAGAAGGCGCCACGGCCCGUUGAGGUCUCGGCGUUCCCCUGCAACGCGAUGGACGACGUUGUGAUGCGCGUCAUCGCCAGGAUUGAGCAGACCCUUGGCGCAUGGCGCUUCAGCGCCGCGGAUCAAGAUAGGCAUGUCAGCGCCGAGAGGCUGGAGCUCGUCGCACAACAUGAUCGAUGGCGCUCCGCAGAGCAAGCUAGGCGCGUCUGCGCCGAUAGGCUGCAUCUCGCCACACGGCGAGACCGUUGGAGCACCGCAGAGCGAGAGGCGUGGCGCGUCGCACAACAAGAGCGGAUCCAUCAGCGCUUUACUGCUGUCGACAGGGCAUUGAAGCUGGGUACACGUCCCAUCAGUACCCCCAUUCCUAACUAGUAGAUGUAGUAACAUAACUACAUCUCGAAGGAUUUUAAUUUUUAAAGUUUUUAUCAUUUUCUUUUGUUCUUUUCCAAAACUGAAANNNNNNNNNNGUUGUGAUGCGCGUCAUCGCCAGGAUUGAGCAGACCCUUGGCGCAUGGCGCUUCAGCGCCGCGGAUCAAGAUAGGCAUGUCAGCGCCGAGAGGCUGGAGCUCGUCGCACAACAUGAUCGAUGGCGCUCCGCAGAGCAAGCUAGGCGCGUCUGCGCCGAUAGGCUGCAUCUCGCCACACGGCGAGACCGUUGGAGCACCGCAGAGCGAGAGGCGUGGCGCGCCGCACAACAAGAGCGGAUCCAUCGGCGCUUUACUGCUGUCGACAGGGCAUUCAAGCUGGGUACAUGUCCCAUCAGUACCCCCAUUCCUAACUAGUAGAUGUAGUAACAUAACUACAUCUCGAAGGAUUUUAAUUUUUGAAGUUUUUAUCAUUUUCUUUUGUUCUUUUCCCAAACUGAAAUGGCGAUAGGGGGGGGGGGGUGGUAGAGUUUGAAAAUUGCAGAACCCCUUUAGUCUAGGAUGGUGUCCAUCCAAUCCGACCGUCGACUACAUCUGCUAGCACUGUCCCAACCAGAGUCACAACUAAGGUUAACCAACCCAGAGUCACGUUCUAUUAAAGUGGCAAAAUGAAUUACUUUUUAAUAUAGCAAAACUAAUUCUAUCAAUUAUUAUUAAAGGCUAAACAACUAUUAAUAUAAAACAGUAGCAGAAUUAAUAUUAAUUGAUUAUAAAAAUUUAUCUACUGUUGGCUAACAGAAGCAUACUACAACAUGUUAAAAUCUACAGAAAGAACUAACUAAAAAUAAUUAAAACAACAAUUAAAGGACUAAAACAACUAUAUAAGCAAAACAAUACUAUUUUAACUAAAAUUCUAAUUUAAAUUAUUCUAAAAAUUACCAAAUAAAUCUUACUGUGACAACAAUCUAACAUGUGACUAGGAGGAAAAAGAAUUAAAUUUAAAACUAUUUUUAAACUCAAAUUUUUCACAAUCUAAGGUUUGAAGCAAAAUUGAACAAAUUCAUAUUUAAAUCAGUCCAAUUUGAAAACUAAUGGCACAAAUAGAAACUAGACAAAAUUUUGAAUCUAAUGCACAAAGAAUCACUCAAAAACAUCAAAUAUCCUAAAAGAUAUAAGCAAUUUAAAAUAAAAAAUAAAAAACAAAUGGUAAAACAAAAAACAAAUUUCAAAACCUGUUUAGUCUCGGUUGGUGGCUUCAACCGGGACUAGAGGUCCUCAACCCCUUUAGUCCCCGUUGGUGGAGGUCUAAUCUUUAGUCCCGAUUGUUGGAGAAAGGGGCAUCACACCCUUUAGUCUCGGUUGGUGUCUCAAACCGGGACUAAAGGUCCCAUUUGAACCGGGACUAAUGCCUGCCCGGCGCCCUAACCGCUCGAACCAGGACUAAUGCUCACAUUAGUCCCGGUUCAUAAUGCAACCGGGACUAAUGUGUAGAUUGAGCUUGGACCAAAGCCCUGUUUUCUACUAUUGAUGUUCGACAGAACAUAUUACUCAUGUUGCUUUAGUUAAGCUAUUUAUAUUAUGUGGGUGGUGUAGCUUCCAAAAUCAAUGCAGUUAAUUAUGUCUGUUCCAGAAAAUGGUUAUCAACUUCUCAUUUUGUUCUAGCAUUCUUUUUUUCCUUACAAAUGGUCUCAACAAAUAAUCCAACCAUGAUUGCUACCCACGGUGGGAUGUGGCAUAGUAUAAUUGUAUUUUACAUUGACGGGAUUACUUUUAUUUUAUAAUUUUCAUAACAUGUAAGUUUCUUUUGUUACAUAACUAUAAAAUAAAUAUUGGUCCAGGAGCAUCUUUGUUAUGUAUUUUCUAAAAAUUAAAUAAAGGAAAUAUAUUUUAAAAUCAAAUUAUUUGUAUGUAUCUUGGGUUUCUACUCAAUAAAGAAGAGACAUACAUAUGCCUUAUGAGAUAUAUACUCCAUUGUAGAUUAUUAGUUAUGGAAAUUUGUCAUUGAUAUAAUUCAUGCUAUGUUGAUCAUUGUCAAGCCACACAUAUCCUAUCUGGUCCACCACAUAUACAAUGGGUAAGUAUCAUUGUCUGAGAGUUAAAAUAGAUACGAAAUUAAAUUCCGAUUCAUGAUAUUGGCAAGUCAUUAACUUAAAUCAGAAGAAAUUAAAGUAAUAAUUUAUAUGUUUUAGAUUGUUUCGGUCAAUUUGGAAUAUAGGGAUUACAAUGGUCUUCCGAUUGCAUAUAACUGAAAAUAAAUAAUUUGAUUACAAAAUACUUUCCGAUAUGUCCCCAUAAUGUCUACUGUUUAUGUGAUGUUCUUUUUAGUAUUUAUGAAUACUCCCUUUGAAAUGGAGGCACAAGUUCAGCAUAGUUAUUUUUUUCUAUUCUAAUAUGGACAUACCAAGUUCAUAAAAACUAAAGGUUAAUGAUUUUUUACGUAGCUCUGGUUGCCCUUUUGGCAUAGCCCUAUAAUAAUGCUGCUGAUGGCCUUUGUCAAGUACCUAGAACAAACAUAAAUUGACUAAAUAUUUCUAUAAUUUGACAAUGAAGUGGUCUCUAGGCAUUUUUUUAAGCUGAACUAAUGCCACAUCGAACACAAUAAGAACAUGUUGAACAUGCUACCAGGGAAAUGUGUCAGUAGGUCAAUAAGAGGAAAUAAAACAAAAUCACAUGGUGCAUUCUUCUAUGUUUUUCAAUUCCAAUUCCUCUUAGAAGAAUAGUAAUUUGUGAACUGAAGCGAUGGACUGGUAAAUAAUCUUUUUGUGCAUGUUAAGAAUUAUCACGAGUAGGAAAAUUCCAUAAACUACUUUGCCAAUACUUACUCUUCUGGUUGAGAUUGGUAGAUGUCUACUUGAAAAAUUAUAAUGACUUAACGCAGUCAAACAGUGGACAAUUGCUCUGGUAGAAACUUGUGUUUCUGGAGCAUUACAGCAAGUCAUGAUUAAACGUACUGAUAGGACCUAUCUAUAGAAUAACAAAACAAACAAAUACAUUACUUAAGAUGAAAUUGUCACUUUUAGACUUUGCAUUACCAUGUCCACCUUAUGUGAGAUUAUAUACUAGGAUGGCCUUAACAUGCUUGUUACUGACAAACCAACUUUUGUUGUCACACUUACGAAUUGGUUUUAGGUCUCGCUACCUAAAGGCAACCAGGAGGCGUUGGCAUAUUCACCUCUCAGCCCGCUAGCACCACUAUGGGUUCCCCGUCCAAUAUUUUCGUGCGUCGUAGUGGUUUAAUCCAUAUGAAAGCAAGCAUGGUGGCAGCCUGAUAAGGCACUGGAUCAGGCAGGAGGUUGAGAUCGGUGGCGUAGUGGCGGGGCAAAGAGGCUUCAGCCGGAGCUUGGCAUCUGUUGCGGUGGGUGUCGUCGCUCGUGGUGAUGCAACCUGCUAAACAGUGUAACACAGGACAAGAUGUUGGACAACGGCCAUGGACUUGUGAUUAUCAUGGAAGAGAAAUAUACGGUAGAAUUUUUUUAGUUUAGGUUUGGGUUCGAGGCAGAUGCAACUUUUUCAAUCGUGCUGAAUCCCACAAUUAACUGUUUGAGUGUAUGGACUGCUGAUCUGAAGAGCAUAAUUAGUUGUUUGACCAAUACUUAACCAUGAAACUUUAUCAAGUUGAUCGGUAGCACAGGUAGUUGUGUCAGAAAUAUUUAAUGCCGAAUUGAGUGGAACUGUUUGGAGCUCGAGGUGUACUAUUUGUCGGGAAAAUAGUGUUGUGUAUAACUAUACGAUGGAUACAUCUACUAAAAUACUCCUUCCGUUCCUAAAUAUUUGUCUUUUUACAGAUUUUAAAUGGACUGCUACAUACGGAUGUAUAUAGACAUAUUUUAGAGUGAGAUUCACUGAUUUUGCUUUGUAUGUAGUCACUUGUUGAAAUCUCAAGAAAGACAAAUAUUUAAGAACGGAGGGAGUAGUAUUAAUAGCACAGUGAUGCAGUCUUGUACUCCCUCCGUCCCAAGAUAGGCUCACAUCGCAGAGAGAGAGAGAGCGAGAUAGAGAGAGAGAGAGCGAGCGAGCGAGAGAGAGAGAGAGAGAGAGAGAGAGAGAGAUGGGGUUCAAACAAGCAGAUUUAUCUGGUUGUUGAUACUACCCCAUAACUCAAUAGUCGGAUAUUGAUAAGAUAUGUAUGGAUGCGGCGGCUACUACGGCCACAUGUUGGGGGUGCGUAGCUGAUGGCCCCUUAUUGCAACCAUCUGGCCUUCAUUAGUGCAGACAAUUAAGAGUCAACGAAAGUAGUCUUUUCAAGUGAAUUUAAUGUUGGGUGUCCGCAAGCACAAACAAACCACACUUUACAAUGGGACGUGGAAGCUUGGAGAUGCUAUCACAGCCACAGCUCGUCGUCUUAAUCUGAACUAACUCCCUGGAGCUCGAUGGGAACAGCUACUCUAACUUCCUGUUUCUGAACACCAGCAGAAGCGACGGCGGCGCCGGAAACAGUCUUGUUCAUAAUCAUAAUACUCACAAAUAUGAAGCAGCUGAGCUGUUGUCGAGUUCAUAAACAUCAGUUCGGAAUUACAGGUUGGUGAAUGACAGUGAGCUUCCUGCCAACCACCCUGGCCAUCUGUCCAAGUGAAAGCAAUGGAUAGAUUAACAACUGCAUAUUCCUGCCUUUAUGAGACUAUUACGCUGGAAUCCCCAAAAGGACGGCAAAUGAAAUGACACAUUAUAAUUAAUCGCCAUGAUACUUGUAUGAUGCUCAGUAAGGACACGGCAACGAGGUGGUGAUUGUGAUCUUCUGGCUUCUCUCAUGGACCGAUACUCUUUAAUUGUUGUGAUGAUCAAGGCGGUGAUAUAUAUUUUUCACGACACCGCCGCAUCCACACAGCGCACCGCCCCCCAAUCGUAUGGUCCAUUAAUAAAUCCUACUUAUGAUCUAACAGAUGUGUUGCCUCUCAAAUUUUGCAUGUUUUUGGAGAACAUGUAGUCUCAGAAUCAAUACAACAAAAAAGAUGCCGCUGUUUACACGUUCCGUAAUAACCUUUACAUUUCUGAAAACUAGCAGCAAAGUGGCCCACGUAAAUGCACAUGUUUUAUAUAAAGUGAGACUCAUAUAAUUGGGAAUAGAUUCAGCUAUUUUGUUUUAUUAGCUUCGUAACUAUUAGUACAAAUCAAUCAUAUCCCAAAAAAAAUAGUGGUCACUGCCCAAAUCUGCUACAUCCUCCGUCCGGAAUUAGCUGAUGCUCACACGGAUAUCAAAGAAGACAUUUAGCUCAGACUGCUACAUUAACAAUCUUGAAAUUUUAUGUACAUUAGUUGUAUCUUAUAUUGACUGGAUUAUUUUUAAUUUACAUUUUGAAUUACAGUUAAGUUUGUAUUGUUUACUUAACUAUAAAAUUACUAUUGGACCUGGACCUUUUUACUAUUCAAUUAAAUUAUACUCCCUCCGUCUCAAAACAAGUGUCUCAACUUUGUACUAACUUUAGUAAAAAACUUGUACUAAACUUGAGACACUUAUUUUGGGACGGAGAGGGUAUAUGUGUGUAUGAUCGAUUUUGAUCCAAUAAACAUGAGAUAUACUCCCCCCGUUCCUAAAUAUAAGUCUUUCUAGAUAUUUCAAGUUGUGACCACAUACGGAGUAAAAUGAGUGAACCUACACUCUAAAAUAUGUCUAUAUACAUCCGUAUGUGGUAGUCCAUUUGAAAUCUCUAAAAAGACUUAUAUUUAGGAACGGAGGGAGUAUGUAUAUAUAUAUAGGAGUAGGAUUUUCUACAAUAGCUUGCCACAGAACUAGUUAAGGUUUUCGACGGUGUAAAAGUUUCCAAAAAUCCUGAAAAAAAUACUGAACUAACACACCUAUAAUAUAACAUGAUCCAACGGAGGGAUUGAAAAAAUAUGACUGCACAUGUCCUGGACAAAAAGAACAAAAUUUUCAAUAUAUAUUGGGUGAGUCUAUUAUGAUAACACCCCCUUAAGACCUUAUUCUGCUAACACUUCUACACUGCUUCGUACACCCGAGGCGGACCGCAUAGCAACCCGAUAAAACUACAGUAGCCCAAGCCCAACCCCGCACCCCACCUUCUUCCUUCCCCACAGGAACCCACCCCACAUGCCCACCUUCCCCACCACCACCAACACGCCGGCACCCCACCCACCUCUGCCGCCCCACCACCCCCACGCCUCCUACCCAGGCCGCCAUCCCCAUCCCCUGCGCCGCCCCGCCCAUCCCCAGGCCGCCACCGCACCGGCCAUCCCUAGGGCCCGCGCCGCCCANNNNNNNNNNNNNNNNNNNNNNNNNNNNNNNNNNNNNNNNNNNNNNNNNNNNNNNNNNNNNNNNNNNNNNNNNNNNNNNNNNNNNNNNNNNNNNNNNNNNNNNNNNNNNNNNNNNNNNNNNNNNNNNNNNNNNNNNNNNNNNNNNNNNNNNNNNNNNNNNNNNNNNNNNNNNNNNNNNNNNNNNNNNNNNNNNNNNNNNNNNNNNNNNNNNNNNNNNNNNNNNNNNNNNNNNNNNNNNNNNNNNNNNNNNNNNNNNNNNNNNNNNNNNNNNNNNNNNNNNNNNNNNNNNNNNNNNNNNNNNNNNNNNNNNNNNNNNNNNNNNNNNNNNNNNNNNNNNNNNNNNNNNNNNNNNNNNNNNNNNNNNNNNNNNNNNNNNNNNNNNNNNNNNNNNNNNNNNNNNNNNNNNNNNNNNNNNNNNNNNNNNNNNNNNNNNNNNNNNNNNNNNNNNNNNNNNNNNNNNNNNNNNNNNNNNNNNNNNNNNNNNNNNNNNNNNNNNNNNNNNNNNNNNNNNNNNNNNNNNNNNNNNNNNNNNNCACCCUCGAGCAGCAGACGGCGGGAUUCUCAUCCACAUCCCACCUCCCUCCCCCGCCUAGCCAUCUACCCGCCCCUGCAACUACUGGAUUCCGGCGGGAUCCUCCUCCCGUGACGGCCCGGCGACGCGACCAUUCCAAAAUAGAGGUGAGGCGUCCCCUCACGCCGGUCUCCAGCCCCCCUCCCCGCGCCGGCGCGCCCCGGUGGCUGCCGGAUCCGGGCGCCUCCAUCUUCCAAAGGUCGUCGGAUUUCCCCCUCACUCGUUUUCGUUGCCAGAUCCGCCUUUUGUCUCGCUCGUGGGCACCGACGGCCGCCGCGUCGACCAGGGGGGAAAAGGACUGCACCCCACUCCCUUCUGCAUCGAACUGCAUCUCCACCCGUAGAGUGCAUAUGCCCUGUCCUCAUCCAGAUCGAGGCCAUGGUGCCUCCCCCAAGAUCCUCGUCCAGAUUGGGGCCAUGACCGCGCGUGUGCCAAGAACAUAUCUCCUCCUUGCGAGGAGGACGGAUCCGGUGGUGGGCUCCUCCUCGUCUAGUUGGUGGCCAUGGACGGGAGACUCCGGCGACCACAUAACCCGCCACCACAUCGGCUCCCUCCUCCCCACCUUCGACAUCGGCCACCUCUGCUCUCCAAGAUAUCCACCCGAUGCAUCGCAUGCAGUCCACUCCCGCGAGAGAGCCCACACCACCGAAGACUGAAGUAGCAGCAGCAGUGGGGAGGUGGUCUCCUCCGUGGCGGCAACGACGACCGAUGGAAAGAGCAGUAGCGGAGCGAGCAGUCCACUUGGUUUUUGCGUUUUUUCUUCAGACUUUUGCUAUGCAGUCCGCACGUUCUUUCAUAGUUUUCAGGUUUUGCAAGCCGUGUCGGAGUCGAUCAAAGUGUGUGCAGUCCUCCACGAUCAAAAAUUGCAGUAUGGAAGUUCAAAAAAAAUUGCAGUAUGGAUUGAUGGGCUUGUGCGGUUCAAAAAAUGAAAAGAAAAAAACUCUUGGGCGCGCUUGGCUGGCCUAGGGCGGCAAGAAAAAAAUGUGUUUAAAAGGUUCAUGCAGUGCACUCUAUUUCUGUAAAUGACUUUAAAUGGUAUUUGCAGCUCACUUUGGUUUCCUGUCCGCAGCUCACUUUGGUUUCACUUGCCUAAGGCGCAGUGCAUUCGUUGCAGCUCACUCCAUUCUUGUUUGUUGAGGAGUUUGAAUAUGGACAUAGUUUGAAAAAUAUAAUGAAGCAGUACACUACCAUUGACUAUCAUCAAACACCUGUUGUGCAUUUGGUUCUCGAUGUCAUUCACUUUGGAAAGUGAUACUGUUCCCUUGCGCACAACAUUGAAGUGUGAAAAUAGAUUAGUAAAACAAAAAAAAGCAAUGCGGUUCACUUCGUUAUAUGUCGCGGUCCACUUGCCCUCGUCUCUGCGGUCCACUUUCGUUCAUAAAAAAUGACAAAAAAAACUCACAAAAGAUCAUCUGAGAAAAUUUACGCCCGACAAAACAAAUCAUGAAGUUCACUUGACUGUCUGAUACAGUGCGGUUUUCUGUCCGAUGCGGUGCGAUUCACUUUCUCGUCCCUUGAAAAAUUUACGUUUGAAUAAAAGAAACCAGGCAGUUCUUUUACCCGUUUGAUGCAGUGCGGGUUUUCAUCCGAUGCAGUGCGGUUUUCAAUCGGCUGAAGUACCCACGUCGAUUUGGGUGUCGCGAAAAACAGAGUGCCCGCAUUUUGGUAAUUUGAAAACUGCUCUUAAACCAUAAUGAAUUAGAGAGAGUGUUCUACAUGAAAAAGUUGCGUCUCGUCGAUAUCUUUCCAACGGCAUAUGAUUUGAAUUACUCCGACCAGCCGUUCGUAAAAAUUUCGCGAAAAAACAGCCGCUGCCUCUCGAAGUCAACCGCACGAUUUUCAAAAUUAACUAAAAAUUGUAAGGAAUCUCAAAACCAUUUCAACAUAUGAAAGUUGCACCUUGUCCGUAGCUUUCCAACGGCGUAUCAUAUGUCUCGUUUCGACAAACGGUUAGAAAACUAGAGCAAAAACAGUAUCGAAAAUUUCAAAAAAAUUGAAAAACAGAGUUCCGCAAUUUAGUAAAUUUGAAACUGCUCUUAAACCGUAAUGAAUUAGAGAAAGAUUUAUAUAUGAAAAAGAUGCGCCUCGACAAUAUCUAUCUAACGGCAUAUCAUUUGCUUCGUUCCAUCAAGCGGUUUAGAAAAGAACGCGAAACAACGCUCGCUGCCACUUGUCAUCCGCCACACUAUUUUCAAAACUGCUCUCAAACCGUGUGGAAUCUCGAAGAGUGUUCAAUAUGUCGAAGUUGCGCCUAAUUCAUAGCUUUUUAAUGGUAUAUUACACGCCUCAUUCCGAUAAACGGUUAAAAAAUUAGAGCGAAAACAGUACCAAAAAAACACCGCGUGCAAUUUUUUCGACACGAAGUUCACUAGUCUCUAUUGCAGUGCUCGUCGUCAAAAUGAUGCCGUGCGCUUCUGUUGAGCGUGCAGUGCCGAAGUGGUGUGCAGAAUAGUUAUUCUGCUAAUAUUAGCAGAAUAGACCGUCUGUGUAUAUAUAUAUAUAUAUAUAUAUAUAUAUAUAUAUAUAUAUAUAUAUAUAUAUAUAUAGUGUUACUAUUCAUCAUCCAGGGUGCAGAAAAAGUUAUUCUUCACCCGAGGUAAUCUUACGAUCAUUUCAUAAAUAAAUUAUGUUUCAAAUAUAAAUAGUUACAGUCAUAUUGAUUCAUUGUGUAAAAUUUGGCAUAAAAAAAGUCAGAAUACCUGAAAAAAUAUAUUUAUGUACAUUUUACACUAUGUUUUUACAUUUGUAAUUUACGUAAUAUAAAAUAUUUUUUAUAGCAAUUAUAUAUUUUCUUACGUUCUCUUUUACGUCUGAAAUAAGAUAAAAUUUACGAAACGUAAAAUUACGGUGCAUUGAUGUUAAAAUAGAGGGGGGUGAAGAAUAACUAUUCCUCACCCAGCGUGGCGAAUAGCGUGACCAUAACCUAUCUAUUCCACAACCUAUACAAUGGGGACUUAUUGUCGUCUGAGAAGUUAAAUGGGUAUAGAAUUCAACUCCAAAUCAUGAGUUGGCGAUAAUUUGUACAUGAUAUUAGUUUGAUAUGUAAAUUUUCACUACUAGGAAAAAGCCUAGUAGUAGCGCGGGUCAAACAGAUAGUAGUAGCGCGGAUGCCCGCACUACUACUACGACGCCACAGCUAAGUGGUAGUUGUAGCGCGGCGCAUCCCGCGCUACUAGUAUGUGCGUUAGUAGUAGCGUGGAUUCCACACGUGCUACUACUAACUAUCUGUAGCGCGUGUCUGUGACCCGCGCUACUACUAUUAAUUUCAAAAACCAAAACAAUAAUCCAACCUUGCGCAUGCUGUCAAUGGUGUCAAUGAUUCGAUCCAGCGACGACAAGGAGUCGCCGUCGUCGGAGGUGCGUACGGGUAGCGGCAGACCAGAUCCAGCAACGGCAGUUGGAGAGGGACCGGUUCUAGUGUAGAGAAAGACGACGGUGUGAGGAUCCUCUUUGUGGCCAAGGCGGAGAGCUCCUGGUUGGCCAUGUCAACGACGUGCGCUGGCAUGGGUAUGGGAGGUGAGUACAACCGAAGGGAGAGGGAAAGGGAAAAAGAGAAACAAGGGAGAAAGGAAGGAGAUGGAGGGCGCAUCGGGGCUGGUCACCGGCGGCGAGGUGCUCUGUUGUGGUGGCAUGGAGACGAGGGGGAAGACAGGCGAGCUCCUGGACGCCAGUGACACCAGUAGGCAGACUCGUUGGCCGCCAUGGAGGAGGAGAUGUGCUUGGGCAGGAGCACCAUGGGAGAGCCUAUGAAGAGAGGGGGGGGAGAGUGAGGGAGAGAGAGGAGGGAUUCGGCCGAGGAUAUGGGGACUUCACCUACCUCGUACUUAGUAGUAGCGAGGGGUAUAAACCCGCUCUACUACUAUCAACUUAGUAGUAGUGCGGGUUUGUACCCCUCGCUACUACUAUGGCAUGUCCCGGAGUGGCACGGUAGAGACCGCAUAGUAGUAGCGCGGGGUAAAAACCCGCGAUACUAGUAAGUAGCAGUACCGAGGGGUAUAAACCCGCGCUACUAGUAAGCGUCUGCCUAUAAGCUUUUCCCUAGUAGUGUUUUACAAGAUAUUCGCAAGUCAUUAACUUUAGCAGAAGAAGUUUAACUAAUACAUUAUAUGUUUUAUGAUGGUUUGGGCAUUUGGAAUCUAGAUAUUACAAUAUGAUUCCCAAUGUAAAAAACUGAAUUAAAUAAUUUUAGUACGCCCUAUUUUCAGAUAGAUUCCCAUAAGGCCUUGUACAAUGCAAGGUGCUUAAGGGAGGUGCUUGAGGAAAUAAACCAAGAUUUUUUUAAGCACCGGUGCUUAUUUGUAUAGGGUAGAAGCUUAAUUAGGUGUCUCUCCUGUAAAAAUAGGCACUGGUGCUUCAGAAAAACCUGGUUUAUUUUUCUAAGCACCUCCCUAAGCACCUAGCAUUCUAUAAGGCCUAAUGUCUUUGGUUUGAGUGAGGUUGUUUUUAGUUUUAAUUAUGCUCCUUUUAAAAUUGAACAUACUGACCUUUUUCUGUUCUAAUAUGGACAUACCAAGUUCCUAAAGAUCAAAAGUUAAAGAAUUUUUACGUAGCUCUGGUUGCCCUUUUGACAUACACCAAUAUUACUAUUGGUAAUCACUACUAGGGAAAAACCUAUACACAGAAUCUUAUCAGCAGCGCGCUUUAAAAUAAGGCGCUGCUGCUAAUUAGCAGUAGCGAGCUCAAGAAUAACUCGCUGCUGAAAUAAAUAUAGCAGUAGCGCAUAUCGUGGUUCUUAGCCUGACAGUAGAAUAGGGGGGGGGUAGGUAUGGAGAGGCAAGAUCCUAGCUAUGGAGUAGUUGUAUAUGCAAGAGAUUUAUGAGUUCAGGCCCUUCUCGGAGGAAGUAACAGCCAUACGUCUCGGAGCCCGGAGGCGGUCGACUGAAUUAUAUGCGUAUGAGUUACAGGGGUGCGAACCCUUUUCACUGAGGAGGGGGGUGGCUUAUAUAGAGUCUGCCAGACCCCUCCUGCCCUCAGUUAUGCAGGGUUUAAAGUACAUUAAGGCAUGGCGUUACUGGUAACGCCUUACAUAAAGUGCUAUCAUGACCAUAAAGACUACUUAAUGACAGACCGUUUGUGUGUAGAGUGACUCUAGAUCUCCUGGUGGUCGAGUGAGUGGCUUCAUGGUCGAGUGUCUUCGAGUCUGUCGAGUGGAAUCCUUCCAGGUCGACUGAAUGGUAGUUUCUUCUAGAGAUGUCCUUGGGGAGGGUACCUUGGACAGGUCCAUGACCCUACCCUAGGUACAUGGCUUCAUCAUUAGCCCCCGAAUGGAUCGAGGUUUGAGUGAGGAAGGAGUUGAGAAUUCUUCCGACCUAUUUUUCGUGCUAUGAGUAUGUCUUGUUCUGGAUAAAUGACUUUAGGUGAUGGCACCAACUUCUUUUUCAGUCUCCUUGAUCCAUUCUUUGUAUCUGUCGAGUGACUUGUCAGACUGAAGAUUUCCUUCGAUCGACCUUACUUGAACAGGAUCUGUUCUAUAGCUCGUACCGCUGCAUCCUUUCCCAAUAAGGAGGCAAACACUUCAGUCUGGUUGAUGUACUCUGACCUCUGGGCCAGAGCGUGAUUAACGGCUAGGAUUGCUCUACUGUUCGCAAAUUUAGCAGGAUCUGAAUUUCGGGAAGCGCGCGAGGCGGAGGAGGCCACGGUACUCGGAUGGGAUAAGGCAGGAACGCCUCGAUCUUCGCGCCACCCUUUUCGCCACGUAUCGCGUGCGCAGCUAUUGCGGGAUUUGACAGGAUCGUCCGGGCCUACCAGUCAGCCACUCGGAAGUAACCCCAUAUAAGGCGCCGGAUGGGGGUUUUUGAACAGUGCGCCCUCAUUUUCUUCUCCCUCUUCGUCAGAUUCAUCUGCUGCGCUCGCCACCAUCCCAGCGCUGCUGCUCUGCGCGUGCUUCGCCGGCGACGAUGGUGAAGGAGAAGACGGCGGCUUUGGAGCGGGCGAAGAAGGUGACGGCGAAGGUGAAGGGAAGGGCGACCAGUCGGGGUGGAUCCUCGUCGCGGGCCGGUCUGCCGCAGGGCUGGAUCCAGGGCGACUGGAUCCGCUCGACCAUCCGCCAGAAGGACCUCGACGACCUGGCCAAUGAAGGACUGAUCCCCCAUGGAUCAGUGAGGCUCCGGGGGAAGGAGUGGCAGCCGCAGCCUCAGGGGGGUGAGUGUGUCCUCUUGGCCACCCAUGUUGACCGCGGAUUUUCUUUGCCGCCCCACCCUUUCUUUCGAGGAUUUCUGAACUUCUUUGGGGCUCAACUCCACCACUUCACACCCAACUCCAUAGUAUAUCUCGCAGCUUUCGUGACCUUGUGUGAGAAUUUCUUGGGUUGUCGACCCCAUUGGGGCCUUUUCAAACACAUUUUCACCUGUCGCUCCCAUACAGUGAAAAAGGCCAAUUCGAUUGACGAGAAAACCCAAGUGAUUCAGAUGUGUGUGGGUCUUGGGGUUCAAAUGAGGAGUAAAAGUGCUUUUCCAGCCAUGGUCCUUCCUGAGUCGGUCCGAGGGUGGCAGUCGACCUGGUUCUACUGCCAAGACCCGCCGUCGCCAGGGCAGUCGACUGGACUCCCUCCUUUCUCCAUGGAUCGAGUGAGCAAGCCGUCCUCUCUGAAGGUGGUCCCGGAGGAGAAGGCUCAGGUCAAGGUGCUGGUCGAGCGAGUAGUCCAGCUCAUUCGUGACGGGGUGACAGGCAUGGAUCUUUUGGAGGUUUUCCUUCGACGACGCAUCCAACCACUUCAAUAUCGAGACCAUCCGAUGUGGAUGUAUUCUGGCACUGAAGAUUCCACUCGAGUCCACCCGGAGGAGGUCGAGGAUGCCACACUGGAGAGGUGGAUGACUGCCAUCACAGGGAACAAGGACAACCCCCGAGGAGCCAGGAGGAUCCCUCCACUCGACCAAUCAUACGAGCCAGACAAGGUCCAAUUAUAAAUCUCCGACUGUGAUACUGCUUCCGUCAUUCUGUUUUGCUAAAAUUCAGUCGACUGACUUCUUGUAUUGUUUGUUGACUUCUAGGCCACUACUGAAAUGUACUCGAUGCCGAACGGGGCGCAAGAACAGAUCGAGGAGGAGGAAGGGAGUGGAGGUGAAAGUCAGGAGGAAUGACAAUCUGAUGGUGAGGAGGAUGAAGAAGACGACGGCUCUGGUGAAGAGGAGGAGGAGGAAGAGGAGGAGGAAAUCGUCCCUCCCCGCACUGAAAGGUGAUCCAAACUCGCCCAUGACCCUGUAGUCGAGCGUGGCAAAGCGAUUGUGCUUGUUGGACAGUCGACGAAACGCCCUCGGACGACCUCUCCGGUGCCGACUGAGAAAGCGCCGAAGCAACUCCGAGCAACGUCAUCAAAGCCGUCGAAGGCCCUACUGAAGAUGAGGAUGGUGAUUCCCACUAUUUCCUUGUAAUAACAGGACUCGUGUUUUCUUGUUUGGCAUGAAUGAACUCUUGAUUGACUCGUUGGCUAACCGACUGAUUUCUGGAAUCUGCAGUGCUGCUACCUCUGAAACCUCAGUCAGGAACGAGCACCAAGAAAUGGAAGAUGUUGUCACUUCCAACCCUGGUAUGAUCUCUAUAGUUUCGCUUUUGGUCGAUUGGAUCUUCAUUUUUAACUUUGAAUCUUCCCUGUAGCCCCACCUCCUGUCAUUGAACUCCCUGAUGACGACGAUGAGUGUUGGGGAACGUAGUAAUUUCAAAAACAUUCCUACGCACACGAAAGAUCAUCGUGAUGCAUAGCAACGAGAGGGGAGAGUGUUGUCUACGUACCCUCGUAGACCGAAGUGGAAGCUUUGACACAACAUAGAGGAAGUAGUCGUACGUCUUCCCGGUUCAACCGAUCCAAGCAUCGUUACUCCGGCACCUCCGAGUUCUUGACACACGUACAGCUCGAUGACGCACCCCGGGCUCCGAUCCAGCAGAGCUUCAGGGAGGAGUUUCGUCAGCACGACGGUGUGGUGACGAUCUUGAUGUUCUACCGUCGCAAGGCUUCGCCUAAGCACCGCUACAAUAUGACCGAGCUGUAAUAUCGUGGAGGGGGCACCGCACACGGCUAAGGAACUAUCAUGAAGAUCAACUUGUGUGUCUAUGGGGUGCCCCCUGCCCCCGUAUAUAAAGGAGUGGAGGAGGGGAGGGCCGGCCCUCUCUAUGGCGCGCCCUAGGGGAGUCCUACUCCCACCGGGAGUAGGAUUCCCCCUUUCCUAGUCCAACUAGGAGUCCUUCCAUGUAUUAGGAGUAGGAGACAAGGAAGGGGAAGAGAGAAGGGAAGGAAGGAGGGGGUGCGGCCCCUCCCCCUAGUCCAAUUCGGACUAAGCCAUGGGGGGGCGCGCAGCCUGCCCUAGGCAGCCCAUCUCUCUUUCCCGUAUGGCCCAAUAAGGCCCAAUACUUCUCCCCGGCGACUUCCCAUAACUCUCCGGUACUCCAAUAAAUACCCGAAUCACUCGGAACCUUUCCGAACUCUGAAUAUAGUCGUCCAAUAUAUCGAUCUUUACAUCUCGACCAUUUCGAGACUCCUCGUCAUGUCCCCGAUCUCAUCCGGGACUCCGAACUCCUUCGGUACAUCAAAACUCAUAAACUCAUAAUAAAACUGUCAUCGAAACCUUAAGCGUGCGGACCCUACGGUUCGAGAACAAUGUAGACAUGACCGAGAGACGUCUCCGGUCAAUAACCAAUAGCGGGACCUGGAUGCCCAUAUUGGUUCCUACAUAUUCUACGAAGAUCUUUAUCGGUCAGACCGCAUAACAACAUACAUUGUUCCCUUUAUCAUCGGUAUGUUACUUGCCCGAGAUUCGAUCGUCGGUAUCCAAUACCUAGUUCAAUCUCGUUACCGGCAAGUCUCUUUACUCAUUCCGUAAUACAUCAUCUCAUAACAAACUCAUUAGUUGCAAUGCUUGCAAGGCUUAAGUGAUGUGCAUUACCGAGAGGGCCCAGAGAUACCUCUCCGACAUUCAGAGUGACAAAUCCUAAUCUCGAAAUACGCCAACCCAACAAGUACCUUUGGAGACAUUUGUAGAGCACCUUUAUAGUCACCCAGUUACGUUGUGACGUUUGGUAGCACACAAAGUGUUCCUCCGGUAAACGGGAUUUGCAUAAUCUCAUAGUCAUAGGAACAUGUAUAAGUCAUGAAGAAAGCAAUAGCAACAUACUAAACGAUCGGGUGCUAAGCUAACUGAAUGGGUCAUGUCAAUCACAUCAUUCUCCUAAUGAUGUGAUCCCGUUAAUCAAAUGACAACUCAUGUCUAUGGCUAGGAAACAUAACCAUCUUUGAUUAACGAGCUAGUCAAGUAGAGGCAUACUAGUGACACUCUGUUUGUCUAUGUAUUCACACAUGUAUCAUGUUGCCGAUUAAUACAAUUCUAGCAUGAAUAAUAAACAAUUAUCAUGAAAUAAGGAAAUAAAUAAUAACUUUAUUAUUGCCUCUAGGGCAUAUUUCCUUCAGUCUCCCACUUGCACUAGAGUCAAUAAUCUUGAUCACAUCACAAUGUGAUUAACAUCGAUAGUUCACAUCAUCAUGUGAUUAAGACCCAUAGUUCACAUCGCCAUGUGACCAACACCCAAAGGGUUUACUAGAUUCAGUAAUCUAGUUCACAUCGCUAUGUGAUUAACACCCGAAGAGUACUAAGGUGUGAUCAUGUUUUGCUUGUGAGAGAAUCUUAGUCAACGGGUCUUUCACAUUCAGAUCCGUUAUGUAUUUUGCAAUUUUCUAUGUCUACAAUGCUCUGCACGGAGCUACUCUAGCUAAUUGCUCCCACUUUCAAUAUGUAUCUAGAUCGAGACUUAGAGUCAUCCAGAUCGGUGUCAAAAAUUGCAUCGACGUAACCCUUUACGACGAACCUUUUGUCACUUCCAUAAUUGAGAAACAUAUCCUUAUUCCACUAAGGAUAAUUUUGACCGCUGUCCAGUGAUCUACUCCUAGAUCACUAUUGUACUCCCUUGCCAAACUCAGUGUAGGGUAUACAAUAGAUCUGGUACACAGCAUGGCAUACUUUAUAGAACCUAUGGCCAAGGCCUAGGGAAUGACUUUCAUUCUCUUUCUAUCUUCUGCCGUGGUCGAGUUUUGAGUCUUACUCAAUUUCACACCUUGUAACACAGGCAAGAACUCUUUCUUUGACUGUUCCAUUUUGAACUACUUCAAAAUCUUGUCAAGGUAUGUACUCAUUGAAAAAACUUAUCAAGCGUCUUGAUCUAUCUCUAUAGAUCUUGAUGCUCAAUAUGCAAGCAGCUUCAAUGAGGUCUUUCUUUGAAAAACUCCUUUCAAACACUCCUUCAUGCUUUGCAGAAUAAUUCUACAUUAUUUCCGAUCUACAAUAUGUCAUUCACAUAUACUUAUCAGAAAUGUUGUAGUGCUCCCACUCACUUUCUAGUAAAUACAGGCUUGACCUCAAGUCUGUAUAAAACUAUAUGCUUUCAUCAACUUAUCAAAGCGUAUAUUCCAACUCCGAGAUGCUUGCACCAGUCCAUAGAUGGAUCGCUGGAGCUUGCGUAUUUUGUCACCACCUUUAGGAUUGACAAUACCUUCUGGUUGCAUCAUAUACAACUCUUCUUUAAAUCCAUUAAGGAAUGUAGUUUUUGUUUAUCCAUUUGCCAGAUUUCAUAAAAACGCGGCAAUUGCUAACAUGAUUUGGACAGAUUUAAGCAUCGCUACGAGUGAGAAAAUUUCAUCGUAGUCAACACCUUGAACUUUGUCAAAAACUUUUUUCGACAAGUCUAGCUUUGUAGAUAGUAACACUACUAUCAACGUCCGUCUUCCUCUUCAAGAUCCAUUUAUACAAUAUGGCUUGCCGAUCAUCGGGCAACUCCACCAAAGUCCACACUUUGUUCUCAUACAUGGAUCUCAUCUCAGAUUUCAUGACCUUAAGCCAUUUUGCAGAAUCUGGGCUCAUCAUCGCUUCCUCAUAGUUUGUAGGUUCAUCAUGGUCUAGUAACAUGACUUCCAGAACAGGGUUACCGUACCACUCUGGUGCGGACCGUACUCUGGAAGACCUAUGAGGUUCUGUAGUAACUUGAUCUGAAGUUUCAUGAUCAUCAUCAUUAGCUUCCUCACUGGAACUGAUUUCAGUGAUGAACAAUUUUCCAAUUCGGGAGAAGGUACAGUUACCUCAUCAAGUUCUACUUUUCUCCCACUCACUUCUUUCGAGAGAAACUCCUUCUCUAGAAAGGAUCCAUUUUUAGCAACGAAUAUCUUGCCUUUGGAUCUGUGAUAGAAGGUGUACCCAACAAUUUCCUUUGGGUAUUCUAUGAAGAUGCAUUUCUUCGAUUUGGGUUUGAGCGUAUCAGGAUGAAACUUUUUCACAUAAGCAUUACAACCCCAAACUUUAAGAAACGACAACUUUGGUUUCUUGCUAAACCACAGUUCAUAUAGUGUCGUCUCAACGGAUUUAGAUGGUGCCAUAUUUAACGUGAAUGCAGCUGUCUCUAAUGCAUGAUCCCAAAAUGAUAUUGGUAAAUCGGUAAGAAACAUCAUAGAUUGUACUACAUCCAGUAAAGUACGGUUAUGAUGUUCGGACACACCAUUAUGAUGUGGUGUUUCAGGUGGCAUGAAUUUGUGAAACUAUUCCACAUUGUUUGAAGACCAAACUCGUAACUCAAAUAUUUAUCUCCGCGAUCAGAUCGUAGAAACCUUAUUUCCUUGUCACGAUGAUGUUUUACUCUGAAAUUCUUUGAACUUUUCAAAUGUUUCAGACUUAUGUUUCAUCAAGUAGAUAUACCCAUAUCUGCUCAAAUCAUCUGUGAAGGUCAGAAAAUAACGAUACCCACCGCGAGCCUUAACACUCAUCGGAUCGCAUACAUCAGUAUGUAUUAUUUCCAAUAAGUCAGUUGCUCUCUCCACUGUUCCGGAGAAUGGAGUCUUAGUCAUCUUGCCCAUGAGGCAUGGUUUGCAAGUAUCAAGUGAUUCAUAAUCAAGUGAUUCCAAAAUCCCAUCAGCAUGGAGUUUCUUCAUGCGCUUUACACCAAUAUGACCUAAACGACAGUGCCACAAAUAAGCUGCACUAUCAUUAUUAACUUUGCAUCUUUUGGUUUCAAUAUUAUGAAUAUGUGUAUCACUACGAUCGAGAUCCAAUGAACCAUUUUCAUUGGGUGUGUAACCAUAUAAGGUUUUAUUCAUGUAAACAGAACAACAGUUUAUUCUAUUACUUCAAUGAAUAACCGUAUUGCAAUAAACAUGAUCAAAUCAUAUUCAUGCUCAAAGCAAACACCAAAUAACAUUUAUUUAGGUUCAACACUAAUCCCGAAAGUAUAGGGAGUGUGCGAUGAUGAUCAUAUCAAUCUUGAAACUACUUUCAACAUACAUCGUCACUUCACCCUUAACUAGUUUCUGUUUAUUCUGCAACUCCCGUUUCAAGUUACUACUCUUAGCAACUGAACCAGUACCAAAUACCGAGGGGUUGCUAUAAACACUAGUAAAGUACACAUCAAUAACAUGUAUAUCAAAUAUACCUUUGUUCACUGUGCCAUCCUUCUUAUCCGCCAAAUACUUGGGGUAGUUGUGCUUCCAGUGACCAGUCCCUUUGCAGUAGAAGCACUUAGUCUCAGGCUUAGGUCCAGACUUGGGCUUCUUCACUUGAGCAGCAACUUGAUUGCCGUUCUUCUUGAAGUUCCCUUCUAUCCCUUUGCCCUUUUCUUGAAACUAGUGGUCUUGUUAACCAUCAACACUUGAUGUUCUUUCUUGAUUUCUACCUUCAUCGAUUUCAUCAUCAUGAAAAACUCCGGAAUCAUUUUCAUCAUCCCUUGCAUACUAUAGUUCAUCACAAAGUUCUACUAACUUGGUGAUGGUGACUAGAGAAUUCUGCCAAUCACUAUCUUAUCUGGAAGAUUAACUCCCACUUGAUUCAAGCGAUUGUAGUACCCAGACAAUCUGAGCACAUGCUCACUAGUUGAGUGAUUCUCCUCCAUCUUUUAGCUAUAGAACUUGUUGGAGACUUCAUAUCUCUCAACUCGGGUAUUUGCUUGAAAUAUUAACUUCAACUCCUGGAACAUCUCAUAUGGUCCAUGACGUUCAAAAUGUCUUUGAAGUCAUGAUUCUAAGCCGUUAAGCAUGGUGCACUUAAACUAUCAAGUAGUGAUCAUAUUGAGCUAGCCAAACAUUCAUAACAUCUGCAUCUGCUCCUACAAUAAGUCUGUCACCUAGCGGUGCAUCCAGGACAUAAUUCUUCUGUGCAGCAAUGAGGAUAAACCUCAGAUCACGGAUCCAAUCCGCAUCAUUGCUACUAACAUCUUUCAACACAAUUUUCUCUAGGAACAUAUCAAAAUAAACAUAUGAAAGCAACAACGCGAGCUAUUGAUCUAUAACAUAAUUUGCAAAAUACUAUCAGGACUAAGUUCAUGAUAAAUUUAAGUUCAAUUAAUCAUAUUACUUAAGAACUCUCACUUAGAUAGACAUCCCUCUAAUCCUCUAAGUGAUCACGUGAUCCAAAUUCAACUAAACCAUAACCGAUCAUGACGUGAAAUGGAUUAGUUUUCAAUGCUGAACAUCUCAUGUUGAUCAUAUCUACUAUAUGAUUCACGCUCGACCUUUCGGUCUCUGUGUUCCGAGGCCAUAUCUGCAUAUGCUAGGCUCGUCAAGUUUAACCUGAGUAUUCCGCGUGUGCAAAACUGGCUUGCACCCGUUGUAGAUGGACAUAGAGCUUAUCACACCCGAUCAUCACGUGGUGUCUGGGCACAACGAACUUUGGCAACGGUGCAUACUCAGGGAGAACACUUCUUGAUAAUUUUAGUGAGAGAUCAUCUUAAAAUGCUACCGUCAAUCAAAGCAAGAUAAGAUGCAUACAGGACAAACAUCACAUGCAAUCAAUAUAAGUGAUAUGAUAUGGCCAUCAUCAUCGUGUGCUUGUGAUCUCCAUCUCCGAAGCACCAUCAUGAUCACCAUCGUCACCGGCUUGACACCUUGAUCUCCAUCGUAGCAUCGUUGUCGUUUACGCCAUCUAUUGCUUCUACGACUAUCGCUACCGCUUAGUGAUAAAGUAAAGCAAUUACAGGGCGUUUGCAUUUCAUACAAUAAAGCGACAACCAUAUGGCUCCUGCCAGUUGCCGAUAACUUCGGUUACAAAACAUGAUCAUCUCAUACAAUAAAAUAUAGCAUCACGUCUUGGCCAUAUCAAAUCACAACAUGCCCUGCAAAAACAAGUUAGACGUCCUCUACUUUGUUGUUGCAAGUUUUACGUGGCUGCUACGGGGUGAGCAAGAACCGUUCUUACCUACGCAUCAAAACCACAAUGAUAGUUUGUCAAGUUGGUGCUGUUUUAACCUUCGCAAGGACCGGGCGUAGCCACACUCGGUUCAACUAAAGUUGGACAAACUGACACCCGCUAGUCACCUGUGUGCAUAGCACGGCGGUAAAACCAGUCUCGCGUAAGCGUACGCGUAAUGUCGGUCCGGGACGCUUCAUCCAACAAUACCGCCGAACCAAAGUACGACAUGCUGGUAAGCAGUAUGACUUGUAUCGCCCAUAACUCACUUGUGUUCUACUCGUGCAUAUAAUAUCAAACCAUAAAACCUGGCUCGGAUGCCACGGUUGGGGAACGUAGUAAUUUCAAAAAAAAUCCUAUGCACACGCAAGAUCAUGGUGAUGCAUAGCAACGAGAGGGGAGAGUGUUGUCUACGUACCCUCGUAGACCGAAGUGGAAGCGUUGACACAACAUAGAGGAAGUAGUCGUACGUCUUCCCGGUUCAACCGAUCCAAGCACCGUUACUCCGGCACCUCCGAGUUCUUGACACACGUACAGCUCGAUGACGCACCCGGGCUCCGAUCCAGCAAAGCUUCAGGGAGGAGUUUCGUCAGCACGACGGCGUGGUGACGAUCUUGAUGUUCUACCGUCGCAGGGCUUCGCCUAAGCACCGCUACAAUAUGACCGAGGUGUAAUAUCGUGAGGGGGGCACCGCACACGGCUAAGGAACGAUCACGAAGAUCAACUUGUGUGUCUAUGGGGUGCCCCCUGCCCCCGUAUAUAAAGGAGUGGAGGAGGGGAGGGCCGGCCCUCUCUAUGGCCCGCCCUAGGGGACUCCUACUCCCACCUAGAGUAGGAUUCCCCCUUUCCUAGUCCAACUAGGAGUCCUUCCAUGUAUUAGGAGUAGGAGACAAGGAAGGGGAAGAGAGAAGGGAAGGAAGGAGGGGGUGCGGCCCCUCCCCCUAGUCCAAUUCGGACUAAGCCAUGGGGGGGAGGGGCGCGGCCUGCCCUAGGCAGCCCAUCUCUCUUUCCCGUAUGGCCCAAUAAGGCCCAAUACUUCUCCACGGCGAAUUCCCGUAACUCUCCGGUACUCCGAUAAAUACCCGAAUCACUCAGAACCUUUCCGAACUCUGAAUAUAGUCGUCCAAUAUAUCGAUCUUUAUGUCUCGACCAUUUCGAGACUCCUCGUCAUGUCCCCGAUCUCAUCCGGGACUCCGAACUCCUUCGGUACAUCAAAACUUAUAAACUCAUAAUAAAACUGUCAUCGAAACCUUAAGCGUGCGGACCCUACGGUUCGAGAACAAUGUAGACAUGACCGAGACACGUCUCCGGUCAAGAACCAAUAGCGGGACCUGGAUGCCCAUAUUGGUUCCUACAUAUUCUACGAAGAUCUUUACGGUCAGACCGCAUAACAACAUAAGUUGUUCCCUUUGUCAUCGGUAUGUUACUUGCCCAAGAUUCGAUCGUCGGUAUCCAAUACCUAGUUCAAUCUCAUUACCGGCAAGUCUCUUUACUCGUUCUGUAAUACAUCAUCUUGCAACUAACUCAUUAGUUGCAAUGCUUGCAAGGCUUAAGUGAUGUGCAUUAUCGAGAGGGCCCAGAGAUACCUCUGCGACAUUCGGAGUGACAAAUCUUAAUCUCGAAAUACGCCAACCCAACAAGUACCUUUGGAGGCACCUGUAGAGCACCUUUAUAAUCACCCAGUUACGUUGUGACGUUUGGUAGCACACAAAGUGUUCCUCCGAUAAACGGGAGUUGCAUAAUCUCAUAGUCAUAGGAACAUGUAUAAGUCAUGAAGAAAGCAAUAGCAACAUACUAAACGAUCAGGUGCUAAGCUAACUGAAUGGGUCAUGUCAAUCACAUCAUUCUCCUAAUGAUGUGAUCCCGUUAAUCAAAUGACAACUCAUGUCUAUGGCUAGGAAACAUAACCAUCUUUGAUUAACGAGCUAGUCAAGUAGAGGCAUACUAGUGACACUCUGUUUGUCUAUGUAUUCACACAUGUAUCAUGUUUCUGAUUAAUACAAUUCUAGCAUGAAUAAUAAACAAUUAUCAUGAAAUAAGGAAAUAAAUGAUAACUUUAUUAUUGCCUCUAGGGCAUAUUUCCUUCAAUGAGGAGCCACUGAGGCAUAGGAGGAACAAAAAGGCAUCUGCUGGCAAGACUGCUCAGGUCGUAUCAGCACCUGAGAUGUUGGCUCCGGAGGGAGGCAACGUCACUCGGACUACCAUAUCCUUUGCUAUGCCGCUGACGAGUGCUCGCCCUUCGUCGUCGAGUGCUGAUCCUCCUUCCCUUUUCGCCACACACCACGUCCCAGAGGACCAACCAGGUGCUGCUAAGGAAGCUAUACGCUAGGCGGGGGUCAUGAUGGAGAAGGUGAAGGCGAUCCGAGACGCCAGCCAAGCAGCUUAUGAUGCAAGCUCAGCUCUUCAGAGCAAUGUCCAGGUUAGUUGAUCACCGCUUGUUCUGUUAGGAUAUGGUACCUGAAAACUCUUCUUUCUGAAGAUCUUAGUAUCUGGACACCCACUGGGUGUGUCGGUUGACUCUUUGGAUUGGUGGGGGCACGCUGAGUGCACCCACUGGGUGUAGUCCCCGAGACUAUGGUGGACUGCUGGCAGUCGAGUGUAGUCUCUAUACUUUGAAUUUGUUCACUCUAAGUUCUCCACUCGAUCUGGUCGAGUGAAAUCUUGGAGCCAGUGGGGGCACGUUGAGUGCACCCACUGGGUGUAGUCCCCGAGACCAUGGUCUACUGCUGGCAGUCGACUAUGGUCUGAAGAACAUCUUCUUCUUUUUUUUUGGCUGACUGCUGUCAGUUAGCUAUGGUUUAGGAUCAUAACUUUCUGUCUCUUUCGGUCGACUGAUCGAACUGAGUCGGUAGAACCAGUGGGGGCACGCUGAGUGCACCCACUGGGUGUAGUCCCCGAGACUACAGUUGAAUAUUUUGAUUCGGCUGUACUCUUAGAAAUGCUACGAUUUUUCUAUUAGUCACUCGAAAGUGACCUAUCUUUGAUGACUGUCGACUGAUCUUUCGCAGAAAUCUUGCGAGCUCAUGGCUCGUUAUACUGAGUUGGAGAACAAACAUAUCCAGCUCGAACUUGACUUGAAGCUUGUCCAGGAGAACUUCAUGAAGGCGAAGGAGGAGGCAAAAGGUAUGUUUGGUGAGAAUCUUGACGACUGCUUUUAUUUUGUGUCCAUUCCCAAAUCUGACUUCAUUGUCACUUUGCAGAUAAACUGAAGGAGGCUCUGAAGAAGAAGGACCUUGACCUUGCCGAGGCGUAGAAAGCGGCUUCAGACAAGACGAAGCUCGCAGAAGAAAAGCUGGCUUCAGUCGGCAAACUUGAAGAGGAGAAUAACAAUCUGAAAGCUGCUCUCGACACGGACAACAAGGAGGUCAGCCGUCUGAAGAAUGACAAGAUAGCCCUGAGUGACAAGGCUAGCGAACUGGUGAGAGUCUUAUCUGGAAGGGCUCGCCAAGAAGUUAUUCCUUAUGCUUGAAGGUAAUCUUUUCCAUCUAACUGACUUGUUAUCAUCGACUCGUCGUAGAACUGUUGGGUUAACUUCAAACUGUGCUUACAGAAUUCUGUCAAAACUUCAAGGAGGAGACCAGUCGACUGGAGCCAAACUUGGACCCCAUUAACUCUCAUGUGAAGGACGAGGCUGCUAUGAACGUGUUCCGACUGGAGUCUCGCGUUGCUGGAGUGGUUGACUACCUCGCUCGACUGAAGGUUGCGGUGUCGCGGAUCGACACGACACUCUGGCCAAGAGAGACGCUUCACAAUGACCUCGAGUCUUUGAUUACUCAACUGAAUGACGUUCCAGGUCGAGUGCAGGAAUGGAAGAAGUCUUCUGCCAGGUGUGGUGCUGAUGUUGCACUAUCUCUGGUACGUGUUCACUGCAAGGAUGCUCGAGAGGACAAGCUAGCGUCCAUCAGGGUGGCCAACACCAAGACGCAUGACUUCCAAUCUUUCAUGGAGACCUUCAUUGCUGCUGCCACUCGGAUUGCUGAUGGAAUCGACCUGGACCAGUUUGUCGCGCCCUCCAGUCCUCCACCUGAGGAGUAAAAAACUUCUAUGCUUCAUCUUAAAUUUGCCUCGGAAUGCCGAGUGGUUUUGUAACCGAUAAACUUUUACAGGCUUGACGCCUGCGCACUUCUGAAUCCGUUAUCUGAACUUUGCUUAUCAUUGAAUAUGCUUGCAUUUCCUUCGAGCGAAUUUUCUUCUUCACUCGGAAUAUAUUUUAAUGCUUGAGAUGUAGCUCUAAGGUGGUAAGCCCAGUCGACCUGCACUUCACCGCUUUUUGGCAGGUAAGGAUGGGGCACAGAUGGAGUGCACAUUGUAUUUGUGGCGUAGCUCAGAGGAAGAAGGUUACAAUCGACCUGCGCCUCGUCAUCCUUGUAGAGCGGAAUAGAUUAAGUACUUAGGCGAGCACUGGGCUGUAGCUAAGCCCCCCGAGUGGGAGGUUUUCUCUCCACUCGGUAGGAUUUUCAGAUACUUAGGCGAGCACUGGGCUGCAGCUAAGCCCCCGAAUGGGAUGUUUGCUCUCCACUCUGUAGGAUUUUCAGAUACUUAGGCGAGCACUGGGCUGCAGCCAAGCCCCCGAGUGGGAGGUUUACACUCCACUCGGUAGGAUUUUCAGAUACUUAGGAGAGCACUGGGCUGCAGCUAAGCCCCCGAGUGGGAGGUUUGCUCUCCACUCGGUAGGAUUUUCAGAUACUUAGGCGAGCACUGGGCUGCAGCUAAGCCCCCGACUGGGAUGUUUGCUCACCACUCGGUAGGAUUUUUCAGAUACUUAGGCAAGUAUUGGACUACAGCUAAGCCCCCGAGUGGGAGGCUUGCUCUCCACUCGGUAGGACUUUUUGUGGCGUAGCUUCGAAGGAAAGGGUAGCAGUCGACCUGCACCCCGUCAUCCUUGCAAAGCGCGCAUUGUAUUUGUGGCGUAGCUCAAGAAGAGAAGGUAGCAGUUGACCUGCACCUCGUCCGCCUUGCGGAGUGCACAUUAUAUUUGUGGCGUAGCUCGGAAGGAGAAGGUAGCAGUCGACCUGCACCUUGUCCUCCUUGCGGAGCGCACAUUGUAUUUUUGGCGUAGCUUGGAAAGAGAAGGUAGCAGUCGACCUGCACCUCGUCCUCCUUGCGGAGCGCACAUUGUCUUAAACACUUAGGCGAGUACUUGGACUGCAGCUAAGCCUCCGAGUGUGAAGCUGGUUCACCACUCGGUAGGAUUUUAAACACUUAGGCGAGUACUUGGACUGCAGCUAAGCCUCCGAGUGGGAGGCUGGCUCACCACUUGGUAGGAUUUUAUAUACUUAGGCGAGUACUUGGACUGCAGCUAAGCCUCUGAGUGGGAGGCUGGCUCACCACUUUGUAGGAUUUUAACACUUAGGCGAGUACUUGGACUAUAGCUAAGCCUCCGAGUGGGAGGCUGGCUCACCACUUGGUAGGAUUUUAAAGUCCCUAGGCGAAAUACAUUCGCAGCUAAGCCCCCGAGUGGGAGGCUGUCUCACCACUCAACAAUGAUUUUUUUUUACAAACUUAGGCGAAACGGAUUCGCAGCUAAGCCCCCCACUGGGGGAUUUCAUAUGUAAACAAAAGUAACAACAAUCAUUGGGAAAAAUUAUAACACUCUUGUCUUUGAUAAAUAAACUACAGAAGUACUUUUAUUACAUCUCAUCCGAGUGAAUACUUAAGUAUAAAAGGGGUGGAGCAGCUCCGCGUUCCAAGCUUGGGGCUCGUCAAUCUGGUGACCGACAUUGUAAAGGCGGUACGCUCCAUUGUGGAGAACUUUGGUGACGAUGAAGGGACCUUCCCAAGUAGGAGCAGGCUUAUGUGGCUUAUGCUGAUCCACUCGGAGAACCAAAUCUCCUUCUUGGAAGGCUCGACUCUUCAAAUUUCUGGCAUGGAAUCGACGUAAGUCCUGCUGAUAGAUGGUCGAUCGGAUCAUGGCCAUAUCUCUUUCUUCUUCUAGAAGGUUGACUGCGUCCUGUUGGGCUUGCUCUGCUUCAUCUUCAGUGUAGAGUUUGACUCGGGGUGCAUUGAGAAGCAGGUCACUUGGCAAGACUGCUUCAGCUCCAUAGACCAAGAAGAGCGGAGUUCUCCCAGUCGACCGAUUAGGAGUGGUCCUUAAUCCCCAAAGUACUGAUGGAAGUUCGUCGACCCAUGCACCUGCCGCGUGCUUGAGAUCGCGCAUCAGUCGGGGUUUCAGUCCUUUGAGGAUUAGACCAUUUGCUCGUUCUGCUUGCCCAUUCGACUGGGGUGAGCGACUGAAGCAUAGUUGACUCGUGUGCCUUGAGAUGCGCAAAAGGCUCUGAAUUCUUCAGAAUCGAAGUUUGACCCAUUAUCAGUCAUGAUGCUAUGCGGAACUCCAUAUCUGAAUACCAACUCUCUGAUGAAGCUGAUAGCAGUGCCAACAUCUAGAUUCUUUAUAGGCUUAGCUUCAAUCCAUUUGGUAAACUUGUCGACUGCUACUAGCAAGUGAGUGAAGCCGCUCCUGCCAGUUCUCAGUGGUCCAACCUUAUCUAACCCCCAAACACCGAAGGGCCAGAAGAGUGGAGUGGUCUUCAAGGCUUAGGCGGGUUUGUGCGAUAGAUUGGAGUAACACUGACAUCCUUCACACUUGUCGACUAUCUCCUUUGCCAUUUCAUUUGCUCUUGGCCAGUAAAAUCCUUCUUGGUAUGCUUUAGCCACAAUGGUACGAGAGGACGCAUGAUGGCCACAGGUCCCCGAGUGGAUAUCGUCAAGGAUUAUCUGACCUUCUUCUGGCGUUAUACAUUUCUGACCGACUCCAGUCGCGCUUUCUCUAUACAACUGCCCCUUUAUCACGGUAAAAGCUUUAGAUUGACAGACGAUCUGUCGAGCCUCUUCUUCAUUCUCUGGGAGCUCUUUCCUUAGGAUAUACGCGAUGUACGGCUCUGUCCAGUCGGGAGUGAUGACCAAAGCUUCCGUGAUCAGGUCGACCACCGCUGGAACUUCAACUUCAGUCGGAUCUGUGAAACUUUUUGUCUAUGGAGCUUCUUCGGUGAAAGGAUCCUCUUGAACUGAUGGAGUAUGGAUGUGUUCCAAAAGCACAUUACUAGGAAUGGCUUCUCUCUUGGAACCUAUCUUCGCCAAAUCAUCAGCCGCUUGAUUUUUUUAGUUGGGGUAUAUGAUGGAGCUCUAACCCUUCAAAUUUCUUCACAAGCUUUCUCAGUCAAUUGCAAUAACCAGUCAUGGCUGGGCUUCUAACGUCCCACUCCUUCAUCACCUGAUUGAUCACCAAAUCUGAGUCGCCAUAAACCAUAAGGCGACGGACACCGAGUGAAAUGGCCAUACGCAACCCAUACAAAAGUGCUUCGUAUUCUACUUCAUUGUUGGAGGAAUCAAAGUGGAUCUGGAGCACAUAUCUGAGCUUAUCUCCUGAGGGGGAAACCAAUAUUACCCCAGCACCGGAACCAUUCAACAUCUUAGAACCGUCAAAGAACAUGGUCCAGUGCUCCGAGUGAACUUGAGUCGGUAAUUGCUGUUCAAUCCACUCGGCGAUGAAAUCUACCACUGCUUGGGACUUAAUGGCUUUCUUUGCCUCAAACUUGAUAUCAAGGGGAAGGAGUUCGAUCGCCCAUUUUGCCACUCGACCAGUUGCAUCUCUGUUGUGCAGAAUCUCUGAUAAUGGGGCGUCGCUGACGACUGUAAUGGAAUGAUUAGAGAAAUAAUGAGCAACCUUCUUCGUGGUCAUAUAUAUAAAUCCCAUAUACAAGCUUCUGAUAUUGAGGGUAUCUUUGCUUUGAUGGGGUCAAAACUUCAGAAAGAUAAUACACUGGCCACUAAACUUUGAAGGCUUUUCCUUCUUCUUCCCGCUCGACCGUAAGUACUGUACUGACGACUUGUCCUGUGGCUGCAAUGUAAAGCAAGAAAGGCUCUUUGCUGAUUGGGGCAGCAAGCACCGGCUGGGUGGAGAGAAGAGCUUUUAGCUCUGCAAACGCUGCAUCAGCUUAUGGAGUCCACUCGAACUUGUCUGACUUCUUCAUUAGUCGGUAAAGAGGCAAUGCCUUUUCACCGACACGAGAGAUGAAUCGACUUAAAGAGGCCAAGCAUCCAGUAAGCUUCUGGACAUCGUGCACACGCACAGGGCGUUUCAUUCGGAGUAUAGUGCCAACUUUUUCUGGGUUGGCGUCGAUUCCUCGCUCGGAAACGAGAAAACCGAGUAACUUUCCGCCAGGAACUCUGAAUGUGCACUUUGAUGGAUUAAGUUUGAUAUCAUACCUCCUGAGAUUGGCAAAUGUUUCAGCAAGGUCAGUCAACAGGUCGGAACCAUUCCGUGAUUUGACCACAAUAUCAUCCAUGUAUGCUUCCACAUUCCGACUGAUUUGAGUGAGUAAACACUUCUGAAUCAUCCUAUGAACGUGGCUCUGGCAUUCUUGAGGCCGAAUGGCAUGGUGACAUAGCAGAAGCACCCGAAUGGAGUGAUGAAAGCUGUUUUGAUCUCAUAGGGUCCAUACAGACGGAUCUGAUGGUAACCGGAAUAGGCGUCUAAAAAAGACAGGCGCUCACAUCCCGCAGUCGAGUCGACUAUUUGGUCGAUGCGGGGGAGAGGAAAAUGAUCGUUCGGGCAUGCCUGAUUGAUAUGUUUGAAAUCAAUGCACAUGCGAAGUGACUUGUCCUUCUUGGGGACCAUGACAACAUUGGCAAGCCACUCGGAGUGGUAAAUCUCUUGGAUAAACUCUGCUGCCAGGAGCUGAGCCACCUCCUCGCCAAUGGCCUUUCUCUUCUGGACGGCGGACCGUCGAAGAUGUUCUUUGACAGGUUUCACUUUUGAGUCGGCUCGUAGACAAUGCUCAGCCAGCCCCCGGGAACACCCGGCAUGUCAGCAGGCUUCCAUGCGAUGAUGUCCCAGUUCUCAUGGAGGAAUUGGAUGAGCGCUUCUUCCUAUUUAGAGUCGAGUGUUGUGGAGAUAUGAGUCGGAGCAGCACUGGGUCGGUCGGGUGAAUGUGAACGGGCUUCAUCUCACCGGACGACUGGAACACUGACUUUGUGGCGGGCUUCUUGGCCCACAAUAAAUCACUCGGAUCUGCAGUUUUCUGGUAUUCCUGCAGCUCGAUCACUGUUAUCUGAGCAUCGGUGAUCUUUGAGCCCUUCUGAAAGCACUCUUCUGCCUUUUUCCGAUUGCCAGUAAUGGUGAUCACACCCUUGGAACCAGGCAUCUUCAAUUUGAGGUACACGUAACAUGGUCGAGCCAUGAAUCGUGCAUAAGCUGGCCUGCCUAGAAUAGCAUGAUAAGCGCUCUAGAAAUCCACAACUUCAAAUGUCAACUUUUCUUUGUGGAAAUGCUUUGAAUUGCCGAAAACCACAUCAAGAGCAAUUUGGCCGAGUGACUCAGCCUUCUUCCCAGGAAUGACUCCAUGGAAACUCAUGUUGCUGGUACUGAGUCUGGACAUCGGAAUGCCCAUCCCUUUUAGCGUCUCCGCAUACAGUAUAUUCAGGCCACUGCCACCAUCCAUCAGAACUUUCAUCAGUCGAGUGCCUUCGACGACUGGGUCGACCACUAAAGCUUGCCUCCCAGGGGUGGCUAUGUGUGUCGGAUGAUCAGACUGGUCAAAUGUGAUGGCGGUCUGAGACCAUUUCAAAUAACUGGGUGUCACCGGAGCAACCAUAUUCACUUCACGGUUGAUAACUUUCAAUGGACUUUUGCUUUCAACAUCAGCAAAAAUCAUCAGGGUGGAAUUGACAUGGGGAUAUCCUUCAUCACUGUCCUCUUUGUCCUCAACUUUGUCCGAAUCCUUUUCCUUAUCUUUGGGCUAUUUCCCCUGAAAUUGCUGGAUCAAGAGCUGACACUGCCGAGUGGUAUGUUUCGGGUAAAUGAAGUUACCCUCCUCAUCUUUCUUCAUGUGGAUGUGGCACGACAAAUCCAUCACGUCAUUUCCUUCCUUGUCCUUCACCUUAUUAGGGUUCCAAGAUCUUUUGGGCUUCCCUUUAAACUUUCCCUGAGUCACGGCCAAGGCUUCUCCAAGAGCAGCUGGCUCGGCUUUCCGCUUCUGCUUCCGACUGGAGUUUCCUCCCCCGGUUUCAUGAGCGGUUGGCUUGUACUUGCCACUCCGGAGUCGAUCCUCUUCUUCACCAUUGGCAUAUUUGGUGGCAAUCUCCAUCAUUCGAUUCAGAGUCAUGUCUCCGGUCCGACCGAAUUUCAAACUUAACUCUCUGUUCUUAACGCCUUCCUUGAAGGCACAAACUGCCUGGUGGUCAGAUAUAUUCUCCACCGUGUGAUGCAAUGUGGUCCACCUUUGGAUGUAAUCCCUCAGAGUUUCAUUCGACUUUUGCACACAAACCUGCAGCUCUGGCAACCCUGUUGGUCGCCUGCAAGUUCCUUCAAAUGAUCUGACAUACACUCGGGCAAGAUCUUCCCAAGUGUAAAUGCUGCUAGGUGCCAACUGAUUCAGCCAUGCUCUGGCCGAGCCCUCCAACAUAAGAGGUAGGUGUUUCAUGGCCACUUCAUCAUUGUCGCCGCCAAUCUGAACAGCCACUCGGUAGUCCUCAAGCCAAGUAUCGGGCUUGGACUCGCCGGUGAACUUGCUGACUCCAGUCGCCAACCUGAAGUUGGGAGGAAUCACCGUGGCCCUGAUGGCUCUGCUAAAACACUCUGGUCCUGAGACGUGAACUCUGCUGCUGGUGGGCACAUCUCUGUCAUGGCCUUCUCGGUGAGCUCUGUUCCGGUCGACCAAACCUUGCACGAAAAUGGAUCUCGCGUCAAAGCCUGGUUCUCUUGGGUCGACUGGAACCCUUCGCCCAACACUAUGCUGACGUCUGUCAUCUUGCUGUCGAGGAGCGUACGACCCACCCCUUGGGGGGGAGUGGGCACUCGACGCCGAUCAUCGCGAUCGAAUCAGUCGUCAUACUGAUCACGCUGACCUCCACGUCCCUCACGCCUCGGGGGCGAUCUCAGGCUAUGGGCCGACUGGACUGUAUUCCCAGCAAUGGAUCUGCUGUGAAUCUUGUUUCGUGACUGCGAUACAGCUGAAUUCUGAUCUCCUGCUGCCCGAAGAAAAUCUCUGAUCUGUAACAAGCCUCUGCCAGCCUCUGACUGGGAGGGCUGAAUCGACUCUUCUAUACGGGCUGCAGCUGCUAGAUUCUGAAUCGGAGUUCGAUAUACCUGAGUCGGUUGCAGAAAGAGUUGACGUCGACUGGAGUCUGGAACUCGUUGCCGCGCGCGCUCGUCGAGUGCUUGCUGGAGGUUCUCCAGUCGAGUGCGCUCAGCCAAGUUGGCCAAACGCGCGUCCUCUAAGGCACGAGCCUCGGGGGUUUCUCCAACGAUAGGAGUAUGCAGCGCAUCCAUGUUCCGGCGGCGAAGAUCUUCCCUUUGCAGGGAAGUGAGUGGCUCGGGCUGAUACUCUUCGUGGAACUGCGCUGGGUUACCUCUGCCAUCGACUCCGUCGGUGCAAGGAAAACCGGGAGGACUGCGCGGCCCAUUGACCAUCAGAACCUCCGCCGCUGGAUCACUGCUGUCGCACUCAGAUGUAGUCUCUACGGAGCCAGUCGACAGGUUGAACAGGCCGUAGAGAGAUUCGUCGGGCUCGAUCGCCGCGACUUGGGGGGUGGCCGACUGGAGGGCCACUGCGUGCCUCACCCACCGUUGAAGCCUCGACCGACCGGAGCGCUUGCGCUAGCGGGAGAUAGGGAGGGAGGAUGACACAGGGGUCGACCGAUACAGGGCCGACGGUUGCCGCAGGAGGAUACCGCGGACACACGCGCGGAAGUGCGUCGCCCCGCGGACUGGGAGCGCGUCGAUGUCGAGUGGAGCCUCCUGAAGCCAAGCGGAGUCGUCGGCGAUGAACAUGAGCGCGCCGAGACGGAUCUCGCGGCCCUCAACCAAAACUCCGCCUGAAACCAUGUUGAAGGAGAUCAGAAAAAUCGCAACUUCUCCAAUAAGUCGCUAAGACACCUGCCCCAUGGUGGGCGCCAACUGUCGUGGUUCUUAGCCUGACAGUAGAAUAGGGGGGUAGGUAUGGAGAGGCAAGAUCCUAGCUAUGGAGUAGUUGUAUACGCAAGAGAUUUACGAGUUCAUGCCCUUCUCGGAGGAAGUAACAGCCCUAUGUCUCGGAGCCCGAAGGCGGUCGACUGGAUUAUAUGCGUAUGAGUUACAGGGGUGCGAACCCUUUACAUUGAGGAGGGGGGUGGCUUAUAUAGAGUCUGCCAGACCCCUCCUGCCCUCAGUUAUGCAGGGUUUAAAGUACAUUAAGGCAUGGCGUACUAGUAACGCCCUACAUAAAGUGCUAUCAUGAACAUAAAGACUACUUAAUGACAGACCGUUUGUGUGCAGAGUGACUCUAGAUCUCCUAGUGGUCGAGUGAGUGGCUUCAUGGUCGAGUGUCUUCGAUUCUGUCGAGUGGAAUCCUUCCAGGUCGACUGAAUGGUAGUUUCUUCUACAAAUGUCCUUGGGGAGGGUACCUUGGACAGGUCCAUGACCCUAACCUAGGUACAUGGCUUCAUCAGCGCGCCCGCUCAAAGACGCGCUACUGCUAUAAUUCCCACGAGGCCGCGCGAGGCCAGUUAUAGCAGCAAUGCGUUAUAACGACGGGCGCUACUUUUAUGUAGCAUAGUAGCGGCGCAUUUCGCCAAUAAGCGCUACUGCUAAGUUUACUACAAAAAUUUAGUCCUACCUCGCUCCGUGAAGAGAGUUUCUACCACCUUAAAUAUGUUACUUCUCAAACUUUGACAAGCACUUAGUCUUCAUUGAACUCUAUGUGUAGAAUUUGUGGCUGCAAUAUGAGUCUUCACCUGUUCCUAAACCGGUGAGUACUCGUAUUGACAAAUCAGAUUGUACACAAAAAGAUCGUUGAUGAUCAAUGUAUUUUUGGUACAUUGAACUAAGUCUAUUUUUAUAUGCUGACACAUAGCAGUAGCGCUUCUUUGUGAAAGGCGCUGCUGCUAGGUAGCUUAGCAGUAGCGUCUAUCUCUAUAGCGCGCUACUGCUAAGCCAUUCCAUCUCCCACCCCCCAUCUCCUCUACCCGAUCAACUCACAGUCACACACUCACUAGAUCCCCUCUCAAUCCUCCGCGCCGGUCCUCCCCCGUCGCCCCUCCUCCCUCUGCGCCGCCAUCACCUCCUCCUCCUUGCUGGACUCGGUACCAGCCUCCUCCUCCGUCCUCCCUCUCCACUUGCCGUUGGUCGGCCCCUCCUCCCUCCGCCUUCCUCCUCCGUCCUCCCUCCACUAGCCGCCGGCCGGCCCCUCCUCACUCCGCCUUCCUCCUCCAUCCUACUCUCUUCUCCCUCCUCGAGUCACCCCUCCUUCUCCCUCCUGCCUGCUACAUUUUGAUUUAGUAGGAUAGUUCAUAUGCAACAUUUUGAUUUAGUUGAUAUGACUUAGUUGAUUUAGUAGGCUAGUUGAUUUAGUCGAUUUAGAACAUUUUGAUUUAGUUGAUUUAGUAGGCUAGUUGAUUUAGUUGAUUUAGAACAUUUUGAUUUAGUUGAUUUAGUAGGCUAGUUUAUUUAGUUGAUUUAGAACAUUUUGAUUUAGUUGAUUUAGUAGGCUAGUUCAUUUAGUUGAUUUAGAACAUUUUGAUUUAGUUGAUUUAGUAGGCUAGUUCAUUUAAUUGAUUUAGUAUGCAUCAUUUUAUUGUUAUUUUUUCUGUACAUGGAUAGGUACUUAGUUGCUUUUGUUUUUUUAAUAAGUUAUUUUUUGGCAAAAUGUAGGUGCUACCUUGUCAUCUAACAUGUUACUAGAUCUUAGGAUUAUAAUUGUCCGUCAAAUUGCUUCUCGCGAAAGAACCAAAAAUAUCACAUGCUACUGUUUUUCUUUCCUGUGAAGUGGAUCGUUAAUCCUUUGCUCAUAUUGCUUUAGGAAAAAUGGCGCCACCACCGCCACCACUAUGUCGACUGUGCAGGUCCAGGUGCACCAGCAGCCUUGCAACUGGAAAGCUGUUCGGCAUCUACUUCCAGCCGAGUUUUCGUCAUGCGGCGGUAAGAAAUUAGAUGAAAUAUAAUAACUAUUUUAUUUUUAGUGUUGGCAUUACUGCAUUGUGUCAUUUUGCUUAUUUUACACAGAUCGUCCCAUGCAAUGUGAGGUUGAAAUUCAACAAGCUGACAGGAGACACAGUGACAUUAUGGAGGGGCCGUACACUAUGGAGGUCGAGAAAGGACGCAAUAUGUCACAGAUUGGAGGAGAUGGAUGGGCCCGUUUCGUCGCUCGCAUGCGUCUUACUGGUGGUGAGUUGAUCAGCUUCUCCUUCAGAGCCGAAAGACCCAAGCUGGUUGUCAUUUAUCUCAAACUGGUGGAAGAUGAAGAAUAUGAUGAAGAUAAUGAGGACCCACUCGAUAAAGAUGAUGAGGACCCACUUCAUGAAGCCAUCGUAGCUCAAAGAACAAGGCUGAGCGAGGAGGAGGUGUCCAAUCUGUGGGACAUAAUUCCGCCACGUGCUGACUUUGUCGGGGUGCCAUUCGUGACCCGCCUGACAAAUACCAUGGUUGAUCGACAUAAUAUGGUAUGUUAUACUUACUAAUGAAAAUUAUCCGAUGAAAUACUUAGUGUAUAGUCCAAUGAUAUGGUAUGUUGUGUGGAAUCUAGUCGAUGAUAUGUUUUAGUGUAGAGUUCGAUCACAUGCUUAUUAGUGUAGAAUCUAAGGAAACUAUUAAUAGUGUAGAUAAUCCAUAUGUACUUAUUUGUGAGGCUAUUUAUUAAUUGAUAUGUUUUUCUUAUUCAGAAAUUGGCAAAGAGCAUACCUGUGAGUUAUGGUAUCGAUCCUGAUGAAGAAGGCUCAGCUGGACUACGCCUUACCACAAGGGGCUCCGUCACAACAUGUGCUUACCGCGUGGACACGGACGGUUGCACACACUUAAACUCGGUUGGGUGGAAGAAAUUCCUCGAUGGCAAGAAUCUUCGUGUUGGACAUGCCAUCCUAAUUACUAUCAGAAACACCAACCGCCCAGGCUUGGGGAUGAUGAUUGUCUUUGAUAUAAUCUAGAUCUACAUAUGUGUGUGUGGCUAUAUCAUCUAGAACUACAUAUGUGUGUGUGGCUAUAUCAUCUAGAACUACAUAUGAUGAUCGUCGUCGAUAUCAUCUAGAACUACAUAUGAUGAUCGCCGUUGAUAUGACCUUGUACUGCUUGAGGAUGCAUGUUGACUAUGCAUGAAAUUGUUAUCUAGUACUCCCUUCGUUCCAAAUUACUCGUCGUGGUUUGAACUAAAACCAAGAUGAGUAAUUUGGAACGAAGGGAGUACUACCCAGUAAUGGUUUAUGAAUUUGAUAUCUACUAGCAGUACCUAGUUUCAAGUAUCUGAAAGGGAAACUGAAAGGGAAAGGGGUACGGGGGGAAAUGAUGAAAGAUAUAGCAGUAGCGAGGCACUGCGAAAUCGCUACAGCUAGGUAAUAGUAGCGCGUUCAUGAAAAGCGUUGCUGAUAUCGUCAAUAGUAGUAGCGCGGGUACGGGCCGCGCUACUACUAUAAGUUAGCUGUAGCGCCUUAUUAGUAACGCGGUCACCCGCGCUGCUGCUAGCCUCAAAACCCGCGCUACUACUAGGGUUUUCCCUAGUAGUGAAUAGUCUUUGUGAAAUAGCUUGGAUAAACAUAAAUUGACAAAUUAUUUCUAAAAUUUUACAAUGAAAUGGUGUUAAAGCAUUUUUUUAACUGAACUAAUCCCACAUCAAACACGGUAAGAAAAUAUUGAACAUGCCCUCAUGGAAAUGUGUCAGUUGGUCAACAAGAGGAAAUAAAACACAAUCACAUAGAUGAAUUCUUAUUUGUUAGAAACUUUUCAUGGUGCAUUAUUUUAAGUUUCUUAAUUGGAGUUCCCCUUAGAGAUAAUUGCUAAUUUGUGAACUCAAGCCAUGGAAUGGUAAAAUAAUCUCUUUCUGCAUGAGAACAAUUAUCAUGAGUAGGAAAAUCACAUACAUUAAUUAGCCCGCACUUGUUCUUCUGCUUGAUAUUGGUAGAUGUCUACUUGAAAAAUUACAAUGACUUAUGUUUCUGGAGCAUUAUACACAUAGACAACAAGUUAUGAAUAAACUUACAGAUAGAACCUAUCUAUAUAAUAACAAGAAAAACCCAUACAUUACAUAAGAUGUUGUAGUCUCUUUUAUAUUUUGGAUCGCCAUGUCUACCUUCCUUGAAACUAUUUAAUAGGAUGAUCUUAACAUGUUUUGUACUAACAAAACAAUGUUUGUUGUCACAUGUCCGAAUCGGUUUUAGGUCUAGGUAGGUAAAGGAAACCGGGAGGUGAUGGACCCUUCACCUCUUGACCUGCUAGUGCCACCGCGGAUUCCACAUCCAAUCUAUUUUUUACAUCAUAGUUAACCCAUACGAAUGCAAUGAUGGUGGCAGCUCGAUGACACAUUGGAUCAGGCAGGAUGUUAACAUCAGUGGCAAAGGGGCGGCUCCAAGAGGCUCUAGUAGGAGAAUGACAUAAGUGGUGGAGGGUUUCAUCACUCAUCGGGAUAAAAAGAAUAUAUCAAUAUAAACUUCAAUUUGAGAUAUAAACUUCAGAUGUUCUAUUUUCAAAAGGUAUAAUUUUUGUGUUAUAUAGUUUAUAUUAGGGUGAUAAAAUUGGCAACCUAGGUAUACGCGUAGGACUUGUAAUCAGGAUGUACUAUUGGUCAAAAUACUAGUGUUUCAAAUUAAUAUACAAUGGAUACUUCUACAGAAAUAGUAUUAGUAGUACAUUCCUCUAGUCCUGUACAAGAUAGGCUCGCGUGGUAGAUAUAUGAAAUAUAGUAGUACAGUAGGAGUAGAUGAUAGGCUAACUUCCUAGAUAAUAAUCAAUGUCAAGACAUCGGACAGAGAGGUGCCCCUGGGUAAAUUUUCAUCUUAUAUUAUCUAUAUUGACUAGGUGAAAGCAUCUUUCAAAUCAUCACGUUAAUCCGACGCUACCAUUGCAGAAAAAACAGAAAUUUAAAUUUCCAAAUUAUUCAAACAUAAUUGUGUAUGCUCUCGAGAUAUGUGCCUACGAUGCAAAAAUAUUAUGCAUCCAAAUUUUAAUAGACAUAGAGAGACAACAAAGACAAUUUCAGAUGUCAAUAAUGUCAUUUAUAUGUUCUCUUUUUGUAACAAUAAAUAGUUUUGUGCAGUGGUAUCACCGUAAUAUUUAAACAGUUAUAUCACCGAAUAUUCUCCCCAAAAGUAUAUAUAAUUUGUUGAUCUUGAAAAUAACUACACGUAGAGGGUUUAGAUUUCUCAUGAGAAUCAUAUGCUGUAGUAAGAGUCCUCUCGCAAAUUACGUGGCAUAUGGUGUUCGUGGCAAUUAAAAAACUGUUUAAUGAAACGGCUGGGAGUUCGAGCUGUAAUACUAAUCCAAAAAUAUUCUACUAAAUAAAAAAAAGAAAAUUAAUUUGGUCAACCAAAUAUGAGUGAUAUGCCAUGAAAAUGGUACCACUGGAAACUUCGGCCACACGUUGGAGGUACGUAGUUGUUGGGCCCUAUUUAUUACUGUACUAACUAGACAUCAUUUGUUUAUGUAGACAAUUAAGGGUCAACGGAAGUACUCUUUUCUUGUGAAUGUUGGGGUGUCCACAGGUACUUUUCAUACCACAGUACCACCACAGUGUCCUCAGGGACGUGGAAACUUAGAGAUGCGACCACAGCCCCAGCUCGCCGUCGUAAUCUGAACUAACUGCCUUGAGCUCGAUGGGAACAGCUGCUCCAAAUUCCUGUUUUUGGACAAUGGCAGAAGCGACGGCGGCACCAGAACCAGUCUUGCUCAACAUAUAUAAUAAUCACAAGUAUGUAGCCGUUAGCAGUUGUCCAGCUCAUAUCCAUCACUUCGGAAUUUGAGAUUGGUGAAUGACACCUAGCUACAUGCCAAACACCCUAGCUAUCUAUACCAUUGAAAGCAACGGAUAUGGUUGAACAACUUCACGUUCGGUCGUUGAUGAGACUGUACUACGGAAUCCCCAAAUGGACCAAAAGUUGAUUUUUUUUCUUUCGAAAAGGGGGAUCCCCGGCCUCGGCAUCAGCAUGAUGCAUACGGCCAUCUUAUUAGAAUAAAGCAUCCACAAAGUCUCGAAGUCUCAAUAGUAGCAAAAUAAAGAAGAAAAGGCUCACACAGAGCCAGAAGGCUAGAUACACAAGCUAGCCAAAAAAGGAUAAACCACAACCGGUUGGCUCAAAAAUAGACAGGUAAACUAAUUGCCUAUCCUAUUACAUGACCGCCAUCCAAACCGGCUGAAGAUAUCCCGAGCUACCGUCUCCCAUCGGGUAGCACCAGUAACCAAAAGCUCCCUGGCCUCCGUCGGAGUGAGUAGCGACCAGGAACGGAUAAGUGCCGUAGCUCUGAAGAUGACCUGCAAAAAAUGAAUGUUUGUUGUUCUGUUAAAGACCAGAUCAUUUCUGCAAUUCCAAAGCGCCCACACUAAGGCGCACACCCCCAUGCGAAUAUGUUUUGCUAACCCGGGCUCUACCCUGUUUAGCCAUGUUCCAAACAACAUGUUAACCGAAUUUGGCGGAGGAAUAUUGAAAGAAAUAUGAACAGUCGUCCAAAGAAUUCUAGCUAGUGGGCAAUCAAAGAACAAAUGUUUAAUGGUUUCACCCUGAUCACAGAAACUACACCUAGUAGGCCCUGUCCAAUUGCGCUUUGUUAAAUUGUCCUUUGUUAAGAUAACUUGUUUGUGUAGAAACCACAUAAACACUUUGAUCUUCAAAGGAACUUUGACAUCCCACACAUGCUUGGAAGUAGGAAUCGAGCUCGAAUUAAUGACAUCAACAUACAUUGAUUUAACUGUAAAUUCACCCGACCUAGUGAGAUUCCAGCGCAGUUUAUCAGGUUGUUGUGAAAGUUGGACCUGCAUCAGUCUCCUAACUAUAUGUAGCCAAUCUUCCCAACGAUUGCCCACUAACGACCUUCUAAAUUGAAUAUUAAGGGGUAUCGAAUGAAAGACCGUUGCAACCAGAGCAUCGCGUCUUUGGACUAUGCGAUACAACGACGGAUACUGGAUUGCAAGGGGUGCACCUCCGAGCCAAGUAUCCUCCCAGAAUCUUGUGCUGGCACCAUUACCAACAAUAUGCUUUGUCCUCUGAAACAAUGAAAGCUUAACUUUCAUAAGCCCUUUCCAAAAGGGUGAAUCAGUUGGUCUAACCGUGACCUGAGACAAAGUUUUGGUUUGAAGAUACUUAUUACAAAGGAUUUGAGCCCAAGUGGCGUCAGUUCCUGAAGAUAACUUCCACAACCACUUACUAAGAAGGCAUCGGUUUUUAACCUCAAGAUUUUCGAUCCCGAGACCCCCUUGGUCUUUCGGCCUACAAAUGAUAUCCCACUUCGCUAACUGGUAUUUUCUUUUUAGCUCAUCUCCCUGCGAAAAGAACCGCGAUCGAUGGAAGUCCAGUCUUUUCCUUACACCAACUGGGACUUCGAAGAAAGACAAAAGAAACAUGGGCAUGCUCGUGAGAACCGAAUUAAUAAGAAUUAAACGGCCUCCAUAUGACAUGAGCUUACCCUUCCAGCAGCUUAGUUUCUUUUCGAAUCGAUCCUCAAUACACUUCCAUUCGUUGUUCGUAAGCCUACGGUGAUGUAUAGGUAUUCCUAAGUAUGUGAAUGGCAACUCCCCCAAACCACACCCAAAUAAUUGUUUGUAUGCUUCUUGUUCCUCCUUGGCUCUACCAAAGCAGAACAACUCGCUUUUGUGGAAGUUAAUUUUGAGCCCACUCAAUUGCUCAAACAAACAAAGCAACAGCUUCAUAUUUCUUGCUUUUACCAGGUCAGGCUCCAUGAAGAUGAUAGUGUCAUCAGCGUACUGCAGAAUGGAAAUUCCUCCAUCCACUAAAUGAGGCACCAAGCCUCCCACUUGGCCAGCCUCCUUGGCUCUCCCUAACAAAACUGCCAACAUGUCCACAACGAUGUUGAACAGAAUAGGGGACAUUGGAUCUCCUUGCCGCAGGCCCUUGUGUGUCUGGAAGUAAUGACCAAUGUCGUCAUUCACUUUAAUGCCAACACUACCCUUUUGCGUGAAAGAUUCAAUCUGGCUCCUCCAGACCUCGUCGAACCCUUUCAUAUGCAAGGCUUGUUGUAGGAAAGGCCACUUAACUUUAUCGUACACUUUCUCGAAAUCCACUUUAAAGAUGACUCCAUCUAGUUUCUUUGAGUGGAUUUCAUGGAGCGUUUCAUGCAAGACCACCACCCCCUCUAGGAUGUUUCUAUCCGGCAUGAAAGCUGUCUGGGAUUGCUGCACCAUAGAAUGCGCAAUCUGUGUGAGCCUAUUAGUCCCUACCUUGGUAAAAAUUUUGAAACUAACAUUCAAAAGGCAGAUAGGCCGGAACUGCUCAAUCCUCAGAGCAUCGGUCUUUUUUGGUAGCAGCGUUAUGGUCCCAAAGUUCAAGUGAAAAAGUUGAAGCCGUCUAGCAAAAAGGUCAUGAAACAUAGGUAAUAGAUCCCCCUUGAUAAUAUGUCAGCAUUUUUUAUAGAACUCCGCCGGAAACCCAUCCGGCCCGGGAGCCUUAUUGUUCUCCAUCUGAGAGAUGGCAUCGAAAACCUCCUUUUCCGUAAACGGCGCAACCAAAAUAACAUUGUCAGAAGCAGUUAGUUGAGGCACAUCCUCAUUCCUGGACUCAUCGAGGGACACAGCGCUAUCCUCCGGCGGUCCAAAUAACUGCUUAUAGUAUUUGGUGAUGUAAAGCUUCAGAUUAUCAUGACCAACAAUUGUGCCUUCGUCUUGCUUGAGAUGGAAUAUAUUUUUCUUUCUGUGUUUGCCAUUCGCAAUGAGGUGAAAGAAUUGAGUGUUCGCAUCCCCCUGGAUUACUUUGCGAACCUUUGCUCUGAGCGCCCACUUCAGCUCUUCUUCGCGGAGAAGUUCCUUCAACCUCUUCUCCGCAUCAAGCUUAAAAGUCAAUUCAGCAGGUUGCAAAAUUGUUGAUUCAGCUUUAAUAUCUAGGGAUUGUAUAAGAUCCAGGAGUCUGUCCUUCUCAAUCUUAUAAGCUCCACUAAGGUGCUUGGCCCAUCCCCGGAGAAAGCUCCUCAAAUGCCUGAUCUUAUUCUGCCAUCUCUCGACAGACGUUCUACCCCCUGUGUCCGUAGCCCACUCCCUGGCUACGAGAUCCAGGAAACCUUCUCGUUCAAACCACGCCGUUUCGAAAGAGAAGGCAUUUUUGUUUCCCACAUGCCUUGGCUCACCUGAGUCUACAAACAAAGGCGUGUGGUCUGAAAUCCCGCGCGUGAGAGCCUGAACCGUGACGAGAGGGAACUUCUGUUCCCACUCGGCACUUGCUAGUACCCGAUCCAACUUCUCAUAUGUCGGAUUGGGUAAAGAGUUAGCCCAGGUGAAUUGUCGACCAAAAAGCUCGAUCUCUCUCAGAUCCAAACUCUCAAUGAUGGUGUUAAACAUAAACGACCAUCUGCCGUCAAAGUUAUCGUUAUUCUUCUCGUCCCUCCUCCUAAUGAUGUUGAAGUCCCCCCCAACCAAAAUUGGGAGUUGCUCAGACCCGCAAAUACGAACAAGGUCAGCUAGAAAUUCCGGUUUAAGCUUAGGUUGUGCCGCCCCAUAGACCGCCACCAGAACCCAGUUAAACCCAUCUACUUUAGACCUGACUCGAAAUUUGACCGCGAAGUCACCCAUUACAACGCUACGAACUUCAAGGGAAUCACAUCUCACACCAAGCAAGAUGCCACCAGACCUCCCUCUUGGAGGAAGACAAUGCCAAUCGAAAUCCACACCUCCCGACAGCGUGUUAAGAAACUGUGGCGCAAAAUUAUCCCGACCAGUUUCAGAGAGUGCAAUGAAAUCUAAUCGGUGCUCUAAAGACGCCUCCGCUAGAAACCUUCGUUUAGCCAAGUCCUUAAGACCUUUGCUAUUCUAGAAUAUUCCUUUCAUAGGUCAUCAUGGAAUUUUUUGGCAGUACGAAUCCUAGCGCUCCUACGUACCGCGGAUGCAGGGUACACCUUCCGCUUCCACUUACGUUUAGGAAUAUUAUUUCCCGCAGGCCGGUCCUCAUAACCGGGCUCCGGUUGUGGAAUUACUACAUCAUCCACACGGAGUUCCUCCUCGUCAGACUCCGCAGACGGAGGAAGAAGAUCCGCACAAAAAUGGUCAAGCACUCUUACUCCCAAUGCAUCAAUCUCAGCAUCAUUCAUAGGUCUUACCGCCGCUAGGUUUCUAAUGGUUUCUAAGGCACGUUCCGCUUCCAAAUCUAGGAGAUCGUUAACUGAGUUUGAAAUUUCAGAAUUAUUAUUCCCAAGCGACACCCCUACUUGGUUUGCAUUAUUAAUAAUCUCAUCCUUAGAAAAAUGCAAAAUGGAAUUGGAUAAAUUUACUGACAUACCGGUUGUGACCUCAACAUCACGAAGCUUGGCCGCCCGCAUAGCGCACUGCUGCUGCAUAUCAUCAACCUCUGGAAGGUCCUGGAGACGAGAGCUCAUCCGUCUCCCCUCGGAGACCGGGUCUGGGAUCCCUCCGAAAGCAAUGACCUCCUCCCGAGUAGCGGCACUCGGAGGGGGAAGGCACGAGGGAGACCUCCGAAGGUUGGGAGAGAGGCCAGAGGAAGUGGGCGCCAAGGCCGCCUGCCCUAGUCCGUCCCCCCCUGCCCUCACCCUCGCAGCCGAGUGCACCGCCGUCUCGACCGCCGUCGAGACUAGGGGGUCUGGGGCCACCUGCCCCUGACGCCUGCCUAGCGCCUCCGGCGAUCCCUCCGCAAGCAUAGCUCCCGCGUGGCACUCCUCCAGGGCCACCUGCCCCAGAGAUGAACCACCACCGCCGGUUACCGGCGCCAAAGCUGUCGACACCGGUAACAAGGUAGUAUGAGAGGGAGUCUUGGCCGCCUGCCCCGAAGCCCCCCCCCCCCCCUUGGUGUAGCUACCAAGUCGAGCUCAAAUCGGCUGCACGAGGACACCAAGUACCCUGGGAGCACCGGAGCCCCCUGAGGCUCCGCAGCGCCUAUCCUCUCCAGGGUCGGCUCGGAUACACCCGGAUCACGGAUGCCGUCCGUAAGACGGAGCGCCGAUCCAAAGUCCAAAACCGGGAGCGAGUGCUCAAAAGCAUCGUCAGAGUCAACCCGAUCACUCCAAAGCCGAGGAGGGGCCGACGUCGGCUGAAAAGAUCCAAACCGCAAAGUGUUGUGAGGCAGAGACGAAGUAGGAGACGGCUCAACUCCGGAUCCGGUCUUGGGCUCCUGAGCUAUAGGUCCCGAUCCGUUGGACUCCUGUUUAGCCUCAUCGGUCGGUCCCCUCCUAGCACCAGCAUCAUCGCCCCCUUCGUGCAUAUCCACAUCAGUACCAGUAGCCACCUCAGCAAACAACUCAGCGUCCUCAAACUCGAUCUCAAGGGGAAACACCUCUCCCCUAUAUGUCCAGUUGACCAUGUCCGGAACGUACUCUAUGUCUAGAAUACUGACUCGCAAUCUGGCCACCCCCUAGGCUCGAGUGAAUGCCAUAUCAACCUUUUCCGUUUUACCAACCAUGAUACCCAAACGAGCCACAACACGAACAUCAGCCAGGGCCUCAGAUGGUGCCCCAGAGAAGCGCAACCACACUUGAGUAAGAGGCUUCCCCUUAGGCUCAAAUUUCUUCCAUUCGUGAAACUCCAAAAUACCAUUGGUGCCUGGCACCUUACACAUCCCAAAGCUCAGCAAGCGCUGCAAGUCCUCAACUGAAGGGAACUCAACUCUGAACACUCUUUCUUCAAUGGAAACAAGGUCCCACUGAAAAUCACCCGGAGCCAACUCCUGAAGCCUCUGCACAAUCUGAGCCUGUGAGACAUCUCCCUAGGUGACGUUCACCAAACCAGUAGUGAGACUCUGAGUAUCAACUGGAAUCUCCCUCCCAGCUGCUGACUCAAAAAACAUCAGCUCAACAUAAUACACGCCGUACACUGUAAGAGCUGGAAUCUGCUCCCUCAAAAAAGGACACUCCCCCGAUGCAUGUGCUGGCUUGCCACAAGACUCACAAAGCUGAGCCACGCAUUCUGCAAUGAAAUGACCUUUCUUCCCGCACCGGUAACAAAGCAUCCUCUCUUUCUUGCGCGCAUACUUGGAUACCCGCUCAGCAUCAGCCCUGUCAGCGACCUCAGUCUCCUUUCCAGUCCCAGGAACAUCAGCAACGGCCAGUGCAUUCACCACCUCCAUCGCCUGGGGUGGUAGCUCAGGGGGAACCUGGUCAGUCUCCAUUGCCGCAACGGCAGGGUCUGCAACCCUGGGUGGAGGCGGUCGGCGAAACCUCCCUCGGCCUCCACCACGACCACGGUAUCCACAAAACCACCUCUCUGUCGAUUAUCCGGUCCUGAGGCCCCCUCAACAAAACCUCCAGAUGGGCCAAGAAAAGGUCUCUCCGUAGACCCGUCACUCUGCCAUGCAUAUCCACGGCCUCCUCCCGUGGAAGAGGAUCCUCGAUGCUGACCAACACCAUAUGCAUCAUAACCGUCAUCCCCCCACUUGCCUCGUGGUGGAUCAUUUGGACCUCCAUUAUUAUUAGUCUGUCUGGCCUGUGACUGCGUCUGCCCAAAGCGGUUCUGCGCCUGCCGUGCGACAAGAUGAGGCGGAGGUGCAUGUUGCUGUCCACCCGAAGGCACAUGCACGGCCUCGGGGGUAACACCUCCACGGCCAGCCGUAGCCACCCCCGGCACAGGGGGUCUGUGACCAACCGAACCCACCGCCGCCGUCACAGCGGCUGGCGCCACCGGAGAAGGAGGCCGCUGCACACCCCGGCCAGCAGCAGACGGAGCCAGUCCCGGCGCCGGGGGCCUUUGCCCGCCACACCCAGCCGCAGACGGCAGCAAAGCCGGAGGCCGGGCUCCCUGGCUCGCGGCGCUCCCCUGGUUGCCCGCCUGCUGCCUCAAGGGAGGAGGAGGAGCUCCGCGGUGCUGUGGGGGAGGCGCCCCUCCCCGCCCCGCAGCACCCGUAGCCGGCGCCGGCGGCCGCUGUCCGUGCGGCACGGGGGCGCCACAGCCCGAACCCUAUGCCGGCGGCGGAGCAACUCCGCCCCUCCCCACCGCGCCAUUCGCAGCGGGUGGGGGGGGGGGGCAGUCCCCCGGCCAGCCAUAAGUCUCAGCGGCGAAAUCCUCCUUGCCCGGCGAUCACCGCAGACCGGUUACCCUCGACGCCCGCACCUACGAACCCUAACUCCACCCAACGACGGCGCAGGGUAGAUCCCACGAUCGGGUUCAUACGUGCAUGGCUCGACAACCAAACCGGGAUGGACUUCAGAGGUAACAUGGGCCUCAUACCCAUGUGUCUCCGGCCCAUCUCCCUCAAGGCCCGCAUCCGUCUGUGCUGGCCCAGCCGCACCCAGCAGUCGUUCCAGCGCGGCCGCCCUCGACGUUUGAAUCAAGGCCGCUGCGGCCGCCAUGACCGGCGCCGGCGAUCCCAAACUCCGGACCGAUCGCCGCACCUUCUUUCUUCGCUUAACCGUAACCCACUCCUCCGGAUGAAUCAAAUCAAAAACAGUAAGUUUUGUCAAACUAACCUUAGGUAAAGGUCCUUUCCACGGCCGGAGUGCCGUUACCGUUGUCUUCCGAUGAACGAUCCGGCGGAUCAUCUCGAUCCUCUCUCCGGCGUGUAGUCCCGCGCGAGCCGGAUCCUCCGGAGGAACGACCCGAUCUACCGUGGUAGCCACCUCCUCUUUGGAAUACCCUGAAUGGAAAAACUCGCAGAUGAGGUCAGAAGGGGAAGGCGACGGCGGGGACUCCACCGGCGGCGCCGCCCCAUCAUCUUCCGCGUCUUCUUCAUCAGAGUCCGCCAAAGCCCAAAACCGGCCUCCCACCCGCCGGCGAUCGCCGGUGCCGGACGGCGGAUCCGCAGUCGGGCGCAAGUCGCCCCCGCGGUCGCCCUCAGAGCGCCCCCUCGAUCGCCCCAUCCAGCUAGGCCUCACUGCGGCGGUGAUAAUAUAUUUGUCACGACACUGCGGCUGCCACGUGGUGCACCACGAUCAGUGUGACCGAUCAAUAAAUCCCACCUACGAUCUAACAAAUUUGUUGCCUCUCAAUUUUCGCAUGUUUUUGAAGUUGUAGUCUCAGAAUCAACACAACACAAAAGAUGGCCAUACUUUACAUGUUAGGCAAUCCCCUAUACGUUUCUGUAAACUAGCAAUGUAGCCCAUGUAAAUGCACAUGCAGAGUCUUUUAAUCAUCUAUCGUAUAUUAUUGAUCAAGUUACAUACAAAGUGUGAUUCAUAAAUUCCGGAAUAUAUUUAGAUUUUUUAUUUAUUAUUUUCACAGCUACUAGAGAAAUGAAUCAUAUCCCAAAGAAUUAAUAUUAAAACAAAUUUAGUUGCCCCAGCCAAAAUAUAAUAAUACAUAACUAAAAUUAACGUAUUAUAUGCUUUAAUAUCGGAAAAGACAUGUAGCUGUGUAAAUAUCUUCUUUUCGCUAUGCAAAUCUCUUGAUUUCACGAAACUUGAAAUACAAGUCAGACGGCUACAUUAACAAAUCUUCAAAUUUGAUUGAUAUUAAUUGUUUUUAUAUUCACUUGAUUAUUUUUAAUUUUUAAUUUUCAUUACGUUUAUGUUACUAAUAUUUACAACAACAACAACAACAACAAGAAUGUCUUUAGUCCCAAACAAGUUGUGGUAGGCUGGAGUUGAAACUUAUAAGAUCUCACAAUCAACUCAUGGUUCUCGCACAUGGAUAGCAAGCUUUGUUGUCUCGGAACCUAAAUGGGUAUGAAAUUGAUGUCCAAAUCAUGAGUUGGCUUACCAUUUCGACUUCAUAUUAGUUUGAUAUGUAAAUUUUGUACGCGAUGUUGGCAAGUCCUUAAGUUAAAGAAAAAGAAGUUUAAAUAAUAAUUUAUUGGUUUUACCAUGGUUUAGGUCCAUUACGAAUUUAGAUAUUACAAUAUCGUUCCCACUUGAAAUUAAAUAGUUUUAUUGCGCACUAUUUUCAUAUAUGUUCCCAUAUUGUCUAAGGCUUGUGUGAUGUUCUCUUUAGUUUUAAUUAAAGAUCCUUUUGAAAGAGCAUAACCUGAGAACGGUGACCUUUUUCUAUUCUAAUAUGGACACACCGAGUUCCUAAACAUUAAAAAAACGAGGAAUUUUUAUGUAUCUCCCAUUGGCCUUUUUGCAUAGACCAAUAAUAAUGUUGGCGAUGGUCUUCAUCAAGUAGCAAGGACAAACAUAAAUUAACCGAAUAUUUCUCUAAAUGAACUGGUGUGAAGGUGUUUUUUUUAAAUUGAAGUAAUGCCACAUCAAGCACAGUAAGACAUGUUGAACAUGCCAUCAUUGAAAUGUCUCAGUACAUUAAUAAGAAGAAAUGAAAUAAAAUCACAUACGUGGUUAUUUCUUCAACACUCCUUGUGCAACAUUCUUCUAUGUUUUUCAACUACAGUUCCCCUGAAAAAAAAAAUGCUAAUUUCUGAACUCAAGUGAUGGACCUUUAAAUAAUCUCUUUGUAAAUGUUCCAAAAUUAUAUAGAGUUUGAAAAUUUUGUACACUACUUAUCUCGUACUUAUUAUUCUGCCUGAGAUCGGUAGAUGCCUACUUGCCAAAUUAUAAUGACAUAAUGCAGACAAAACAUGGACCACUGCUCAGGUAGAAGCUUAUGUUUCUAGAGAAUUAUAAACAUAAGAAGCAAGUUAGGAAGAAAGUUGCAUAUUAGUCCUAUCUAUGGAUGACAAAGAAGAAGUACAUACAUUACUUAUAGGAUGGCAUAGUAUUUUAUAUAUUUGGCAUCACCAUGUCUACCUUUCUUUAAAUUAUAUACAAGGAUGACCUUAGGAUGCUUCUUACUAAGAAAUACCUUUGUUGUUGCAUGUACAUAUCAGUUUUAGGUCUAGCAAGCUAAAAGCAAAUAGGAGGUGAUGACAUCUCCGCCUCCUACACCCUGGCUCCACUUCGGGUUCACCAUCCAAUUUUUUGUGCAUCGUAGUGCUUUAUUAUGUAUGAAAGCCAGCAUGGUGCCAGCUCAAUGAGGUGCUGGAUUAGGAAGAUGGUUGACAUCGGUGGUGGAUGGUGGCUCGAAAAGGCUUCAGCGGGAGCUUAGCAUCAGUGGCGGAGGGUAUCCUCACUUGUGUGGAUGCAUCUUGUUCACAAGAUUAACACAUGACAAGAUGAUGGAAUAUGACAUGGACUUGUGAUUCACAAGGAAUGGAAAUGGAUAGAAGGAAAAUUUUAGUUUAGUAUUGAAUUGCGCGCGGUUACAACUUCCAAUCAUGUCGACUACCAUAAUUACUCAGUGGAUGUAUGGACUACUGGGAUGAAGAGCAUAAUUACUUGUUUCCCAAAGAGUUAACCAUGGAAAUGUUUUUGGUUGAUUGGUUGAUCGGUACCAUAGGUGGUUCUUUUGACUGGUUUAAUGCCCACAUUAAGUGGAACUGCUAUGAGAUAAAGGUGUACUAUUGUUCAAGAAAAAAAUGUUCUAAAUUAAUAAAGGAUGGAUACAUGUUUUGAAAUAGCAAUUGUAGUACAGUUUCCAGUCCUGUACAAGAUAGGCUCACCUCACAAAUAUGAAAAAGUAGUAUAGUAAAAGGUAGGCUCACACCCCACAUACUGAUGAAUGGAUGGACAUAUGACAACAUAGUUCUCCUUGGUAAUUCUGCAUCUAAUCUUAUCUAUAUUAACUAAUUGAAAGCAUCCUACAAGUCGUCAUGGUAAUUCGAGGAUAUCAUCGCACAAAACAGAAAUAAAGUUUCUUAAAUGUUCAAGAGGAAUUGUGUAUGUUCUCAAGAUAUGCGAAAAAAAUUACAAAUCCAAAUUAAAAUACACAUAGAGAGACAAUGAAGACAAAUCUAAAUGUGAAUAGUGUCAUUUUCGUUGUUGUCUUUUUGUGACACUAUUCAUGCUGGAUUAUUGUUUCUUCGUGUGUAUUUCAGAAUUAAAUUUGAUGUUUUUAGUAACUUACACACAUAUCUUGUGAGGAUUUACAAAUAUUCUAAGUUGAAACAUUAAAAUUUGAGUUUAAUAUAUUGGUAUCACGAUAAGCUUUUAACAUAGUAUCAAUAACUAUUCUCAGCAAAAGUACAUCUAAUUUCUUGCUCUUUAAAAUAACUCCACAUAGAGGGUUUUUAUUUCUUAGGAUAAUGAUACACCAUAGCAAGAGAGUCCUCUCGCAAUUUACAUGGCAUAUGGAGUACAUCUUAUAUUAAAACAAUUGUUUAAUGCCCAAAGUUGAUUGGAACGUCGAGCGCAAGCAUAAUACUAGUCCAAAAAUAUUGUUCUAAAUAAAUAGAAAUUUUGACCAUUAAUCGGAUAAAAAUUAUGAGUGAUAUGCCAUCAAAAUUUUACCAUGGAUAACUUCUUGAACUUGAAUCCUAUUAUAAAGUUUUUAUUAACGUAUACCUCAUAAUUUGUUGACCAAAAUAACCGCUCCAAUUUUAAUUAAAUAUAUGUUAGCCUUAAAAACACAAACGGAGCGAGGAUAUGAUAUCUUAGAUCCCAAAGCUUGACAAAUGCCUAGGCAUAGGGUGGUAUUGUGCCCCUUUGGAUUUUUUUUGUCUUGUAUCAUCUAAUUGGAGGCUUCAACGGGAGGUUGGCAUCAGUGGCGGAGGGUAUCGUCACUCGUUGGGAUACAACCUGUUGACCAAAUUAACACAUGACAAGAUGAUAGAUAGGUCGCAUAGACUUGUGAUUGACAAGGAAGGGAAAUAGAUGGACGGAAAAUUUUAGUUUGGUGUUGGAUUUCAUGCGGUUGUAUCUUCUAAUCAUGUCGAAUCCCACAAUUACUCGGUGGAUGUAUGGACUACUUGGCUGAAGAGCAUAAUUAUUUGUCUGAGCAAGAGUUAACUAUGGAAAUACUUUUGGUUGAUCGGUACCAUAGGUAUUCAUUUUGACUGGUUUAAUGCCCACAUUAAGUGGAACUGCUACGAGAUCAAGGUUUACUAUUGGUCAAGAAAAAAAUGUUCUAAAUUAAUAAACAAUGAAUACAUCUACUGAAAUAGCAUCAGUAGUAUAGUUUCCAGUCCUGUACAAGAUAGGCUCACCUCACCGAUAUGAAACAGUAGUACAGUAAAAGAUUGGCUCACAUCCCACAUCCCGAUGAAUGGAUGGAGAUAGGACAACAUGGUUCUCCCUUGUAAUUCUGCAUCUAAUCCUAUCUAUAUUGACUAAGUGAAAGCAUCCUUCAAGUCAUCACGUUAAUACAUGGAUACCAUUGCACAAAACAAAAAUAAACUAUCUAAAAUGUUCAAGAGGAAUUGUGUAUGUUCUCAAGAUAUGCAAGAAAAUUACAAAUCAAUACACAUAGAGAGACAAAGAAGACAAAUCUAAAUGUGAAUAUUGUCAUUUUCAUUGUUGUCUUUUUGUGACACUAUUCAUGCAGGAUUAUUGUUUCUCCAUGUGUAUUUCAGAAUUGAAUUUGAUGUUAUUAGUAACUUACACACAUAUAUUGUGAGGAUUAACAAAUAUUCUAAGUUGAAACAUUAAAUUUUUAGUUUUAUAUGUAGUGGUAUCGCUGUAAGAUUUUAACAAAAGUAACACUAAAUAUUCUAAGCAAAAGUACAGCUAAUUUCUUGAUCUUUAAAAUAGAUCCACUUGGAGGGUUUUUAUUUCUUAAGACAAUGAUAUACCGUUGCAAGAGAGUCCUCUCCCAACUUACAUGGCAUAUGGUGUUCAUCUUAUAUGAAAACAAUUGUAUAAUGCCCAAAGUUGACUGGAACGUCGAGCACAAGUGUAGUACUAGUCCAAAAAUAUUCUUCUAAAUAAAUAGAAAUUUUGACCAUUAAGUUGGAUAAAAAUUAUGAGUGAUAUGCCAUGAAAAUUUUAGAAAGGAUAACUUCACUUGAACUUGAAUCUGAUUAUAUAGUUUUUAUUAACAUAUACCUCACAAUUUGUUGACCGAAAUCACCGCCCCAAUUUUUACUUAAAUAUGUUUGAGCCUAAUGAACACAGACGGAGCGAGGACAUGAUAUCUCAGAGCCCAAAAAUUGAUGAAUGCCUAGUUAUAGGGUGGUGUUGUGCUCCUUCGGAUUUUUUGUCUUAUAUGAUCUAAUUGGAGACAUACUUGGAGCCAACACAUUAUUGCUAGAAAAAAAUAGAUUUAAUAGAUUGAUCUUAAAAAUAAGUCUGCAUAACAGUUCAGUGUUCUAACCGCGUAGUUAGAUAUUACUAGCAAUUCACAACUCUUAUGCGGUACAUGUUCUGAGUAUUUACCACCCGCCUAAAAAUGUGCUAGGCAUAAGGAUGAUCCCAAUAGGUUCAUUGUUCAUUCAGGAGGCUCACGCCGAGAGUAGGCAGUGAUCCUCGAUGAUCUCCUCCCAUGGAUCGUCUCUAUCUCCGUGUUGUCUAGAUGCGGGAAAAGAUUAUUAUGGCAUCACUCUGGUUUAGUAUUUAAUCAUGCGGUGGAAAAUAAAGGAUUGGAUGACUGCAGACUAUAUAGUGUGCCUUUUGACAAUGCAUUGGCAGGUGAGUUCAUACAUAUUAGUUCUAGAGUACAUAAUUAUUGAUUGGUUAAAUAUAGAUUGCUUAUACCUACUUGUGUAGUUUAAUAAUACGACUUAUUCUAAUGGUUUUUAUAAUCCCACCAGGCCAGAAGCUUCGUGGACUUAAGCAUUUACUUUUCUAGUUAGACAUCAACAUCUUGGAGCUAAUGUGGGAGCCGUUCAACAAACCACAUGUUAAGCUAAAUAUCUAUUGUGUUACCCAAGCUAGGAGAUUAUCUUUGACGGGGGAAACUAUGUGUUUUGGGGAUUUUUAUGUCAAGGGAGCCCAAUCAGUUCUCAAUUGAGUGAAUUGAAAAACAGAAAACCAUAGAAAGGACUAGCAGAAAACGGGCCUUUAGUCCCGGUUCUGAAACCGGGACAAAACAAACGGGACUAAUGCCCAAAACCUUUAGUUCCGGUUGGCUUAUGACGCGGGACUAAAGGAGCUCCACGUUGCCGCUGUCUGGAGCUCCACCUUUAGUCCCGGUUGGUAACACCAACAAACACCAAUCGGGACUAAAGAAAUUUUUUUAAAAAAUAGAAUUUUUUUUGAAUUUUUUUGAAUUUUUUCCGAUUUCAAAUAUCUGAAUUAUUUGACAAUUUAAUCUCUAAUCACCCCUCAUCACUGCCCAAGUGUGGAGCACUCAUUUCAAAUCGUCUAAGUUCUCGGCUGAUUACCCAUCCUCUCACUAUUCCAGCCUAAGCAUGCUUAAAACUCCCAAGGUCUAUUCCCCCUAGUUUCCAAGUCUGCACUUGUUUUUCUGCUCACAAUAGUAAACUGUCAAUUCUAUUAACCCUUAGGAAAUGAAAUUGAGCAUGAAGUCACACGUUUCACCAUUUGAGUUCGAAACUAUUAUUCUAAAAAACAAUAUUUAUUUAGUAACAAUAAUAUUUCUUGAACAAGUAGUUUGACCAUAGUUUGACCAGAGUUUGGCCAAAAAUUCAAAAAAGCUUAAAUUUGAGGAUAACUUUUUUCUUUUCAGAAUUUGAGGAUACUAAAAAUUUGCAAAACGGCAUGCGGCGGUCGAAAUUGGAACCGGCUUUCCAUACUGAACAUUUUGAUAUAUUAUACGUUUUUUUCGACAUCGUAUGGAAAAGUUAUAGCCGUUUUCAUAACUCUUUUUUCAAAACAUGUCGAAAUUUAUGUUUUUUAUUUUUCCUAACUAGUAGAUAUAGUAACAUAACUACAUCUCGAAGGAUUUUAAUUUUUGAAGUUUUUAUCAUUUUCUUUUGUUUUUUUCCAAACUGAAAUGGCGAUAGGGGGUAGAGUUUGAAAAUUGCAGAACCCCUUUAGUACAGGAUGGUGUCCAUCCAAUCCGGCCGUCGACUACAUCUUCUAGCACCGUCCCAGCCAGAGUCACAACUACGGUUAACCAAGCGAGAGUAACGUUCUAUUAAUGUGGCAAAAGGAAUUACUUUUUAAUAUAGUAAAACUAAUUAUAUCAACUAUUAUUAAAGACUAAACAACUAUUAAUACAAAACAAUAUUAAAAUUAAUAUUAAAUAAUUAUAAAAACUUAUCUACUGUUGGCUAACAGAAGCAUACUACAACAUGUUAAAAUCUACAAAAAGAACUACUAAAAAUAAUUGAAAACAACAAUUAGAGGACUAAAACAACUAUAUAAGCAAAAUAGUACUAUUUUAAUUAAAACUCUAUUUUAAAUUGUUCUAAAAAUAACAAAAUAAAUCUUACCGUGACAACAAUCUAACAUGUGAUUAGGAGAAAAAGAAUUAAAUUUAAAACUAUUUUUAAACUAAAAUUAUUCACAAUCUACGGUUUGAAGCAAGUUUGAAAAAAAUCAUAUUUAAAUAAUUCAAAUUUGAUAAUGGCACAAACAGAAACUAGGCAAAAUUUUGAAUCUAAUGCAAAAAAGAAUCACUCAAAAACAUUAGAUAUCCUAAAAGAUAUAAGCAAUUUAAAACAGAAACUAAAAAUAAAAAACAAAAAACAAAUUUCAAAACCCCUUUAGUCCCGGUUGGUGGCUCCAACCAGGACUAAAGGUCCUCAACCCCUUUAGUCCCAGUUGGUGGAGGUCUAAUCUUUAGUCCCGGUUGGAGAUAGCAACCGGGACUAACGGGCAUCGCACCUUUUAGUCCCGGUUGGUGUCUCAAAUCAGGACUAAAGGUCCCAUUUGAAUAGGUACUAAUGCGUGCCCGGUGCCCUAACCGCUCGUAUCGGGACUGAUGCUCACAUUAGUCCCGGUUCGUAAUGCAACUAGGACUGAUGUGUAGAUUGAGCUUGGACCAAAGCCAUGUUUUCUACUACUGACGUUCGACACAAUAUAUUACCCAUGUUGCUUUAGUUAACCUAUUUAUAUUAUGUGGGUGGUGUAGCAUCCAAAAUCAAUGCAGUUAAUUCUGUCUGUUCCAGAAAAUGGUUAUCAACUUCCCAUUUUGUUCUAGCAUUCUUUAUUUCUUACAAAUGUUCUUCUACAAAUAAUCCAAUCAUGAUUGCUACCCAUAUGGUGGGAUGCAGCAUAGUAUAAUUGUAUUUUACAUUGACGGGAUUACUUUUAAUUUAUAAUUUUCAUAACAUCUAAGUUUCUUUUGUUUACUUAACUAUAAAAUAAAUAGUGGUCUAGGAGCAUCUUUUCUACAUAUUUCUAAAACUUAAAUAAAGUAAAUAUAUUUUAAAAUCAAAUUAUUUGUAUUUAUCUUUGGUUUCUACUCAAUAAAGAAGAGAUAUACAUAAGCCUUAUGAGAUAUAUACUCCAUUGUAGAUUAUUAAUUAGGGAAAUUUGUCGUCGAUAUAAUUCAUGCUAUGUUGAUCAUUGUCACGCCAUACAUAUCCUAUCUGGUCCACCACAUAUACAAUGGGUAAGUAUCAUUGUCUGAGAUUUAAAAUAGAUAUGAAAUUAAAUUCCAAAUCAUGAUAUUGGCAAGUCAUUAACUUAAAUCAGAAGAAAUUAAAGUAAUAAUUUAUAUGUUUUAUAUUGUUCCGGUCAAUUUGGAAUAUAUAGAUUACAAUGGUCUUCCAAUUGCAAAUAACUGAAAAUAAAUAAUUUGAUUACGAAGUACUUUCGGAUAUGUCCCCAUAAUGUCUACUGUUUAUGUGAUGUUCUUUUUAGUUUUUAUGAAUAUUCCCUUUGAAAUGGAGGCACAAGUUCAGCAUAGUUACUUUUUUCUAUUCUAAUAUGGACAUACCAAGUUCAUAAAAACUAAAGGUUAAUGAUUUUUUACGUAGCUCUGGUUGCCCUUUUGGCAUAGCCCUAUAAUAAUGCUGCUGAUGGCCUUUGUCAAGUACCUAGGACAAACAUAAAUUGACUAAAUAUUUCUAUAAUUUGACAAUGAAGUGGUCUCAAGGCAUUUUUUAAAACUAAACUAAUGCCACAUCGAACACAAUAAGAACAUGUUGAACAUGCAACCAGGGAAAUGUGACAGUAGGUCAAUAAGAGGAAAUGAAACAAAAUCACAUCGUGCAUUCUUCUAUGUUUUUCAAUUCCAAUUCCUCUUAGAAGAAUAGUAAUUUGUGAACUGAAGCGAUGGACUGGUAAAUAAUCUUUUUGUGCAUGUUAAGAAUUAUCACGAAUAUUUCUAUAAUUUUAUGAACAGACUGAAUAUUUCUAUAAUUUUACAGUGAAGUGGUGUCAAGGAAUUUUUUAAACUGAAGUAAUGCCACAUCAAACACAAUAAGAACAUGUUGAACAUGCUACUAGGGAAAUGUGUCAGUAUGUCAAUAAGAGGAAAUAAAACAAAAUCACAUACAUGAAUUUUUAUUGCUUCGACACUUUCAUGGUGCAUUCUUCUAUGUUUCGCAAUUCUAAUUCCUCUUAGAAGAAUAGCUAAUUUGGUUACUGAAGCGAUGGACAGGUAAAUAAUCUUUUUGUGCAUGUUAAGAAUUAUCACGAGUAGGAAAAUUCCAUAAACUACUUUGCCAAUACUUACACUUCUGGUUGAGAUUGGUAGAUGUCUACUUGAAAAAUUACAAUGACUUAACGCAGUCAAACAAUGGACAAUUGCUUUGGUAGAAACUUGUGUUUUUGGAGCAUUACAGCAAGUCAUGAUUAAACGUACAGAUAGGACCUAUCUAUAGAAUAACAAAACAAACAAAUACAUUACUUAUGAUGGCAUAGUCACUUUUAGACUUUGCAUUACCAUGUCUACCUUCUUUGAGAUUAUACACUAAGAUGGCCUUAACAUGCUUGUUACUGACAAACCAACUUUUGUUGUCAGAGUUACGAAUUGGUUUUAGGUCUCACUACCUAAAGGUAACCAGGAGGCGUUGGCAUCUUCACCUCUCAGCCCGCUAGCACCGCUGUGGGUUCGCGAAUUUAGCUGCGAAAUAACUUUACAAGAAAUCCGGACACUACCAAUCCUUAAACAUUUCUGGAAACCACAAUCAAAACAAAAAAUACUGAGUCUCUUAAACAAGAUAUUCUAAAACUUAGGUAAUUUAUAGCAUCCAAUAUUUUCGUGCGGCGUAGUGGUUUAAUCCAUAUGAAAGCAAGCAUGGUGGCAGCCGGAUAAGGCAAUGGGUCAGGCAGGAGGUUGAGAUCGGUGGCGUCGUGGCGGGGCAAAGAGGCUUCAGCCGGAGCUUGGCAUCUGUUGCAGCGGGUGUCGUUGCUCGUGGUGAUGCAACCUGCUGAACAGUGUAACACAUGACAAGAUGGACAACGGCCAUGGACUUGUGAUUAUCAUCGAAGGGAAAUAUACGGUAGAGAUGUUUUAGAUUAGGUUUGGGUUCGAUGUGGACGCAACUUUUUCAAUCAUGCUGAAUCCCACAAUUAACUUGGUGAGUGUAUGGACGGCUGAGCUGAUGAGCAUAAUUAGUUGUUUGACCAAUACUUAAUGAUGAAACUUUCUCAGGUUGAUCGGUAGCACAGGUAGUCGUGUCAGAAAUUUUUGAUGCCCACAUUGAGUGGAACUGUUUGGAGCUCGAGGUGUACUACUUGUCCGGAAAAUAUUGUUCUAUAUAAAUAUACGAUGGAUACAUCUUCUAAAAUACUCUCUCCCUUUCUAAAUAUUUGUUUCUUAGAGAUUUUAAAUGGACUACUACAUAUGCGGAUGUAGAUAGACAUAUUUUAGAGUGAGAUUCACUGAUUUUGCUCUGUAUGUAGUCACUUGUUGAAAUCUCAAGAAAGACAAAUAUUUAAGAACGGAGGGAGUAGUAUUAAUAGCACAGUGAUGCAGUCUUGUACUCCCUCCGUCCCAAGAUAGGCUCACAUCGCAGAGAGAGAGCGAGAGAGAGAGAGAGAGAGAGAGAGAGAGAGAGAGAGAGAGAGAGAGAGAGAGAGAUGGGGUUCAAACAAGCAGAAUUAUCUGGUUGUUGAUACUACCCCAUAACUCAAUAGUCGGAUAUUGAUAAGAUAUGUAUGGAUGCGGCGGCUACUACGGCCACACGUUGGGGGUGCGUAGCUGAUGGCCCGUUAUUGCAACCAUCUGGCCUUCAUUAGUGCAGACAAUUAAGAGUCAACGAAAGUAGUCUUUUCAAGUGAAUUUAAUGUUGGGUGUCCGCAAGCACAAACAAACCACACUUUACAAUGGGACGUGGAAGCUUGGAGAUGCUAUCACAGCCACAGCUCGUCGUCUUAAUCUGAACUAACUCCCUGGAGCUCGAUGGGAACAGCUACUCUAACUUCCUGUUUCUGAACACCAGCAGAAGCGACGGCGGCGCCGGAAACAGUCUUGUUCAUAAUACUCACAAGUAUGAAGCAGCUGAGCUGUUGUCGAGUUCAUAAACAUAAGUUCGGAAUUACAGGUUGGUGAAUGACAGUGAGCUUCCUGCCAACCACCCUGGCCAUCUGUCCAAGUGAAAGCAAUGGAUAGAUUAACAACUGCAUAUUCCUGCCUUUAUGAGACUAUUACGCUGGAAUCCCCAAAAGGACGGCAAAUGAAAUGACACAUUAUAAUUAAUCGCCAUGAUACUUGUAUGAUGCUCAGUAAGGACACGGCAACGAGGUGGUGAUUGUGAUCUUCUGGCUUCUCUCAUGGACCGAUACUCGUUAAUUGUUGUGAUGAUCAAGGCGGUGAUAUAUAUUUAUCACGACACCACCGCAUCCACACAGCGCACCGCCCCCCAAUCGUAUGGUCCAUUAAUAAAUCCUACUUAUGAUCUAACAGAUGUGUUGCCUCUCAAAUUUUGCAUGUUUUUGGAGAACAUGUAGUCUCAGAAUCAAUACAACAAAAAAGAUGCCGCUGUUUACACGUUCCGUAAUAACCUUUACAUUUCUGAAAACUAGCAGCAAAGUGGCCCACGUAAAUGCACAUGUUUUAUAUAAAGUGAGACUCAUAUAAUUGGGAAUAUAUUCAACUAUUUUGUUUUAUUAGCUUCGUAACUAUUAGUUACAUACAAAGUGUGAUUCAUAAAUUCCGGAAUAUAUUCAGAUUUUUUAUUUAUUACUUUCACAACUACUAGAGAAAUGAAUCAUAUCCUAGAGAACUAAUAUUAAAACAAAUUUAGUUGUCGCAGCCAAAAUAUAAUAAUACGUAACUAAAAUUAAUGUAUUAUAUGCUUUAAUAUCGGAAAAGACAUGUAGCUGUGUAAAUAUCUUCAUUUCGCUAUGCAAAUCUCUUGAUUGCACGAAACUUGAAAUACAAGUCAGACGGCUACAUUAACAAAUCUUCAAAUUUGAUUGAUAUUAAAAAAAAAAUUAUAUUCAUUGGAUUAUUUUUAAUUUUUAAUUUUAAUUAUGUUGAUGUUACUAAUAUUUACAACAACAACAACAACAAUGUCGUUAGUCCUAAACAAGUUGUGGUAGGCUGGAGUUGAAACUCAUAAGAUCUCACAAUCAACUCAUGGUUCUCGCACAUGGAUAGCAAGCUUUGUUGUCUGGGAACCUAAAUGGGUAUGAAAUUGAAGUCCAAAUCGUGAGUUGGCCGACCAUUUCUACAUCAUAUUAGUUUGAUAUGCAAAUUUUGUAUGCGAUGUUGGCAAGUCCUUAAGUUAAAGCAAAAGAAGUUUAAAUAAUAAUUUAUUGGUUUUACCAUGGUUUAGGUCAAUUGCGAAUUUAGAUAUUACAAUAUCGUUCCCACUGAAAUUAAAUAAUUUUAUUACGCACUAUUUUCAUAUAUGUUCCCAUAUUGUCUAAGGCUUGUGUGAUGUUCUCUUUAGUUUUAAUUAAAUAUCCUUUUGAAAGAGGCAUAACCAGAGAAUGGUGACCUUUUUCUAUUCUAAUAUGGAGACACCGAGUUCCUAAACAUUAAAAAAUAGAGCAUUAUAAACAUAAGAAGCAAGUUAGGAAGAAAGUUGCAUAUUAGUCCUAUCUAUGGAUGACAAAGAAGAAGUACAUACAUUGCUUAUAGGAUGGCAUAGUAUUUUAUAGAUUUGGCAUCACCAUGUCUACCUUUCUUUAAAUUAUAUACAAGGAUGACCUUAGCAUGCUUCUUACUAAAAAAAUACCUUUGUUGUCGCACGUACAUAUCGGUUUUAGGUCUAGCAAGCUAAAAUCAAAUAGGAGGUGAUGACAUCUCUGCCUCCUACCCCCUGGCUGAGAAUAGUUAGUGACACAGUAUCACUAACUAUUCUCAGCAAAAGUAUGUCUAAUUUCUUGCUCUUUAAAAUAACUCCAUGUAGAGGGUUUUUAUUUCUUACGAUAAUGAUACACAUAGCAAGAGAGUCCUCUCGCAAUCUACAUGGCAUAUGGAGUUCAUCUUAUAUUAAAAAAUUGUUUAAUGCAAAAAGUUGACUGGAAAGGCGAGCACAAGCAUAGUACUAGUCCAAAAAUAUUCUUCAAAAUAAAUAGAAAUCGUGACCAUUAAGUCGGAUAUAAAUAAUGAUGAUAUACCAUGGAUAACUUCUCUUGAACCUGAAUCUGAUUAUAUAGUUUUUAUUAACAUAUACCUCACAAUUUGUUGACCAAAAUCACCGCCCUAGUUUUUUUAAAUAUAUGUGGGCCUUAUAAACACAGACGGAGCAAGGACAUGAUAUCUCAGAUCGCAAAGAUUGACGAAUGCCUAGGCAUAGGGUGGUGUUGUGCUCCUUCAGAUUUUUUUUGUCUUAUAUCAUCUAAUUGCAGGCUUCAGUAGGAGCUUGGCAUCAGUGGUGGAGGGUGUCCUUAGUUGUUGGGGUGAAACCUAUUGACCAGAUUAACACAUGACAACAUGAUAGACUGAUGCCAUGAACUUGUGAAUAACAGGGAAGGGAAAUAGAUGGAAGGAAAAUUAUAUUUUAGUGUUGGAUUGCGCGCGGUUGCAACUUCUAAUCAUGUCAAAUCCCACAAUUACUCGGUGGGUGUAUGGACUACUGGGCUGAAGUGCAUAAUUACUUGUUUGACAAAGAUUUAACCAUGGAAAUGUCUUUGGUUGAUCGAUACCAUAGGUAGUCGCUUUGACUAGUUUAAUGCACACAUUAAGUGUAACUGCUACGAGAUCAAGGGUUACUAUUGGUCAACAAAAAAAUGUUCUUAAUAAAUAAAUGAUGAAUACAUCUACUGAAAUAGCAUUAGUAGUACACUUUCCAGUCUUGUACAAGAUAGGCUCACCUCAACUAUAUGAAACAGUACUACAGUAGAAGAUCGGCUCACAUCCCACAUACUGAUGAAUGAAUGAACAUAGGACAACAUGGUUUUCCUUGGUAAUUCUGCAUCUAAUCUUAUCUAAAUUAACUAAGUGAAAGCAUCCUUCAAGUCAUCACGUUAAUUCGAGGAUACCAUUGCACAAAACAGAAAUAAAAUUUCUUAAAUGUUCAAGAGGAAUUGUGUAUGUUAUAAGACAUGCAAAGAAACUAAAAUACACAUAGAGAGACAAAGAAGACAAAUCUAAAUGUGAAUAGUGUCAUUUUCGUUGUUGUCUUUUUGUGACACUAUUCAUGCUGGAUUAUUGUUCCUCCAUGUGUAUUUCAGAAUUGAAUUUGGUUUUUUUAGUAACUUAGACACAUAUCUUGUGAGGAUUUACAAAUAUUCUAAGUUGAAACAUUAAAAUUUUUAGUUUUAUAUAGUGGUAUCACGGUAAGCUUUUAAAAACAGUAUCACUAAAUAUUCUCAGUAAAAGUACAUCUAAUUUCUUUAUCUUUAAAAUAACUCCACGUAGAGGAUUUUUAAUUCUUAGGAUAAUGAUAUACCGUAGCAUGAGAGUCCUCUCGCAACUUAUAUGGCAUAUGGUGUUCAUAUUAUAUUAAAACAAUUGUUUAAUGCCCAAAGUUGACUAGAACGUCGAGCACAAGCACAGUACUAGUCCAAAAAUAUUCUUCUAAAUAAAUUGAAAUGUUGACCAUUAAGUUGGAUAAAAAUUAUGAGUGAUAUGCCAUCAAUAUUUUACCAUGGAUAACUUCUCUUGAACUUAAAUCCUAUUAUAAAGUUUGUAUUAACAUAUACCUCAUAAUUUGUUGACCAAAAUCACCGCCCCAGUUUUUAUGUAAAUAUGAUAUCUUAGUUCCCAAAGAUUGACGAAUGCCUUGGCAUAGGGUGGUGUUGUGCUCCUUUUGAUUUUUUGUCUUGUAUCAUCUAAUAGGAGGCUUCAACAGGAGCUUGGUAUCAGUGGCGGAGUGUAUCGUCACUCGUUGGGAUGCAACCUGUUGACCAGAUUAACACAUGACAAGAUGAUACACAGGUCCCAUGGACUUGUGAUUAACAAGGAAAGGAAAUAAAUCGAAGGAAAAAUUUAGUUGAGUGUUGGAUUGCGUGCGGUUGCAACUUCCAAUCAUGUCGAAUCCCACAAUUACUCGGUGGGUGUAUGGACUACUGGGCUGAAUUAGUUGUUUGACCAAGAGUUAACCAUGGAAAUGCCUUUGGUUGAUCGGUACCAUAGGUAGUCGUUUUGACUGGUUUAAUGCCUACAUUAAGUGCAACUGCUACGAGAUCAAGGUGUACUAUUGGUCAAGAGAAAAAUGUUCUAAAUUUAUAAACGGUGAAUACAUCUACCGAAACAGCAUUAGUAGUACAGUUUCCAGUCCUGUACAAGAUAGGCUCACCUCACAGAUAUGAAACAGCAGUACAGUAAAAGAUCGGCUCACAUACCACAUACUGAUGAAUGGAUGGACAUAGGACAACAUGGUUCUCCUUGGUAAUUCUCCAUCUAAUCCUAUCUAUAUUAACUAAGUGAAAGCAUCCUUCAAGUCAUCGCGUUAAUUCGAGGAUACCAUUGCACAAAACUGAAAUUAAUUUUCUAAAUGUUCAAGAGGAAUUGUGUAUGUUCUCAAGAUAUGCGAAAAAAUUACAAUUCCAAAUUAAAAUACACAUAGAGAGACAAAGAAGACAAAUCUAAAUGUGAAUAGUGUCAUUUUCGUUGUUGUCUUUUUGUGACACUAUUCAUGCAUGAUUAUAGUUUCUCCAUGUGUAUUUUAGAAUUGAAUUGAAUUUGACUUUUGGGGUUGUGCAAAAUAGGUCUCCAAUAUUUGCUCCCUUUCCAGCCCAGAAUUCCAGCUGCCGGCAUUCUCCCUCUUUGUGUAAACCUUAUAAAAUAAGAGAGAAAAGGCAUAAGUAUUGUGACAUAAUGUGUAGUAACAGCCCACAACGCAAUAAAUAUUGAUAUAAAAGCAUGAUGCAAAAUGGACGUAUCAUGGUUUUGUGCUCGUUCUGAUUUUUUUGUCUUAUAUCAUCUAAUUGGAGGCUUUAGCAAGAACUUGGCAUCAGUGAUGGAGGGUGUCCUCACUUGUCGGGGUGCAAACUGUUGACCAGAUUAACACAUGACAAGAUGAUAGACAGAUGCCAUGAACUUGUGAUUAACAAGGAGGGGAAAUCGAUGGAAGGAAAAUUAUAUUUUAUUGUUGGAUUGCGUGCGGUUGCAACUUCCAAUCGAUCAUGUCGAAUCCCACAAUUACUUGGUGCGUGUAUGGACUACUUGGCUGAAGAGCAUAAUUAGCUGUUUGACCAAGUGUUAACCAUGGAAAUGUCUUUCGUUGAUCGGUACCACAGGUAGUCGUUUUGACUAGUUUAAUGCCCACAUUAAGUGGAACUGCCACGAGAUCAAGGGUUACUAUUGCUCAAGAAAAAAAUGUUAUUAAUCAAUAAACGAUGAAUACAUCUACUGAAAUAGCAUUAGUAGUAAUACAGUUUCCAGUCUUGUACAAGAUAGGCUCACCUCACAGAUAUGAAACAGUAGUACAGUAAAAGAUCGGCUCACAUCCCACAUACUAAUGAAUGAAUGGACAUAGGACAACAAGGUUCUCCUUGGUAAUUCUGCAUCUAAUCUUAUAUAUAUUAACUAAGUGAAAGCAUCCUUCAAGUCAUCACGUUAAUUCGAGGAUACCAUUGCACAAAACUAAAAUUAAUUUUCUUAAAUGUUUAGGAGGAAUUGUGUAUGUUCUCAAGGUAUGUGAAAAAAAUUACAAAUCCAAAUUAAAAUACACAUAGAGAGACAAAGAAGACAAAUCUAAAUGUGAAUAGUGUCAUUUUCGUUGUUGUCUUUUUGUGACACUAUUCAUGCAGGAUUACUGUUUCUCCAUGUGUAUUUCAGAAUUGAAUUUGAUGUUUUUAGUAACUUAAACACAUAUCUUGUGAGGAUUUACGAAUAUUCUAAGUUGAAACAUUAAAAUUUUAGUUUUAUAUAGUGGUAUCGCUGUAAGAUUUUAACAACAGUAACACUAAAUAUUCUAAGCAAAAGUACAUCUAAUUUCUUGAUCAUUAAUUAACUCCAUGUAGAGGGUUUUUAUUUCUUAGGAUAAUCACUAGGACAUAGGCCCGUGCGUUGCAACGGGAGAUCAAAACCCUGGUUCAUAUCCUCUAUUUGAACAUGGCAUCCCACCCGUAUUGUUUCAUAUCCUCAUUCACGUCCUCUUUCCUUAUGUACACUUUCUGUUCAUAAGAGGAAAGAGUGAAAAUAUCACAUAAUCAGUUUUAGUGUUAUCCUAAUUUCUAACAUUACGUCAAAAGGUGUAUAUAAUUCUAUUACCACUAUUUUUUUUACAUUUUUUUCAAAAAAUCGGAUCAUCCUUCUAUGUAUAUAAUUCUAGUGUUCAUAAACCGAAUAUAAUCUCAAUUGAUCACAAAAUCUCUAACAUUUUUUGUUAGCUGCAUAUUAAUUUUUGAUGAAAAUCAAUGCUAUCAAUGAAAUAAAAUUUUGUGAUCAAUUGAGUCCGCAAACUUAGGUGUCUCCAUAAUGAAAAGCUAGGAGUCCGCAAUAUUUUCAUUUGAUCGAGGUUUCGUUUUAUCCAUUUGCUUUGUACGACCAUAAUUUCCUUUAAUUACAAGAGAUGGCAUGGUCCUCCCUUCCAGCCUCCAUUUCACGCGAGUUAACUGACAUUCACACCCCAACUUUUUUACUGCGUCCUUUUCUGUCUUCUUUCUUAUAUUGCAAAAUUCCUUUGCUUUCAAGGUUAAAUAGGACCCACACUUCAGCCUCUGUUCGUUAUUCUUGGUGUCUUUUUUAUUCUGUGACAACUCAUGGGCUAUAUAAACUGAUAAAAAAAUCAUGUAAAAAAGCGAGGUGAGACUAUUUAAAUGCAUAAUGAGCGGUGUAGUUAACAUACACAGGAGCUGGUCCUAGCCUGAAGGAGGCAAAUACCAGGUCGUGGGCUCGAUCCUUAGUGCAAAUGGCAAUUUUUUUGCGAAUCCUUCUUCUCAGCACAAGAGCAGGCCCAUGGCCCAGUACGUUUGUGACAUACACCAACAAAAGGCCCAGAGCAGCGUUGGCGUGCAUAGACCCCAAAAAACAGCGGUAACGAAUAUGAAUUUGUUUUGUAGCAAAAAAUAGUACCACCUCGAAUACAGUAAAAAAUAUAUAAAAUCACCUAAGCGGGACGAAACCAAGAAUAUCACCUUGCUUUAAUAGUAGGUAUAGAUAUACUGUAGAAAUAGAGUCCUCUCGCAACUUACGUGCCAUCUGGUGUUCGUCUUAUAUGAAAACAGUUGUUUAAUGCCCAAAGGUGACUGGAACGUCCAGCACAAGCGUAGUACUAGUCCAAAAAUAUUCUUCUAAAUAAAUAGAAAUUUUGACCAUUAAGUUGGAUAAGAAUUAUGAGUGAUAUGCCAUGAAAAUUUUACAAUGUAUGACUUCACUUGAACUUGAAUCUGAUUAUAUAGUUUUUAUUAACAUAUACCUCAUAAUUUGUUGACCAAAAUCACUGCCCAAGUUUUUAAUUAAAUAUGUCUGAGCCUUAUAAACACAUAUGGAGCGAGGACAUGAUAUCUCAUAUCCCAAAGAUUGAUGAAUGCCUAGUUAUAGGGUGGUGUUGUGCUCCUUCAGAUUUUUUUGUCUUAUAUGAUCUAAUUGGAGGCAUACUUUGAGCCAACACAUUAUUUCUAGCAAAAAAUAGAUUUAAUAGAUUUAUCAUGAAAAUAAGUCUGCAUAACAGUUCAUUGUUCUGACCGCGCAGUUAGAGAUUACUAGCAAUUCACAAGUCUUAUGCGGUCCAUGUUCUAAGUAUUUACCACCCGCCUAAAAAUGUGCUAGGCAUAAGGAUGAUCCCAAUAGGUUCAUUGUUCAUUGAGGAGGCUCACGCCGAGAGUAGGCAGUGAUCCUCAAUGAUCUCCUCCCACGCAUCGUCUCUAUCUCCAUGCUAUCCAGAUGCGGGCAAAUAUUAUUAUGGCAUCGCUCUGGUUAAGUAUCUAAUAAUGCGGUGGAAAAUAAAGGAUAUGAUGACUGCGGACUAUGUAGUGCCUUUUUCGACAAUGCAUCGGUAGGUGAGUUCAUACAUAUUAGUUCUGGGCCAAUAGCUCCUGUGCGACACAUUUGAGGUGAAUUAUCUUGAGUGCGACGUUGUUCGAGCAAAUGGCUGUGGUGCGACACAUUUGAGCAGGUAAAUAGCCCACGCACGACAUGGCUGUUUAAUGUGGCUAAAUUGGUCGUCAACCAAGCCCGUUUAUGUUAGGACAUGUGGGUCCAACUUAAUUGCUCCUCAAAACAGCUGACAGUGCCCUGCCGCCCGACCGUGUCGGGCCCGCCACUCUGCCCCCUCCCCCCCUCUUCUCCGGUGGCAGCGGAUCUUGCGUUCUCCGGCGGCGGCGGAGCCCUCGUUCUCAACGGCGGCGGAGCCUUCGUCCUCAAAAAAUGGUGAGUGAGAACCCUAGUCCCCCUCCCGUUCCUCUCUCGGCCCCGUAGAUCUCAGCUCGUUUCCUCUGUUUUCGCUUGUUGAAUCGAUAGGUUGUGAGGGGAGCCCGUGGGCACACUGAGAUGGAGCCGCCAGAUUCAACUUCGAAUAGGUAAUGCGUCUCUCUCCGACCCAAUUUUGCAUGCAAUUAGGGCCUAGUCUUCUCUUUCUCACGGGCUCACACUGUCCGCCACUAACAGAGGGGAUGCUGCCGUUCGGACCUUCGAAUUGACGGUCAAUUUCUUUCCAUCCAAGGCAAAAUUAGUUGAUGGUAGCAUUCAGAACAUUGAGAGAGACACAAUUGUUAAAUGGGAGGUUGAGUUUACAGAGAUUGAUCCACAAGUUCUACAGAACAUGGGAGAGAAGGCAGUGAAGAAAUGGGUGGAAAAAAUUGGGGAGAAUGUUGUUUGGGGUCCAGAGCAAGAAGUAUCACUGUUGCGGUUUGAUGAUUGGAAAGGAGAGUAUGUCAGAAUGGAAGAUGGUGAACAGAUUGUUGAUGAAAUCGAUCGGCAAAACGGCUGGACAAGCAAAAGGGCUAAUUUUUUUGAUGAGCUGGUUGAUCUGAAUAUUUUUUCGAAGGUUGGAUAUGUGCCAUCACAAUUGGCUGCGCAGAUCGUAGAUGAUGAUUGGGCUACACAGAGGCCUUUGAUUCCCAUGUGUACUGAACUUACAGUAAUAGCCGAAGAGGGAUAGGUUACUGGAACUGAAACUGAAACUGCAGCAACUGUUGAUUGGAAUGUAGUUGAAUUAGAUGAGCCUACUGAUUUGGUCAUUGCACCAAUGCCUGACAUUGAGAUGGCCAAACUUUUUGGCAUUCCAGUCGAUGACAGAGAUAAGCAGGAGAGGGGCGAAUCUAGUUUGCCUGCUAAUGUUGAUGAAGAUGUAGAUGGACAAUUGAUGGAACAAGUUGCAGAUGAAGUAGAUGAUGCACAUGAUGAUGAGCUGGUGCAUGUGUAUGACAAAGAAAACCCUAUCAUUGAAGUAGGCAAGUUGUUCCCAAGCAUGAAGGAGUUUAGGAUGUGUUUCAAGACUUAUGCAGUGAAACAUGAGUUUGAUGCCAAGCCUGUUUGGACUGAUAGAAAGAAGUUUUAUGCGAGGUGCAGAGGAUUUGAUGGUAGUGUCAAGCCUUGCAAGUGGUACAUAUCUGCUAGACUGCAACCUGAUGGAAGUACUGUCAGGGUUAACCAAAUCCCCAAUCAACAUACUUGUAUUACAAGUUCACAGAGAGUAUCAACCAUGACAUCACAACUUUGGGUUGCAGAAAAGAUCACCCCAAUUUUAGCCAAAACACCAAACACUACUGCCAAGAAACUCAAAGUAGACUUGGAAAAGAUGUACCCCAUUAAACUGAAAUAUACCACAGUGUGGAAGGCAAAACAAAGGACAAUGAAAAAUUUAUAUGGUGAUUGGGCAAAUACAUUUAGGAUGCUUUACAACUUCAAAGCAGAGGUGGAAAAGAGGUCACCUGGUAGUGUUGUGGAGAUAGAUACAGAGGUAUCAGCCAAAGGUGAAGUCAAGUUCUCCAAGUUUUUUAUGGCUUUGAAGCCUUGCAUAGAUGGCUUCAAAGCAGGGUGCCGUCCAUAUUUGAGCAUAGACUCAUCAUUUUUGACAGGCAAGUGGAAUGGUCAGUUGGCAGCAUGCAAUGCUCUAGAUGGACACAACUGGAUGUUUCCUAUUACUGUUGGCUUGUUUCAGUCAGAAACAGAGGCUUCGUGGACAUGGUUCAUGAUCCAGUUGAAAAGAUGCCUAGGGCCAGUGUCACCUUUGGCUAUACACACAGAUGCAUGUAAGGGGCUUGAAAAUUCAGUGAAAAAUGUUUUCCCACAUGCUGAGCAGAGGGAGUGCUUCGGUCAUUUGUGGAUGAAUUUGAUCAAAAAAUUUAGAGGAGAAGAAUUUGGGCGCAUGUGGCCAGCAGCAAGAUCUUACACAAGACAGACACACAAAUAUCAUCUUGAUAAGAUAAUGGCAGCAUGUUAUGAGUUUGGUCCAUGGCUGAACACCUACCAUUCUUUGUUAUGGUACAGGUCAGCAUUCAACACUGCCAUCAAGUGUGACCACAUCAACAACAAUUUAGCAGAGAGUUUCAACAACAAGGUGAAGGAGUUAAAAGAUUUGCCUGUGCAUGACAUCGUUGACCAAAUCAGGAUCAUGCUCAUGCGGUUGUGGGAAUUGAGAAGAAGGAUAGGUGAUUGUCUGCAAGGUGAUAAGCUUCCAGCAGUGGUACAACAGGUGGUCAAUAGGAGCAGAAGUCUUUCACAUUUGUUUAUUGAAAAAUCUUGACCUUGGGGUGCUGAAGUUAGAGAUAGCAAAACUGGAAGGAGACAUGUUGUUAACACUGAAUUGCAUGAUUGCACUUGCCUCCAGUGGCAACACACUGGUAAACCAUGUGAGCAUGCCAUUCUUUUGUUAGCAUCCCAACCGAAGAUAAACAUGCACCCAUAUCUGCAUGAAUAUUAUUCGGUAGCACGAUUCAAAGCUGCAUAUGCUACUCCAAUUCCAGCACUUACAGAUCAGUCUCAGUGGCCUGAAGUGGACAUUGAAUUUUCCAUGUGUCCUCCCUUGACGAAAAGAAAGGCUGGCAGGCCUAAACAGAGUAGAUUCAAGGCAUGGUUUGAGAAAGGUGGGAGUAGUAAGAAGGGAAAGAAAGAUGAAAAGCCAAAAAGGGCCCAAAAAGGUAACAAAAACAGAUGCAAAUUGUGCCAGGAACUUGGGCACAGAGUGGGAUCUGUCAAAUGCCGUUACACUCCUGAUAAGCCAAAGUAUGUUCUUGUUUAUUUUUCUGCCUUUGAUUUGGUGCUUUUUUCCAAUUACUAUAUCUAUAACAUUUUCUGCACAGGAGGAAGCGAGCAAGUCAGCCCCUUGUUGUUGAACAGUGUUGGCCAACAAAAAAAGCAAGAGUCAAUGGCGGUAGAAAGAAGAGAAGUGUGCCUGAGCCUGAGCAGACUGAAGAAAAUCUUGCUGCAGUCAACAUUCAGACUGAAGAAACUGAUGUGGAGGUGCACACCGAAGAAACUGAACCUGAGCGUGUCGAGGUUCAGACUGAAGAAACUGAACCUGAGCGUGUCGAGGUUCAGACUGAAGAAACUCAACCUGAGCGUGUCGAGGUUCACACUGAAGAAACCCAUGUUGAGGUACACAUCAAAGAAACCGAAACUGGUGUCAACAUUGAGACUGAAGACACUGAUCACGAGGGUAUUGGCGAGGUGUUGAAAAGACCAGUGAAGGAAACCAAGAUGAUCAGUGAACUUGUGUGUGUUGAAGAACCAAAAACAAGAAGGGCUAAGGCGAAGAAGGGCACACGACAUGGUAGGAAGAAGUAGAACAAAGAACAGUUUGAAAAUUUGGUGCAUGUAAUAAUAUUUGUAACUUGGUGCGUACUGGUAGUCACUAUGUAUCCCCAUAUUUCUAUUCGAACUUGUUUGUCUAAACCAGCCAAAUAAAAUUUAAAUUGAAAUUUAAAUUUAAAUUUAAAUUUGGGCUAUUGAUAUUUUAGUGCUAUCUAAAGUACCUCAACUGAAAUAUGUUUGCUUGCUGAUCAUUCCGAGCCCUUUUGGUAAGUUGAACUCAUAGUCAUGAAAAGUGUGUUUCAAAUGACCUCCAAAGGUAGGGUAAACGGCCUCAUAUUUAAGCAAGUUUUGUUGGCACUUUGUCUAAACCAGCCAAAUAAUUUUUCUACACAUCUAUUCUACCUAUAUAGUGUAAAUCUAAAGUCUCACUAUUUAUUGAAUUAAUUUUCUAUUAUUUUCUUUUCUUUUUGAAAAAACAAGGUUUAAUAGAAAAUUAUAUAUAAAACAAGUUUAAAACAUGAAAAUGAGAAAAGUAAGUUCAGAUCUUUCUUAGUCAAUCCAAAAUGAAAAUGAGAAAACAAGGUUUUCACACUUUUCAUUUUCAAAACCCCACCUACUCUCGGGUGCCCACUACUCUCUCCCUUGAACUACAUACUACAUUGUUUGAGGAAUGACAAUUUUGUGAAGGAUUUUUCGUAAAAAUGUAUGUAAACCAUAUUUAUGUUUUUUUUCUCGUUACUAUACGACAUAAUAAGACUAUGUGCGCAAGUUUUAUAUUUUUUUUGAUUUUUUUGAAUUAGUUAUGCUCAACCCUAAUCAGUCAAAACCUCUCAAAACCCCUCAAAACCCCUCUCAAAACCCCUCAAAAACCCGCACACUACCUGGUCGUCGAUCGUUUUACAUGGACGGUUGAGAUCAGGCGCUAGGGUUAGCUACAGUGUGCAGCGAUCCGCAUGAGAUGCGCUGAUUGGUUGACGCGGUGGGGUUUGGAUCAGCCUCUCUCGUUGGAGCAUCAGGACCGUUCAUUUGAAUCCAACGGCAAGAGUUGACGCGGUGCAUGGACCAAGCCUACGCAGUGCCCUUUCCAUCGUUGCAUGCGUGCCCGUGCCCACCCGCAGCAUGCAUGCCCACCCACAGGACUGCGCCCGUCGUUGGUCGUUGCAUGCAUGCCUUGACGUAGCCCUGCCCCGCCACCCCUAUCAACGCAGUAACCUAUCGCAUGCCUACCAUUAGAACCGAUGCAGCGUCGCAUCAGAGCAUGCACCAAGCCACAAUGCAGCAGCCCAAUGAAGACAACCAAAAAGAAAACGCUGCAGGACGUGCCGUGCAUGGCGUGCUCCUCUUUGAGGACACAAUAUUGGCAUGGGGUAUCGAUGUGGGUAUAGAUGCAGUUCAAACGACGUGCUGCCUGUUACAAGAUGGGUAAAUGAAGGCAUCCAUUAUUGUCACGUCCCACAUCGACCGAACGUUGCCCUCAAAAAAAAUCGACCGAACGUUGCCCUCUAGCCGGCUAGCCCUAGCAAGAUGGGCUAUGACAUGAAUGCAUGGGCGGCACACGCAGAGAACCCGGGGCAGGCGUGUCCCCUUGACCCACGACGGCACAGACGCGUGCGUGAUCCCGCCCCCCUUGACCCGCGAUCGUCACAGCCCGUUUCCCACGCUCGUGUACACACUUCCAUGGGGCGCCACCAAACGCCGCCCGCCCAUUAAUUCUACCCAGUGUAACCACAGCGCUUCCAUCAAAAACCACGUCGCUCUUGGGCUAUUUAAGCCGGGAACUAUUGUCUUCCUCUUCCUCCUCAUCCACACCCCAUCCUCUUCCUCCUCUGCCCUCCUUCUUCCUUCUUCUCCAUCAAACCCGAUCGAGCCCUCGAGCCACCGGGCGCCACCAUGCAGUACAACGCCCCCACGUACCAACUCCCCCCAACCGUGCCGGAAAGGCUCUACCCGAACGGAGUGUACGUGGAGAGUACCCUUAGGGUUUGGGCCAUCUCAAGGUGGAGGGGCGCAAGGGAGUUGACGGAUUUCUUCCUUCCGGCCGGCUUCCGCCACCUCCCCCGCGGCUCUCCAAGGAUGUACCAUGUUGAGGAGGUCACCCACAACGGCGUUGUGGUUGGGCUCCUCGCUACGUUCACUAACCCAUUCGAUGAUUUCUACCUCCUCGGGCGAGUGUAUUGGGUUGGUUGUGAGUUCAUAGCUUUCACCACCCAUAACAUUUUCACCGACUUCAACUCCAUCUUCCCCAACAACGGAGUUAUGCACACGCUCCCGUACCCAAUCAACAACGACGAGUGAAGGGCGCCCGGAGGAGCCCGGAGAGAAGAACCCGAAGAAGAACCCGGAGGAGGAGGAGAGAAGAACCCGAAGAAGAACCCGCGUUUAGUGCCCCCCGAUCUAUCGUAUCGUAUCGUAUUAGUUUUUAAGUUGUAAUUGUUAUGCUACUGUUAUUAAGUUGUAUUAGUGUUUUAAGUUGUAAGGCUAUCGUGGAACUAUGUGUUGCAAUCGGUAUGCUUCUAUAUAAUCGUUAUGCUACUAUAUAUAUAUUGUGUAUUUUGUGCUAUUAUUUGUAGAUUGCUAUGGGUUGUUCCAUUAUUUGUGUAUUGCUAUGGGUUGCUACGGGCCCGGGUUGCUACACCACAAUCACCACACACACCAUCUUCAAAAUAUUGGCCAAAUAAUGGGUCAUGACCCAAACCAUAGACAUGCAACAAGGAGCCCCAUGCAAACCCACUAUGGACAUGCAACUAGGAAAUGCAAACUAAUUUACUUCAUGCAAGCAUGCAACUCAUUUAGUUCAUGAAACCGUAGACAUGCAUAAAAACAAGUAAUAUUUAGUUUUAGUGCGUCAAAAAAUGAUCCAUCACAAAAUUUAGUGCAAGAAAAAGGCCAAAGUAAAAAACAAGUAACAUUUUAUUUGCCGAAGUUAGAGGUGGGUUGGUGCCCCUACGCGGGUGGGCUGGUCUCCUUGAGCCCGAUCUCCUUACGGCCCAACAUCUAUUCGGCAGCCCAGUUUUAUUUUUUACUAGAAACUGAAUUUGGGUGCCCGUGUACUCUGUUAACUGAAGAACCAAAACAGGAGAAACAGAGCAUGAACACUGAAUAAUUUGUGUUCCAAAUUGCUGCUUCAAUUCAGAUACAUUACUUGCACACAGAUCACAUCCUCUACACUGACAGGCCUAAAUGCCCAUUCUAAUGACGGAUGAACAACAAAUAAAACAAAAACAGAGCAAUGAUACAACAAUAGAACCCCCCUGCCAUGAUAUUUGCUUGCUUCUGCAAAUCGAUCAUCUGCAUUAGAUGUUUCUUGAUCUUCUUCAGUUCCUCGGUCAGUUCGGACUCCGCAUGCAGUUCAGCAUUGCGCGCAUACAUCGCCAUCGGCACGACUUUGCCCGCCCCUCCGCCUGAGCUCCCCGUAUUCUCCACAGCAAUCGGCGGCACCCCGCCCAAAUUGAGCUCCCAGGUUGCGGCCACGCUCGAAUCAACGUAGCCCUCAAACUGAAUCCUAUCAACAUAUUCAUCAAUCCACUCAAAAUGGUAACAUUUCUUCAUGAUCUGAAAAGAACAACACGAACCCUAAAUCCCAAACUCGAGGAGAAAAAACAAAAUAUGGAGAAAUCAGAGCGAAAGACAGCGAAAGAACGGGCUAAGAACUGAGAUCUAACCUUCCCAUCCCUUCCUGUCAUUGGUUUGCUCAAGCAUUUCACAAAUUCCUGCCCAAGAUUGCCAUUGUCAUCCCUUUUAGUGACCAACCGUUUAAGAGGGUCUGGGCGUGGGCAUUCAGGGCACCUUGUUAGCAGCACUGGUCCAUACUGUCGCCAUUUUGAUUGCGUGGCGGAGGAGGUAGACAUUUGCGCUAGGUCGCCGGAGAAGAGAAAGAUUGGGGAAAGGGGAUGAAUGGGCGGCGGCGGGCGGACGGGCACGGGCGCUCGUCUCUUCUAGCUGCGAGGAGGUGGGUCCCGCGAGUAGACAAGUGGUGGGUCCCGCGCUUAGGUGGAUAAGUGGUGUGUCCAGCGCUUACGUGGAUAAGUGGUGGGUCCAGCCCUCAACAGCUUACGAGGGCAUCAAUUCAGUUUAACAGCCAUGUCGUGCGUGGGCUAUUUACCUGCUCAAAUGUGUCGCACCACAGCCAUUCGUUCGAACAACGUCGCACUCAAGCCAAUUCACCUCAAAUGUGUCGCACAGGAGCUAUUGGCCCGUUAGUUCUAGAGUACACAAUUAUUGAUUGGUUGAAUGUAGAUUGCUUAUACCUACUUGUGUAGUUUAAUAAUACGACUUAUUCUAAUGAUUUUUAUAAACCCGCCAGGCCAGAACUUUCGUGGACUGAAUCAUUUACUUUUCUAGUUAGACGUCAGCAUCUUGGAGCUAAUGUGGGAGUCAUUCAACAAACCACGUGUUAAGCUAAAUAUCUAUUGUGUUACCCAACCUAGGAGAUUAUCUUUGACGGGGGAAACUAUGUGUUUGGGGGAUCUUUAAGUCAAGGGAGCCCAAUCAGUUCUCACUUGAGUGAAUUGAAAAAUAGAAAAUCAUAGAAAGGAUGAUGUUCGACAGAAUAUAUUACUGAUUUUGCUUUAGUUAAGCUAUUUAUAUUAUGUGGGUGAUGUAGCUUCCAAAAUAAAUGCAGUUAAUUUUUUCUUUUCCACAAAAUAGUUAUCAACUUCUCAUUUUGUUCUAGCAUUCUUAUUUUCUUUAGGUCUUAUUGGCAUGCUGGAAGAACUAGGGCUACUACAACGAGCUUUGAAAAUGCAAUAAAUCGCAACCACUAGCAUGUUCAUUACCUGAAGCCUCCUAACAAAGAUUUUCGUAUUUAUACUUGUUCAUAAAAAAUGUGCAACGGCUUGGUUAUUCCAACUAACUCAGCAAUUCGUUCUAACGUACAAAAGAAAUAUUAGGGAAAGAACAAAGGAAAACAAUGAAAAAAAAGGAACAUAUUAAAUAAGAAAAAGUGUGGGAUUCGAACCCUCGAUAGUUUCUAGAACUAUACGUGUUUACCAGAAUAGAUCUAUCAACCAUUAAACCAUCUCUCGAUAGAUAAUCCCGAUUUUAUUCUUAGAAAUAAAACAUAGUCAUACUAAAAAUAAAAAUAGAUAUAAACGUUUAGAUAUAUUUCAUGUGGGUAUAUUUUCUCCUAUUUUAUACACAUAUAUAGGAUGUGCUAUACAACCUUGUGAAAUAAAUACUAAAUCCCCUCUUCUUGCUUCCAUAAAAAAUAAAAAGAAGCAGUUAGAAAUAAUUUCGAAUAGAAUGAUUAAUGGAUUCAAGAUUAAACUGCUCCUACUUUGCACUUUUUUCCUUUACAUUUAUUGAUAAGUGAGUGAUCAAAUAUCUAGUCAACAAUAUUUGAUGUUAAGUUGGAGGGUUACAAAUAUUGUUAUUGCUUACCAGUUAGCUCUUUGAGCAUUAUUUUAUGACUUACUCGCUCCUAGUAAUAUGUGUACCCCUUGUAUUUGCUUGCUGGUUUCUGUAAUAAUAAAAAUGUUGUACUUCCUUGUACAUCACUUUGGAUUGGACUAGUAUUGUCGUACAUAUUCAAAUUCUCUUAUUUCUUAAAAAAAAAACUCCCUCCAUUUAUGUCAGGUGUAUUAGUUUUUUUUUGCGAACCAAUGUGGGGUUGGAUCGUUAGAUGGACUGUGGUACCCCAGCCCACCAUGGUUCAAGUCCUGGUGCUCACAUUUAUUCCUGGAUUUAUUUCACGAUAACCGUUGAUGCGCAUUCAGUGGGAGGAGACGUUCCCGUCGACGACGAGGUGCCCACGGUGACUUAGUAAAUAUCAAGAUGAUAUGUCGGCUUAGUUUUUCGGAGGUGCUCAUAAGGGUAGGGUGUGCGUGUGUGCGUUCAUAGGGGUGAGUGCAUGCGCGUGUAUAUGAGCGCUUGCGUCUGUACUGUGUUCAAUAAAAGGUGUAUUAGUUUUUUCCAAGCAAAAAUGAUAAUGUAAGGUGUAUUUCUUUUUUCCAUGCAGUUUUCCUUGCGUGCCCUUCAACCAUCCAUUACAUGCCAUAGAUAAAAAGUACUACGUAGUUCCCAGUAGGAAGGUCGUAGAAAAGAAUCUCUCUCCCUAAUUGCAUGCACUCACAUUUCUCUCUAUCCCAUCCCACUGAUUGAUUUUAAUCUGGUGCUGCAAGAUUCAGUUGCCUUUUGUUAUCCCACUCGCUAUUUUGUUGCCCCUAAUUAACCAUCUAACUACCUAAUUAGUUAAAGGUAUUUUUGUCCAAAAUUCUCCUCAAUUAUGUGCCUUGGUCACCGCACCAAACAAAUACACCUUAUAUAAAGGAAUGCAGGGAGUAUUAGUAUUGAUUACCCCGAUAUAAAAGAACUGACAGACCAUUUCUUAAAAGAAAAUCAAAUAACAAAAAAUAUUUAGAAUACAGUUUGCAUGCCAGAUUACUACCUCUUCCCAUUUAGUAUUGUCAAAUUGCACAGCCAUUAGGAUAUUCACUGAUGGCGGGUUCGAAUCUUGAUAGUGCACUUAACAGUUUGUAUAAAAGAACAAUUCUGGACAUUUUUUAGAAUGGUCGAAUUUUCCUCUAAGUAUAGUUUUUCAUGGUGUUUCCAUUUGUUCCAUUCGUUUAAGUUUUUGUCUUGUGUCUUACAAGCCAUUUUAAUCGUUUCAGUGGAACCAAUGGGGAUUCAUUGCCUGCUUAUUAUUUUUGUUGUGGUACCAUGUUGGAAUGUCUCAACAUGCUUAAAUGAAUUUGUAUACUUUUUUUUUUGAAACGAGGCAAAAGACUUGCCAUUUUUAUUGAUUAACAAGAAGGGUGAAGUUCAAUACAAAAUCGCCUAGGCGAUAACAGAUACAAUGGCUACUCUAGUAGCAUUGCAUUACCCAAAUGCCUCGCACCAGCUAGGACCCAGAUAGCCGUUUCAUCCUUGAUGAUAUGCACAACAACCUCCACCAGCGCUGCCUUGGCCUUGAAAACACGAGCAUUCAUUUCCUUCCAAAUCUCUCAAGCAAGGAGGCUAACGCUUUCUGUGCAUUGUUGGUUAGGGUAUCCUCCCACCACUAGGAAAAACAUUGCAAGGCAAAUAGGCGAGAGGAUAAAUGCGGGGGAUUUGUGUUCUAAGGAUAGGACAUCCCAAAUGUUGACCAAAUUGAAAACGGGAAGAUGGAAAGGGGGCGGAUCAGAAUUUAUAAUUUAUCUUCCACUGACACCGAGCAACAUUAAGGUAUACAUGCAUCGGUGCAUGCUUUGCAUCUUAAAUGAAUCUGUAUACUGUCACCACUUGGAAAAACAUUGCAAGGCAAUUAGACAUGAGGUUGAAUCCAGGGUAUUUUCUUUCUAAUGAGAAGGACAUCUCAAAAUGUUGACCAAAUUCAAACCGGGCGGAUGGAAAGGCGGCGGAUCGGAAUUAUCUUCUCGGCGAGGGGCGACACUGAGCAACGUUGAGGUAUAUCUGCAUCGGUGCAUGCUUAUCAGCAUCCCCAACCGUCCACCUGCUCUGCUUCUACUACCUUUAAAUAUUUGGCACCUCCUUCGAUCCCUCCCAUCUCACAACACAGUGCAUAAUUGUUGUCUGCUGCUUAGUUUGUCCCAUACACAGGUGGAAGCUCUUAUCUACCUGUGUAUUAAGACUUAUCAGGUCGACGACCAAGGUAAGUCCCUAAACCUAUGUCUAUGUCUAUUCAUCAGUGGCCUGUACUUUUCUUAUAUCCAAGUCACACUUUUUCUUAAGCUUCUGGAUUAGCAUCCACCCAUCUUAAUAUCCUUGUACUCUUUAUAACCUUCCUGCGAAAAAACAGAUUUAUGUAUAACCUAACCUGUGCAUACAAGAAAAACGAACUAAUAAGUUCAUUUGUUAUGCGCACCUUCAAAAAGUGCAAUCUUACACUUUGUAGUGUGUAAUGGGUGAUUCAAAUUUUCCAAACUUCCAAAAAAACAAGAAAUUAGAAAAAAAAUACAUCUAUUUACUUAUAUUUAUUUUUCGUAUUAUCAAAUAAGACAAAAUAUAAUAAAUGUUAACAAUAAUUCAAGCUAAGCAUUUCCCCAUUGCCAAUAAGAAAAACAAAAGAAGAAAGUUACUUUAUGCCCCUAUAUAUAGUGUGCAGUGACAAAUUAAGUGUCCUAGUAUACUAGAGAUGUGAUUAACAUUGCUACUGAUAGCAUGGAAUAUUCUUUGUUUUAUUCACGUCACAAAAUGGCUUUUUUUUGUUUACCCAUGUUGAGAAAUUGAAAAAAAUGCAUUGUGCUUCUUUCUUGGAGUUUUUGAGCUUUUUCUAUGAUUACUAGAGAUGAUAGAUACAUCUUCAGUGCUUUAUUGGCACAUCUAAGCUUUUAGUGCACACAACGUACAGUGACUGAAAUAUAUAGCAGGUUACUGCACCGAGACCAUGGCAGGCAGCUCACCGAAGGUUAGUGAGAUCCGGUGUGCGCAGCGUGCGGAAGGCUCCGCGGCAAUGCUGGCUAUCGGAACAGCAAAUCCGGCGAACAAGGUGUCCCAAGAAGAGUACCCUGACUAUUAUUUCCGCGUUACCAAGAGCGAGCACCUUACUGACCAUAAAGACACAUUCAAGAUAAUAUGUAAGCACCCAAACAUACUGAAAUAUCUAAGCAGACACGUAUGAUCUGACAUGAUUUAUGUUGUUGGGUUUUUGGAUCUCUAAAACUGAUAUCAGGUGGUCUAACGGGCACGGAGAAUCGUUUCUUCUACCACACGGAUGAACUGCUCAACUCCCACCCUGUCUUGCUGGACAACACGUCACCGUCCCGUGAGGCUCGGCAUGAUAUCGUGGCCAAGGCUGCUCCAGAGCUUGCGGCAGCAGCAGCAAAGAAGGCCAUCGCAAAGUGGGGCCGUCCGGCCAGUGACAUCACCCACCUUAUCGUCAGCACCAACUCUGACGCUGGCGCCCCAAGCGCUGACGUACGCUUGGUUUCACUCCUUGGCCUUCGCGCCGAUGUCUGUCGUACCAUGCUCCAUCUUAACGGCUGCUUCGCCGGCUGCUCCGCCUUGCGCCUAGCCAAGGACCUUGCUGAGAAUAACUGUGGGGCACGCGUCCUCGUAGCUUGCGUGGAGCUCGCCAUUUCUGGCUUCUGCAGCCCCGGCGAAGGGGACUGCUUAGACACCCUCAUCACUCAUGCGUUGUUUGGUGAUGGGGCAGGCGCGGUAAUCGUCGGCGCCAACCCCAUGCACCCCAUCGAGAAUCCUCUGUUUGAGAUGGUGUCCGUCUCUCAGACCCUCGUGCCGAGCACUGAGAAUGUGCUCACCCUGAACUUGGGGAGCAAUGGCACUCAUGGGAAAGUUUACACCAAACUGCCCACACUGGUAGCAGACACCAUGGAACCUUGUCUUCUGGAAGUGUUUGGUCCACUUGAGAUGGACUUCCAAUGGAAUGACCUCUUCUGGGCAGUGCACCCUGGCAGCCGUGGGAUCUUGGACCAACUUGACAAGACACUCCAGUUGGAGCCCACGAAGCUAGCGGCGAGCAGAACUGUCG
This 269698-nucleotide long non-coding RNA is filed under the name Triticum aestivum (bread wheat). Its description in RNAcentral is "long non-coding RNA (TAES_LNC021679)". The stretch from base 203196 to 203406 matches the Rfam family "Plant small nucleolar RNA U3". Lineage: Eukaryota; Viridiplantae; Streptophyta; Magnoliopsida; Poales; Poaceae. The record is from RNAcentral.